This 182788-nucleotide long non-coding RNA is filed under the name Lynx pardinus (Iberian lynx). The stretch from base 96117 to 96201 matches the Rfam family "tRNA". Lineage: Eukaryota; Metazoa; Chordata; Mammalia; Carnivora; Felidae. The record is from RNAcentral.
GUGGGGAGAAGGGCAGGAUGUUUUUAACAGAAUGUGACCUCCCUGGCAUACUAGAGGUAAGGAGAAAAAAAUUGCCGAGAUAACUGUGAAUAUUUUACAUCCCUAGAACGUAGCUUCUAACCAAGCCACAUGAAGAGAGCAGAUUUCUACAUGCUGCAUAAAAACCCAUGCCUCCUAGAGCUUUGGAAGGUGCUAGCCACGUUGGUUUGGCAUUUGUUUAGAUUUGAUUAGAAAUCAAUGCUCUUCGUGCGAUCAUUUUCAUGCGCGCAUUCUCUUUUUCUCCUUUAGAAAGCAAUAACGUUUGUGAAUGGGGCAGUGUGGAGAAAUCCUAAGAGAAAUAGCAUAAGAGCAUUUUGGAAUAUAUCCCGGAAAAGAUAACUUCCUACACAUCUGUAGAGACUCGCCAGGUUAAGGUAAGGAAAAAAAAAAUUAUACAAAGUAGAUUCGAGUUAUUUCAUUACGUCACAUUGGGUUGAACUUUGGGAGAAAAAUGAGUACCACUGAUGCAGGAUGGAUGUGGGGGUGGGGGGGAUGAGGAGGGCCCACCUUUUUGCCCCUCCCCCUUUCAGGCAUGGAUCUGGUAGCCCUGGGUCCACUGUGACAAUGGGUGGUCACCAGGGGUUGUUUCUAAUGCCAGCUGAAGAGCCAUGGAGAACGAGUGCGGGGGGGGGUGGUGUGGAGGGAAGACAGAUUAUUGCGUUUGGGAGGCACUUCUGUUGAAACCUCAAUGUGUUCAAUAGAGCAAAUGUUACUUGUACAGUAUGGAAUUUCUUUUAGGUUUAUAUUUGCACUGGGACUGACUCAUUUUCUAUUUAGGAUUCUUAAAAAAUCACUUUUAUGGUGCUCAGAUGAGAAGUACAUCUGUUGCUUACAUAUAAUAAGCAUCAAAUACGAAGACAUGUUCAAUGCUGGAGCUGUUUGUUUGUCGCUAUAGGAGACCUGCGACAUAUGCAUGCCGCGUGUCUCUUUUCUGGAAUACAGGCACUGACAACUCAAACUUUAUGGCUUUUCCCUUGAGCAAUAUCAGUUUUUGUUUUUUUUUUUUAAGUCCCCAGCUACUUUAGGUCACUAAAAGUGCACAUCAUUUAGAACUUUCGAAUGAGUACUUGGAAUGAAGUUCAAUAGUAUGAAUUGGAUUGGUCACUAUGUAGUAUUUGGGAUUCUGGAUGAGUUUUUAGAGCAAAGCAGAGCUCAUUUAUUUGUUGGUAGGUUAUAUACACAUAACGUUAGCACUACAAUAAGACUGUCUUUCCAGCAGGCUUGGAAAUCAAGCUGUUAGUUCCCAGGACUCUGUCAGUUUCACGUUUGUGAUUGUGUGUAAAAUGAAACAGUUAUAACGGAAUAGAAGUUGUGUUAGAGUGAGCAUUGCAAUGGAGGGAGGGCUUCUGGUUUUCUAACAAUUGGUGGGAUGCACUUGUUGCAUACGACUUGGGGCCUUGAUCUUUCGCACUAUUUCAGAUACAUUGUUGUCAAAUUAACCGGAACGGUUCCUUUAGAUCAACUUUGAGUGAGUAGUGCAAAAAAAGCGAUUCUCCUAUAAGCCACGUAAGCCAUGUUUGUGCAGCUGAUUUAAAAAUUAUAGCAUUCCUUAUAAAGUCAUCCCAGGCUAAGUAAGUUCAAGGUAACAUAUUGUUUUCCUUACUGAUUUUACAACCAAACUUUUAGAUGAAAUAGUGUCAUUACUUUGUGUUGGUAUAAGUUAUUACUCUCUGGGAAAAGCUUUGUCUCCAGCAUGAAAUAAAAAUUAAAUUCAGAUUCUAAACUUUAAAAAAGCUUUUACUUAAUUAUAUAUUUAAACAUUUUUAAAUUAAAAUACAGCUGUGUUCAUCAUCAUGUAAGAAACAGCUUGUGGAGCAAUGUAGCUAUGAUAUCGGGUAGCAAUGUGGGCUGGUGAAACCCCCCCAGCAAGUACCGGAUUGUUUCCUGAAGCCAUUUACAGGCAAUCACCAGCAGAGGGCAGCGCAGAGCAAUGAACUCCGGCUGUUCAACAGUCUAAAAAUCUAGAAGGAAAUUAUCUGUAUAAAAGUAGUACUUUUUGGAUAACGCCCCCCCAAUCAUAGAUCUCUAAAAUUACUUUUUAAAAGCCUCAAAUAUGUUAACCCCUACCUAAGUUUCUCACCAUGAAAGUGUUGAAGUGUGAGGACACAGUGAUUUCCUGGUGGACCUUGGAGGUAUUUGCACUUUGAUUUUCUUUUUCACUUAUUUUAUCACAAAACACAGUGUGGGAAUGCAAAUACCAGCAAUGUGCACAAAUUUUCGUUAUAAAGCUUUUCAGUGUGAUUAUUCUGUUGAACAACAUUGGAAAAAUCAUAAAUUCAGAUUCAGGCAAUGACCUUUACCAAACUCAGCGUCUGAAGCAAAAUGCAACUUAGAAAGAUUUCCCAUUCAAUCUACAUUUCCUUGAUGCAAAAACGAUAGCACAUUGUAUAAACGCCAAACAUGUCAUGUCCGUGGUCUUUAUGAAAACAAACAAGCAAAACAACCCAGUAGCACAUUGUGCUGCUCGUUAACUUCUUUUCCUCCUUAAAAUUAUUACAGCAAACGUUUGACAUUUUGUAAAAAAAAAAAAAAAAAAACCCACAUGUGCUACUCAAUAUUUGACAUAUGUUUUACACUGGAAGUCUGGGGAAAAAAGACAUAUUAGACUGGAAGAGAGUUGUAAAGAAGUUAGACGAAUAGCUUUAGGAAAGCAUGUUCUAUUUUGUUACAAGGAUGUUAUAAAAGCCCUAGUUUAAUGGUUUAUGCAUAGAUGUUUAGGGACUCUAAAUGUCUUUAUACUGAAUCCUGUCAUUUGAAAGCUAGCAUUUAAGAUUAUCAUUCUUAUAGGCUAAUUAAGAUAUAAAACACUUUCUCUUUUCAAAAGUUCAUGAGCACAUAACACACUGGGGCUACUUUUACAAGCCAAGUGUCCCUCUUAUGCCAUUAGCUUUCUUGGAUUUACCUUCUAAAUGACUUUGGCUCAAAUUGACUUCAGAUAUUUGACAUAUCAAGUAUUGUUGUCUUCAAAGGUUUCCCAGGCAACUGCAACGAUUCAUCUGGUUCCAGUCAAAAGUGCCCUUGAACUCUCCACUCACUUCAUUUCCUGGUGUGAGUAAUGUGUGUAGGAAAAGGAGGAACACCAAAGACUCCUUGUAAUAGGCUAAUGUGAAUGGUACGGUGAAGAGAUGGAUGGAUUUCACAGAAAAAUCCACUUGGGUGUUAAGAGUUGGCAGGCUUUGUCAAGCUUUCGUAUUAAUUUUGGGCGGAAGAUCACAAUCAUGAUCAGCCCCCUGUGUUCUGGGUUCGCUUCACUCCUCCUCACAGUGAGGAUAGAGCCCCAAACUCUUACCUAAGUCCCCCCAACAACUUCUUCAAGUACAGAGUGCUGGUCCACUAGAGAGCUGUCACCUCUGAAUCUCUCAGUGGGGCCUUGGGAUCCCCGCUGACUCAAUCACACUGACCUUACUCUCUGUCUUAGGUCUACUUUCACUGUUUGUUUGGUUUUUUUAAUUUUUUUUUUUAAUUUUUGAGAGAGAGAAAAAGCGAGCAUGAGCAGGGGUGGGCCAGAGAGAGAGGGGGACAGAGGAUCUGAAUCAAGCUCUGAGCUGACAGCAGAGAGCCUGGUACAGGGCUUGGACUCACAAACUGUGAGAUCAUGACCUGGGCCUAAGGUGGAUGCUGAACCGACUGAGCCACCCAGGCACCCAUAUCUAGCUUCACUUUCAACCCAUCGUGAAGCCGUGAGUAGAGGCUUAUUCCACCAUGCUUCGAGGGAGGGUUUUAUAAUUACCACCCAAAUUGUUCCAGAGAGCAGAGAGGGAGGGAGAAGCUGGAAUCCCUGAUCCUGUGGUCUGUAAAAGGUUCCUCUGUUUAGCGUUGAUUACAUUCUGUGAUUUGUUUAAAAUAGAAUAUUUCACCUCAUCUAGGCAGACCGAUCAGUUAGAAUGUCAUUUUUUUUUCUUUACCUUGGCUCUUGUUUUCACAACUGAUUGACUGACUAGUGACUGGAUCGAUUGACAAAUGAGGCAAUAUAAUAUACAGUCUGGUGGAACUAUGUAAAUCAGAGCAGAUUGCUCUCCAAGUACUGAGCUUCUGCCGAGGUCCCCUGUGGGCUCCGCGGUGAACUCCAAGUCUAGAGAGCCUCAACAAUGAAUCGUCUGUCACCUCGACUGGGCAUGAAAGCAGAGCCACUACCUCUUCCGGUCCCCACCAUUCCUUUCUUCCUGUAUUGUUAUAUUUCGUUCUGUUUGAUACACUCACUGAGACAUGAAUGUCCCACUGAAAUGUGUCUAAAUAACCAGAUUUUUAUUUUUUAUUUAUUUAAAAAAUUUUUAGUGUUUAUUUGGGGAGGGGGGGAGAGAGAGCGAGAGAGAGACCAAGCAGAGGAGGGGCAGAGAGAGGCAGGCAGAGAAUCCUAAGCCGGCUGUGCACUGUCAUAGCAGAGCCCGAUGUGGGGCUCGAACUCAUGAACCGUGAGAUCGUGACCUGAGUCAGAUGCUCAACAGACUGAGCCACCCAGGUGCCCCUAAAUAAGCCGAUUUUUAAAAAUUUAUUUUGGGGUCUGUAGGUAAUUUUAGUAAAGAUUAUAUAUAUGAAACUAUAUGUAUGUGUGUGUAUACGUGUGUGUAUAUGUGCGUGACUAUAUAUAUACACACACACAUAGACUACCAGCCCAUCUACCAGCUACAAUUACCAUUGUGAUUAUCAUUUCGAGUAAUCCUUGGGUUGUUAAAAUUAACGUAGCUAAAUGUAAUUUUGUAGUAGGAAAUGCAGUUUUCAGGGUGUGAAAUAAUAGUAAUCAAUUUGAAUAAAUAUUUGCUAUUUGUUUUCAUAAAAGUUUAAAUCCGGAAAAGAGAACUCCGACCAACAUAGGAAUAUAGCAGGAUCAAUGGAACAGGUGGCAUGAGUCAUAUCCCUGGCUUUUAAUUAAAACGGAUGCUGUGGAUGUUGGCAGGGACCGGGCUGCACAUAGGUAGUUUAGAAUUUCUGAAGCUGAAAUCUGGUUGGAGCGCUCUUAAUCAGAAGGAACUUCUUUUGAUAAUUUAUAAUCUAUCUGUACAUCGAGGAGCACUGAUGAUAUAGUUUUCAUACCUAAAUCACAGUUGAAAAAAUUCAAAGAGGUAUAUUAAUCCUUAGAGUGGGCAGCUGUUCCCGAGCCAAAGGAUUUUUGUGCAAAGCUAAUAUGUAUAAUAGAGAAUCGGUCUUUCACUGUACAGUUUUGUCAUAUUUCAAUAACUGAAUGAAUAUUCUGAAUUAAUAAGCAGAACGUUUGUACAAACUAAAGACUACUCUAAGCUCUGCAUUCAUUGAUGGGAACCUUAAGCAAAUGUUUCUUUUUAUCAGCUUGUUCAAAAGGCAUAAACAAUGUUAUGGCUCUGAAGUGAUAACAUAUCAACCGGUAAAAUAGUUAACUAGGUCUGGAACAGGUAAGGAAAAGUUAUGGGUUACAUGCCGUUUUGAGUAUUUCGAAGAUCCUGAAGAAGCGGUUUGUUUUUAGUCUGUAUAUAUUUAUACUUUGUCUCUUACAGAAAAGAGUCUGAGCAUUUAAACGUAUACGCAGGAUUUUUUGAGCUUUGUUGUGUUUUUUAACUUUGGUUAAAAAUUAAACAUAAGAAGAGAGGGAGGCAAACCAUAGGAGACUUUAAUACAGAGAACAAACUGAGGGUUGAUGGGGGUGAGGGGCUGGGGGGUCGGGGAAAAUGGGUGGUGGGCAUUGAGGAGGGCGCUUGUUGGGAGGAGCCCCGGUGUUGUGUGUAAGUGACGAAUCAUGGGACUCUACUCUUGAGGCCAAGACUACACUGUAUGUUAGCUAACCUGACCGUAAGUUAAAAACAAAUUAGACAUACGUUGGUUGCAUACGUCAAUAGAAAAUAGAGAAAGGUGGUAGAAAUAUCAAAGGAUGAGUCCAAGUUCUCGAAAUGCUAAGAUGGACCACGAGGGGAAGAUGGGCUUGGCUGGCCACCUUGUGCCACACGCUGCCUACUGUCUCCCACUGAGGUGGGUUCGUGGAAAGAGAAUGGAGAGCUUUAGGGAUCAUACCUUGUUUCGUCUUCCUUUCCGCCUCCUUCCGCGUCCCUCACAUCACCUGCCGUUCAUCUCUUAAAUGUUAGGAUGUCAUGAAACCAGAGGAGGAAUGAUCGGAAUAUUUGCUCCACAGGCUUGCAGACGCCUCAACUCCUUUUAUCUCUGCAGCGAACAGCCAUUCAUUCUCUUGACAGGAGUCCAAGCCUUUAAUAUGUCAGGCAUUGGUCCCAUCUGAAUGUGUGACUUCAUUUAAUUCUCUCGAGAGCCCUUAGAGGUUGUGCUGGUUAUGUCCAUUGUACAAGUGAUGCAACUGACUGAGCCUUUUGGAGAAGUAAGGGAAACUUUUCAAAAUCAUAAAACUCGUCAGUGCUGGAGUUGGGAUUCAAAUCCCACACAAUAGCUCUCCUCACUGCUGCUUCAGAAACAGACUUGUCUCUGAGGAGGUUGUGCUUUGGUACCGACGCUCCAAAGCUUUUUUAUUUUGAAUUGAUGUCAGACUCACUCAGAAAAAGUUGUAAGUACCAAAGUUGUGAGCGUGAAGAAUUCCCGAAUGCCCUUCACCAAGAUUUUCCAAUUGUUAACAUUUCACCGAGUUUGCACUCUCUCUCUGUGUUUGGUGGAUAUACACACACACACAUAUAUACGUAUGUAUUAUAUAUCAUUUUUUCAAGAAACAUUUGUGACGAGAUGUUGUGAUAAGAUCUAGACGUGAUGCCUCCUUUCCCACUUAAUGCCAUUGUGUUUUCUUAAACACAUGCCCAUUAUCUUAACUUUGUACAAUGUGAUAUCGAGAUCAUGACAUCAGCGGUGAUAGAAUCUGUACACUUAUUUCAAAUUCGACAGUUAUCCCAGAAAUGUCCCUUAUGGAAAAAAAAAAAAAAGUUAUCCAGAAUUCAAUGCAGGAUUAUUUAUUAUAUUUAAUUGUCAUGUGUUUUAGUCUUUUGAUCAGGAACACUUCCUCAGUUUUUAUUGGUCAUGGCCCUGACAUGUUUGAGGAGUAGAGGCGAGUUAUUAUACAAUAUACCUCAGUUUGGGUUUGUCUGAUGUUUCCUCAUGAUUUGAUUCAAAUUACUCACGUUUGGAGGAACACCAUGGAAGAGAGACUGUGUUCUUCUCAGUGCAUUAUGUCAGGAGUCAUUGGUGGGUUUCAUUACUGGUUUGUUCAAUUGGCUAAGGUGGUAUCUGUUCAAGUUCCUCACAGCAAAGUUACCAUUUUUCCCUUUUUUAUAAAUUAAUAGGUCAUGGGGAGAUAUUUUAAGACUAUGAUUCUGUUUCUUACCCGACUUUUAUCUCACUAGUUUUCAUGUAUUGAUGAUUCUUGCCCAUAUCAGUUAUUAUUAUGAUGGUUGCCAAAUGGUUAUACUUUUUUUUUUUUUUGAGCUCCCUUACUGAGGGGUUUACUGUUGGUCUAGAGAGACACAGUAUCUCCUGUGUUUGGUCUUUUGUGUGGUGUGCAGUUUUACUGUUAGCCUACGACCACAUGCAAUGCUUACGAGACUUAUCCCAUCAGACCCUCACAUCUCCAUUAUGUAGAUGCUCUUAUAUCCAUAUUUUAUAGCUGAGGAAGCAGAGUAGCAAAAAACCAGUUGGUAGCAUUUUCAGGAAGAAAAUAUUAAAAAUUGAUCCUUAAAAUAUCACUGGGGUGCCCAUACUAAGUUAAUAGAAUGAGGUAUGAAAAUCACAAAAAUGUAAGUUAAAGAAAAAGACACAAGAAAUCACAUCAUGACUUUUAAACGUUGAAACUAGAAAGCAGGGAAGGGAACAAGAGUCCAUCUCAGUCUUGUGUUUGAGCAAGGAGAGCUAGUGAAUGAAAACCUGAAAAAUUGUGUUAUCAUUGCCCAGCUUGGAGAGAAGUCUUGGUGGGCAAAUAAAUGUCCGCAGAAAACUGUGGACAGCUCCUGAGAGCUGAACUUCAAUGCUUUUUCUAGGCUGAAAAGAAAGCUCGCAAGGGAAGGCAGAAAGAUGAGAAUCAUACUAAAGCUGGUCUUUACCUUAGCAAAUAACAGAGAGUUAGCAGCGUGGAAGACAAAGGUGAAAAGAAGACACGAUUCUGCAGGGAGCAGGACCCCAAGGGAUGAAGGACAGAGGAUCUUCAGCUGAAGUCCUUCUCCCUCCCUAUAUACUAAUAACCCAGCUCAUCAACCCAGGCAUUUUCCUGUCUUAAUUUCCCACUGAUGAGGAAGGCCCCUGGAGUGAAGGCCUGAAAUGGGGUGAGUGGAUGCAUGGACUGGAUUGUGUAUCUUGUGGCUGCACUGAGCCAUGGCAAGGAUGCAUGGGCCUCUAGGAUGUCGACCAAACACUGAUUCAGAAUUUUUUUUUAAAUGUUUUAUUUAUUUUUGAGAGAACGACAGAGCAUGGGUCGGGGAGGGGCAGAGAGAGACACACAGAGAAUCAGAAGCAGGCUCCAGGCUCCGAGCUGUCAGCACAGAGCCCGAUGCGGGGCUCGAACUCACAGACCGCGAGAUCAUGACCUGAGCCAAAGUUGGACACUUGACCAACUGAGGUACCCAGGCACCCCUGCUUCAGGAUUUUUAAACAUAGAGUCCUGGUGCACCAGCCAUGCAUACCCAGACCUAGGGGACAACUCCUUCCAGCCCCUUCCUAAUGUUGUUGAGCCCAACAAAAGCCCCAGAAUAAGAAAUAACUUUGGAACGUGAGCUCCGAGGAGCAGGUUGACUCAUGUCAGAGACAGUAGGGUGUAUAAGUAGAGAAUUUAUCCAAACUGUCUCAAGAAACAAAAGAUCUUGAGAAGACCCUAUAGUUCAACACAUAUGCAAUGAGAGAAGAGGCUGUGACCGCCAAGCAAAACAUUAUGGAGAAAAGGAAAGAGAGAAUGAGAUCGGAUGGGAAGGGAAGAGAAGCGGACUAACGGGGAAUAUAACUUGUAAGACGGGUGGUAUUUCUGAAAUCCACUCUAGAGGCUUUCUGGACCAAGGAGGUGAGUUGUACACAUACAUCUACUUCUGCUCUUCCCCAGAUCCCCACUAAGAUCACGAGACAUUUAAAAAUUUGGGGGGGGCGGGGGUGGCUGGGUGGCUCAGUCAGUUAAGCAUUGGACUUCAGCUCAGGUCACGGUCUCACCGUUCGUGGGUUUGAGCCUCAUGUCAGGCUCCAUGCUGGAGGCUCGGAAGCCCGGAGCCUGCUUCGGAUUCUGUCUCCCUCUCUCUCUGCUCCUCCCCUGCUUGUACUCUGUGUCUCAAAAAAAUAAAUAAACGUUAAAAGAAUGUAAAAGUAAAAUUUUUUGGAAGCUAGGAUACAGAUGAAUCAGGGUAAAUAGUGUAACACCCCCCACCCCCCAAAUCUAAAUUCUAAACCAAUGGGUAAAAAGUUGAGAGCGCACUUAAAACAAAAUCCCUGAAAGUCUCCGAAAUUGGGAGUGCUUGGUGAUUUUAGAAGUGGAGAGUGACAGAAAGCAUCUAAAAUAAGGGGCCCCAUUUGCAAGUCCACAUAAAUGGAGUGGGACCUCCAGAAUUGUCUCUUCCGUGCUGUACUGCCUGGAGGCUAACCCCUCAGGGAGACAGAGGACACAGGUUUCUUUUUCUUUCUUUUUUUUUUUAAUGUUUAUUUAUUUUUGAGAGAGGGACAGAGUGUGAGUGGGGGAGGAGCAGAGAGAGAGGGAGACACAGAAUCUGAAGGAGGCUUCAGGCUCUGAGCUGUCAGCACAGAGCCCGAUGCGGGGCUCGAUCUCACAAACCGUGAGAUCAAGGUUUCAUUUUUGAAAUUGGAAACGCAAGAGUAUCUCUCUCCGGAAGGACCCAAGUUACACCUGAGUUUCUAUACACUGAAGUCAAGUCGACGAACAUUCUAGAGGCUGAGACAUUCUCACUUAGCCCCCACAGAACGAGCAGCCAGGCCUUUCACACCCAGAACGAUAGUGGAAAAACUUUCCCUGGAACUUGACCGAGGAGAUGGGUAAGAAAGAUCCUGGGGAUACUGACAAUGGAAGACCAGCUGCCCCCUCUAUUCACAGUUUAACAAGUCCCACUCAGCCCCUCAAUCCUGCGGUCUGGGGUGUCCACACUGUAGGUAAUGUCCACACAUUAAGGUAACAGAGAGGACCAGAGGACGAAAAAAGCCCCCAAGCAAAACCAGCAAAUGGCGCAACAGCUCGGAGGCAAUGGAAGCAAUAAAGAGAAAGGAAACUUGAUAAAAAAAGAGUCUAUUAUUAAUAUUUCCUAGGAGACACAGUUAUGAAACAAGACAUCUGGAGAACAGCAGAACUCCUGGAAACAAAAAAACAUGGGAGCAAAAUAAAAACUCACAUGCAAGGGGAAGUGAGAUGGAAGGAAAGUUGGAGUGGCCGAGAUUAUGGUGUUAAUUAUGGUUAAAUAAUCUGAUUUUUUCAAAUUUUACAAAAACAUAUAACCGUGUGAACGUACCCCCAGGAUGUUUCCUGGGGCUUCUUGGGCCUUUUAAGGUGAGGGGCCAUGAAGCUGAAAGCUUCAAAGUGUUCAGGAAGUCCAUCCUUGACAGUAAUUGGUGAUCAUAGCUAACUCGUGCAAGGGACUCUUUUAAGCAUUUCAUCUCCGUGAACUUGUUUAACCUGCUCACUUCUCAUGUGGUAGCUGCUCUUGUCUGAAUUUUACGUACAAGGAAACAGACGCACAAGUAGGUUAAGUAACUAAACCAGCAUUGCAAAGCCAGUGAGUGGUGUAGUUGACAUUUAAUACUGAAUAUAAGCACUUAGCCACUAUUCUAUUCUGCUUCUACAGGAAAACAAAAAGUUGGGUAAACAGGGAAACCAAUCAUAAUUGCUGCAUUCUCAACCCUGAAUGAUGAUAUUAGUAUGACCAUUCAUAAUUAUGAAUGGACAAUUAUGAGAAAAAUUAAGGUAAAAUUAUGUCAGAGGAGGUGGGGAAGGAUUUUGCAUGUACUAGGUAUAAGAGGAGAAAGGAAAGCUAAAUCUUAAAUCCAGAGUGGAAUUUCCAUAGUUAAUGGAAAAAAUUAAAAUCAAUUCAAGCAUAUUAUGUAAAAAUAUAUGGGUAAAAAAACAAAAGAGUUAACUAGAAGAAAACAUGGCAGCAUCUGAGAAGGGGGAAGGAUGGAUAGAGGGCACUUUUAUUUAAAAAAAUGAAACCUGGGGCGCUUGGGUGGCUCAGUCGGUUGGGCAUCCGACUGCAGCUCAGGUCAUGAUGUUGCAGUCUGUGAGUUUGAGCCCCAUGUCGGUCUCUGUGGAGACAGCUCGGAGCCUGGAGCCUGCUUCGGAUUCUGUGUCUCCCUCUCUCUCUGUCCCUCCCCUGCUCAUGCUCUGUCUCUCUCUGUCUCAAAAAAAUAAAUAAAAACAUUAAAAAAAGUAAUAAUAAAAUGAAACCCUUUCUGACUUUAUCUAGACUAUGUAAAUGCGUAAUUUUGUUACAAAUAAAGAUAAUUUAAAAUUUGGGGGGGCGGUAAAAUAAAAGAACUUAAAUAGGCCAUUAUUCAGUGAAACAAGUUUGAUUAACAAAUACACAUAAUUUAAAGGAAACAGAGUCUGGUGUUAAAAACAAAUCGAAGACCUAAAAAUACCACCAAAGGACUGAUAAAUGCAUUAGAAUAAUCAAGAAACAGAGUAGCAAUUUGUUUGAAAACCAGAUGGGUGACAGAGGAGAUAUUUGACACAAUUCCUUUGAAUGCAGGAAAAAAAGGAGACAAGCAAUUAACCAAAUAAAAUUAAAAUGGAGGGCAGUCAGUGCUGAUGCAAAAUUAGAAUGAUGCUGUCCAGAAAAAAGUAUCAUAGGAGAAAAAUGUCCUGCAACAAAUAAAGGACUAAUAGAAAGAUAAAAUAAAAUUAGGCUGUCCUUGGACUCUUUGUGUGAUUCAAGGAAAAGGCGAUAGAGAAAGUUUAGGGGGAAGUAGAACUCAAGAAUUUAAAUGGCUAGGCACAUUGUUGUUCACAUAAUACAUAUAACAGAUAAACAUUUUAAAGUUACAUCAACUAGGAGAAUUAGCUCCUUUAAGGUGUUCAUGAAGAAAAUACUUGAUCAUAAAGGUCAGCCAUUCAGCUGGAGUGAAGGGGUAGGGAUGAGCAUGCAUUACUUUAAAGACCAAACGAAGGUGUGUUACCCCUCCAAAAAUGGUGUUUGCAGAACAAAAUUGAGGUGCUUUAAACUCAGAUCAACAUAGGGGCGCCUGGGUGGCUCAGUCAGUUAAGCGUCUGACCCUUGACUUUGGCUCGGGUCAUGAUCUCGUGGUUCAUGGGUUUGAGCCUGGUGUCCAACUCUGUGCUGACAGCACGGAGCCUGCUUGAGAUCCUCUCUCUCCUGGUCUCUCUGCCCCUCCCCUCCUCGUGCUCUCUCUCAAAAUAAAUAAAUAAAUUAAAAAAAAUUAAGUUCGAUCAACAUAAUCCAGUUAUUAAUAUACAUGGAGAGUUCAGAGGACAAGAGAAGACGAAAGAUAAGGGGGAGUAUUUCUUCAUUGUUUGUAACCAGGAUAAGAGUAGAUUUUGUUCAAAACGGGUGAGUCGAUAUGAUUUAUCUGAAACCAAACUGAUUAUCAAACUACUACGCUUUUGAAAGAUGUACAGUAAGCACUAGAUAUUAGACUGGAAGCUGUUCUCUUCAGUGACUAUGUUUGGUGUCUUUUAGGAGGGAAACGCCUGCUCUCUCCCCAGAGUCUGUGUCCUUUUACAUUUGUAAUGUGCCAGGGUAGACAUCAUUUCCUGUUUGACGUUGUGGAUGUGUAAGUCCCUUAAAACCAUACUAAAAGUGAGAAAUUUUGUUUACCAUUGUAUUUUCGUUUGUGCCCAUUCUCUAUGUAGAUACAUACUGUAGGCGUGCAUAUUCUGUAUAUUUGCGUACUUCCCACUUCCAUAAGCAUCUCACCAUUUUCAGUCAUUUGGUAAAAGGUCUUCAUGAGUUUAGCUUCAUAGGUUUAGUUUCUAGGGCCAUCGAGUUUGCCCGAAUCCCCAAAUUCCAGAAGAGUAGAGAAUACUGUCAUUUCAGGCACACUUAUCCUCCAGGGGGGCAGGGUCUGGCUGGUGCCAACCUUCACACUGUUCUCCUCUUUGAAUCCCAAUCUGUAUGUCGGACUCUUCCAUCCUUCAGGAUGGCUUCUUCUCUUGGAACGCACUCUCUGUAAGCUGACUUCUCUCUGCUGUUGAAUUUUGUGUUUCUGGCACACCUGAGCCACACUCCAGGUCUCCUCAUGAGGAGCUGGGCUUACCCCUAGAUAUCUCCAUGGCCCCAUUGCUCCCUCACUUCCUGACUGAAACGUUACCCUCUUGGACAUGUCUUCCCGGACCACCCUAUUAAACUGAAACCCUCUACCCCAACUCCUACCAACUUGUCCCACCUGGCUGUUUCCUUUCCCUGCUCUCCAAAGCACUUCUCUUUCUUUAAUGUAUAUGUUUUGCUCAUCUUCGUUGAGCAGUAAGGUUGUGUCUAUUUUGUUUAUUGCUCUGGCCCAGCUCUUAGAAGUCCUUGGCACAGAGGAGGUGCUUAGUGAAUCCCUGUUGAUUGGUCCCCGCCGGCUGGAAGAAUUUGAAAUCCUGCUCCCACACAGCCAGGACACCCUGUGACAUCCAUAGUUAGAAACUUGCUCUGACAGUAUUUUUAAAUGACAGACUUUCCCGGUGACUCUCCUUACCAAGUUUCCGGCUCCCUUGCCUCAUGAUCCCCUCUUUGUGCUGAUCCUUUCUGGGUCAGGAGUCAUCGCCACCAUUGUAUUUCUUUGUUUCUUUUCCCUUCGGUUGACCACCAUGUUUAUUUUUUGAAGCCAACGUUUUAUACCAAGCACAGAAGACUAGUUUGGGGGAAAGGUACAAUUUUCACUCACUUAACAGUAUUCUCUGGGCUCUUUGCUGAAGGAGUUUUUUUCCUAGUUGGAGGGAAAACAAGCAUGUGGGUGAGGCAUGCCGUGAAGAGCACGGACAGUGCAGUGAGUGCUGGGCCGCCCACAUGUUCUUUUUGGGACAAGAAUAAAUUUGUGUGUGUGUGUGUAUGUGUGUGUGUGUGUGUGUAUGAAUUUGUUCAUUUAUCCUUUUAAGCCUGUCAUUUUUUUUGUUUCAUGUAUUUUUUUCGUAAGUUUAAAAAUAAAAAAACUAAUUAAAAUAUAGUUGAUACACAGUAUCUCAUUACUUUCAGGUGUACAACACAGUGAUUUGGCAACUUCAUACCUUAUGUGAGCUCACCGCAAGUGCGGCUGCCAUCUGUCACCAUACAACGUUAUCACAGUACCGUUGACUACAUUCCCUGUGCUGUGCCUUUAUCCCCUUGACUUAUUCAUCCCAUAACUUCCCACUUCUCUUCUCCCAUUCUGCUCGUCCCUCACUCUCCUCCCCUCUGGCAACCCCCAGUUUGUUCUCUGCACUUCUAGAUCUCAUUCUGCUUUUUAUUUUUUCAUUUCUUUUGUUUUUUAGAUCCCCCACGUCAGUGAAAUCAUAUAGUAUUUGUCUUUCUCUUUCUGACUCAUUUACCUUAGCAUAAUACCCUCAAGGUCCAUCCAUGUUGUUGCAAAUAGCAGGAUUUCAUUCUUUUUUGUGGCUGAGUGAUCAUUCCAUUGUAUGUAUAUAUACCACAUCUUCUUUUUCUUACAUCUAUCAACGGGCACUUGGGUUAUUUCCAUAUCUUGGUGAUUAUAAAUAAUCCUGCAAGAAACACGGGGUUGCAGAUACCUUCUUGAAUUAGUACUCUUGUUUCCUUUGGGUAAAUAGUCAGUAGUGGAGAUACUGGGUCCUGUGAUAUUUUAAAUUUUUUGAGUAACUGUCAUACUGUUUCAGGAACAAAAUUCUUUUUUUGUUUUUAAUUUUUUUUUUAACAUUUAUUUAUUUUUGAGACAGAGAGAGACAGAUCAUGAACGGGGGAGGGUCAGAGAGAGGGAGACACAGAAUUUGAAACAGGCUCCAGGCUCUGAGCUGUCAGCACAGAGCCCGACGCGGGGCUCGAACCCACGGACCGCGAGAUCGUGACCUGAGCCGAAGUCAGCCGCUUAACCGACUGAGCCACCCAGGCACCCCAGGAACAAAAUUCUUAAACGUAAAUUCAGUGUUCUGACUUCCCUUCCUGCAGUGUUUGAAGAAGGUGAGCCUUGUAGGGACGUUCUUUUGUCAGCAGAGCUGGAUGGGCGUAGGAAUUAAAAAAAAUAAUAAAAACACCUCUGAGAAGUGAAGAAGUAAAGGAAAGAGAAGGUUGAGAAGGGGGCUAGACUCUGAAAAGAGCCGGCUCAGACAGGGGUUGGAAAUGAAUGGAUAGAGGAGUCUGAAUUCCUCUCACAAGAUGUGAGAUAGGACCCAAGGAUAUUUUGAAAACAUUUUUCUGUAUGUUUUGAGGCUUACUCCAUACCUUAACCUUCCCAGUCUACAGUGUGAAGUUGUCUGAAGAUAUUUCUUUUUUAUAUUAAGAUUGGAGUAAGGAAGGACAAUUUAUAGCAAGACUCAAAACUCAACCACCCACAAAAGGCAGGUUCGAUAGGUCAAGUUGACAGAAGUUACCAAGGGAAUGGCUGCAGUAAGGGAGAAGGGCGCCCAUGUUUGUAGCUGGACCAUGUUUGUAGUUCAGCCCUUUGCUGAGGUUGGGGGAGGGAAGUGGUGCCUUUGGGACAUUGUGGUAGAGGGACACCAGGCAUUAAGGGGUGUUGUGAAAUUUGUGGGUUAGGAGAUUGAUAUGAUGGGGAUUAUAUUUAGACUAUGUUCACAGUAGCCUACGACCUCUUUUCUGAGUAGGGGGAGAGAGAGCUACACGUGUCAUUGUAUGUGGAGGUGUGCAUUUGAUCGGAAGUAUUAUUAAUGGUCUUAUGAUUUUUUUCAUUUCCCUUAAAUACAUAAAAUUAGUGCCCUCCUGGGUGUGAUUUUGUUUUGUUCUGGAAUAACAGUUUUUUUCUAGAGGAAAAAAGAUCUCCAAUUUCACCCGGUAAGUCAAUAGAAAAUGGGAUUUACAAAUUGAAAUGCAUUUUGAGGCAACUUGUUCAGGACUGUAAUGCUGCCCACAUGACUUCCCUCCUGUCUACAUUUCCCUCCCCUGGAAGACUCUGAAAGAUUUCCGUCACAGCCCUAAGCAGCACUGGCCAUGUUUUCCAAAAACACGAGUAUGAGUACAUUAUUCGUAACAUCUACCUGUCUUGAGAUGAUUAAAUCAUUUUUUUUUUUAAUUUUUUUUUUAAUUUUUUUUUUCUUUUUUCAACGUUUAUUUUAUUUUUGGGACAGAGAAAGACAGAGCACGAAUGGGGGAGGGGCAGAGAGAGAGGGAGACACAGAAUCGGAAACAGGCUCCAGGCUCUGAGCCAUCAGCCCAGAGCCUGACGCGGGGCUCGAACCCACAGACCGCGAGAUCGUGACCUGGCUGAAGUCGGACGCUUAACCGACUGCGCCAUCCAGGCGCCCCGAUUAAAUCAAUUUUUAAUAGCUGUUGGAGUUGCACAGAGAGCUGACCUUGGAGAGGAAGUAGGGUUUCAGGGCCUUUGGGAGGACCUACUGCUUGCCCAGAACUUCACCCACCCCGUGUCAAUUCCACAUCAGAUUUGUAUCUGGCAUAUUAAGGCCAUUAGUUCUGCAGUAAAAUUGUUUUCUCUAUGUUCAAGCAAUAUCUGAUCUAAAAUUCUGGCUAACAUCCUGCCACAUGUUGUACUUCGUCAUGCCUGUCAUUCACCCUCACCCCUCCAUCACCCCCGUCGCCACCACCGCUCACUUCACCUCCUUCACCACCACCACCUCCAUUGGCAUCAGCAGCUAUUUCUUGAAGUCCUCUUUGCCAGGUACUCCGCUAAGCUCUUCGCAUGUGUGUUCCUAAAUCCUAACAGAAACUCUCUGAGGUAGAUGUUCUUAAUUCGAUUGUACUUUCAACACCCGGCACAGAGCUUGGCCCGUGUAAGAUCCUUAGUAAGUGCGUGUUGAGUGCGUUUUAAUUUUGCAGAUGAGGAAAUCAAGGCUCAGAGAAGUUCAUUGAUCUUCUGUGUUCAAACAGCUAGUCCCUGGUGGACCCAGAAUUCUAAGCAACUGCGGUCCUUUCCUCUCUCCCACCACCUAAACCAUCCAGGUUUUACACCUUAGCUUCUGCUCUUCCCUCCGCUGCAGUGUCCUUCCUCAUCCGUUCUGCCAACCAAAACCCUUCCCGGUGCUGCUCAUUCUUCAAGCCGUAGUUCACAUUCUACUUCUUCCCUAGGCUUUUUCAAAUUUCACCAUUUGGCACGGGCUCUCUUUCCUCCGUGGUUUCAUGUCCACCUUAUUGCGCUUCCGCCGGACCACUGAAAACGUGUGUACUUCGCUUACCGGUGUCUGUGACUGCGUCCGUCCCUAGCAAGUCAGCGAUGGGCGAUGGCUGUAUUUACGGCUCCUUCAACGUCUCGCCUCUCGUUUAGCGUGGCGAUUUGCAAUCUAGGUGUUAAAGAAACACUUGUGAAACCAGGAGAAUGCGAGAAAGCUCCGAGUGAGCGGGUGUUUCGGCCACAGGAAGGGGGCCCUGACACCUGCUGGGAGAGAAAGGAAGUCGCAUUGGCCAGCUGGUCAGGGAGGGCACCAGAGACUAACUUAGCUAGUUCACGAUGCGCAAAAGGCUGGUCCUGGGUACACACGACAUCUUUUGUAAACAGAACUGUUUGAUUCAUGGUGAACCAGAGAGAGGAAGAAACAACAGGUGCUGAAGAUGAAUAGUCUGUUGUUAGCCCAUUUAUUGACUGGAAACCAAUCCUGGACUUUGCUUCUUCCUGCUCUAUCAAGUGGCUUCGGCCCGCGUGUAAUUUUUACUUUUUAGUACCGUCUGCACCUGUGGCCUUUGGACCUAAUGUUUAUGACAGAUGGGCCGGGCCGCGCUUGCACCGUUUAGUGGGUAGCUCUCCUUCUGUAGCACUCCAUGCCCCUGUCGGCUGUGGCAUGGGCCCAGUGGGCAUGUGUGUCGGGAAAGGCCCGUGUCUGGAUCCGUUGUUCAGCUGCUGUCCUCCGAGUCUAGCUUUCCCUGUGCCGGGGCCACUUAUUGCCCAUCGUCUCUCUUUCUUGCCAGGUCAUUGUCCCUCAAAAUACAGGACUCGAUGGCAGACAUUCACCUCAGAUGUCACAGUUGGACACGUUUCUCCUGUUUCUCAAUAUUUUUCUUUAUGGCUAUUAUUUUAGGAGAUUUCCGGACUAUUUUUGUUCUUCUCUUUAACAAAGGUCUAAAUGUACCUGGUACACCGACAUGAGAGGGGAGCCUCCUUUUCUGUCUUGAAAGACAGAGCGAUAUGUGUGUAAACAAAGCACUUUGGACUUUCUUAGGGAGAGUCACCUGUUGGCUUCCUUGGUUUUCCUCCUGACAGACUGGUAAGUCCUAUUUUAGACCAGCACAGAGUAAAUGUUUGCUUAGUGGACAUGCAGACAGGUGUCUGGCCUUGAAGUUAUGUCAGCCUGAAGAAACAGACCAGAUGUCAGUGCCCAAACACCCCCUCCUCUAUCCUAACUUCUCUGCAAAGCAUCGUGCUUGCAGGAAGAAAGGGACCCAUUUUUCUAACCAUCAGUUCUUUUUUCCUAGAACGGCGCAGUGCCAUUUAGUACCUGUCUCUAGUCAAGCAGAAGAGAACAUUCUAUUUGGACAAGAGAGGAGAGUGGCAAAGUACGUCUAUUUAUAUAUCACCACGCCGCAGGAAGGUCGGCACAGAGCCAGCUUUGACAACUUGGCCGGGUGGCCUCCCCACUCUGUGUGCACAUGCACACGAGGGGCAGAAGCUGGAGCUCUCCGGGGGUGAACCGGUUUUCAUUCCCACGCCGUUACUUUCUAGACACACGACACAAAGCAACUCCCCUCUUUGUGCUUAAGAUGGAAGGAGUUCACGAAUGUAAAACACACAGCAAGCGCUCAAAGCCUUUAGCGAGGAUUGUGUUUGUCAGGAUGUGUGUUGAUGUCACCAAAGGUGAUAGGGUAGUUCACCCCUGCAUCCUCGCCUUUUAUAGCAUCAUAUCCCAUCACCCAGAAGGCUUGCCCUGGUCUGUUUCUGGGAUAUGUCACCACGUGUCUAAGAAACAAGCCAUUUCCCACAAACCUUCUGUUAGUUUCACUGGGCUCCCUGAUGCGCUGUCUUCCUUCUGGUGACUUCUCCUCGCGCCACCAGAGCCUGCUGAUGGGAGAGCAUCAUCUGACUGCUGAUGGGAGAGCAUCCCUGUCUGAGCCCUGAGUGCCUCUCGUCCCAUCCCCGUGGGUAUCAGUGCACUUUGCCGGCGUCUUCGCAACCAGUUCGGGACCCACGUCUCCACCCUGACUCCAGCCUCCUGGCUCCCUCUUUACCACCCAGCUCCUGGUGUGCACCCCGGCCUUCCGGCCCCACACUGUUCUGGGGCCUUUGACUUCUGCCCAUUCUUUCACCAUCUCACAGACACCUAGCACGCAGCACUGGUGACUCCGUGUCCUUCAGGUUUUCGUUCAAGGUCAUUUUUGGAGAAAGGUCUUCCCUGGCCUGCCCAUCCAAGUAGCUCUUCCUGUUCUUCUCUGUCUUGCCUCCUCCCAUCUUUCCUGCCAAACCCCAAUUACAUUACUGUACUUCGUCAUGCCAGAAAGUGCUAUGCAAAAUCACCAUUAACACCACAGGGCUUACUGGACAAGAGGUCAGAGCACAGUACUCAAGACUGUCAGUGACACAUUAAAAGGGACACAAAAAGAACCCGAAUAAAAAUGCUAGCCCACCUUACCCGUGCUGAACGGUUCAGCAACAUGGGUCAGUGCCACGAGCACGGAGGCGCUUUGCCACUGGAAGGUCACGUCUGAGUGUGGAAGUUGCAUCGGAGGUCCGCAGACCGUUAGUGUGUCAUUGCCACGUGGGGGAAGGAGGGCGUCUGAAAAAGUUGUCAGGUGAGAUGUGGGAGGUGGCUUCUAACCAGAGGACGGCCGCAAGGCCAGGUGCUCAAGGUGUGCGAGCGUGCCUUUUGCCUUCCUGGUUGGCCUGGCUCUGCUGCGGGUGGCUUUUCUGUGUUCACUCAGGGCUCCUUGCACAGACAAUCGCCCGUAAGCAGGACAAAAUGUGCCUUCUGUUCCUUGAGCUCGAAUAGCUCCCUAUAUAUCAACCACAUGGGAACAAAUUCACACUUUCAAAACAAGCGUUAUAGCAAAACAGAUUGUACCUGUAGUGGUUUUACUGAUUUGUUUCCACUCUCCCCCCCUCCCCCACCCCUGCCACAAGACUGUCCUCCCCUUGAAGGCAGAGCCUGCACUUGGCUUUGUCACCAUUACAUACUGUACGAUGGUGCUGGUGUCGUGGAGGGACCAGUGAUUGUAAAUCAGGUGACGAUGUGAAUUUCAGGCUGAUUCAGCUGAUUAAAAAGAGCGAGCUAUUUUUAGUCACUGAUGGUCACGCUUUUACUGACAACCAUAGAAGAGAUCUGUGUUGACCACUCUGGGUUUUCCUUUUUCUCUUCUUUUUUAACAUGAUGUAAAAUAUUUUAGGUGUCACAGCAGCUGCCUAAGCCUAAGCGUCUCUGGCAGGCAAAUCAGUGUAAUCACUUCUCUGCUUCUAUCAUGGUAACUGCGAGAAAGAUGCACUCUUUAUCCCUCAUACAGCACCAACCCUGAGAAAAAUCAGCAUCUUGUGCAUCCUUAAAAAGCGGUGGAAUCAUGAGGAUGAUGAAAAUGAAAUUUUUGUUUUAUGGAGAAGCAACCUUCUCCACAAAAUAUGCAUGACCUAUAAAAGUAGCACAGUCUCUGAGGGAGAGGAAUUCAAAACAAAGUGGAAAAAGACAGACUCCUUAAGAGAAGUUAUGACAUCACGUUGCCCAGGGCAUCAAAGAAAAUGAUUCUGAAUUUUGUUUAACCCCACAUCUAGGGGAAUGCUCUAGUUGGACAAACAUGUUGAUACUAGGGACCAGCUCGUAUUAAGAUACUUCUCCGUAAAUGGAGGUCACUUGAACUCUCAAAGACACAGGAGAAAAGCAGGAAGAUGCUACAGAUAACCUGAAUGAUAAAUCUGGAAGAUUAUACUUUUCCAUUAUAUCUACCAUUAGUUGAGUUUUCAAAAUCUAUGGACUUGCUCAGUUUAGAGAUAGAAGGCAAAAAAAAAAAAAAAGAAGAAAGAGGGAGGGGAAAGGGAAGGAAGGAAGGAAAAAAGAAGAAAGGAAGGAAGAAAAAGGAAGAAAAAGGAAGGAAGGGAGGAAGGAAGGAGGCAGAACAUCUGUAAACCUAAUUAACUUCCUGUGGAAUGAUGGUGACGUACUUAAAUCUUUUUGUUUUUAUUGAAUGUAUUUCUCAAAGUGCUUGCAUUUAGAAAAAGUUACUUUAAUUAUAGUAGUUGAAUGACAGAAACAUUUAUCUUUCAUAGCUUUUUGUGAGUUUGAGGAACAGAAAGGGUAUAGAAUGGUAAGAGUAUAUGCUGUCAUCUGGGGACAUUGGGCUUGUUUUCCAGACUCUAAAUCAGUGAACAUGAUAGGACAGUUGAACAUACAUUGGGCAUAACUGGGUUCCUUGCUUUGUAAUUUUUUUCAACUAACGCUAUCUAAUACAAAUACUACCAGGCACUGAGCAUGCCUUAUAAACACAAUUUUCAUUGGCUGUCUGAAAUUUUGUCUUAUUCUGUGUAACCAACCCCCUACUGUUGGGUUGGACAUUUCCACUACCUUAGUUGUUCCGUGAUAAAGAAGGUGAUCAGUGUUGGGGCACCUGGGUGGCUCAGUUGGUUAAGCCUCCGACUUUGGCUCAGGUCAUGAUCUCAUGGUUUAUGGGUUCGGGCCCUGCAUCGGGCUCUGUGCUGACAGCUCAGAGCCUGGAGCCUGCUUUGGAGUCUGUGUCUCCCUCUCUCUCUGCCCCACCCCCACUCAUGCUCUGCCUCUCUCUCCCUCAAAAAUAAAUAAACAUCAAAAAAAAAAUUAAAAAAAAAGAAGGUGAUCAAUGUUGUGCAUCUUUAUCUACAUUUUGGGUUCAUUCUGCGUGAUCAAGUCUCAGGCGUAGAAUUACUAGGUCAGAGAGUGUGUCGAAUGAGGAGGCUGGUGAGGCACAGGAGAGGCGCUAACAUCCGGGAGGGCCCUUUCCUAGGACAUGGCAGAGAGUGACAGAUUUUCCUGAUUUAAGUGUGGAAAUCUCUCCUGCGGCACCCUGGACAGGGUGCCUCCCCCCGAAUACUUUCAGCUACUGGGAUUGUCAUGUUCUUCACUGGAAUAAAUGCACAGCAAUUACGUAUCUGCCUCAUUGCGUUAGCUUCGGGGAGGAGUACUUCCAACACACCAACUAGAAAACACCCCAGUUUUCUCCGUUUGUUUACUGUCGCAUCUGGUGAGGAUUCAAGGAGCAGGAGAAAGCCUGGCAGAGCAGGAGUGGGCCCAGGGAUCCAGUCUGAGAUCUUUUAUUUGUACGUUGCAGCACGGUUUACCCACCCGUCUCAGGUGGCCAAGCCCAUGUUUGUGCUGGGUAUCACAGACACGGGCAGUCGCACUUAGUUCUGCACUUCUUAGCCAUGAUGGGACUUUGGGAGAGAAUCGUUACAUCCCUGCCAGCUUCUACAUAAUUUCUAUUCUGUCUUUCCAGUUUAAUCUGGCCACAGUCCUAGAUGUCAGUUAUUCUCCUGCUAACCCCUCUGAUUCUCACGUUUCUGUCAUGAAAUGCAAAGAGGACUAUGGGAGGGAUUAAAUGAGACAACUUCUAUGAAAGUACUAGUCAACGUAAAGUAUUAGUACUAGUAACCUGAGGUUUCCUUUCAAAUGAAUGAACUAACUGUAAGUCCAAUUUCUUUCGUAGCCUCCAACAAUUCCAAGUGUAUUUACUGAUACCCUGCCAUCGUCACAGCACUGAAGAUAUCCAGAGUGGCUUGUGACAUGAUUUCCAUUUUUAAGGGCUCGAGUGGCGGUGAUAGACACACACACACAUGCGCACACACACACACUGUAACACGCAUGAAACCAAGGAGCGUGGCAGAAACUGAGAAGUUUUGCAAGUGGGGCAUGAAUGUGCAAAAAUAAAACCAAAGCAGUUAAAGUUACAUUUGGGGAAAGGCAUCUCUGAGAAGCCUCUCCUGAAGAAGUGAUAUUAAAUUAGUCCCUGAAGAAUGUGUAGGCUUUUGGACAGACUAUUAUGAGGACAGAGGGGUGGGGUGUCAUUGUAGAUUUGAGAGAUGGCUUGCCUUAAGGUGUAUAGCUAUGAAAGAGAACGCCUGACCUGGACAUGGAAUAUCAAGUAGGCUGAGGGGUGUGUGUGUGUGUGUGUGUGUGUGUGUGUGUGUGCACACCUGUAUCCGUAUGCAUGUGUAUGUGUGUUGGGAGGUUGGGUGAAGUGGGAAAGAAGGAAAGAAGUGGGGGGGGGGAAUUGGUAGGAGAUGAAGUUGGGAAGGGAGUCUAGAGCCUGAUCGUGGAUUUCCUUGACUGUCUUAUUCCUGGGAAUUGUCUGUAAGUUGUCCAUUAAAAUGCUAGAAAUCAUAGUCAUAACAUCUGGGAGGCACUGAGGGAUUCUGCUGCUAAAAUCAAAACUCUGUUUGGCUUCUACAAAAAAUAACCAUGAUGAGACAUUCAUUUCUAGGAACUAUAAAUAAGUACUAAUUAUGUCUUCACGUGUAGUUUUCAGCAUACUAUGUAUUUAUGUUUUGAGAAUCUCAAUCCUGACUCACGCACUUGACGAAUCCUAAAGGUGCAGGUGUUCUUUUACUCCACCUUGUGUUCUUUUAUCCCUAAACAACUAACAACAGGAGGUUGCAUUUAGGCCCGCAGCCGCCCGCUUAUCUUUCUAAUACAGUAAAGUUAAUUUCAAGACCGAACCCUGAACUGGAAGUCUUCCUUUGAGCUGACUCUUCCCUUGGAGCUUCAAAAUAUAAGAGGUCAAGUGCCUGCUCCUGGUUCAGUGGUGGAAAAAGAGAACUCAGGCUUUGCAAGGGAAAGGUUUACUGGAAAGCGUGUACUUUGAGUUUGCAGACAAGCUGUCUGUGCCUCUUCAUCAGAAACUGGCCUCUGACUCCCUGAACGUCCCCCUCCCCAGGGGGUAUGUCCCUGUGGGUCACCUCUCCCGAGGACUCUGUGGUCUGUGUGUCAGGGCCUGAGAAGCUGUGUUUCUCUUACAUGCAACACAUUCCUGUUCUAGAUCUCUACCCUCACCCCCUCCCCCAAAUAAUCUAAAUAAAUUUCCUGGGAGGAGGCUCUCUUUCUGUUCGUGGCCACUUAGGAGAGACUAGACUCAUCCUAGAAGAUUGCUCUCGCUUCAUGUGAAAAAUCUCCCCUUCUGCUUCUCUUUCCUUUCAUCUCUGUUUUUUCUCUCGGUGUGUUUUGGACAAGAUGUUUUGUGUCUCAGUGAUUCCAAGCACACAAGCUGUUCUGCCAUACAAAAAAUAAAAAUAAAAAAAUAAAACGCCUUGCAACACUCUAAAGUAAAUCACUCGCCUUCAAGAUUAAGCUAAAACGUUUCCUUGAGCUUCAUGCUUCAUGUCUGAACAUCCUACCACUUAACUAAGAUAACAGAGUGUUUUUAUUUUGUGUUUGCUUCUUGUUUUUUUGUUUUUUGUUUUGGGUUUUGGGUUUUUUGUUUUUGUUUUUGUUUUUUUUGCCAGUAAACCAUAUCUGUACUAAACCAGGGCCACCUUUUAGUGAGGAUGGGGCAGGAGACUGCCCUCUGCCAUCCAAACAUGCCUCUAGCCCUAUUUAUUUAUGAGAAGCUUUGUACUGGAUACAAACUGCCGUAAAUGGUAUCCAGCUUUGUGGACGACAUCACACGGUCCCGGUAAUCUGAUAGAAGGCUUUAAAUGGAUGGGCGGCUCUGCCAGUUUUGGGUGCCAGGAGGUUUUGGGCUUUGAAAGAAAGAAACAACAAACGAACCCAGAUUCAGAAUCUCUAACUACUGUUUAAUCACAGUGCCCUAGAAAACAUGGACCAGACAUGCCUGUUGCAGAUCCAUAACUGUGUGUGCGCGCGUGUGUGUGUGUGUGUGUGUGUGUGUGUGUGUGUGUUUAAUGCAACAUAUAGCCCUCUAAGCUUACUUGGCAUGUUCAAGUUAUUAUAUUCUUUUAAGUUUCAUGAAUAUCUUUUUUUUAUGAAGAAGGCAGGAUUAACGAACAGUUUUGGACACAACCAAUCUACGUGGUUUGUAAUGGGCUUCGAAUAUAGUAUUCCCAGUCUGGAAGCAGUUAGAGAUUUAAGAAAAUGCUUACAGGUUGGCCUCAGAUGGGAGAAUGCUCGUCCUGAUUAGCAAGAACACAUACUAAUAACACCCAGUGCUUAAUAUUAAUUGAUUACGUUCCAGGAUCUGGUACAAUCUGCCCAGCAGAGUAUGAUAAUUAUUAACAGAAUGAGUUAUUAUGUUGUAGUUAGGAGAUGAAUCCAAGAAUCUCUGUUUUGGGGGAUAGCACAAGACAUUAUGGCCAGAUUAGAAUACGUAUAGCAUGUACUAAAGUAGGGCGUGUGAGAGGCGGUUUCGAAAGAAAACUAAUCCGUUGUUUCUAACUACUACACAAGUCGUUGUGAAGUCCUUGAAGACAGGUGGUAAAAAUGAAGCUCCCUCCCUUCAAGGAGUUUGUCUCCUUGUCACCAAGGAGGUGAUGCUACAAAGAAGCAGAAAUAAGGUGUAUGUCCCAGCGUACCAACAGUCCGUGUUGUGGGGAAGUGCUCUGGAGCCGUCUGAUAGGAGAUCACCGGUAGGAGCUACGCACAGGUUUCCAAAAUGAAUGUGAUGUGUGCUCGUUUCUAAUCCUUGGGUAGCGAGUACAGCUUCUCUACCUCUGAGUUUCUGGAUAAAGACAAUUAAACUUCAGAUAGCAGGAAUAUUGGGGGGCAGUGAAUUCCAUGGGACUUCACGAAGCCACCUCCGAUGUGGACUUCAUUUGCAACCUGCUUCUUCUCUUAACACUCGUUCUCUAUGCAAUCGGGAGAAAAUACCAGAAGGAGAGAUGGGGUGUGAGGAGCGGCCCUAACAGUGAGUGUUCGCAGCACCCCACCCCUGCAGGCCCGGGUCACAGCCUGCACUUUCUCUGCAUGACACUCUUUGUGCACUUAAAUGCAUCGAUUCCUUCAUGCAGUCAAUAGACAUUGAUUGAAUGUUUACUUCCUAUUGAAUUGUAGACCCUGAGAACCACACUUAUCUUACGUCCUGCUUUAUCCCUAGUUCCUAACGUAUUACCAGGCCUAUGGCAGGAGGACAAUUUUUUUUAAAUGAAUGAGUUUAGGCAUUGACAUAUCCAUACUUGUCAGCUUCUUUUGGCUGACUUUGGAUGAUAUAUCACAGGGGAAAAUAUUUCUAACCCUGAGAGUGGGAUUCACCUCUACUGGUUUUGGAAAAAGAUAGAAAAAAUAAUACAGAAGCAGAGUUAGAAAAAGGACCCAGAUGCGUUCUUCUGUGUGGAGCAAUGUAACAUCCUAUUUCAGUGCUGCAUAUGGAACACCUCUAUGUACCUGUUAGUAUAAGCUCACAUCCGUCUUACAAAUAGAUGUUAUUUGUCCUUUAAAGGACAGCGGAUGGACAGCAUUACUUGGUGUGGCCGCAUUUGAUGUAAAGUGAAAUUGCUUUUUUUUUUUUUUUUUCAACGUUUAUUUAUUUUUUUGGGACAGAGAGAGACAAAGCAUGAACGGGGGAGGGGCAGAGAGAGAGGGAGACACAGAAUCGGAAACAGGCUCCAGGCUCUGAGCCAUCAGCCCAGAGCCCGACGCGGGGCUCGAACUCACGGACCGCGAGAUCGUGACCUGGCUGAAGUCGGACGCUUAACCAACUGCGCCACCCAGGCGCCCCUGCUUUUUUUUUUUAAGUUUAUUUUUAUUUUUGUAUAUUUUCAGAGAGACAAAGAGCAUGAGCAGGGGAGGGGGAGAGAGAGAAUCCCAAGCAGGCUCUGCGGUGUCCAUGCACAGAGCCCAAUGCGGGGCCCAAACUCAUGAAACCACGAGAUCAUGACCUGAGCCGACAUCAAGAGUCAGACACUUAAUCGACUGAGCCACCCAGGGGUCCCUAAAGUGAAAUUUAUGACGAGAAUAAAUAUGUGAAGUACAAGAACUGUGACACAAUCGAAAGCAUGAUGAAAAUCACACAAAAGGAUUGCAGCAGUUCACGAUUAUUCUAUUGCCCUUCGUGUGACAUAGGCUGGCUUUGCUGGUCGACAAUGUUUGAUAUCACCUUCGAGAGAGUAAAGUAACAAUGCCUGGUGCAUUCAGUAUUUGAGUGGCACUGUUGCCUUGAAAAUUACUGAGAGUAUAGCAUUUUAAUUCAAGUGCUGAGUCUAUAUUAUAAUCUAAAAGUGUUCAGAUUAAGUAGUUACCCAGAUAAGUAAUGGCACAAAAAGUGGUUCACCCUUCAUAAUGUUCCACAAUGUUUGAAAUACUUUGUUCAGGUAGUAUGUGUAUCAUUAUAUAUUAUAUAUUGUAUCAUACAUGAUCCAAAAGUCUUCUAUAAAUAUAUAUCUAUGUAUAUUCAUAUGACAAAUAAAUGUAUGUGAUUUGUGCAUAUUGUGUAAGGUAUAUAUAUUUAAAAGGCCUCCUAGAAAAUCCUUCAGUGCGAAAAACACUUUAAGUGGUGACGUCUUCACAUUGACCAUUAUCAGCUUGUAUAUUAGUUUUAAUAACGGAACUCAGGAUCUCCCACUAUACUUAUUACACAGGUUGUUUGGAAGUAACAAGAUGCUUAAGGUGGGAUUGAAAUCUACAUACCUGAUGAUCUGCUCCUUUUUUUUAAACAUGAAUUCCUGCCUUCCUGGCUAAACCAGAGAAAUAAUGCGACACUUAGAGAACAUUAAAAAUUUGUUUUUCUUGACAUGCACACACUUCGCUUUUGGGUUUAACAUUGACCUUCUUUGUCAGUGACUGGUGCCCCUUUGUAGCAUAAAUAGUUCGUGGCUCUUUCUAAGGCUGGAUUUCCCUAAUGAAUCACAACAGGAAAUUUUGUCCUCUCCCUAAUUCUUCUAGCUUUUCCUCCAUACCAUUUGACCUAUUUCAAUUCUAAGACAGUAACUAAUUAAACAUCCUGAUUUAUCAAUUGCUACAUACAUCUAGAAUCACGAGGUUGUGUUGCAAUAAAUGAAUUAGAGUAGAGGCAUUAUCAACAUCAUCGAAAAAACAUUGCCCAAAGCUAGAUGUCCUCUGGGCAUUUUAUCUGAAUGGUUAUGGCCAUUUACUUUACGUAAUGAAUUUUUUGUUAAGUUGAAAUAUUUGAAUUUUUGUUAUAUGUAGCAAUACUUUGUGUGGUCUUCAUCACUCACUCUUUCUAUGCAUUAAUAAAGAUUUGAAAUGUACGUUUGGCACGGUAAUGCUGUUCCCUUGGUCUGGCUUCAAGCGUAAGUGGCAUUCUUGUUAGCUGUUAUCUAAGGUCGGAAGAGGCUAUCAGUGCUUACCCCAGAUGAACUAUCAGUUCCGAUAGCUGCACUGCAAGUACUUAAUAAGGACUAAAAACCCUGAACCCAUUAAAGUUCCCGUUGACUGAGAUUAAAUCUACGGAGGUAUUAUGGAAGGUUAGGCAAUCGAUCCAUUACCUUAGAAUUAGAUCACGUAGCCAGGGAUUCAGCCAGACCAGUGAUAGAGGUGCCACACAGACCCCAACAGUGUGAUGAUCCAGGCUUUGUCCCAGAUGCCUGGGAUUUAUGACGAGCAAAACAGACAGACUGUCCCCUCAGGGAGCUUGACAUCUAGUGCAGGGAAACAUCAUGAUUAAUAAAAAUAACAAAUAAGUAAAUCACACAGUAUUUUAGAAGAUGAUGACUGUAGAUUUAAAACAAAAAGUACGGAAGGAAGUCAAGAGCACAGUGGGGGAGUGAAAGCAGUUUGCAGUGUAAGUAUGGAAAUCAGUGAAGGCUAUGUAGGAGAGGGAAGAUCUGGACGGAGACCUGAAGGAGGUGAGAGGAUUAGCCAGGUGGUUUCCUUGGAGAGGGGUGUCUUAGGUGAAGGAGAGUGAGCAAAAGCCACGUGGUGGAGUUAGCCCAAUGUGUUGAAGUGAGGAGUCCAUUGUGUUGAGCUGUGUGUGUAGAUAGAACAAGAGGAGAGAAGGUCAGAAAGAUAGCAAGCCACAGACCACAUGGAGCCUUAGAGGUCACUGUGAGAGCUUUGGCUUGUACUCUGAACAAAAUGGGCAACCGUUGCAGGUUUCAGGCACAUGCAUACUGACUUUGGUGCAGAGAAUCGGUUGUAGGAGUUGGGACAAGGGCAGAUGCCAAGAAACCCGCAACGGGCUGCUACCUCUCCGGAGGAGAGAUGUUGGUGUUGGGAAUUUAAGUGGUAGUGACAAACCUGGUAUUGGUGGCCAGAAACUGGAUGUCCUCUGAAGGUAGAACCGGUAGGAUUUCUUGAGCAUUGAAAGUGGGAUGUGAGAAGCAGUAGAUCCAAAGCUUACUGCUAACUUUUCACUUGAGCAAUUAGAGGGAGGAAUUGCCAUCCCUUAACAUGGGAAAGGCUGUGGUUAGAGCUCAGUUUGAACACGUUGAUUUAAUAUGUGUGUGUUAGACAUCCUCCUGGAGAGAUAAAAUAGGUAGUUGAUGAGAGUCAGGAGUGCAGGAGAGAACUCUUGGCUGGAGAGAUGCAUUUGGAAACUAUUGGCGUAGAGAGAGUAUUUAAAUCUGUGCCAUGGCUGUGGAAUUGAAGAUUAGAGAGGAAGAGGACCAAGGGACAUUUUCUGGGGCAUUCCACAGUAAAGAAUUGGGGAAGCAGGAGGAACCAGAAAAGGGAACUGAGAAGAAACCACCAGGGACAAAGAAGGAAAACAAGAGAAUGUGUUGUUCUGGAAGCUAAAUGAAGACAGUGCUGUCAACCAGGAGAGAGUAAUAACUGUGUCAGAUACUGUUUAUCAUCCAGUGAGAUGAGGACUGAGGAUAAAUCACUGGAUGAAGCAGAUUGACAUCAUUGGGAUCUUGGCAAGAGCAGUUUCAUAAGUGGCCAAAACCUCAUGGGAGUGGAUGCGAGCGAAAAUGGGAAAGAAGGAGGUGAAACAGGAUAGAUCUAAAAAAAAAAACGAUUUGGGUUUCGCUCAGAAAGGAGCGAAUAAAAGUGAUGGUGGCUUGCAGGGAAAGUGGAGUCGAGUGAAGAUUUUCUUUUGUUUUGUUAUUUUGGUUUUGAGAUGAAAGAAAUAAGACCAGGUUUAUAUACCACUGGGAAGGACCCAGCAGAGAUUGAAAACAAAUACGGAAGAUGGAGAGAGAGGGAGACAGAAACAGGGAGAGAGUGAGAGAGGGACUCAGAGAGAGAGAGAGAGAGAGAGAGAGAGAGAGAGAGAGAGGGAGAGAGGUCCCUGAGGACAUGAGAGGAUAUGGAAUCAGGCCAACAAAAAGAGGGAUUGGCUUUGAGAGGGUCUCGAGAAUUUAUUUAUAUUAACCAGAGAGGAGGAAAGGUUUUUGGAGGAGAUGCUGUGGGUGACUGGAGUCUGAAUGAGUUUACUGGCGCUAUUGGAACAAAGUAGCUCAAACCGAGCUAGAAAACAAUGCAGUUUUGUUCUCUCAUAGCUCCAGAGGCCAGAAGUCUGAAAUCAAGGUGUCAGCGGGCAGGGUUAGUUCUUCCCAGAGGACUCUGAGGGGGGAGUGUGUUCCAGUCUUGUUUCCCACCUUCUGGUGGUUGCUGGCAAUUCUUGGCCUUCAUUAGCUUACACGUGCAUCACGCAAUUCUCUGCCUCCAUUGUCACAUGACAGUCUCUCUGAGUGUCUCCUCUGUGUUUCUGUAUCCCUUGUCUUCUUAUGAGGACAUUUGGUCCUACGAGAUGUACGAACCACCUUAAGGUAAAACGACCUCGUCUCAACUUGAUGACAACUACAAGGAUCUUGUUUCUAAACAAGGCCAUAUUCAUAAAUUCUGGGUAGAGAUGCAUUUACACAGUUUCUGGAAGUUCUCUUCGGGUUGCUUGUGUUUUCUCAGUGAAGUAGAAAGCCAGGUCAUCAGCUGAGGGUGAGGAGGUCGAGGGGGUAUUUAAAGACUGGGGAGUAAGAUGAAGCCUACGGACAGUCUAAGAGUAGGAAAAUGCACACUCCAGGGGAAUGUAAUUUCCCUGCUGCUGGGGGCCGCACUUGAGAUUUGUGAUCUUGAAUUCAGUGGGACCUGAGUCAGCAUGGUUGUGUGUGUUUCUCCAGCCACGUACCUAGAUGCAGGGACUGAGUAGGCACAGGGUUGAAUUUACUGGGAUGGUUCUGCAAAAUAGUUACAACAAAGUGAGGCAAAGGCAAGAGAGUUGGGGCAUGGAUAAAGGCUCUAUGAAAGUAACUGACCCUAAGACUUAAAGUAGAGAAAGAGGAGAAUGAAGACACCAGGACCAUCAAGCUUGGUGAAAAAGGCAAAAUGUCCUAAGGGUAUUGGAAGGUGGAUGGGCUGGAGGCAUUGGAGGUGAUAGCUUGGCAUGCCGUAUUCAUGAAUUUGGUUAAUGGGGGGAUGGUCUGCUGGCUUUGACUCUGGGAGGGAGCACCUGAGGCAAAGUGAAUAACACAGUCAUUGGAGGAGAGGAUACAAGAAACUGAGAGUCCAGGGGGUGGGAAGCGUCAUUUACAUAAGUAUUAAAGUUACCAAAAAUUAAGGCGGUGGUCAUAGUGACAGUUAACCAGGAGCUAAAAUCUUCUGGAAAUGAGGGUAAAUUAUUGGAGUAGGUAGAUAGCAGUGAAAUCGAAGGUGGUGUGCAAUGUAACUGAUAACAGGAGACUCAAAAGUGUGGGCUUUGGGGAAGCGGGAGGGCUCUCAUGGUCUGAAAGUGGCAAAAAGGAAGUGCGAGGAGGCCAGGCCAGUUGGAUGAUUCCUCAGCCUCUUUCCCAUGUAAACAAGCUCUUACGCGUCUUUCCAUGAGAGAGAAGAGGCAAAAGGAGCAACUCUGGUUGUAAGUAGGCAAAGGCCCCAGAAGUCAGUCCUGCCUGAUCUAGUGUCCAGCCCCGAGGCUCGUCUACGGAGCCCCGUGACCCCCAGAUCAUGGCACUCUGCUGAGGGGAGUUGAAGAGUAAGCUCUGUGAAAUUUUUCAUGAUGCCCUUUUUUAUUCUUUUUUUUUUUAUUUUUGGAAAAGUCAAAUAUACACUGUACAAUAAAAAACACAUACUCAUAACCCAGAUUUAUAGCUAUAAUCAUUUAUGUUAUAUAUAACAUACUUAUAUAUUAUAUAUAUAUAUAUAUAUAUAUAUAUAUAUAUAAGGGGGAGAGAGAGAGAGAGAGAGAGAGAGAGAGAGAGAGACAUAGUGAUCAGGAGAGAGGGAGAGAGACAGGAUUUUAAGCAGGCUCCACACUCAGCACAGAGCCCUACGGGGGGCUCGAUCCAACAACCCUGGGAUUGUGACCUGAGCCAAAACCAAGAUGCUUAACCAACUGAACCACCCAGGUACCCCACUAUGAUUAUUUCACCUAUUGACUUUCUUUUGGCUUAAUGUUGGAGAAUUGUAAAUGCAUAUCACAUCAUUGUACUUAAUAUACCUCAGUACACAUCUCCCAAAAAGGACAUUUUAAAGAUAAUCAUGGUGACAUAAUUAUGGGAGGGAGUAUAGCACUGUGGUUGGAUGGUAAAUCGUGUGGGUUCAAGUCCUGCCUGAACAAAGGGAUAACAAGAGAACGUACCACUUAGGAUUGUUUUGCGGAUGGACGAUAGAUAGAUAGAUAGAUAGAUAGAUACUAUCAAGUACGUGUUGGCUCGCUUUAUUUCAGUUUUGUUGUGUUAGGAUUUUAAUCCACACGGUCUGACACCAGAGCCCAAGCAUGACCCUUGUAUAAAAACACACUAUAUUUUAUAAAUUGAAAACGAGAAAUAUAUUCCUCCUUUUAGAUGUGACUGGAUCAGUUCACGUAGUUUAUCACAAAGACAAAAAUAAUGAGUGGUUGGUCUGUUGAGGCAGGAAACCAGGGGGUGUUGUCGCCAACAACCUCUCCGUCCUCAAGAGGGAAAGGGCGUAUGCUAAUGAGUAAGAACUCCUGACGGUAAGGAGGCUGCUAAUGAAGUGAUCACCACUCCCAUGGAUUCAGCCCCAGGGAGAGAGCUGGAGGGGAGUCCCUCCGCUCCAGAUGUGAGGCACCACAGGGAGGCCUGCUAGCUGCUAGGAAAUGAUUGUUUCAAUAAUAUUUUUCGGUGUUUCCCUAGAAUAUAAGGUGGAGGUAUUUUGACUUCAUAAUCUGUAACAUGCAUUGAUCUGUGUCUCUUUUAAGACCAUGAGAGGCCUCAUUCCAGGUAAGUCAUGGGUUACAGGAGUUUCCCUCUAAACAACUGUAGCUCAUUGGUGCUGAAAGGAAGCCUUACACGUGGGUGUGCACACGCGCGUGCACACACACAUGCACACGCGCGUGCACACACACAUGCACACACACAUAUACAUACAUAUGUCUGAUAAACUUCCUGGUCAAAGGUCAGAGGGAGUUUUCUGGUGAGGCCUUUAUUUACUUCCCAUCCUUUUGUCUCCUAUCUCUAAGCUUAGUCAGCGUUAGUCCCUCAUUUUACAUUCUCUUGGCCGUCACUGGAAAUCCCUUUAUCUCUUGGUCAUACCCUACACCCCAACCCUGAAUGGCAAUAGUUCUAGCCAUCUCUUAGAAUAAUCCCAAACUCAGAAUCAAAGAUGUCAUUCACCCUGAGCAUUAGGUCAAAUGGAUAACCUAUACUGUGUAUGCACACGUGUGUCUGUCCAUGAAGAAUGUGUAAGUACAGACGGUGAAGGGCACUUGAAGUCUCAGUGAGUCUGAUGAGACAAAUAUCCUUCUGUUGGUAAAUUCUGCCACAUUAUAUUCCAAGGAAAUACAGAGAAACCCUCCAGAACAUUUUCAGGCAAUUGUCUAAAUAAACCAAGGAACAUUAUUCAUAAACAUUAUAAGGGUGAAUUUAGCCUUUGAGCAGGAACGGUGAUUAUUUUUAUUAUUAUCUCACCUUCAAUAGUCACACAUUUAAUGAAAAAGACCAUUAAUAUCUAGUUCAAUUCAUGUUGUGUAGCUGGAAUCAACACACUUAUAUUUUUUAUCUUUGGCUGAGUUCCUUUCUUUCGUUCCCUUUUUAUGACAUUUUAAAUGUUGAAUUGGGGAUGAGCAGAAUUCCAUAUUGUUUGCCAUAUGUAUUAGUUAUAGGUUUGGCAUCUGUAAUAGAGAUUUAUAAAAAACAGUGACUUAAACAAGAUAGAAGUGUAUUUCUCUCUCAUUUAACUGUCUGGGCAUAAGUAGGCUGGUAUGUCAUCAAAAUCUGGGUGCCUUGAAUCUUUCUGCUCUGUGAUACCAAGGGUUUUGCUCUUGUCAAAGUCCCAGAUGGCUUACCAGGUCAUUUGGCUUAUCACAUCUCAGUUAGCAGGAAAGGAAAUAGAUGGAAAGGAGAGAAUAACCCUCUUCCCUUCAAGGGCAUGACUCGGAAAAGUACACUCCCCUUACCGGUUCUUCCCUUUGGCCAGAACUUAGUGACAGGAUCACAGCUAAAUAUAAGGGAGGUUAGAAAAGGGGUCUCUAGGGUGGGAGACCAUCUCCUUGGUUAACUUCAAGUGUCCUCAUAUAAUGGGAAAAGAGGAGAAUUGAUCUGGGGGGACAAUCAGCAAUCUCUGACACAUCAUAGAAACAUAACUGCUUUUAUUCAGAUGCUGAUGGAUAGGAUAUUAAUAUCACAUAGCGUAUAUCUUUUACUCUCUUUGGCAGAGAUGGCUUUUGGUCACUGGAUCUGUUUCCCCUUUCUUGGUAAACAGUGGUCCCUGGAAUGCGGUCUUUAAGCAAAGGGCUACAUUUAUCAGCCUUUUUGCAGCUGGGGAUGGUCAAGUGACUAUUUCUCAACAAGGAAUGAGAUACGAGAUAGGAGAGCGUGCCCCACCUAGGCUGAGGUUGUAGAAGCAGAUGAGGAGGCUUUAGGCUCUAAGGGACGGUGGGGCCACAAUAUGGAAGAAGCCUGGAUCCUUGAACCACCACGUGGUAGUGAACUGCCCAUUGAGCAGCGACUGUUACUUGGACGUUAUGUGAAUGAGAUCUAAAUGUCCACUAUGUUUCAGCCUGAUGUAUUCGGGAGUCCUUUAGUUAAUGUCAUGUUAGCCUACCCUCAAAAUAUGAAAGGAGAUGGGCUCCCAGUUGCUGUUGACUAUCAUAAUCAUUGUGCUGUGGAACUAAAUGAUCCACAAGAAACACCAGAAUUUUGAUUUUUCUAAGCAGCUGGUGAACAUUUUUGGGUUGUAACAUUUCUCCAAAUUUUGUUGUUAUUCACAAAUUCUCCAUUUGUUUGUGAAUUUUGUUCUCUGUCAAAACAUUUAAGACUAUUUUCCAUCUUUUAGAAACUGAACAGCAGUUUUUCUGACACUGGUUUUUCUGAUGAUAAAUAGUUUUUUUCUUCUAUUUUUGCAUGUUGGGAUGCUUAAUGAAAAAAAAGCAGAGUGUACACUGGCAGGCAGGAAUUCUAUAGAAGACUCGCUACUAUAUUUUCCACAAGAUGUUGGCAUUGGCACUUAUUCUUAGAGACCGAAUAUUACGCAUCUAGGAGAUGAUAUUUAAAUUCAAGGUGAAAUAUAUGAUCUGAAGUCUUAUAAAAUGAAGAAACAACCAAGACCUUAUCUUAACAUUAAACUCCCAAGUGAAAAUAAUGUAAUUCUGUAGAAACGUUAGCUCAGAUAUCUCAUCAGUAACCUCUACUAGGCUACUAAUUUAAACAAAACCAAUCAGAAUAUUUCCAAAGUCAAGAAAACAUUACACUCAUUUGUUUCCCUCCUCCAGAUCGGAAUUCUGGAUCAAAGUUAAAAUCAUAGACUUCAGGAAAAUGGAAGGAAUCAGUGGCUAACGGGUCAACCCCCAUAUUUUAAUGUUUGUUCCCCUACUCCAAAGGCUAUCAGUGUAGUAAGAUUUUUUAAGCUUGAUUUUGUAAGUAAUUUCAACCAUUGGUAACACUGAAAAAAAAAAGUCCAGGAGAGGAGUCCAAAUACUAAUUGGUCUCUGGGUUGUAUAAUCUUAAGCCAUUGCCCCUCUUUCAAGAUACUCUCCUUGGACUCUUUAAUGUUUUUGACAGUUAAAAUGUGACAUAAUGUUCAGCACACACAUUUCCUGGAAAGAAAAUUGCAAUAUGUAUCAAUGACCUUUAUAUGUUAGGCCCUUUGAUCUAGUAGUGAUUACAGUUUCUUACUAUUGCUCCCAAGGAUAUUUUAAUUCCUUAAUUAAUCAGUUUAUUCAAUCCAAAUUUAUUGAGACCCACUAUUUUCCAGGCACUUUUUUAGGUCUUGGGGAUAUAGUAUUAAUAAUACAAAAUCUCUGUCAUCAUGUGGUUUACUUUUUAAUGGUAAUGUGACAAACAAAUCAAUGAUUGAAUAUAAGCAAUAAGAUAAUUAAUAUCAGGUAACAUUAAAUUCAGUGGUGGAAACAAGAGCUGGAUAAGGAAAUGGCCAGUGACGGAGUAGGGUGGAGGUGCAUGUUCACAAAUGGUGGCGAAGGCCUCCUUUAGGAAGGGGCAUGAGCAGUGAAACAGUGAAAUGAAGCAAGGAGACAAGUCCUAUUGAGUAUCGCUAGGUGACUCUUCAGGCAGGGGCAAUAGGAAGUACAGAGGUUGUAAAAGAAAAGGAGCAAGACUUAUUUAAGGAGUAGCAGGAAGUCCAGUGUGACCGGAGCAGGAAAUGAGAUUAAAAAGAGAGGAGUCAAGUCUUGUAGGGCCUCUGGGCCAAGGUGAGAACUGUAGGCAUUGUUCUGAGUGGUUGAAGAGCCUCUGAGGAGUUCGGAGGAGAAGGACACACACGAUAGAAUUUAUGUUUUAGAAAGAGCACAGCGCCCACUGUGCACAGAGAGCCAGUGAAGAAAGCAUGUAGUUGUUCAGGCCAGAGAAGAGGGUGGCUUGGGCCGGUGCAGGGGGCAGAGGUGGUGAGGAACCCAUGGGGAGUAUGGGUUAGCAUUCUGAGUGCGGAACCCGUUGUGAUUGAGGUCCCCGAGGCAGAGUCCCAGGGUUCAAGUCCCAUCUUGACCUCCUAGGGACAGUGUGAUUCUGGACAAAUUCUGUACCCUCUCUGAGUCUCAUUUAUCUCAUCUGGAAAGUGGAAACAAUGAUAAUUCCUUCAAAGGCCAUUAUGAUGUCUAGUGAGAUAAUUCACAGAACACACUGAAAACUGUGUUUGGCACUUCUAAGUAUAAAUAUCUGUAAAUCAUUAUCUUUAUUAACCCGUUACAGUAUAGUCACGAAAAUAAAUAAUCUAAGAUUUCCUAAAAAACCAGUUUCUGCCCAUAAGAGAGUCAUUUGCUAUAAGAAAUAUUAUUAUAAGCUGUAUUUAGAAUACUUUUGGUCAUAUAAUAUUUUUGGAGAUAUUUUUGCCAAGAACGUAUCCAUUUCCUUUGCUUCUGUUUAGAGUUGAUUUCUAACCUAAUUUUUGGUUAUACUUAUAUUUAUGUUUAUACUUAUAUUUACAUUUACAACCCUAACUCAAUUCCUGGUCUUUAUUCCAAGGAGAUAAACGUAUCCUUCGGUUUGGGACUGGUGUGUGGUGACUGAGCAGAAGGAAUCAGGCUGCAGAAUCCGGGCUCUAAGUAAGUCACUUAGCUUUGUUGAAAUUCAGAUUUUACACCUGCAAAAUAUAUUACAGUGUUCAGGCGAAAGGAACGGGUAGACAUGCACAUCAUACAAAGCAUUUUACAGAUGUUGGGUUUUAUUAGUUUGUGUUGGUUCUCCUGUCAUCAUAUUUUUGUGAACAAAAUGUCUGACGGAACUUUCUGUGGGAAUACGUUGAAGAAACAUCACACUGCCGUUCCUGUGGGUGGAGGGUGACACCCAUUCUCCUCACCACUUUCUGCGGUCCCUCACCAUCACUGUAGCUGCCCCAAUCUUGGGCAAGAAAAAGAUCAUAAACUCACUUAACAGCCAGCAUAUGUCUGGCGAGUGCCUCUCAGCUUGGUGAAAAUACAUGUUGGUGUCAGUAGUUUGGGUCUUGAUGAUAAGAGAACAUUUGAAAUGUCUUCAUUUCCUCUGCAUAAAGCAAUCUGUUAAUUUCUUUCAAAUAGUGUGUGAAGUGCUUAUGCCCCCAGAUUAGCAUUUCCAGGUUUUCAUCCCACAAGCUUGUAUUGAUCACGCAUACCCAUUUGGAUGCAAGCAGUCCUAGGGAGGAGAGGAUUUCGAAGGUCAUGGGAUGGAGCAGGAAACACAGUCUCCUCCCCAAGCUUGGCUCUAACUCACCAGGAACCAGUCCUUUUUCCUUCCAGAGCUGGGCUUGUGAAAUCUUCUUUGAUUUCUUCAUUUCGCUGUCUUUUUUUCCCCCGGCCACCAUAUGGGCCGGUCUACCAGAGGACAGAAAUAAAGAAAAGCAAAAGGUAGCAAUUAAAUUAAGAAAUGGGUGUAUUGAGACAGCCGUGCAAUAAUAAGGGGUCAUAAUCUAAAACUUACCUAUAAAACUUUGUUUCAUCCCUUGUUUUACAAAGAAGGAGUGUAAAUUGUCUGAGACUCCAGCUUCAAGACAGUUUCUGAAGUGUCCGCAAAGCUCCGGCAGCAUGCCCUUUGUGCCCUUUGCCCUGUCCCAUCAGGCUGGGAGGAUUUGGAAAAGCAACGUCAGGUCUCCCAUGUUUUGCCUGAGUCACGUGACUGUUGCCGGUGAUUCCCAUACUUUCUUGCUCUGCAGAGCAACCUUCCCAGAAACGUGUAUUAAGCGCUGAGAUUUAAGACCAGCCUCACUUUUCUAAAACUGGAUUAUAAUUGUCAUAAAAGUUCUGGAAUUAUAGAAAAACUAUACACACACGCACACGUACACACAUACACACACACACACAAGUAAUAUCCACCAUGAUAAUAUUUGGAAUGGAUAAUGAUGCAUUCCUAGAAAAAACCCGUCUACUUUGCUGGGUUGUAAUCAAACUAAGGGCUGGGCGAGUUCGUUAUUUGUGCCUUUCAUCUAGCUGAGGAAUGUGCUUAGUAAAUGUCGAAUGCCUGAAUAAAAAGACUUUGCUGGUUGAAAUGUUAUAAGCUGAUUCUGAUAUUUCCAUAAAAACAUAUCCUUGCCAGUUGAGCCAUCCAGGAGUAUAAUGGCAUACAUAAAAAUAUGGAGCAUAGACCUUUCUGUGGUGUGCGGAAUUCAAGCAGAGCCUGUGAUAGUGACCAAUCUUACACAAUUGUGUUGUUAUUAAUUAACAGGCUGAGCACGAGACAGAAAUAUAUAAAAGACUAAAAGGAAACAGCUUGGAAGAUAACCCUAAGUAAUCCAAAGAUGGGCUAAUUCACCAGAAACAUGUAGAAAUGGAAAUGUCACUCUUAAUAACAUCGCCUCAAAAUAUAUGAAGCAAAAGAUAGCAGAAUGUAAAGGCGAAAUAAACAAAUCUACAGUCAUUGUGGGAGAAUAAACACACCUCUUUUGUAACUGCUAGGGUUUGUACUUGAGGAUGGGUUUUGAAAGAUAAGGAUGGAUGCCUGACUCUGGGGUUGAAGGCUGUGGAUCUUGGGUGCCAGAGACAUCAAGUGUAAGAAUGAGUCUGCAAGGUAGUCUUUGUGCUCCGGGCUCAAAGGGCUGGAAGGAACAAUCUGUGGAAUCUACCAAAUACUUUACAUUCAAAUAACUAAAACUUAAAUACUCCUAUGUCCCAGAUUGUGUUCUCACCAAAGCUUUAGGAAGGACACGGAAAAAAAUUAUAUUUGCUGAAUUCUGUGGGGGAAAAUUUAUUACAUAAUAAGGUCUACAAAGAAUUGGCCUCUUACUAUGUGUGCCGGGCAUCCUUCUAAAUAUGAACUCAUGUAAUUCUUGCGCUAAUCCUAUGCCUAUAGGUUGCGUGAAGUGUCAUUGUAAUUGCCUAAUUUUAUAGAUGAGGAAACCCAGGCAAACGGAAGAUAACUUUGCCUGAUGUCACAAAUCGGUGGAAACAACAGUUGAACUGAGGCAGCCUGACAGCAGUAGACUGCUGGAUGCCAAUUAGAUAUUUCUUGGUUUGGUCUGAUUUCCGGCAAAAGAGUUUGGUGACACUGAUUUUAUCUACCUUUAAAAAUACGGUAGCUUACGUUAUUUAUAGUUACACAACAUAGAAUGUGACAUAAUUCUCACAUGUCUGGGAAAUGCCAUCACAUUAUUUGCAAACGUGACCAUCAAUGCAGCCUGUUGGCUAACUUGAAUUGACUGAGAAAACAUUCCAAGUUCAUGUUCACGACCCCAUCAAAUAGCAUGAGAUAAAAGCUGGUUUUAUAAUCUUUCCCUUUUUAUAGAAUAAAAGCUAGGUAAUGUUUUCAGAAUUCUGGACCAGAAUAUUAAUUCAAAGUGCUAAGGAUAUGGAUGUAUUCAUAAUUAAUCUAAGACUGAAGCAAACCCUAUAGAAAAAUCAUCUUCAGACAUAUUGGGUUUCAUCCUGAAAGAGAAAAAAAAAAAAGCGAAGUGUGAAAGCAACAAAUGCUUGGAAUUGCAGAGAUGGAAAUAGAGAACUGAUCCUUAAUCAGUUAAAAUGAUCACUAAUAAAUGAAAUCUAGAAAUAAAAUCCCACCUCUCAGCAUGAUCCCCAAUACCAGCUUCUUUUCAUAAUUAAAGACGGUAUUCUCGCUCAUGUUAACUCUUUCUUCCUCUUUGAGCCUCCUGUGUCUUUUUUAGCACCAUUUAGCUGCAACACAAAGGACUGAGACUUGAAAUCAGAGCAAGAAAGUUUUUACAAGGGAUGGAAAGAUACAGACUAACUCAUGCUGCUUUAUGAAUUAAUAGGGAUGUCUCAAAAACAUGAACAAAAGGAAUUAUUUAAAUGUCAUCCCAUUUAAGUGGUAAAUUCUCCAUGACAUGUUUUUCAGUUUAUUGGCAGGGAGUGAACUGAUGGACCUUGUUUUGCAUGUCCCCUCUCCCUUCUCCUACUUCCAUUUGCCUUCUAUGCUUCCAUAUGUUGGGACCAAUCUGUUGAUUUCACCAACACUCUCCCAUCCCCCUUUAAGACUUCAGUGAAUCAUAGACUCUUUGAUGUGAUCAGAAAUUAGGAACCUUACUGAAUAUACAUUGUCUUUUCAUAUAAAUGUCUCUCUGAUCCACUUCUUGGCCCUCUGGUUAUUGAAAGUGCGUUCAUUUAAAAAACAUAAUUGGCAGGAAUCGUUGUUUUUAUAACUAAAUAAGGGAAACUGCAUAAGCUUAAAAAAUGUUACAGGAUAGCAUUUUGGGAAAACAUACCAACGUGAAAUAUACUGUGACCAAGACUUGAUAAGAUACAUCCCAAUCUUAUAUUCAUUAUGUGGUUUUCAAUUCAGGAAAUAUUCAAUACUGAGAGAAAAUUCACAAUGGAAAGCUCUACAAUUUUUCCUUUGAAAUCCUCAUGCACUUUAAGAAGAUUGGAGAAAACACAUUUCAGCAGGCUUUGGCAGUCGCUCAAAUUUGUGUGCUCUAAGUUUAGAACCAAACUCAAUCUGCCCCCUGUUCAAGCUCUGUUCUGUGCUGGCAAAACACCACUUGCUUGUUCAGAGGGAGAAGGAAGGCUUUGUAAAACUCAGAAAACUUACUGGACAUUAAGUAGCUCCCCAACAAUUAUGUUAUCCUCAGCUUAAGUUGAAUUCAACACAUAUGAGUGACGUUUUCCUUACAACACCCGGCUAUAAAAUAUAUAGAAAAAUACUUAGCAGCACUUAUUGGGGGUUUAGCAAAACUCAGUAAUGCCUAAAAUUUUCCCAAGGUCACUUGGUUUUCCAAGAUGCUGUAUAUAAGAUUUUCCAGCUCUUAUUUCUGUUUUGUCAUCACAUCUCCUUUCAUAUUUUGAGGAAAUGUUUGUUUAGGUAUAAUAAUUUUUUUGCACCAUUUGAAACCCAAAUAUUGCAAUACUGUGUUAAGAUGCGAAAACUGAAAUGUGAAAAGAUGUACCAUAAUCUAUUUAUAUUUAAUUAUGUAGACUGAAUUAAGUAUGCAUAUAAAUAUUUUAAACAUAUAUACACACAUGCAUAUAUGCUUAUAAAAAAUUCAGCCUAAGUACUUCCUAUACAUUUUUAUUUUAAAUUGUUUUGCAUACCAACUCUCUGAAGUCUGAGAGCCAGAUCUAUGUAGUUCUAGGUAAAAGACACUGAAAAGAUUGAUAGCUUAAGAUUUACGGAUUUGGGACCAAGAAGCAAGUUAUUUUGCUUCUCUGAAAUCUUUAUGCAGGUAGGAGUUGGACUUGAUAAUAUUUAAAUGAGCUUCUUAUACUAAUUUUAUGUGACUCAGUGAUUCCAAUGAGAAGUUUGAAAAUGGCUUGAUUUUAUGAUGAACAAUGUACAUUUUAAUUGGAUUUGGUUCUUUAUUUGUUGCUGUAUCUAUUCUUAUCUCAAGUGAAUGCAAGCCAAGCUGAACAUUCCGUGUUCUCUCAAAACCCUUUCAGACUCUUCACUGUGUACUUUUAUCAAUCAUAAUGUGUAUCAGCCAAAUUUAAUUACAGAGAUCGCAGUGUGUGUUAGUAGGAUAUGUAGGAAUUUCAGCGGUGUCGUCCCAUACCCUGCUGAAUUCACCCUGCCCCCAUCGCAGCAUUUUAUAGUAUACUAGUUAUGAACUAGUUAUAUGUAUUAUAUUAGUAUAAUCUCUGAAGUUAGACUUUUUUGGCUUAAAAUCCUGGUUCUCCACUCUAUGACUACUUGACUUUGGGUGAGUUGUUUUAUCUUUCUGUUCCUUAAUUUUUUUUUAAGUUAAUGUUUGUUUAUUUUUGAUAAAGGGAGAGGGCCAGCAAGGGAGGGCAGAGAGAGAGAGGGAGACACAGAAUCCGAAGCAGGCUCCAGAGCCUGACGUGGGGCUUGAACUCACAAAUCAUGAGAUCUUGACCUGAGCCAAAGUCAGAUGCUUACUUCACCGACUGAGCCACGCAGGAGCCCCUGUUCCUUAAUUUUUUUUGUCUGUAAAGAGAAGAGAACCUACUUCAUCGACUAGUUCUAAGGAGUUUAUAGUUUCGUUCUCAAAGUACUUAGAGUAGUUCCCGGCACAGAGGAAGUUUUCAACAAGUGUUAGUUAUUUCUUUGCUUCUUAUAUGUCUACCACAUUAGAACAGAAGUCCUAUAAGAGCAGGACACUCAUCAAUCUUGUUCAUCAUGGUCAUGGUUACUUUGCCUUCUCUUCCUCUUCCUCCUCCUCCUUUGCUUUAAUUGAAGUAGAAAGCACAUAACAUUAACCCAUCUGAAAGUGUACAAUUCACCGACAUUUAGUGUAUUCACAGUGGUGUGCAAUCAUCGCUUCUGUCUAGUUGCUUAAAUGUCCUUAAUCAUGUGGAGGAAAUUGUCUUCUGUUUCUAGUUUGCUGAGUGUUUUUGUCAUGAAAGGAUGUUGGAGUUUUCAAAUACUUUUUCUGUAACAAUUGAAAUUCGCAUGUGGGAUUUUCUUUAGUCAAUGUAAUAUAUUACAUUGAUUGAUUUCCAUGUGUUCACUCUUGCAGUCCAGGGAUAAAUUCUACUGGGUCAUGGAAUAUAAUCUCAAUAUACUACUAUUAUGCUAAUAUAAUAUACAACUGUACUACUAAUAUAUUAUUUGGUUUGCUGGCAUUUUGUUGAGGAAUUUUGUGUAUGUAUUCAUAAAGGAUAUUGAUCUACAGUUUUCCUUUGCUAUAACGUCUUUAUCUGGCUUUGGUAAUGCUGGCCUUAUAGAAUGAGCUUGGAAGUGUUUCCUCCUUUUCUUUUUACUUGGAAGAGUUUGAGCAGGGUGUAAUAAUUCUUCAAGUGUUUGGUGGAAUUCACCAGUGAAGCCAUCUGAUCCUGGCCUUUUCUUUGUUGGGAGGUCUUUUUGAUUACUGAUUCAAUCUCUUUGUUUGUUAAAGAUCUAUUCAGAUUUUCUGUUUCUUAUUAAGUCGGUGUUGGUAGUUUGUGUAUUUCUGGGAACUUAUUCAUUUCACCUAGUUCAUCUAAUUUGUUGGUUUGUGAUUAUUCAAAAUAUUCUCUUAUAAUUCUUUUUCCUAUAAAGUUAGUUGCAGUGUUCCCACUUUUAUUUUUUAUUUUAGUAAUUUUUUUGGGGGGGGGGUGUCAGUUACCUAAAGAUUUAUCAAUUUUGCUGAUCUUUUCAAAGAACCUAUUUUUGGUUUGGUUUUGUCGCUUUUUUUCCCUUGAACUUUCUUUCAUUUAAUCCACUCUAAUUUUUAUUAUUCCCUUCCUUAUCCUAGCUUUGACUUUAGCCUGCUGUUGUUCCCGUUUCUUAAGACAUAAAGUUAGGUUAUUGAUUUGGGAUCUCUUUUCUUUUUAAUAUGAACAUUUAAAGCUAUAAAUUUUCCAUGAACACUUUUUCACUGAAUCCUAUAGAUUUUGGUAUGUUGUAUUUUCAUUUUCAUUCAUCCCAAAAUAUUUUCUAAUUUCACUUGUAGUUUCUUCUUUGACCAUUGGUUCGUUGUUUAUGAGUGUGCUGUUUAGUUUCCACAUAUUUGUAAAAUUUCCAGUUUUUCUUCUGCUACUAAUUUCAACUGUCAUUCUGUCGUGGUUGAAGAAUGUGCUUUAUAUGAUUUCAGUCCUUUAACACUUACUGAAGGGCGCCUGGGUGGCUCAUUUGGUUAAACUUCCAACUCGUGAUGUCGGCUCAGGUCAUGAUCUCAUCAUGAUCUCACGGUCAUGAGAUUGAGCCCUGUGUUAGGCUCUGUGCUGGGCAUGGAGCCUGCUUAGGAUUCUGUCUUUCCUUCUCCCCCACUCACACUCCCUCUAUCUCAAAAAAAAAAAAAGAUUAAAAAAAUUUAUUGAGACUUGCUUUGUGGCCCAACAUAUGGUCCGUGCUGAGGAAUGUUCCAUGUGCUCUUGAGAAAAACGUGUAUUCUGCUGCUGUAAGGCGGAGUGCCUUCUCUCUUUAAGUCUGCUGGGUCUGGUUGACUUACAACAUUGUACAGCUCUUUAUUUCCUUAUUGAUCUUCUGACUGCUUCUCUCCAUGUUGCAAAUGGGGAUACGGAAGUCUCUAGCCGUUAUCGUAGAACUAUUUCUCCCUUUCAGUCUUUCAUUUUUUUCAUAUUAUUUUGGGAUCUGUUCUUAUGUUCAAAUAUAUUUAUAAUUAUUGUAUCUUGACGGACUCAUCUUUUCAUUGAUGUGUAAUGUCACUUUUGUCUCUUGUGACACUUUUUGUUCAAAAGGCUGUUUGUCUCAUAUUAGUACGAACACCCCAGCUCUCUUUUGAGACUGUGUUUCCUUGCAUUUUCUUUUUCUACUCUUUCACUUUUAACCUGUUUGUGUCUUUGGCCCUAAAGUGAGUCUGUUAUAAGCAGUAUAUAGUUGGGUCAUUUUUUAUAAAUCCAUUCUUCCAAUCUCUGCUUUUAAUUGAGGACUAUAAUCCAUGUACAGUCAAAGCAAUUAGUGAUAAGAAAACUUCUGCCAUCUUGCUACUCCUUUUCUAUAAGUCUUAAAACUUUUUUGUUCCUCAAUUCCUCUAUUACUCCCUUCUUUUGUGAGUAAUUUUUAUGUUAUUUGCUCCUGUCACGUUUUUCUAAGUGAAGUAUAGUUAGCACACAGCGUUAAAUUAGUUCAGAUGCACAACAUAAUGAUUCAACAAUUGUAUACAUUACUCAGUGCCCACCACAAUAGGUGUGGCCACCGUCGGUCACCAAAUAAUGUUACUGCAGUCUUAUUGAACGUAUUCUCUGCUGUACUUUUCAUCUCUCUGCUUAAUUUUUUUGAGUGUAUCAUUUUGAUCACUUUCUCAUUUCUUUUCUUUUUUGGUACAUCUUUUAGUUUUUUCUUAGUGGAUACACCGGAGAUUACAAUUACAAUUAACAUAACUUUAUAACAAUCAACUUUGAAUUAAUGCCAACUUGGUUUUAAUAGUGUAAAAAAGCUGCCUCGUUACAACUCCACCCUUUAAUUUUGUUAAUGGUAGCAAACGACAUCUUUAUACAUAGUAUGCAUAUUAACACAGAUUUAGAACUUUUGUUUUCUGCAUUUGUGUCUUAAAUCGUAUAGAACAAAAGAGAGGAGUUAAUAUACCCAAAAUACAAUACCCCUGAUUUUGUAUUUACUUGUGUGGUUACUUUUACUGUUACCUUUAUAGCUUCACAUAACUUUGAGUUAUCUUCUAGCAUUCUGUCAUUUCAGCCUAGAAGACACUACUUCACAUUUCUAGUAGGGCAGAUCUACUAGCAAUGAAUUCAUUUAGUUUUUGGUUACCGCCUUUAGUUUUUAUUGACUAGUGCAUUACCGUCUCCUUCAUUUUUGAAGGGUAGUUUUGCUAGACACAGAAUCUUUCCUGGGCAGUUUUUUGCUUUGAACCCUUUCGAUGUGUCAUUCCACUGACUUCUGGUCUCCAGGGUUUCUGAAGCAAAAUUGGUUGUUAAUAUUAUUUGUGUCCCUUGUGUAUGACAAGUCACUUCUCUUUUGAUGCUUUCAAAAUUCUCUUUGUCUUUUGCUAAUUUGACUAUAAUGUAUCUUGGUGUUGAUCUCUUAGAAUUUAUUCUGCUUGGAGUUUGUUGUGCUUUUUUGGAGGUGUAGAUUCUUAUCUUUCAUCAAAUGGAAGGAUUUAGCCAUUUUUUCUUCACUCUUCUGCAUAUGUUAUGCAUACGUUAGUCUACUUAAUGGUGUCCCAUGUAUCUCUUGGGCUCUCUUCAUUUCCUGCCAUCCUUUUCUCUUCCUGAUCCUCAGAUUGAAUAAUCUCAGUUGUUGUAUAUUCAAGUUCACUGAUUCUUUCUUCCCUCUGAUUAAAUGUGCUGUUGAACCCUUGUAGUGAAUUUUGCAUUUCACUUAUUAUAUUUUUCAACUCCAGAAAAUUUCUAUUUGGUGUCUUUGAUGAUUUCUAUCUCUUUAUUGAUGGUUUCUAUUUGGCAAGACUUACUAUCUUCAUUUCUUUUGGUUCUUUGUUUAGGUUUCCUUCGGUCCUUUGAACAUAUUUAACUUUUAAAACCAUAGUCCCAAGAAAGAAAACUCACGACCAGAUAUUUUCACUGGUAAAUACUACCAAACAUUUACAGAAGAAUUAACCCCAAUACUCUUUAAACUCUUCAAAAAAUUGAACAAGAGGAAACAUUUCCAAAUUAAUUUUGAGGCCAGCUUUAUGCUGAUACCAAAUCCAGACAAAGACACCACAAAGAAAGAAGAUUACAGGCCAAUCUCCAUGAUUAACAUUGAUGCAAAAAUCCUUAAUAAAAUACUAGCAAACUAAAUUUAACAGCACAUUAAAGGAUCAUACAAUGUGACCAAGUAGAAUUUAUUCUCUUUGAUGCAAGGGUGUUUUAACAUACACAAAGUAAUUCAUGUAAUAGGCCACAUUAACAUAUCAAAAGACAAAAAUCAUAUGAUCAUCUCAAUAGAUGCAGAAAAACAUUGGACAAAGUUCAACACUGAUUCAUAAUAAAACUCUCAACAAAGUGGGGUUAGAGGGAACAUACCUCAACAUCAAUAAUGGCCCUAUAUGACAAACCCACAUCUAACAUACUCAAUGGUGAAAAACUGAGAGCUUUUCCUUUAAGAUCAGAAACAAGACAAGGGUGUCCACUCUCACCACUUUUAUUCAAUGUAGUACUGGAAGUCUUAGCCACAGCAAUCAAAUAAGAAAAAUAAGCAAAAAGCAUCCACAUUGGUAAGGAAGAAGUUAAACUUUGUGAUAGUUUGUGAUAACAUGAUACUACAUAGAAAACCUUGGGGCAUCUGGUUGACUCAGUUGGUUAAGUGCCUGACUCUCGGUUUCAUUUCAGGUGAUGAUUUCACAGCUUCAUGAGUUAGAGCCCUGCCUUGGGCUCUGUGCUAGCAGUGCGGAACCUGCUUGGGAUUCUCUCUCUCCCUCCCCAACUGCUCACUGCUCCCAGUGUCUCUGACUCUCUCUCUCUCAAAAAAGAACAAAAAACAAAAAACAAAAAACAAAAAAAACACUUAAAAAAAAGAAAACCUUAAAGACUCCACCAAAAAGCUAUUAGAAGUAAUAGAUUAAUUCAGUGAAGUUUCAUGAUACAAAAUUAAUAUACAGAACUCUGUAGCAUUCCUAUACACCAAAAACAAAGUAGCAGAAAGAAAUAUUGAGGAAAUAAUUCAACUUACAAUUGAACCAUAAAGAAUGAAAUACCUAAGAAUAAACUUAACCAAGGAGGUGAAAGACCUAUACUCUAAAACCUAUAAAACAUCAAUGAAUGAAACUGAAGAUGACACAAAUUGAAAGAUAUACCAUGUUCAUGGAUUGGAAGAAUUAAUAUUGUUAAAAUGUUCAUAAUACCCAAAGCAAUCUCAGAUUCAGUAAUUUCCCUGUCAAAAUAUGAAUAGUGUUUUUCAUAGAACUAGAUUUCACAGAAAAGUUUAAGUGUCACAGAUCUCACUGCAAAUCAGUAGCUUCUUUAAUCACCAAGCUUUCCUCUGAUAUGUUGUAUGUUUCGGGCUGGAUUUAGAGUUCUGUAAAAGUUGAUUCUGGAAUUUUUUUUCUCCCAGCUCAUUGAUUGUCUUUAGGAGGGAUGGAACUCUGGAGUUCCCUAGGCUGCCAUUUUAAGUCUAGCUUUUUAUCUUCUUCUUCUUUUAAUGAUAUUUACUGUCAUCAUUCACAAAUGUGGGUAUCCUAGCACACAGAUCCUCUUUCUGUUUGUAUUCUUGCAAACUACUCCUCUUUUGUAAUCCUGGGGAGGAGGUCCACACAGGCCCCAGAGGCAGGUUCAAGGCCAUUAGGUAGGCAAUUCCAUAUGUCUAGUUACCAGAGCAUGGUCUAGAGGGGAGGGUUCUGGCUCCAAGUGGGAACAUCAUUUUGGCCUGUAGAUUCUUGCUAAGGAGGAGGUAUGUGGGUGUGUACAGGCAGAGAAGAAACUAGAUCUUUCCUAAAUCUAAGAGUAGGCUGGGAUGUCCAUACUUCUGUAUGCAAGACCCCUAACCAUGUGGGAAGGGAAGGGAUGGGCCCAGUAGUUCUGUAUUCUUGACAUCCUUGUAGAGUCUUGAGGAGUCUGAAAAUUCUCCAUUUGAACAUGGCCUUCUAGGCAUGUAGGAAAGUAUCAUUCUUUUUUUUUUUUUUAGUGUCUAUUUAUUUUUGAGAGAGAGUGAGAGAGCUCAAGCAGGGGAGAGGCAGAGAGAGCGGAGACAGAGGAUCCAAAAUGGGCCCUGUGCUGACAGCAGUGAUCUCAAUGCAGGGCUUGAACUCACAAACCACAAAAUCGAGACCUGAGCCAAAGUCAGAUGCUCAACCGAGUGAGCCACCCAGGUGCCCCAGGAAAGUGUAGUUCUUAAUGCAGGAGAGUGGAACAUAUUUUAAUUAACAGUCUUUGAAUUUGAUUCAUAACUUUCAAAUAUUUAGAUAUGUGAGGAUCCUGUGUUUGUGGUCUUGCACCAAGCAUUGCCAAGUUAUAAGUGGGCUGUGUAGAGAUGUUUGUCUUGGACCCUCUGAAGUUUGACACUGUUGAUCUCUCUCUCUCUCUACCUUGCUGUACUUCUUCAUGGUGCAUCAGGGACAUCAUACUCUUGAGUUUCCUCCUAUGUCACUGGUAGCUUUUCUCACUUUCCUUUCUCACCAAGUAACAUUGGAGGGCUCCAGGGCUCAGUCAUUUGUCUUUGUCUCUUUUCUAUCUACACUAAAAAUUUUUUUUAAUUCUUAUUUAUUAUUUUUGAGAGAUAGAGAGAGCACAGGGGAGGGGCAGAGAGGGAGGAAGACACAGAAUCUGAAGCAGGCUCCAGGCUCUGAGUGGUCAGCAUAGAGCUUUACAUGGGACUCAAACCCACGAACCGUGAGAUCAUGACCUGAGCUGAAGUUGGACACCCAACCGGCUGAGCCACCCACGUGCCCCUCUAUCUACAUGUCUAUUGUUAGAUCCCCAGAUCAGACUUCUCUUCUGAACUCAAACACAGUAUAUCCACUUGCUUCCUCAAGGUUUUCACUUGGUUGUCUAAUAGACAUCUCAACUUUGUCUAAUGGAUAAGACACCUGUUCAACCUCAAUUAAGGACAGUCUAUUCUUCCGGUUAUUCAGGCUUAAAAUAUUCUUUUUUUUUUUUUUUAAAGUUUAUGUAUUCAUUUUGAGACAGACAGAGACAGUGUGAGCAGCGGAAGGGCAGAGAGAGAGGGAGAGAGAGAAUCCUAAGCAGGAUCCUCACUGUCAGUGCAGAGACUGAUGUGGGGCUUGAUCCCACAAACCAUGAGAUCAUGACCUGAGCCAAAAUCAAGAGCUGGACACUUAACUGACUGAGCCACCCAGGCACCCCUUAAAAUAUUUUCUUGACUCUUCUUCCUGUCUCUCAUACCACACCCAGUCAUUCAGGAAAUUAUCUUGGCCUUGACCUCAAAAUCCUGUAUUUUGGAUCUUACCACUUCUCACAACCUCACUAGCAUUACCCCGGUCCAGGUUACCAUCACAACUUUUCAGAUUGCUGCUAGAGCCUUCUGACUAGACAUCCAGGUCCUACCCUCAUCCACUACAGCUGUAGUGAUUCUGGUAAAGCUAAGUCAGAUUGUGUCACUCCUCUUCUCAAAAUAUCCAAUGACUCCCCAUUUCAUUUAGAGUAAAAGUGAAGGCCCUUUCAGUAGUUCAUAGGUGAGCAUAUCACCCAGUUCUGGCCAGUGAGAACCAAGUAUAGGAAACUUAUUCAAACUUAAAGAAGGUGGGUUCUCUCUUUUGUGCUGGAUUUGAGGCUAGAGGAUAAAAGCCUGGAUUUGGAGGAAGGUAUUUGCCAGGUGGGGUUGAUCUGCCUGGGAUGGAAAUGCAGAGAAAAAUGGCUGAGAGACCGGAGAUACUUCCUGGACUGUGCAGCUUCAUUACUGGCCAAUAAGUAACACUGCUUGGCUUAAAGCAGAUGCGUAAGGAGUUGUGUUUUCUAUCUUCUGAGACCAAGACUCUUGACUAAAACGGGGUUGAAGGAAGAGGCAGAAAUUGACGUUCACCGAGCAUUCUCUUUUGGUUGGACAUUAUGCUCGGUGAGUUACACUAAUUAUCUUAUGAUAUUCAAUCAUUCCUUCUCUUAUUUGUUUACAGUUUUAGUCCAUUUCCCUUACCUAUAAUUAUCUUUCCAUUCUUCUCUGGGAAAUGCUUUAAAACACCUGAUCAAAACUCUUAUUUCCAUCAAAAUACAUUUACUUUGAAUCCCAUUAAUAUUCAUGUAAGUAGUUCAUUUCUCCAUGUUAAUUCCUAGUUGCUCAUACAUUUUUUUGUGUGCAUUUGUGAGAGUGUGUUUCUAUUUAGACUGGAGACUUUCUGGUACCAAAGACAAUACCUUGUAUUUCUUCUUUAUCCCAUCUCAUCAUCUAGUACCGUUAUUUAUUUUUCCCAAUGGACUUCUCACAUGUUAUUUGUUAAAAAUAUUAUUUGCAACAGGAUACUACAGGUUUUAUGGGCGCUUUAAAAUAAUUUAUUUACAAUAAAGCUUCUAAGAAAGAUUAUGUUUAUUUUACACUUCUAGAAAUGUAGACAAAGACAUGUAAAGUGCUGAGAAUAAUGCUAGGUAUAUGAUUAAAUACUCAAUAAAUAUUGUUGUUGUUGUUGUCGUCUAAGAACUCUCCCACAUUGGCAUUUUCUAUUUGUCUUACAGCACAUAAUUCUAUCUUAUGAUAUGCCCAUGUAUGAGUACAUCUUACUCCAUAUAGUAUACAACAGACCUGUUGAGGCUGGGCCACUUGUCCUGUGAGUGUUAAGGGAGCACAGUGUGGAAGAGUGGAAAACACGUGAGCUUAUUUUAUUUUUAAAUUUUUUUUCAAGAUUUAAUUUAAAUUCUGAGUUAACAUACAAUGUAAUAUUCGUUCCAGGUGUACAAUUUACUGAUUCAUCUCUUAUAUACAACACCUGGUGCUCAUCACUAGAAGUGCCCUCCUUAAUCUCCAUCACCUAUUUCACUCAUCCCCCUACCCGUGUCCCCUCUGGUAACCAUCAGUUUGUUCUCUAUAGUUAAGAGUCUGUUUCCAGGUUUGCCUCUUUUUUCCCACCUAUGUUCAUCUGCUUUGUUUCUUAAAUUUCCCUGGAACAUGGGCACUAUGUUUUCAUAUUCAACAUGUUUUAUUCCCAUUGCCUGGCAGACAGUAGUUGCUCUCGAAAGUCUUGCUGAUCCAAACCUCUUAAGCAUCUUAUGUCUAUCUUCACGUGGAAAAUCGUUAUAGACUUGUCUGAAAGAGUUCAUUAAGCUGCUGCUGUUACUUUCACUUAAAAUAAAUUCAUAUAUAUGAAUAUAUAGAAAGAGGAUGCACACAUAGAUUCUGGGAAGCAUGAGCAUUGUGUAUCUUUAAAACCCUGAACAUUCUGUGGGAUUCAUGACUAUGUUUUUGCUUGUUUAAUGAAAAAGUAGACCCACUGGAAGACGCCGAUGUAUCUGUACUCACUCUGUUGCUUGAGUAUUGAGAAAACCUUACAUCAAGCAACAUGUGGGUGAAUCAAGUGCUUCCAGAAACCAGAGUCUCAUGGCCUUGCUGGAGCCAGGUGCAGCUCAGGCUGACUUUGUCUCCAUUGUCUCUCCAUCACAUCCCUCUCCUCAAGAGUCACUUUUAGCAGACAUCGUGAACUGUGCCAAAGCAUAUGGGUGUACCAAGAGGUGGGGGGCAGGUGCUCUGUUUGGCAUCUGAACCUGCCAAAUAGACUACACUUUGCAUUUCUGGCUCUUUCAUGCAUCCAGUUUCCAACUCUAAGAGCUCCGCAGGUUUAGGUUUUCAUCAAAGCCACAGGUACAUUGUUUUUCUGAAUUUCCAUCACUGCUACUUGAAUACAUUUUUUUCUGAUUCCUAUAAAAUUGAUUCCAGUGUUUAACAUCUAUUCAGACCAGCGAUUGAAGUAGCCUCCUCAGACUCUGUGACUGUGUGACAUAAAAAUUAUUUGUUUUCUGUACAGCCUUUAGAUUCUAGGUUUCUAAUUGAUUAUUCUUUGUUGUGAACCACCCCAAGAGUCAAGCCAUUUUGCCUCGAAAUGAAUCAACCUAGAUUAAUGGAGUUCUAAUUUGAAGAUAAAAGAAGUUGGCCUCCAAAAUCUUCACUCACUUCCAUACACACAAAUAAUAUGACAAAUAUGUGAAGAGCACAUUUGACUUUUUAAAAGCUUUUUCUCUCUCCCACUUGAGGUAGUAUAAGUAGCAUUAGUUCCACUUGACAAGGCAAUCCAGGCACGUGUUUGCUUUCAGAAUUAUACAGAAGAUAUGUAAAAAACAAUGUCAAAGAUGGCAAUUAGAAAAGAUGUCCUUAUGUUACGAGGGUGCUGGUAUAUCUUAGUCUCACUGAUUCAGUAUGUAUUUAUUGUCCUCCACUGAGGUAAAACACACAUGCAGUUAGGCCUUUGUCUUCAAAGAAUCUGUCAACGAUAAUGUGGUAGCAAGGCAUAAGUGGAAAAAAUUACUAAUAGGUCUGAAAAGUAAGUCAAAGCCCUCUAGAGAUUUAGCAGAGGUAACACUUUUCAUCGAUUGUGGGAGCCUUCCUGGAGGAAAGAUCACUUGAAAAGAGAGUUUAUUGUUUUCCCAUUUCAUCAGGUGUUGACAUACUUCAGAGUCACACUGAGUUGUCCUGAAAUAAUCCAUUUUGUGCCACGUUUGCUCUUCUACCAAAUGGUGCCUCAGAGAAUGGAUAUAUUUUGAUAUUCAUUUAUUAAACAGACACUUCUCAAGCAUCUACUUGGAGAUGCCAAGACAGACAUAUUUCCUGUCAUGGCUCUGAAGACCCUUAUAUUUCUUGGGGCCAGCAGUCAAAAAGCAAAUAAAUAUGAAAAUAACAAGUAAAGAUGGAGUAAGUGCUGUGAUGAAAGUUCAAGAGAGAAUUGUCCAAAGGCCCUGUGUCUUUGCCCUCCCCACCUCAUCUGGCAACACGCAGGAUUGGCUGUAGUCUAUCUCAGAAGUUUGAAAUGAGUUUUCAAGACUUAGACAAUGAGUACAUUUGAUUUGGUAUGGUCAUGUUUGCCAAGCAAAGGGUUGCUGUCCUUCAUUUCACGUUAAAAUAGUGAUGGUAAAAAGUGCCUUCUGAUAUUUCCAUAGUGCCUAAUUCUCUAGCUGCGUGGGUCUCCACUCUAUGGAUCUGACCCUGUGUAUUUAUACCCAGCAUAUCAUAGUUUGUCUCAAGGUCAAACACAUCACAGAAGUUUAUUUGCCCUGGGUGUUUAGAAAACUCUUUCUGGGGCAGUGAUCGACUGUGUUCCUUUUUCCCUAGUGGACUAUAAUGAUUGGAACAUUGAAUAAGAGCUUCUAACAGAAUAAGGUGUUUUUAUGUUUUGUUUGGUUUUUUUUUUUUUUUUUUUUUUUACUAAUUCAUUAGGUAAGAACCUCAAUGGAUAUUUUAAAAGACAAACUUCUGCUUUUCUGUCUUUAGAGAACUGGGUGGACGUUGUCCCUCCAAAUUCAUUGUCCACGCUGCUCCCCUUGAACCCCACCCUGUCUUCCCUGCUCCUUCUUCAGAUUUCAGGUCGGGUUCUGUGGAUGAGAGCCUGGAGAAUGGGAAGGGGGUGACGUUGGUGUCUUUGACCCCUGAAUGCCUCUGGCAAGAGCUGCCAUGGAAAGUGUGUACCUCUUCCAGAAAUCACAGCUCCUCUUAGGAAACCUCCCCAGGGAGCUGCCCUCUUCCCCCACUCCUUCAUGCUCUAUUUUACUCACCCCUUACCAUUUCCCCUACCCCGCUCACACCUUCACAGUCUCUUAACACUCUUCAAAUUAUCCAGUUUGAGUGUACCAUCUGUUUCCCACCAGGGCUUCUACCGAUACACAGGAAAACUAGAUUCGUGAGUUGAACUACUUAUUUGUGCUGGAAAUCAGAAAUUUAUUUUAUUUUGGCCUCUGCAAGUCAGUUUCUACUUAAUAUUCUUUCUUUCUUUUUGCCCCAGGAAACAGAGUUAAAUGACAAUUUCAUUUCAAUUAAAAAAACAUUAUAAUACAAGGUCAUGACCAGUUUGUAGUCUGCUUGUUGGGAUGGGCUCUCACUCUACGAAACAUACUUUUGAGUAAGUUACAGUGUUUAAAAAAUGGAGUGAUACACUCACAUAUUUUAUUGGUUAGCAAUCAAUUUAGCCGAGAGAAGAAAAGACCCAACAUAAUCCGAUCAAGAUAGAAAUGAACUUCUCAUCUUCAUAAAAUGUAGAACGCUGAUAGUCCAAGAUAAAAAUGACAGCUUCAUUCUUCAAAGCCCUUGGGGACACAAACUGUCCACCAUUUCUCCAGCCAGGAGGAAGAAUAAGAGGCAAAGAAGAAGGGAGAGUCAUGAUGCAUGUCAGUUGUUCUUAAUAAAGAUGCUCGGAAGCUGCCCAUGCCACUUCUGCUCUAGUGUCAUCCAGUGCCAAAGUCUCAUGGCUGCAGCUGCCGUUGAAGCUGAGGGACACAGUCUUCAUUCGGGGCGGCCGCUUAUCCAGCUCCUACUACCCAACUGGGGUUGCUGAAUGGUUUCUAUAAAGAGCAUGACAGAAAUUAGUUUAGGUCUCGUGGACUAUGUAUAGUGUCUGGUUCUCCUCCUCCUCCUUCUUUGUCUCCUUUUUAACUUCCCGUUUCCUCUGUUCCUUCUUUUUCCUUCUUCACCUCCUCCUCCUUCUUUCCCUUCUUCUUCCAACUCCUUAGAAAUAUAAAAACUCUUCUUAGCUCAUGGGCCACCCCAAAACAAGUUUCAGUCCAGAUUUCACUCGGAAAGUGAAGUUUGCCAUCCUCUGCCAUAGAAGAAGGGGAAACUGGGAAUACCUAGCGGUCUCUGCAUUUGUGGGCUGUUAGGAUAAGCUGCUGAAACAGGUGACUCCCAGAUUUCACCGGUUUAAUGCAAUGAGUUGAUUUCUCUGUCACAUCACAGUCCAACGUGGACUGGUAAAGAAUGUGUGUGAGGAGGGGCUUCUGUGCCCUGUGUGGUCACUCAUGGAGCCCGACUCCUCCCACUGAGUUGUAGGCACCCUCUGUGUUCAGCUGGUACAAGAGGAAACCGAGAGGAGAGAGAAGGUACAUGUACCCUGAACUGUUGACACAGAUCAUAUUCCCUGAACGGUUGAUACAUACCAUAUUCAUUGUCAAGACCUGUCCCCUGCAGCCCUUGCCCACCUGCACGUGUAAAGGGCCUGGAUUCAAGACCCAUUUCAGAAAAGAGUUUGGUGCUCCAAAAGAGGGGGGUAUGUUGUUUAAUGAUAUGGCUCCUUGGUUUCUUCAUCUAUACAAUGAGGAAUGUAUUACUACCCAUUUUAUACAUACCUAUAUUUUAUUUUAUUUUAUUUAUUUAUUUUUAACGUUUAUUUAUUUUUGAGACAGAGAGAGACAGAGCAUGAACGGGGGAGGGUCAGAGAGAGGGAGACACAGAAUCUGAAACAGGCUCCAGGCACGGGAUCUGUCAGCACAGAUCCCGACGCGGGGCUCGAACUCACGGACCGUGAGAUCAUGACCUGAGCCGAAGUCGGCCGCUUAACCGACUGAGCCACCCAGGUGCCCCAAACGUACCUAUAUUUUAAAGAUGUAAGUCCGUUCACAUAAAGAAUUUAGACCAGUACGUGGCCCACUGGCAGUGCCAUUUUAAGAAGGGAGUCUACACAGUGAGGAAUCUCACAGCCUCUGAAGCCAGACUAGGUGGAUUUGAACCCCGGCUCCUCCAUUUGUCCCGGAUCCCUCCCUAGAUCCCUCCAGGUGGGUCCUUUAGCAUCUCUGUCUUGAGCUCUUCAGUUUUCUUUUACAGUUGUUAUAGGAGUUAAAUACAUAAAUAUACAAAAGUACUUAGAACAGAGCUUGGAACAUAGGGAGUAGUCAUUAAGGGUUGACUACUAGUAUUGCUCUGUAUAUUUUUAUGAAAUUAAUUUUUAGACUAUGUAUUGACUCCCCAACAGGAAAGACAAGGAGUGGUCACUGUUCUUUCUCCUCUUCUCCCCUCUUUUCAUACCAAUGUUCAGUGAUGAUAUUUUUAGCUCUUCUUAUAGUUACCUUUGACAAUUCACCUAAUUCACUUGAGGUGCUCUUUCUGUUCCAUCACCUUUUGCCAUUUUCUGUUGACUCCCUUCUUUAUAAGGUGAGAAGCGGCCCUUCUACCUUCGCCUCCACUGUCCUGUCUUCCACGAUCCGUUUCCCAUCAGCAUACACUGUUAGGAUGGCUGAGAUUGUACGUGUGUACAUGCCAUCUGCAUGCACGAGUUUCCUUGCCUUGUUUAUGGACUUAUGAUAAAAGGUGAAAAGUAAUAAGCACUACUUAUGCCAUUAUAACCCCACAAAUAGUUUUAUUUUAGGCCAAGAGGCACUGUGCAGGCACUAUGCAUCUACCUGCCUGUGCCAAAUGCCCUGGUUCUCUAAGGAGAUUGUUUCCAGUAUCAAGGUCAAAUCACAUCUUUUCUUACAUACACUCCCCCUUUUUUCCCUUAAAACGAAACCACAGCUUAACCACAGUUGUUUAGUGGGACCGUGGGUCUUUUCUGUAUUUUUGGCCUUUUCAGAGUUUCUGUGUGCUUCCCCCCCACCCCCACUCCAGUCAUUCUGUUUAUUUUAUCUACUCUCUUUUCCUGGUAGAGAUGACUCUUCCUCCCACUGCUUUUUCCUACAAUAGCACCAUUCAUUCUAUUCAGCCAUACUGUCUCUGACCCCUUGAUCCCUUACCUAUCUAAAAAUGUCUUCAUUGAGCUUUCACUCUGGAAUAAAGUUUGGUUGGUGGUAAAAUUCCGAGGUACAAGACAUUUUUCCUCAAAGCUUUUAAAGUAUUGUCCUACUAACUUGGCAACAGUGUGGCCAAUGAGGAGUCCGACGCACUUGUAUUUGUCAUUACUUGGCAGUUGACUCCCCACCCUCACCCCCACCCUCCACGGGAGCUCUUAGUGCUCUGAAAUUUGACAAUCAUGAGUCUGGGGUUCAGCAUUUUUCAUCUAUUGAACUUUGGGCCUUUGUAGUCUGGAAAUUCAGCUCCCCCAUCACUAUGAGAAAUUCUUUUCUGUUAUUUUUUUGCCUUCACUUUCUUCGUUUGUUUUUCUAGGGCCCUUAGCUGAAUAUUGCAUCUAUUGAACCGGUCUCAUUAAUAUUUUCCAUCUUUUGUCUUUUUCCUUUAUGUAACUGAGAAUUUCCUUUUUCUUGACUUUAUGUUUUAGGCUUUCUCUUCAAAUUUUUAUUUCAGCAAUUCCAUGUUUAGCUUUUAAGACUUUCCGCUUAUUUUCUUAUUUUAAAAAAUUUUACAUAUAAUCUUUAUCCUCUUGUAUGGAGCCAAUAAUUCACUUAACAUCUUCUUUUUUUAAUGUUUAGUUAUUUAUUUUGAGAGAGAGACAGAGACAGAAACAGAGGGAGAGAGAAUCCCAAGCAAGCUCCACACUCCCCAUGGAGCCCAACGUGGGUUCCGUCUCACAACCACAAGAUCAUGACCUGAACCGAAAUCAAGAGUCAGAUGCUUAACCAGCUGAGCCAUGCAGGCGCCCCACUUAAUAUCUGUAACUUUAUUAUAUAGCAUAUUCACUUUUUAAUUUCUAUUCUGUACCCUGAAUUUACUCUAUUUCCUCUGGGGUCAGUUUUUUUAACUUGUAUAUUUAGUCUUUUUCCUACAAGAUCGUUUUCUUAUGGGGCUAAUGAUCUGUUUGUAUUUUAUUGGGUAGACAAUGUACCUUUUCUUUGCUAUUGCAUAUUUAACAUUUAAAAAAAUCUUUAUUCUUUUUUUGAGAUUCUAUGUAGAGUUGGGAAAGGAAGGGUUUAAUGAUUAUGAAUCUUUGCUUUUUGUUGAGGAGAUAAGAAAUGGUUAAGUUGAUGGUCCUACCAAAUGCCAGGACAGGAAGGGUCUUUUUUCUGGAAGUAGAGAUACAUGCAUUAGAAUGCUUGGAUCUUCCCAGGCACUUUAUUCAGAUUCCUCAGAGAAGAGCUGUUAUAUUUUAGCCUGACUGGAAAUUUCAGCUGCUUACACUCUGUGGGCACAGUUGAGGAGUUUGGGUGGUGAUGGGAGCCACUGAUGUAGCUGAUCUAAAUUAAAGACGUGAUCUUACCCUUAUUUCUUACUCCUGUUCACACCUCACCUAUCACUCUGAGAGUGUGGAGUUUGUCAGAGAUACUUGGCCAGACCUCUUCUGCAGCCCCCUGAUCACAGAUCCUAGGACAUAGUCUUCUCCAUGCAUUUUGUGCAUCAAUCCCCUCCCCUCAACUUUCCAUCUUCCAGAAAUGUGUUGAAGUUGUUGCUGAUUGGCAGACCCCUCUCCGGUUACCUUUUCUGUUCUUUCCAUUCCUCUUAUCAGCUUUAACUUUCAUUUAAUUGGGGUGUCAGGAAAGGUAAGAGGCAAAUCCCACUGACUAGUUUGUUUUCCAGAGUUAGAAGUCUAAAUUAUCUUUUUCAUUGAAAAACAAGUGAUUUUUUUUCUCGUUCAAGAAUUAAAGAUUACAUAGGGGUGCCUGAGUGACUCAGUUGGUUACAGGUCCAACUUUGGCUCAGCUCAUGAUCUCACAAUUCGUGAGUUAGAGCCCUGUGUCGGGCUCUGUGCUGACAGCUCAGAAGACCCUGGAAGCUGCUUCGGAUUCUGUGUCUCCCUCUCUCUCUCUGCCCACAUUCUGUCUGUCUGUCUCUCUCAAAAAUAAAUAAACACUAAAAAAAUUUUUAAAAAGAAUUAAAGAUUGUUAUAAUUCUCUAUAUAUUGAGACAACAUAGUAUAUUACCCAAGUACAUGAACUUUAGAGUCUGAGUAACUUAAGUUCAGAUUUUGUAACUGCCACAUUUGUGCAUUUUGGACUUCUUGUUUGUAAAUGGGAAUAAAAAAAAAAUACAUACAUACAUACCUUAGAAUCAAAAGGUAGAAUAAAUAUAAAGCAAUAAACACGGUUUCUGACCCAUGGAAAGCUUUGCAUAAAAUUAGCUUUAUUAUCAUUUGUUAAAUCCUUUUAACUUUUAAAGUUAAAUAUAUAUGUAAACUACAUGUUCUGGUAUGUUAUUGAUUAAAAUCAUCUUUCAUUAGAAGUGGCAGUUAUUAUAUGGGAUUUUAAUCAGGUUUAAUAUAUUGCUCCAAGGAGAUAAGACAGUCUCCAAAGGUCUUGUUUAAAAUGAAAUUAUUUUAACAUUUCUCUACAUCUUCAAAAAAGUUAAGACUCUAGUACUUUGUUACACAAACUCCGUAUUAGCUUUGGGGAAAAGAAUAAGGUUUCUUUUAUGAUACCUGGCUCUUUAUUAAAUGGCUUAAAUGUUUAGAAUGCUUUGGGGGCAAUUAAAAUUACACAUAAAAGGAGUCUUAAUAACUUUUUGAUAAUAACAAAAGUUCUGACUAAAUUUAAAUUGAUUUUGUGCCUUAGUAUUAAUAGCUGUACAGCUAUUAUACAGCUAUUAAUGAUGAUACAGCUAUUAUAAUUACAGCUAUUGUAAUAAAUGAGGGAAUUAUUUUACUGGUUAAGCAUUACAUUAUCAUCUGCAUAAAAUGGUAAUUUUUUUUGCUCCUUGAAAAUACUUUAUUAGCAUAUCCAUACUGUGUGUUUAUGUUAGCUAAGAAGAGAAUACCUUCUCAAUAGAAUGUAUUUCCUUUAAUGUAGCAGGAAGUAUUAACACUUUGAAGUGAACAGAUAAUUGGCUACUUAAAAUACAUUUAAAAGUAUUUGAAGCAUGUGGAGUCUGGAUUUUUAAAAGAAACAUUUGCAAAUCUGUAAUUAAAUAAGGUGAUCACAUUCUUCUACUUGUUAGCUUGUGAAGCAGUAUUCAUCUAUCAGAAAUUGUUGAUUCAUAGCCGUGGUUUUAAUCCCUUUGGUGAUACCUUUAAUUCACUUACAAAUGACUCUCUGUGUGAAAGGUCACAGCCGAUGUGUCCUAUACAGUCCUUUACGGCCAGCGAUGGUUCCACUGUGUGUGAGGGAUUUGGGUUUUGGCCAUGGAGACAUUGCUCCUAGGACUAAUGGAACUUUUAUAAAGCCAGCACGGUCCCUACCGUUUGUUCUUCGGGGAGAUUUUAUAACCAAGCUUUAAUGAUAGAAAUGUCUAUGGUUGGUACAUUCAAGGACAUCUUUCCCAGCUCUGUGAGUAAAAGAUAUGAUCACCUCAUAUAAAGUAGGAAGGGGAGACGAGGAGCAUGAACCUGAACAGUGCAUCUGGGAGCAGUUCGAGGCACGGUGCUUUGUAAAAUAUGGUAGUAAAACCCGACUCUCCUGAAGCUUUAUUGUCUGGCGGGUUAGUAAUGGCCUGCUUUAUUUCUGCACGCAGGGCAUUCACUUCCACUCGGUGCCCCUACCUCUGCCCUGGCUAAAGAGCUUUCCUUCCCUGAAAACUGAUUUCGAACCCUCCCAUCCCUUGUUUAUCGUGAGUAUGUUUCCGUAUCCCACUGACAAAUAAAACACCUGCUUGCUUAGUCAGGGCAAGAGCUCUGGAGCUGUUGACAUUUUGAGUCAUUCUAUUUUGAUGAAUACAGGUAACGUGUUUCCAGAUUGCUGCCUCAUCCAUAUGUCUCCCCCCCCCCACAGAAAUGAAAGUAUACCUUGUUCUUUGGUUUUACCUGUCACUUUUUUAUGACACUUACAAAGGUCAGCAUCAGAAAUAUUAUCGCCGUGUGUUAUAUAGUUGUAUGGGAGUGGCAGGGAUAAACGUCUCAUCUCGGGGAUCUUAUAAAGUGUUCUCAGGAGAAAGUAGCAAAAUGAGGUGGAUAAAGCAAGCUGAGUCCUGGGUUCUAGUUCUUUACUAUUCAAAACGUGGUCCCUGGAACGGCAGCCUCGGUAUCUCAGCGUCCGUUCGAAAUGCAGCAUCUCAGGUGCUUCCAAAUCCGCCUCAUAGCAGCGCCUUGUAGGAGGUUCGUGUGUAUGCUGAAGUUUUCGAUGCACUGUCCCAGCUGACGGACUCACGGAGGUGGUCCUGGAAACCUUCGAUAAGAGAUUUUACAGCAUACUAUCAUAAUACUCAUGCCCUCAUCCUCUCUGGAACGUUAUCAGCACUCCACAAAUGUUUGCUGAAUGAACAAACAAAAGACCUAAGUUGCUCUUUAGCAACAGUUGUUGGUCUCCUAGACUGUGUUGGGCGUUAGAGUUCUAUGAAAUCCCAUAGAAGAUCCUAGAGUUAGUCAUUGUGUGUGUGUGUGUGUGUGUGUGUGUGUGUGUGUGUGUGUAUCUUUCAGCUUCAAUUUUUGUUCUGGAUUCCUUCCUUGAAUAAAGUUUCUUUUCUCUUUCUUGUUUGCCUCUGAGUAUAGCACGUUUUCAAGGAGGGUGGUCUUUGGAGAGCUUUUUCUUUAAAUAACAGGAGGGUGGAUAUUCUUUUGCAGCUUAUAGGGCAUCCUGCCUCAUGCUGGUGCCCUCCAUUAUGCCCUCCAUGAUGGAGCUGGGAGUCCAUGGGUCCCUGAGGCCGACAAGGGAGCCACACAGAACCUUAGGUCUCAUGUGUGGCACUGUAACGAUGGGUGGGUAGAGCCAGGAGAAUCUCACGAAUCCAUCUAGGGAGCGUGCAUCGAGUGUAUGUUCUCAGUCAUAGCAAAUUUCUGACCACAGACUUUUGGGGAAUAACCAAAAAAUCUGAACAACAGUCUAAAUAUUAUGAAAAUUCUAAUGUUGGUCCUAUAAACUGAUGGGAGAUUGUAUCAGUCUAGACUGCUUUUUGUUCUCGGAAGUUACCUUAGGUAGAAAAAGCACCUUUCCUUUGCUGGGAAGAAUUCUGGAGAAUAGUACCAUAGUCUUGUUUGGAAUCUGCCACUGCAAAGGCACUGGCACUUUUAACAAGUGAUGUCACUAUUUUCCGGGGCCCCUGGGGAAUUCAAGUUAGGGAAGAGUAUAAAUUAUAAGUAUGCUGACAGCAUCUCUUAUGGAACUUGAUGCAAAGUUAAGACGUUUAUUGUUUUCACAAUCAUAAUGCAACCACUGUUUUAAUCUACUGUGUUCAUCUAGUUGUUAAUAUAAUAAGCCAUUGGAUUCAUAAUGAAAGGACAAAAUCUCAGUUUGCCCUACAUCUCAAUUAAGAUGUGUCAGUCCAGAUAUUGUCGCUCUUCACAAAUUGGUUAGUAAACAUGUGGCAGAUGCUGUAUUAGUUUUCUAUCGCCUCCAUAACAAAUCACCACGAAUGUAGUGGCUUAAAGCAACACAAGUUUGUUUCUUAUAGUUUUGGAGACCACAAGUCUGACAAGGACCCACUGGGUUAAAAUCGAAGGGUUAUUAGCAAGGCCAUGUUUCUUCCUGUAGGCUCUGCUUCCUUGCUUUUUCAGCUUCUACAGGCUGUCCACUUUCCUUGGUUCAUGACCCCUUUCUUCACCUUCAAGGCCAGCAAGGGUAGAUAGAGUCUUUUCACAUCGCGUCACUCUGGCCUCCUCCUAUGGCCCCCUCUUCCACUUUUAGGGGACCCCGUGAUUACACUGUGCCCACUUGGAUAGUCUGGGAUAUUCUCCCGUCUCAAAGUCAGUUGAUGAGGAAGCUUAACCCCAUCUGCAGCCCACCCUCCCCUUGAUUCCUCUGUGCCGUGUAAGCCAACAUACUCCCAAGGUUCCAGGGAUUGGGACGUGGACGACUGAAGGAGGCGAAUAUUCUACCUACCACAGAGAUUUGGGAAGAAAUGAUCUCAAAGUCUUAGCGAAUUUUUAGAUAUUUUUAGGUUACUUUCUUCAGUUUCUUAAGAAGUCGAGCCCUAUAAUUUGCGUCUUUUUCAACUCCUCGUCAACCAUUUCAUCCUGGUGAUUUGCCAGGCAAAAGGGCUUUGACUCCUCUCUUUCUGUGUGAUUGAUUUCGGGAUCCCCAAAGUAAACAACAACAAAAUAAACACACUUUUAUCAGAAACGGAUUGUAAUGCAUCUGUGUGUCAAUCUGGGAUGUGUGUCUAAGCUACACCUUUGCCAUGUGCGCUGCAGGGGGUAGUUAGGCUGGGGGCGCUUGGGGGAGAAUAGACUUCCAUUGUAUUCAGCACGAUCUAGGGCAACUGCCAGAGUAAUGCACUCUUACAUUUUUAUACUUUUGGUCACGGGAUUCCAGGAAAUCUUACAUUUUCAGUUAUGCUUAUCUUAAAUUCAAGAAAGAGAUACGAAGUACUGUAGCUUUGAGGUGUUGCUCAGAAGUUCCCUGCUAAUUGUUCUCGAGGUUCCUUCUAGGACGCUGUAUUCUUUGUCUCUUCUCACCGUACAGAUGAAUUCAGCGGCAAUGGGAGACAUGUUUUUAAGUUGUGCUUUGGAACCAAGUGGAGAACAAACAGCACCCUUCUUCCUGGUACGGAGAGCACCAGAGUAUGUCAUAAGAAAUGUGGACCUUUGCAGGCGUUGAGAGAGGUGGUCAGGAAGAGGACAGAUGACAAGGCGAAGGAAAUCAAAGUGCUGUAGCAGCAGAUGCUCUUUGGGAAUCAACAGGAACAGCCCAUUUCUGCUGGUUUUGGGUACAAAUGAAAUUCCGUCCAGGUGACCUCAGAUGUCACAGACAUGUAAUGAAGAAGGUGGGAGUAGACUUUCUGAAACACAAAAGUGUGGCUCUUGUUGAUGUGGUCAUAGAGCCGCUUGUCUCUGCUUUUGCAGUAUGGGAACCAAGUGGGUGAGGACCAGAGAAAGAAAAAGUGAGGAUUUCUCUAUUUAUUCAUGGGAAUCAGAAACAAAUCCAGGCUUUAGAACACCUCAAAAGCACACCAGUGAAAUGUGCCAGGAUUUGAAGACUCAUUGUUGUGGUCUUGAUGAUAUUUCUGUGCUUUAGCUUUAUGGAGAGUUUGAAAGAAUUUCGAUGUUGGAAAAUGUCCUCACUCCUUCUUAGAGUCGAUGCUCAAAGUCUAGCUGGAUAGGUCCACCCUAGCUGUGUGCCAAAAGAUGAAAUCAUUUAAAAAAAAAUUUUUUUUUGUUUGUUUGUUUCAAAGCAGAUUUGCAAUGUUAAAUUGCCUCUACUUUGAGUUAGUAGCCACAAGAAAUAAGACUUACGAGAAUCCCUCUUAUCUUACGUGUAAACUAACCUCACUCCACACAACUUAACACUUUACAGCAAAAUUAAUACAGGGUUAAAGGCAAAGCAGUGUAACUUACAGAGAACAGCAGUGGUAAAACAUUAUUUGGCAAAUUAUUUAAAAUGUUCCUAAUGCCAAUAUCAAAGGGUGAGAAAACUUAAUAGGCGUAGGAAGAGAAGAGCAAUUAAAGGUGUCAAAAGAUCCACAAAAAUCAGUAACAUCCAAGCAGCUAAAAUAGAAUUUAAAAAGAGGUGGAGGAGGAAGGGAAAAAUGACAGCAGUAGCCUCCAUGUGGCCAUGAGCAAGGGCCCCAGGCUGGCCCCAAGCUGUGCAAAGUGGGGAUCGAGGGUGCUGGGGGAGUGAGCUGAGCUGCCCUUGGCCUCAGGCCACAGACCCUAGGCCCAACGGCCUCCAUUGAGCUGUGUUCAAGUUCAGUGCCUCAAGGGGAAAACCCAGGAGGUAAAUCUGUCAAACUGAGAUCUCCUGAGUGAUGUCCAGACCUUUGUUGGAGGCAGGACUCUAAAGUAGUGCCCCAGAGCUGUCCCUCCUGCUGUCCAUGCCUGGCAUGAUUUCUGGGGCUAUGACUGGGAUGGCAUCGCCUCCUGUGAUUAAGCUUUGUUGUGCAGCGCAGAGAGAGAGCAAGCAGGGCACGUGACAGAUAUUUUCCAUUGUUGACUCUGAAGGUGGAAGGAGCCACAUGGUAAGGACUGAGCAUGGCCUCUAGGAGUUUUGGGGCAUCCCCAGCUGACAGCCAGCAGGAGAACAGGGGUCUCGGGUUCACCAGCAGGGGACCGAAUCUUGCCAUAGUCUGGCUGAGCAUGGAAGAGACCCGCCCCCCCCAACCCCCCACCAAGGCCCAGAUGUGCCCAGAUCCUGCCAGCACCUUGGUUUCAGUCUUGUGAGACCCCGAAUGGAGAGCCCAGUCACUCUGCAUGGACUUCUGAUCUAAAGAACCGUGAGCGAGUGCAAAUGCAUUGUUUUAGGUUGCUGAGUUUGUAGUAAUUUGUGAUGCAGCUGAGAAAAACUAAUACACUCUCCACAUUAAUUUUAUAAAGUAAUGUUUCAUUAAUGGAAGUCAUGAAACUCCUUUUCUGUCCCGAGUGUUUCUCUGUUAUGACCAACUCAUAAAGUCUUUGAAAUACAAAUUUUAUAUAUAUUUUUAUUGUGCAUUAGGAACCACCAGAAGAUACGCCAUUAAAAAAGAAAUUCCCUGAAACUGAUAUAGUCAUAUUCCCUACAUUUUAAAAAAAUUCACCUGAGAAUCACAUUUUCUUUUAAAAGGUGCUGUGCAAUCCAUGCUGACGUUCUUUUUUUUUUUUUUUUAUAAAGUUUAUUUACCUUGAGAGAAGGGGAGAGAGAGAGAGUACAUGCACGCGAGCAGGGGAGAGGCAGAGGAAGGGAGAGAGAGAAUCCUAAGUAGGCUCCACGCUGCCAGCACGGACCCCGAUGCGGAGCUGAAACUCAUGAACCGUGAGAUCAUGACCUGAGCUGAAUUCAAGAGUGGGACGCUUAACCGACUGAGCCACCCAGGAGCCCCCAUCCUGACAUUCUUGCAAUAUAGAUGUAGUCACCACAUGUAAAGGGCAAGGAGUAUAGUUGUACAUCAGUUUGACCUUGAAAUUUGGGUGACAGAGGGAAAACCCAUUAGGUGGCAGCUAGUUACACUUAAUCACAUGACUGUCGUUCAAAGAUUCCUGCAGGGUAACGCAGGGUUUUGUGCACCUCGUGUACCUAAGGCCCAGGUGCCCUGGGAUGCAGUUUAGUGAUGGCUUCACUGUAAAUGGAGAAGGUUUUGGCAUCCUUUUUAAAUGCUAUCAGCAAUAAAGCUCAUGGCUUACCCUGAUCAAAUGAGUUCCAAGUCAGCCGUACCCCACACACUGCUCAUUGGCACUUUCGUGCUGCGUAUGUGCAGAGACUGGGUAACGGAGUGACUAUCUGGUGAAUGGGGUUAUAGAGAUAAAUAGCCCUUCUGGAUCUUUUGACUCACUAGUGGGAUCGUUUCCUUCUAAACCCAUGUUCAAAGCAGAUUUGGCUCCUUUCGUCUUUCCGCUCUUCCAGGGUGGAAAGACAGAAAGAGUACUUGCAGUUUCCACUAGUAGACAGGCAUAAUAAUAAUCAAAGAACAUGAAACUGAAGCCAAAGCCUUUGCCAGACUAAAAGAAACAAAUUGCACCGAAAAAUCAUCCCAGACUUACUGGCUGCGGCCGCGGCAGCUCUUGUUAUUGUAUCUCUCAGCCCCAUCUUUCUGUUUUUCUUAUGGCAAAUGUCACAUUGUUGACUUUCCAUCAUGUAAUGUCAGAAAGAAUGAUCAUUAAGCAACCUUUUGAAAAACAAACAUCUUUACUUGGUUCUGAAAGAGUUGGAAUAAAUAAAUUUCUGAAAAUGACUUCCCCGUAUUUCAGUGGAGUGAGCAUGUUAAAGUAUAUGUUAUUCUGAAAGCAGUGCUCGACUUGUUACAGACAUUGCCUUUGUGUCAAAAUCCUAUAAAAUGAAGGUAUUUUAAAGGCAGGAAAAAUAUUUUAUGCAUGGCUGAGGAUUGUGACAGAGACUACAGAGGGGGCAUAGCAGACGACACUCUGAUGUGCAGGGCUCAGAACCCCACCUGAGUACAUGGUCCUGGGAUGGCGGAAGGCAUCCCACCGCGUAUGUGUUUUCUGUCAUGAGAAUUUCUUUCUGAUUUCUAAAAUCAUUGAAAUAUAAUUAACAUACAAUAUUGUGUUUGCUUCAGGUGUAUAACAUGAUGUUUUGACAAUUCUGUACAUUAUGUAAUGUUCACCAUGAUAAGCGUGGUCACCAUCUGGCACCGUAUAAGGUUAUUGGAAUAGUGGGGCGCCUGGGUGGCUCAGUCGGUUAAGCAGCCCCGACUUCGGCUCAGGUCAUGAUCUCGCGGUCCGUGAGUUCGAGCCCCGUAUCAGGCUCUGUGCUGACAGCUCAGAGCCUGGACCCUGUUUCGGAUUCUGUGUCUCCCUCUCUCUCUGUCCCUCCCCUGCUUGUGCUCUGUCUCUUUCUGUCUCAAAAAAAAAAAAAAAUUAAGGUUAUUACAGUAUUAUUGAUUGUAUUCCCUGUGCUGUAGUUUUCAUCCUGCUGACUUACUUAUUUUGCAACUGAAAGUUUACCUUUUAGUCCCCUUUAUCUAUCUCACCCAGCUCCCCCCGUCUUGACACUUCCUCUCUGGCAAUUACCAAUUUGUUCUCUGUAUUUAGGAGUCUGGUAUCUUUGUUUGUUCAUUUCUUUUGUUUUUUAGAUUCCACAUGUAAAUGAAAUAGCAUGGUAUUUGUCUUUCUCUGUCUGACUUAUUGCACUUCGCAUGAUAUCCUCCGGGUCCAUCCAUGUUGUUCCCAAAUGGCAAGAUUUUAUUCUUAUUUAAGGCUGAGUAAUAUUCCAGUAUACACUGGAAUGUGUGUGUACAUACGUGUGUGUGUGUGUGUGUGUGUGUGUACGUCUACUGGUAUCUGCUUUAUCCAUUUAUCUGUUAAUGAACAUGUAAGUUGUUUCCGUAUCUUGGUUAUUGUAAAUAAUACUGCAAUAAAUCAAUAAACAUGGGAUCGCAUAUAUCUUUGCAAACUAGUAGUUUUGUUUUCUUUGGGUAAAUAGUAGUGAUUUCCAUAGUGGUUGUACCAGUUUAUAUCCCCACCAACAGUGCACAAGGGUUUCCUUUUUUCUCAUCCUCACCAACACUUACUGUUUCUUGUCUCUUUGAUUCCAGCAGUUCUGGCUGGUGUGAGGUGAUAUCUCAUUGCGGUUGUGACUUGCAUUUCUCUAAUAGCUGGGACAUUGAGCAUCUUUCCAUUUGCCUGUUGGCCAUCUAACUGUCUUCUUCGGAAAAAAUGUAUAUUCAGAUCCUUUGCCCAUUUUUUAAUCAGCCUUUUUUUUUUUUGGUGUUGAGUUGUGUAAGUUCUUCAUAUAUUUUGGAUAUUAAUCCCUUAUUGCAUAUAUCAUUUGCAAGUAUCUUCUCUCAUUCAGUAGGUUGCCUUUUUGUUCUGUCAUGAGCAGUUUAUGUGGAUCAUUGACAGGCUAAAAAGGAAGAUUUCAAUAGGUCUUACUUGCUCCUCUUACCCCAUCCCACUCCACUUUCACCCAGACAACACAGGAAACAUAUGGGAGGGCUUUUCCUAAUUUUUUUUCUUCUCCAGUAACACUCAUUGCUGUGAUCCAGCUAACUACAUUUAUCUUGCCUUUCUUCUUGACUAUGGAAGGCAGAAAGUUCAGAUUUGGCUCCUGAGAUGGCUCUGUGCAUUUUGUUGUAUUUUCACCUAAAUAAUCCAAGAAGUAAGGCUAAUAUUGAUGAAGAAUUCCAUUCAUUUCACUUUUGUUUAUUAGUGACUCUUGAUGUAGGAGUUAGUUAGGUGAGGGCAUGAAAGAAUGUUCUACAGGAAGGAUGGACAGUUGGGACUGGAGAGGAGGAGAAUGCAGAGGGAAAUGAGGCAGGAGAGAUAGGAGUGGCCAGAUGGGCAAGACCUUGGGGCACGUAAAGAUUAUUGCCCGUAUUCACACAGCAAUAGGAGUGUCCUGAAGGACUUGAGUCUGGGGGUAAGAGGAUCUGAAAGGAAAGAGCAGGAACCUAAGACAAUCAGACAGGAGGAUUGUCACAAGUCGUAGCAGGAGGUGGUAUUCUCUUGGACUUGGGAGAGAUGCAAGGUUGUAGUCCUAGUUAGGUAUUUUUGUCAACAAGAUGGAUGACAAAUUGAGUAAGGUAGAUCGCAUGAAGGGAGAUGUCACAGAAGAUUGCUGGGUUUUGGAAUGGUUCUGUGAUUCCCUGGAACUGAGAAUCUUGGAAAAUCACUUUAAAAAUUUUUUUUUUCUUUUUUUUGGAUAAAGGGCUCACAUUCCAUUUUGGAGGUAGUAAAUGUAGGGUUCAUAUUAGACACCAGGUGAUGUCCAGGAGGCACAAAAGAGCUGAUGGCCAUAUCACCCAGUGGUAUAAACAUUUUUUUUUUAAAUAAGGUAGAACUUUAGAAAUAAAAUUCUCUAGCAUUUAGGCCAAAGAAUCAGAAAUUUGAGAUCUCCAAUUCAAUUAUAGAGGCUCUCUUUCCAAAUACUGUAACCUUGUGCUUUAUCCAACAAACUGUGGCAGCGUUUUAAUUUCUGUGACCUCUGGAGAGAAAGAAUUGAGGGUGAGGAGGGGGGUGGGUAAAUUGGCUCUGAAAUAGCUCUGUGGGUUAGGGAGAGGAAAUGGGAGCUUUGGUAGAUGAAGAGUUCCUUUGAGUUAUGAGACAUUGCUGAGGGAAAUGAGUAAUGUGGAGCAGGUGAGCUGGUCUGAUCCAAACCUUGGAACUGUAACAGCAUACAGAGCCAGGGGUAGCUUUGAGAAUACAUAUAUUUCUCACAGCUCCCUUUGGAAAAGUCCCGUAGUCCUCAUAGACCUCAAUGCCUGGGGACAUAUUUUAACAGAGUCUUAAAACUGGGCAUGCUGAUUUCCUAGAAAAAUGUCUUCUAAACCAUGCGGGACUCGAUCUCACGACUGUGAGAACAUGACCUGAGCCUAAAUCAAGAGUGGGACAUUAAAUCGACUGUGCCACCCAGGCGCCCCAAAAAUGUCGUUUUAAAAAGUUGUAAAUUGGGGCGCCUGGGUGGCGCAGUCGGUUAAGCGUCCGACUUCAGCCAGGUCACGAUCUCGCAGUCCGGGAGUUCGAGCCCCGCGUCAGGCUCUGGGCUGAUGGCUCAGAGCCUGGAGCCUGUUUCCGAUUCUGUGUCUCCCUCUCUCUCUGCCCCUCCCCCGUUCAUGCUCUGUCUCUCUCUGUCCCAAAAAUAAAUAAACGUUGAAAAAAAAAUUAAAAAAAAAAAGUUGUAAAUCAGGGGAAAUAAGGUGAUUUCACAUUUGAAAUCAUACCAUCAACUGAAACAAAGGAAAACUAGAAAAUAGAUUUUGCUAUUUUCAAACAUGCUCUAUUUUAGUGAAAAUUUAUUUAUUUAUCUAUGUAUUUCAUUAAAUCAGAGAAUGAAGGAAGCAGGUAGAGGUAAGUCAAUAUUGUUAACGAAAGUACGGAAGAAGGUUUCAAAUGAUACUAAAUUAGGUAUUCUGUGACAUCAAAUAUCUUGCGGAGACUAUAAAAUAAAAUUUUAAAGGAAGAACAGGUGUUUGUCUUCAGGGACGUCGAAAUACAUUUUAUCGCCCUACGUGAGAGAGCAAACAGCCUCUCUGGUGAGAUCUGAGAGUUGCUGUGUAGAUAGAUAACAAGGGUUUCUCUUGGGGUUGGGUGGCCCACUCUCCAAAAACCAGUUCCUUUCUCAGACACGGAGGCCAUUGGCUUUCCCUGAGGCCUUGCAGAGACUUGUUUAUUUGCUCUGAUAAAAAGGAUAACCGAUGCAGUUAUUAAGAACAAGUCAACCUAGAAGCAAGAUCUUUCGUUCGGCGUGGUGACAUUUCAGUAGCAAGAGAAUCCUACUUUCUGGGGACUGAAGGGUUUAUAUAUUGUGCAUAAUAGUUAUUAGUGCAAGAGAACCCAGUUGCAGAGUUUAUGAGAAUGUAAAGAAUUAGAAAAGUAGGUUCUUUUUUUUCUUUUCUGGAAGUUGUCUUUCUUGUCUUUGGCUUUCCUUUUUUCCUCGCCCUCCAAUUUUCUUUUUCUGGCAGGUCUCAACAUUAUCAUUUUCUGUCAUUUGCUCUUUUCAAGAAUCCUAUUGUUCUCAGUAUUCUUUUCUUUCAAAUCAUCUUCUCCUGUGUCCUUUCAACCGAAACUACAACCUGUUCAUUCAGCCCAGUGGCUUCCUCGGUAAGAAAUGUCUGACUAAUUGGCUAAAUAUAGGCGCUCCUGCUGAGCUGGUAGCUUUCUUUAAAGGAUUCUCAGUGGUGUUCUCUCAGCCACUUGUCUUUUCCAUUUAACCUUUCUUUUUAAUAGAAAAUGCUAUCGAAGUCUUAUUCUGGUAGAAUGAUUCGUUACACACGAGACUGCAGAAAACUUUCCCUUGAGAAACACUUAGGACACCCUGGUUGGAAGAAGGUCCUCUUUAAGACUGCAAAUACGUACCUCACGCUUUACGGGCACGUCACUCCUCAAAACAAAGCUGAGUCUGUCGUCUGCCCAGGCAGGUGCAAAUUAGUUCAGUGGAUGAGAACUUGGGUUCUAGAGUCAGACGGACCUGAGUCUGAUCCCUUGUCUGUUGUUCACACGCUUUAUGUGUCGGGGUGACUUAUCCAACCUCGCUGAGAGCCAGUUUUCUCAUCCCCGAAAUGGAGAGGAGAAUAGUAAGGUCCUCUAGGGUGGCUGAAUGAUGAGGACUGUGUUCCUAGCACAUCGGCAGGGUCCACUGAGCUCUGGCUAAAAAAAUAAGCUGCAUCGUGUGAGCCUCGGUGGAAGUGGUAUCUUUAUUGUGCUUUCUAGAGACAACAAGAAUGAAUGAGUUCUAGGUCCGAGUGCUUAUGGUUUUACCACUGGAAAAUUCUCUCCUCUUAAAUUGAAUGUGGAUGAAAACACUGAGUAAAGUGUAAGGAUUUCAAGAUGUUUCUCAGAGAAAAUUGUGUAAUCACAGCUCUUAGAAAUGAAAAAAAUGGAAAAGAUACAUCAAGACGGUACAAAUUUGGACUGUGCUCAAAACUAAGUCAUGCAAUCAAUUAAAUAUUUUUGCCCUAUGAGAAAUAUUUCUCCAAAAUAUUAAAUCUACUUUGAUUACUGUUUAGAGCACUUAGGAUACUAUUUAAUGUAUAUUUAACACAUAACAUAUAACAAUGAGUGGCGGUACUUUAUAGUGGGAAAAACACAUUUUGUUAUGCUGGUCACGUGUAUUUGUGAUAGUUACGUACAUGCACACAUGUUUUUUAGUUGUAGUAUCAUUUAUCAGAAACUUUUUUGUGGUUUUUCAGUGUGAGAGUAGGAACCCUCUCCCCACUCCCCAAAAUGUUUACCCAGCACCAGCUGCAUACAGAUUUGACUAGGGUAGCUGAUAUAGAUUAUUGGGAUGAUUAGAUUAGGCCAGCUACUCACUAACUAUAUAAAACCGUGACCCUAAAAUUAUGUCUCAGUGGCUUUACACUUGAAGACACGCACUUGUCUCCCAGGAAGGAACUGUUAAACCAUUUGGUCAGAGUUGUCGGUAAAUUCAACGAUGCGUCACUCACUCGUCACUCCCUACGUUUACUGUGAUGCUGUGAUUUUGCAGCCGUUUUGCCAAAUUUUAUGUAUGUAGACUUAAUGUCCUACCUAAAAGCGUGUCAGGCUUAUCCCUCUUCAUUUCCCAUUGCAAAGACAGGUUGGAGGUGUUAGUGUUUGGUCACUUGUGUAUGCGGAGGUGUGUUCAUAUAUGUGUGCGGAUGUUUACCAUGGUCAGGAAAUGACUCCUUAAUAAAUCCACGUUGCAGUCACAUGUACGCCUUAAAGUGACUUAGGAGAUAUGUGUCUGUGUGUUCUAUAACAUAAAUGUGUUCUAUCACAUAAAUAUUAUAUUUAUAGACGUAUAUAACAUAAAUGUGUGUUAUAUAACAUAAACACAAUAAAGAUGUAAAUAUAAAUAAGUAUAUAAAUUUAUAUACACAUAUACAGGGCAUAAAUACAGGUAUUUAUUUGUACAUGUUUCAGAGCUUUAAGUGGACGCAAGCCGAUACCAUAUACGGUGUGCUGGUACAAAUCUGCCUCCUCCGGCCAAGGUUGCGGGCCCCUCAGAUGGCUUGGCAAACAAGAGGUUAAUGGAGGGGGAGGAACAGACAAAGUAAAUAAAGUCAGUUAAUUGCAGGAAGCGGCCGAGCAGCUGCAGCCAGGGAAACCGUUCUCAAGUAGCAGCCAAUGGAACCGGGGAGGAGUUAAGCAGGAAGUGCUCCCCUCCCGCCCCACCCCCAGUUCUCGUUCUUUCUGCCCUCUCCCUGAGCGGCUCUGCCUUUCUCUCUGGGUCUGCCUCUGGGGCUCUUCCCUUUCCCUCCCGGCCUCUUUUUCACUCCCCCUUGGUCCCUGCCUCUUUGCCUUUUUUCUCUACGAGCGUGCUGAGACGUGCCGCACUCGGUGGUUCGCACAAGCAGCGCAGGGACCCUUAAGCAUUCUGCCCCCUCUGGUUCUCCGCGCAUUGCCUCACCCAGCAUUCGCGCAAGGUGCGGUCAGGCUGCACACUUCCUGCCCAAGCGUUACCUGUCAGGUGAGCACAGGGCCUGCCCCGACUGUGACAUCACAUCCACAGAAGCUGUGUGAAUGACACCAACACAAACCCCAACGCCGCUAUCAAGGCAACUUGAUUCAUGAUAGAGAAUGAUACAGACUCCGUAUAUCAUACCAGAAAGUGACGGGGCCGGCCACUUAUUUAUCCUUUAUUCCAUAUAAUGAAUUCUGUAUCAGCCACUCUUUGAGAAAGAAUAUUUGAUAUCAGAGUUCUGAUUACGCUUUUAAUUUUUGUAGAAGAGGUAUGUUGGCCUACAGCCUAGAAGACUCCCAUUAUUAUUAUUAUUAUUUUUUUGCCUCUUAAAGCCUCGGCUAGCAGGGGAUUUCCCAAGUAUUAAUUAAUUAACUCCAGGCUCUCCUGGCAAAAUGCCUUGAAAGGGAUGGCCUGUCCUGAGUGACCCUCGUGUGUACUCUAUGCCAGUGAUCAUUAAACUCACAAAAUCGUCUCACCUGGUUCCUCAGGACAUUAAAUGAAGAUAACAGGAAUAAUAAACUUGCCUAUUAACAUAAAGGAAAUAUUAAUCUACUGGACACAUAAAGAAAACGAUGCAAAAUUCCUUCUGGAUCCUGGGGCAAAUGCCUAUUUUAAGAUCAUUUUUAAUGUUUGCCGUCCAUGAUUCGGUAAGAGUCUUGAGAGGAACAGAGCUCUAUGACACUCAGUCAUUUACAAAACAUGUAAACGCACAGGACAAAGCGCCUUUGUAGCAGACGGUUGCACUUCGCGGUGCUACACAAACAUUCGCUAGUGAAACAACCCACCGUCGUUAGCCAGGAAAGCAGGCUGUUGGCCCUUUCAGAUGCGGAGAAGCAGAGGUAGGGACGUUUUGCAACCUCUUUAAGCCUCUGGAGAAGCGUUCGUAGAGAUGGGGUUGGAUUCAACCCUCCUUGGUUCCCUUAGAUUUCAGGAUUUCACUAACAAGGAACGUUCCUCGAGAAGACCUUCUGUUGUGAAUGCGUGUAUUUAGAUGUGCCACAGGCCGCAUAGUGUCCCCAGCAGGCCUACCACCACAAAGAGCGAGAACUCUAUUAAUACCUUUAACUCCGAAAGACCAUUCCCAACAAACACAAAUACACAUACACACUUACACGCAAUAACACACACACACACACACACACAAACACCAAUAUAUACGCCCAUAACAUCCCCCUACGAAGAUUUGCCUAUGUUUUGGUCCCUGGGAUAUAUUCUGUGAGAGGAAGAGAGCUGUGUUGAUACCAAAGGGGAAAAAAUGAACGGCAAUGAAUGAAUAAUUAGGGCACAAGAGGCGAUGCUGAAGAAGCAAUGAAAUGUGGGAAGGGAAAGUUCUGUUUCAUGAAACAGGCACAUGACAAGUUUCAAUGUGAAUGGCUGGAAUGCUUGGGAGGAAGCCAGAACCACCAGAUAGAUAUGACACAUCCUUCACCCAGCAGACUGAAACUUCUCCUGUUUAUCAGCAGUCGGUCUGGCACACUUACAUCCACACUCAGUCCACUUGCUGAAAAAUGCUGGCAUUUUAUAUUGGAAAAACUGAAAUGUAAGUUAUUCCCAAAGACUUGCAUUUUUAUGGUGAUUCUGUUAAUUGUUGUCAUUCUUGGGGUGGAAGGAAAUCACAUAUGUGCCCAGGAGAAUGUUGUAUACAGUGGGCAGGAGGUCUGUGUGCUGGUGAGUGUGUGCUACGAGGCACUACUUAACCGGCGUUGGGUGACAGCUUGGGUAGCAAAUUAAAAAUCAUCGGGGUUUGGGGAUGCCUGGGUGGCUCGGUCAGUUGAGCGCUGACUUCAGCUCAGGUCAUGAUCUCACGGUUCGUGGGUUUGAUCCCCUCAUCGGGCUCUGUGCUGACAGCUUGGAGCCUGGAGCCUGCUUCGGAUUCUGCGCCUCCCUCUCUCUCUGCCCCUCCCCUAUUUACACUCUCUCUCUCUCUCUCUCUCUCUCUCUCUCUCAAAAAUUAAUAAAUAUGAAAAGAAUUUUAAAUCCUCGGGUUGUGGUAAAUUCUGGAGAGGUGAAUACCACGUGCUAAAUUGCAGAGGUGAACCAUGGUACUCUAUCUCUCAAUAGAGGUCAGUAAACGUCAGGUGUGGCUAGUAUCACCAUUAUGAGACAUAGAGUGGGAAGUUAUCUCAGGGAGCAAACCUGUAUCGAGCACCUACCUUUUCUAAACCUCAUAACCAGGCGAUGAGGACGCCUUGCCCUAUUAAUGAUGUUUUACAAAUACCAGGUUAUGAAGUUUUGGCAAGAACAUCCAAUUAAUAAGUCCUCAUUCUGUCCCGUGACUCUAGGUUGCUCAUUACUGAACAGCUUAGAAGAUAGGAAAAUUAUUCAGGCUUAAUUAGUGCAAGGUUGUAUGUCUGUGCUUCCCAUGUGUGACUCAAAUUUAAUCAUAGACCGAGAGUAGGAUAGAUACUCAGAGAUAGUUAAUCCUUCCUGGGGCCGUUCUCUGAAAUUGCUAAGGCUAGGGGAUGCUCAGCUUUGUUUUCUUGAGUUAAGAUUUUUCCCACAUUCCUGAAAGAAAACGUUACUAUUCCCAUUUUCCAGAUGGAAUAUGGGCACCCAUAUCCAUUUCAGUUAUAAAGCCGGUCACAAACAAAAAGAUCUCCAAACAGGAAUUAAUGAUCAUGGCAGAGUUGCCCAUUAAGUUUUCCUACAGAGGUAUUUCAGGAACCUGAAUCACAGCUCAAAUGGAGUGCUUUGUGUGUGCUCCGUAAGAGGGAGGUAUUGCACUGAAGCAAGUGUUGGCUCAACUUCAUAAUGAGAAACCUGGAUACUGAUGGGGCUUAGCUUUGAUUGGAUUCUGGAACUUAUUGCACUCAGCUGGGUGUAGUCCAGCAACUGGGUGGCACUGGCACGGGGAGGCCGGCUUCUGCAACAAUUACUGGUCAAUUGCAAGUGAUUAUAAUGGCACUGUGUCUAAAACAAUAUGGAAAAAAAUGCUGCCUGGAAAACAUGAAACAGUGGUGCUCCACAAGGGAAUGAGCAAGUUGCUGGGCAUAUCAGGGUAACAAGAGAUUUGGGGGAUUUGAGUUGCUGCUCUAGGCCACAGGAAGAUGGCGCUUCAAACUAAAGCUCCAUGGUAUACUUUCUUCUCCUUCGGAGGCAGACAAAACAAGUCCCAGUGGCUCUACACACGCCAUCUUUCUUGGUGAGUGGAGAUGGCUGGACAGACUGUAAGAAGCAGGGCCGGCCAGUCUUGCCCUAUGCAUCAACCCAAGAAACAGGAAGAAGCAACAGAAAGUACCUUACUGCAUCUAAUUUCGCCUUCACCCAAACGAGGCCCGCCAUUGGUAUGGAAGAAGGCAGAUUGCCAGAAAUGAUUGCAUUAGGAAAACAUUCUUGGGAUGCUUAGGAGUGAAUGCUGGGUAGACUUGACCAGUAGAUGGGGGCUCUGAUAUUUGCAGAUAGCAGAGCAGAGUUGCUAUUUUUGCCUUUGUGGCCUUUAUUGCUUGUGAGCGAUAUGGCCACAGGAGGCCACCGUCACCUGUGGACCAAGCGACUGUAACACCAAGCCCAAAUGGAGACUGUGGGGCUCCUUCCCAGUAGCAACCCGUGGCGAGGCGUGUAGUUCCCCGUGAACACUGCCUCUCUGGCUUCCGCAGGAUUUGGCCUGGAUCGGUGGACUCUUCGUGGGCUGCUGAUUGACUGCUACCAGCCCCUGUGACGGUUUCCUCACUCCUGUGAGAAAUUGUGACAUAUUCAUUCUUGGCAGUCACCAUCUCAGGCGUUAAAUCACUUUCCUCAAAUUUCCCGAGUUCUGACACAUAUAAUGGGCUUGGUAGGGGAUUUGCAAUAAUUCUUUUUCAGUAUUUAUGAAAUUGUGCAGCUCCCUAUGGCUUCUGGGCCUUUAAGCUGCUUUUCAGAUAUCCCUCCCAUAAAUUUUCCAUGAUUAUCACUUCCCAGCUUGAAAAUAUACAUCUUUAUGCAUUGUUAUUGGGACAAAGGAGGCACCAUUGACUUUGCCUUAUGUUAUUGAGUUUGUAAUAUGUCUAUAGCCUCACCUGGCUAAAAAUACAGUUAGCUAAUGGUCAUUUUAAUACAGAAGGAGUUUCGUAACUAUGCAUCUUUCAUUAUUGCAAAUGUGAAUCCUGUGGUUUUAUCCAAUUGUAAAAACCUACAUACACGAAACCAAAGGUCACAACAAUGAAUGUUUUCUACACGGCGCACCUACAGUUGCCAGAAAAGUCUUGCUUUUAGCGUGCUGUGCCUCCGUCUACAAUAAAUUCUCUCAUUGGCAGUUCUUGUAAACUCCCUCUGUCCUCUUCCCUACUGCUACGUGCAGAAUCUAGUUGUCACCACUUUGGAAAUGGAACUAGACGGGAAGAUUGAGACUUGCCAAUCAAAUUUUAACCUUGUUUCUGGCAUUCUUGCUGCACUGAUAGAAACAUAAUAGUUGGGAGUAUGUCUGUUGUAUUUUGAGAGGUGUAGAGAUUUCUGAAAUUUUGUCCGUGCUUUGGACCGUGUACCCCAGGUAACCGAGGAGGAGAGUCUGAAGUCAGGUUAGAAUUCAACCUAAGGUUUUAUGAAAAAUGACCAGGUAUUCUUUACAGCUAUCUCAGAAGCGGUAGAUGCCACUAUCCUGAAAUAUGGAAAAGGGACAUUUGAGAGGCCCUUAAGGUUCGUUGAGACUUCAACAAACAAGUAUUAUGUGGCCAGCUGCCAGAUGUGAAUAUUUAAUCUGUUUGGGAAGUUAGAGUGGUUUGUGCAGACUUUUGGGGAGAGACCCUCAGUUAUUUCUAAAUGAGGCUGGGUUAGAGCAGGAAAGGGAAUAGUGGCACAGAAUCCUGUCUGGAAAGAGUCUGGGCAAGGAUUCCUCGUUAAUGUAUCUGGGAAUAGGGAAGUUAAAGAAGCAUAGAAUUUUGUACUUGAAUUUUAAGAGAAAGCUGCCGAAGCCCAGAAAAGCCAGUGUAAGCUUAAAAAUACAAGGGCAUUAUUCUCUGUCCUCGUUUUACUGUUUCCUUUUUGAAAAUUAUGUUGCUAUUAAUUUAUUAGUGUGGUAUAAUCAUAAUUAUAAUAAAUGACAAUAAUACACAGACACCUUGUUCUAAUUAAGUGUUCAGGAUGUACAACUAUAGCACUUAUAGGGAAUAUGUCAUUCUUAGAUGUACACUUGACCUUUGAACGACACAAGUUUGAACUGCGGGGAUCUGCUUACGGAUGGAUUUUUUUUUUUUUUGAUACAGUACUAUAAAUGUAUUUUCCCUUCCUUAGGAUUUUCUUAACAUUUUCUCUUCUCUAGCUUACUUUAUUGUAAGAGUACAGUAUGGAAUAUGUAUAGGACACAUAAUGUAUGUCAGUCGACCGUUUGUGUGAUUGGUGAGACUUCUGGUCAACAGGAGGCUGUUUGUAGUUGUGUUGGAGGAAUCACACAUUAAAUGUGGAUUUACAGUUGUGUGGGGGCACCCCAAACCCCUGCCUUGUUCAAGGGUCGUCUGUAGUAACACCAGAAACUGACCACUCUUACAUGAGACCCAAUGCAAAAAUAUUACUUUGUGUUCUGUCUUAAGCCGUAUGGGAUCAGGUGCUCAUAGAUUCCUCAGUCAGGAAUGCUGAACCAAUUCUCUUCCAAAUGGUCUCCUUAGGACUUUCCUGUUCCUGACAGUGGCGCCAUCAUUUUCUCAGUUAUUCAGGGUUGGAACUGCUUCAAGUUAGUCAUUAAGCGUUACAAUGAUUUCCUUUUACUGUCUUUUAUUAUACUUUUCUUUUUUCUUUCUGUCUACCCUGUUUCCACCCCAUAUUGGGCCUCGGCUGUUCUGAUCAUCUCUUAGUUGUUUCUCUGCCUCUCUCCCUGCUUCUUUGCCUCACAAUUUGUUCUGAAUAUCGCAGGCUGGUUAAUCUUCAUAAAGUAACAUUUGAUCAUGUCGCUACUCUCCUUAAAAUUUCUGCCAGCCCUCUGUUGCUUAAUAAUUAAGUCCUGUGUCCUUAAACUGGCAUUCAAAACUUAAAAAAAAAUGCCCACCUCAAUUUUCCAAACUUAUUAUCCAGAGCUUUUACAAAAAAGGUCUAGAUUACUCUUUUGGGUCAUGCGUGUCUAGGCUUUGAGUCCGGAUUUAUCACAUAUCUGUUUUAUUACUUAAAACAAGCUAUAUCAACUCUAGUAGGCAUCAUUAAAAAACAUAGCUUGUUGUAAGUAACCAAACUGAUGUGACAAAAUUGGACUUAAAGUCUAGGUCAAAGGGAGCAUCUGUGGUUUAAGGAAGGGUGGGAGUCAUGACUCCUCGUUUCUUCCUCUCCUGCUUUCAUAUGAUUUUAUUAAAAGCAUUAUUCUGGACACAUUGCUCUGGGUUCUAGAACCCAGCUCUUCCCCCCCUCUCCCCUGCCCCACCAUCCCUCCAUCUGUAGAGUUACUGAAUCACAAUCACUUUAUAGAAUUUGAGUCUUGGUCAGGGGCUCCUUCGAGGAGCUGCCUCUCAGGAAAUUCGUGUGACUGUCACUGCGCCAGACCCACCGCAGUGUCCAGUGUGUAAUCUCUUCCUAAGAAAUAGCUGCCAAUCAAUUGAUUAGGGAUAGCUACAGAUUCCUCUGGCGGCGAGAGAUGAUGCAGGAUUUUCAAGAUACUUCAGUAACACACCAAAUCAUCGGUUGGCUUUUAACAAAAAUGAAUUCAAUUGCAAAGGUGACUCAGUAUUCUUUGGAUAUUAAAACAAUGAGUGCGUUAUCGAUUGACUCUAGUAGAAAGAAGUGCCUUCAGGUGAAGGAGCAAAGCACGGCUGUGUCAUCAGGCUGAAGUCUGUCCCUGAAGCAGCAGAACUAGUGAUUAAUCCUUAGAGAUGAGAUACUGGGUUGGACGACAUUUUAUGGAAGAACGUCAAGAAAUAAUGCCACUCGGUUAUCUCUAUGUUAAUUUACUCUUUACUAUAUAAUUGAAAUAGUUAUUUGAAAUAGUGACAGAACUUUACGUUAAGUUGUUUUAAUACGACGAAAUUCGUCAGAUACCAGAGUCAUAAUUUUUAUAAUUUUAUUUUUGUUUAAUGUACAUACGAUACAUGAAAGUCAGCAAGAAUAUUCGUUAAGGCCUAUUUGUAGCAAGCUGCAGAAAUCCAAUCUGAAUGAAUUUAAGUCAGUGAGAAGGGGACAGAGAACUACUAGAAGAAUAUCUGAAAAGCUUAUAAGACAGCCGAGCCUCCAGGAGGACAAGGAUCACAGGAAAACUGGAGAAAGUACCUUACUCACAUGUUGCCAAGACCUUCUCUCCCUCCUCCCACUCUGUACUGGCUUCACUCACCUCUCCCAUCACGGAACAUCUUUUUCCAGAAUUCCAGAGAAGAAUUUUAAUUGGCCCAACUUUGUUCCUUCCUUCCGACCCCGUAAACUAGGCCAAAAAAGCAACAUCACUUGCACAAAACGGUUGCCCCCACAGUACCCACGUGGGCGGGAGGGCAAAGUGGGAUGCUGGGAAUAAAGCAAUGUGACUAGUUUAAUAAGUCUUAUUUUAUGAUUACUUUUUAUUUGAGAGAGAGAGAGAGUGCGUGCACAUACACACACACACACACACACUCGAGAGUGAGCGGGGGAGGGGCAGAGAGAGAGAGAAAGAGAGAGAGAGAGAGAGAGGGAGAAUCCCAAACAGGCUCUACACUCUGCAUGGACCCCGACACAGGGCUUGAUGACCUGAUCUGAAACCAAGAGUCAGACCUCAACCAACUGAGCCUAGUUUAAUAACUUUUAAACAUACACCUUAAUGGAAUUAUUUAGGAGUCAACCCAGCAGUUCUCUUCAGUGAGUGAAGGUUUGAAACAAAGAACAUCUUUCUAUUUAAUGGUAAUUCCAAUGAUAUAUUUUGAGUGUUAUGACAUUGUUAUGAGGACUCUCACUGUAUGUAUACAUCUCUGUAAGGAAUUUAAAAAAUAUGUGAGAUGUAUUAAAUUUUGUUGACUUACUUGUUUAAAAAGUUGUUUUGGCCACCGUGUCUGAUAAGAAUGGUGAAACUCCUAAGUGACAUAGUAACGUCCAUUCUAGAAACACAGGAAGAUAAGCUCCCUGCUCCUUCGGAGGCGAUGCUUUCACAGUUGUUUGCAGCUAGCUCCCACCUGAGUCAGCCCAAAGGAGCACAACAGACAAACAACCAUGCUGAUCAUCUAGAUGAUUUAAAUAGUGAUUGAUUUUGUGGAGCCGCUAACAUUUCUUUCUGGUUUUCAUCAUCCAAGUAUUUCACAUUGACAGAAAAAUGCGAGGAAGACUCGAACUGACGUUUAAUACACGCUACACACAUACAAACAUAUUAAUAGUUUGCCAAAUGCCUUUAGAUCUUUGCUUCCUUAAGCAAUUAAAUGGUCAUGCACAGUUCCAGGCUCUUCUGGGCUCCUCCCUCAUCCCAACCCCUUGUCUCCCUCCCAGAAAUGAUCCUCACCUUGCAAUGGGAGUAUGUCUUCCUGUCCAGGUUUUUAUAUUUUCCCCACGUGUGUAUAUAGACACGAACAAUGUCUGGCACCAUUUUUGUGUAAGUUUGGAUAUUUGCGUCGUUGGUAGCAUGUUCUAAAGGAAUCCCUUCUGCAACUCGAACUUUGUUUUCACUCUGUAUUGUUUCCUGAAUUGAAGUGUGUUGAAACAUGGUGUCACAAGGUAAGUUAGCCUGUUAUUUUACCGCUGAACAACAUUCCAGGGUAUGUCCCUAUUGAUGAGGACGUAUUUAGUUCUACUAAUGCAAACAGUACAGGAUGAGCAUCCUUAUGGAUAUCUUCUUGUGUAGAGUCUAGAAUUUCUCGAGGCUAGAUCUCCAGCUCCUGGACUGAUGGCCACUGGGUGUAUGAGUCUUUAACUUCAGCAGGCGUUACCAAAUUGUCUUCGAAGUUGUAGUAAUAGACGGUAGUGCCUGAACUUCCUUAUUCUGCAUCCUCACCAGUAUUUGGUAUUGUGAUACUUUUUAAUGUUCGCCAGUCUGAUGGUCUCUCACUGUGGUUUCGGUUACCACUUUCCUGAUUAUUAGUGAAUGUGAGCAUCUUAGUUUUGAAGUAUUUGAGUGUCUUCCUGAGUGAAUUGACUGGUAACAUCAUUGGCUUCUUUUGAAAAUUGAGUUUUGUGUUUAUUUCUGUUACUAAUUUGUGUAAGUGUAAGCUCUGAGAAAAGAAUUCUAUGUGACUUAAUAUGCUUUGCAUAUAUCUUCUCCCAGCAUACAGCUUAAGUUUUAAUUUUUUGAAAAAUUUUUAACGUUUAUUUAUUUUUGAGAGAGAGAGAGAGAGAGAGAGAGAGAGAGAGAGAGAGAGAAUCCGAGGUAGGCUCCAGGCUCUGAACUGUCAGCACAGAGUCUGACUUGGGGCCCAAGCCCAUGAACUGUGAGAUCAUUACCUGAGCUGAAGUCGGAUGCUUAACCUAUUGAGCCACUCAGGCACCCCAAGUUUUUAUUUUUUAAUCGAAUUUUAUUAACAUGUGUUCAAAAAUUCAAGAGAACAAAGAUAAUACAGUCUGCCUCCCAUCCCUGCCCUCCAGCCCUACAGGUUUCCUCCCCAGGGGCUACCUAUAGGAUCAGUUUCUUGAGUAUCUUUUCUAAAGUAGUCUUUGCAUAUAAGUGUGUACAUACAUAUGCAUACAUGCAUGUAUGUAAUUCUUUUUCAUUACACAGAUUAUAGCAAACCAUACAAACUGUUUUAUACUUUUUAUUUUCACCUAAUAUAUUUUGAAGUGAAAUAAAAUUUGGCCCCCAGAUUUUCUUGACGUUCCUUUCAUUGAGAAACGAGGGUUGUAUGGCCCCUCUCCUUGAAUUUGGGAGCAUCUGUGACUGCUUCAACCAGUCACGUAUGGCUGAGGUGAUGCAAUGUGAUGUUCUUUCCUUUUUCUUGUUGUUGUUAAUUUUUUUUAAUGUUUAUUUUUGAGAAAGAAAGAGAGAGAGUGUGUGUGAGUGGGGGAGGGACAGAGAGAGAAGGAGACAUAGAAUCCAAAGCAGGCUCCAGGCUCCAAGCUCUCAGCACAGAGCCCGACGUGGGGCUGGAACUCACGAACCGCGAGAUCAUGACCUGAGCCAAAGUCGGACACUUAACCCACUGAGCCUUCCAGGCGCCCUGUGACUUUCAAUACUCAAUCAGAAAAGGCCCUGAAGUUUCCCCUGGUCCUCUUGGAAUGCUCACUCUAUGGGGAAGCCAGUGGUCAUGGAAGAAGUCUGCCUAUCCCGAGACCACCAUGCUGGAAAAUUCACCUGCAGGUGCAAGGGUGAAGGGCCCCUGGGGACUGCCAGCCACGUGAGUCUACCUGUGGAACCUUCAGAUGAUGCCAUCCCCAGCCAGCAUCUGACUAAGCCACACCAGAGCACCCACCUGAGGACUAAGUGCCUAGUGAGCCCUUCCUGAGUUGCUGGCCCCAAACUUACGAACCACAGAAAAUACGUGUUGUUUUAUAUUGCUAAGCUUUGGAGUCAUUUGUUACAUAGCACUAGUAACCAGAAUCAUUAUUAUAGAGCAAAAUAGAACUUAUGGUGAACAUUUUUUAAAAAUUACAAAGGAACAUAUAUUGUAGUGAUAAAUAAUUGAAAAAGAGAAACAUGCUUUAGACGUAUUUAUGCAUCAGAAACCUAGGCCUGGAAUGCUCAAAGACAGAAUGGGAAAACCUAUAAGAAGAAACCAAUGAAUCCUUAUAAUAGGAGAUAACGGACAUUUUUCUCAGAUAAUAAUGGACUUAGGAGACAAAACCUAUAAGAAUUUAGAGGAUGUGAGUGACAUGUUUAACUAACAUAAUGAAAAGAAUUCUUUGCAUAAAAUAAAAGCCAAUGUGCAUUUUUUUCUAACACACAUGACACAUUGACAAAAAAAUUGACAAAAAUUACAUCCCACUUAACUAAAACUUUGUAUAGAUAAAAAAAAAUUACACACAGACCACUUUUACUGGCAAUUAAGAUGGAUUUUGAAAUCUGCAGUAAAAAUGUGGUCAAAAUCUGUACAUACCUACCAUUUCUAAAGAAUUUUCUCAUGAGAAAAGUCAAAUGGAGGUGACAUCCGCUUAGAAGUAGAAACAGUGAAAGCUCUAGAUACGUCAGCCUGUAGAAUAUCACCAAAUCAGAAUGCAAGAGGGGAAAUUCAUAGCCUUCAGUGAAUGUUAGACAAAAAAUACUGAAAAACAAUGAAUUAAAAUUUUACGUUAAGAACUUUCAUUUUAAAAGUUAAACAGACGAUUCUAAAGAAAGUGGGAAAAAAUGAGGACAAUAGAAAAAGUUGGGUUGACCAAUGUAUUAGUUCCUAAGUAAGGCUGGUAUAGCAAAUUCCCACAGACUGACUGUCUUAAAAUGACAGAAAUUUAUCCUUUCACAGUCUGGAGGCCAGAAGUCUGAAAUCCAGGGGUGGGCAAGACCGUGUUCCCUCCAUCGUUCAUAGUUCAUAGUGGAGGGCCCUUCCUUGUUUCCUGCCCUCCCCCCCCCCACUUCUGGUGCCCAAGCAUCCCCUGACUUGAAUCAGCAUCGCUCCAUACUUUGCCUCUGUCUCCCCAUGCUCUUCUCCUCUGUGUCUGUGUCUUCUCUUCUGUCAUUUAUGAGGACAUUUGUCAUUGGAUUUAGAGCCAAGUUGGAUAAUCCAGGAUAAUCUCAUCUGAAGAUCCUUAAGUUAAUUACUUCUGCAAAGACUUUUUUCAGAUGUGCUGCUGGGGAUGAUAAUGUGAACGUACCUUUUUGGGGGCCACCAUUCAACCCUCUACAAGUAAUCAAAUCAAAAGGUGGUGUUCAAUAAUACCAAAUGCACUAAAUUAAGUGAUUACUCAAAAGUUCAAAUUAAGAGACUAAUUGCACAAAUUUAACACUCACUCGUGGUAAACACUCUUUGUGAGUUGGGAGGAGAAGAAAUCUUUCUUAACUUCAUAAGAGAUAUCUUCCCGAAUUUCUGAUCAGGGUGAUACUUUUGAAAAAUCCUCAUUCAAAUCAAGGAUGCUCACCCUCACCGCUACUUUUCCACGUGGUCCCAGAGAUCCUUGCUAAUGCAUUAAGAUGAGAAGCCCGUAAGAUGUAGACUUCUUGAGCAGGAGCCAUACUGUUUGGGGUGGCCAAAUCGAAAACAGGUGCCAAACUCUGAAAAGAAGACAUUCGCAAGAGAAAAAUUACUGGCUUUUCUAUACAUGAGUGAUAGUGACAUAGGACAUAUAACGAGGAAAAAUGAUUAUGUUCUUACUUAGUAACAGUGAGUGUAAAGUGCCUACAAUAAUACCUAAGCAAAAUAACCAUAGUCUUUAUGGAGAAAACUAUAAAAAAUUAAUGAAAUCUAUAAAAUAAAACGUGAAUCUAGAGCUGUAUCACGUUCAUGUAUUAUAAAACUGUCAAUGCUACACAAAUCAUAAAAAGUUUUGCAAAAAUUGUAAAGUUUGCUAAUGCCGAGGGGAGGGGAAGGUCUGGACCCAGAGCUGCCAUGUGCUCUGAGAAAAGACUGAGCCAGCACAGACACCUGGAUGGCAUUUUGGCAGGAACUGUUAGAAUUCAAAUAGGCAUCUCCUGUCACCUGGAGAUUCCACUACCUAGUAUUUGCUCUCAGGAUAUACUUGCACAUGAACAAAGGGAGGCCCAUUUAAUGAUGUUCAGACAACCUAAAUGUCCAUCCUCUAGGGAACAACUAAAAAAUAAAUGUUGAUACAUUUGCAUGAUGAGACUAAUUAGCAAUUUAAAGUUGACCUAUGUGAUCUAAUAUGCACAUACCACUCGAAACCUCUGAGUCAUAGAAGAUGUCCAGUAUCAUGCUAUUCACCUAAGAAAUACCAAACACCACAGUCAUCCUUUUUUUUUUUUAGAUUUUUUAAAGUUUAUUUAUUUUGAGAGAGAGAGAGAAUGAGUGGAGGAAGGGUAGAGAGAGGGGGAGAGGAUCGGAAGCGGGCUCUGUGUCACAGGAGGAUGCCUGAUGCGGGGCUCAAACUCGCGAACUGUGAGAUCGUGACCUGGGCCAAAGUUGGACACUUACCCGACUGGAGCACCCAGGCGCCUGAACACCACAGUCAUUCUUAACAGGUCCAUCUGUGCAUGUAAGAAUUAGUAGAGAAGACUCUGGAAGGGUACACACCAAACUCUUCAGAGCGGUUAUGUUUCAGAGUGAUGUCAGAUUUCAGUAUCGUCUAUAAUAAUUUUACUUUUGUUCGACCAGAAUACCUUAAAAAUAAUAAAAGAAAGAACAAACAAUGGAGCUGCCCAUACCAAGAAAACAUGGGAGAGAUUUUUAACUAAAAAGAGUCAAAUUAAAAUUUUCUUGGCAGGAGUGACUAAUUGCAGUUAUUUAUAAAAUAUACUGUCUUCCACCAACUUUUAUGAGCACUACUCUGUUCUGAGGACUGUGCCAGGUAUUUGACAUCAGGGAGAACAGAGGUUGGAGGUUGGAAGCUUUUGGAGCUUUAACUUGUUGUGGAAGAAAACUGACCAUAAAAUAAUAGAAACAUUCAUUGAAGAGUGUGUUAGAAGCUGAUGAGUCCUAUAGACAAAGAAACAAACGAAAGAGGUUAAGGUGGAUGGGUGGGGGGGUGAAAUUUUCAGUAGACAUGUCCAGGUGUCCUCAUUGAAGCGGUGACUUAUGAGCGAAGAUUUGGAAGGGUGAGAGAGUCACCGGGUGAAUAUCUGGGGUGUUACUGGCGUACCGCAUUUCCCAAGGUGGCUGGGUCAACGAGGGAUUAUCAUAUGUGUUUCAGAUGCAUUUUCUGUAUAAUGAAGUCUCUUAAUAAAUUAUCUCCUCUAUUUCAUACCACGUCAGAACAGAAGGUCGCCACAGAUGUAUGGCAAUGCCUUAUUGAUUCCCUUAUUGAACGGAAUCGGUUUUAUUUCUGUAUAAGCGUUCAAUGGCAUAUAAUUAAAUCAAACAUUACUUUGACCAUUUCAGUUUAUUUUACCUCUCGAUCUGCAAUAUAGGAUCACAGCACUGGCCGCAUAUGAAAAAGGAAAUCAGAUGUCUUUUCAAAACGGAGCGUCCCCGUGAGCAUUCCGGUUUUACGGACAGUGGUCGUAGGCUCCCCCGCCCCCAUUAGCACCUCCAUGCCAUCACCAGCGGAGGGGGGAGUCCACACCCCUCCUUCCUGCCAUCUGUGUCCCACUUCACUCUUCUUCAGAAAGUGAGGUCUGCAGCACUUAGGAACAUCCCACCUGUUUGAAAAUCAAGGCUGGGGGGCUCUCUCCAGGGUCGGGAUUUUCUCUGUGAGGUGGAUAUAAUGGGUGGGUUGGUCCCUGGUGCUCUGACUCAGGAGGGAGAACACAAGCAGAGGAAGGACAGUCUCACAGUAGUGGGAGGGAAGGGGCAAGUGGGGAAGGGCUCUGGGUGAUGCUGGAGGGGAUUGGAGGUGGAGAUCAGGCUGGAGAAUGAGAGGCUGUGGUUGACCUGUAGGUCUAAAGUGACAGGCAUUUUCAGUACACAGGAGAAAAGGGUCAUAGACAAAAGAGAGAGGAGAAGCUUGGUUGUAAGUGGCUUAAACAGAAUCGGGACCUGAAGCAGGAUUAGCUCGUAAUCUAAUCUGCUUUGGAGUUACCAUUAGCCAAAGUGAGUUCGAGGUCAGUGUCUUUGAGCUAUAAAGAAAACUAGGUUUAAAACUUCAUUCAGGAACAGAGAUAGUGAGGCAACACCUCUGAUGUUACCUCCCCGGUAGCAGGGGCAGAAAAUUCCUUGUUGAUCCAAGGGCUGAGCACAUGGAAGGAUGUCAUCUUCUCUAGAUCUGUAUCCCCAUUCACUCACCAACACUUGGCACCAGUGUUCGUUUUCUAGAAGCUGGGGUGGUCUUCUGGGAGCAGGGGCUUAGCAAGUUAGGUGUGCAAGAGGUUAACUGGGGGGUUGGGGGUUAAGGCCUGUGAAAGAUAAAAGGCAGAGGAAGUAGGAUAGGGAGGGGAGAGCCUCAGACAGUUGCUGCCCUCCACCAACCCACUGGGGAGCUGGGUACAAGGAGUGCCCCUGGGCCAAGGCAAAGCCUCAGUCUAGGCAGACACCCAGUAGGUGCCCUGUGGUGCUCUGUUGUGCGUUUAUCAGCUACUGUGGCCUGGGAAAGGCUGUCCUCGGCGCGACGGCAGAGGUGGGUCCUGAGGGUGGUCACAGCAGGGCCAUCAGCUCUGUCCACUCCGGACUCACUUCCUGAGGGUGAAAGGGAACUCUUUGCAGAAGGGAGAGCUGAGCUGGGCCUCUCUUGGCUGCCGCGCCUGUGUGUUGUGUCUCCACUUCUCAGUCCGCACCCCCGGGGUCCAGGAGUCUCCCUUUCUGGACACUUUGAGGAAGGAAGGCAGUACAGCUGGAGAGACAAAGAGCCGUGUUCGGUUCCUCUGAGCCUGCUGUCACCUCUGCUGGUCUGAGUCACCUCCCUGAUGGUGUGACCCAACCUGCUCAGCCUCUGAGCUCCCGGUCACCACACACUUCUCAGGCCAGGGCCAGUGCAUGUGUCCCUUCACAGUAUAAUUGGUCAAGGAGCGCCAGGAAGUGCUCGGGUGGACAGAAUCCCACACAUAUUCCUCUUGUCUCAAUUUAUAAACAAGCAGAGACAUUUUCCUGCCUUGGGAGUCCGUCAGCUGGGUCCCCUUCUGCCCCACACAACCACAGGUGCAAGCUUGGGGACAGGCCCUGGAUUACUUGCAGCAGACGUGACGUGCCUGUUCGUGCAGUGGACGUUUGCCCUCGUGUCUGGCUCCCGGUCAACCCUAGACGUUCCAGUCCCUCUCCGGAAGGGCUGCGGCUGGGCAGUCCGGCUUGGUUACUUGGUGGGUCUAGGACCCGGUUUAUGAUGGGUGGUGCAGGACGUAGGUACCUGGGGUCCCAUGGCAAGGGGGCCCUCCACCAGGACCUAAUGAUAACACGUUAGGGGCUGUUUUCCGACGUGCAUACAGUCCUCCGCUGCAGACAGCGUGUCCUCGCUCCAGAAACUCAGGGGCCAGCUUUCUGUUUCUUUGCUUGGGAUUGACAUAUGCUGUAUAGUCCACCUUUUUUUUUUUUUCCACCACUGACACCUCCAAGCUCAUGGGGUCUACAGGUCAUAUCGCCAAAGCAGCAAGGCUGGCCGCUACCAGUCUGGAUCUGUUGCAGAACUCAGUCCUAUUCCAAACCCCGCUCAGGCUGCCUUUCAUGUUACUGGGCACGUGGACUGGAGAUGCAAAUGAGUACUGUUGCUUGCUCCGUGCGAAUGGUGUUUCUGAUCCUCCCUCCUGAUGGGGGUAGAGAAGAAUGCACUUGGUAACGUGGUGGCCAUAUACCAGAUGUCUGAGGCCAUAUCCGUCUGCCCUAGCAAAGACACUCCAGGAUCUUUCUGGUUUCUGUAGGAUCCACCCUGGUGAAUUGAAUGGAGGUAUGACCGCAAACACCACCCUGCGUUCGUGAGAUGUUCAAGAGUAACGCUAAUCUCUAUCGCCCUCUCCUCUUCCCUGAGUGUAAUAUUGUUUUUUGGUUUACUAUCUUAGCUUAGGGUGGGGGUUGGAGGUCAGUUACAGCGAUUUCCUCUGACAGAACGUUGCACUCUGAAGGCAUUAGCUGCUGGAGGCAGCUGCUGACAGACCAACGGAAUGGGGAGAUCUUUCCUGAAGGGUCAUUGGUACCACCCUCUCCACAUCUGUGCGUCCUGACCUCAGGGUGUGUGUGGACCACUUGAGAAGCCUGGUAGAUGGAACACGGAUAGAAUAUGGGAUUAGGGGAAAAGCCAUCCAGGCUGUCUCAGCAACUGUUUUCUUGUUCGAUUUGGGGAAGUUAUUAAAUAUGUCUCUACUAGUUUCCUAAAUUAUAAACAUGGGCGAGUAGCCUAUACCAUGUCUUAUGGGGAUCCCGAGAAAGGUAAAUGCAAUGGAUCAUGUAGACAUGCUUCGAUUUAACUAGCAAUGAGCCCACACGCACAUACACGAGGCAUUAUAUCCGUGAGCUUGUCAUUCACCCAGCUGCUCCAUUCAUGAGUGUAUCGUGUUUUCAUAUUUCUGGAUAUUGUGCUAAAUCCAUUUAAUAGAGCCUUACAAGUGGGGUCACUAACCCAUUUUUUUGAUGAGGCAACGGAACCAGAGAAGUCUCUUGACUGGUGACACAGGCAGGAAGUGAGACCAGAAUCAGAAUGACUCCUUGGCCAGGGGUCUUGGGAGAUGCCCCACAAGCAAGGAUAAUGUUAGGUAAGCUUAGGUCACAUCAGCUAAAGGUUUUUAAGGUUUAGGGGAGAGAAAAUAACGAGAGACUUGGCACGAAGCCCUUAGACACCCAUCUCUGCUCCCUCCUCUCCGCUGAGCCCCUCAGGAAAGCUCCCUGAGAAGCUGAUACGCAUUCACACAGAAGCUGUGUGAACUACAACCCUGGGACCGCUCCUCCAACUGCCCCUCCCCCCCCCUCCCCCCCCCCAGUCUUUACUUUUCAACCACUUUCUCAGGAGAGGAUCUAGAAGUUUUCUGUCUCUGUAUCAUCUCAUGUCUGAUCUGUCCAGAAGUCUCUGGUGCUAACUCCAAAUAAGUCUCCAAUCCGACAGUUUGUCCCUGUGGCCAUCCUACCCUCCCAGUCUGUGAUUUCCCUCCUGACCCUCAUGACGACUUCAGUAGCUUUCCUCGUGGCUCCCGGCCUACCCUGCAGCCCACCGCCUGUGCCCUGCACAUCUGUUGGGGAAAUUUCAAGAGUGACUCAGUCACAUCACUCCCCCGUGCCUAGCAACCCGUUAUUCCUUGCUGCACCUUGAUUGGAAUCCAAGCUCCUUGGCAUGGCCAACAGGUCCACCUGCUCAUCUGUGGUAAACUGAGGCUGUGUGAGAAGACGAGGAUGCUGGGAAAGGUUCCCCCAUUGAGCGGCCCUGGAAUGCGAAGACAUUCAUGACCAUUGCAGUACAGUAGGCAAGAAAAAAAUGGGUUGACCUUUCAACAUUCCACUUAUGUUUGCCUCUGAAUUGAUUCUUUAUUCAGCAGUAUUUUUUUUCCAUCAAAACAAAGCACAGAAUACCACAAUCAAACAACCUUACUCCACCUUGCCUGCUGACGAUUUGUCUAUAAUUCCAAUGGAAAAAAAAACAAAAUCAAAACUGUCAUAGAAACAGGGGUUUUAGAGUGGAAAUAUUGAGCAACCUUCAGUUUGAGAGAACAAAGGACAUGCCAGUUACACAGCAUCACUUACGUUCAGAAGGCACAUGUGUAGGUGUUUGGAUAACUUACUUGUGUAGCUGACGCUGUUCUAUUAUCACAAAUGGAUGCGGCACAGAGUCUUUUAGUUGCCUUAUCUGUCUUCGAUGUUCCUCACACUGAUGAUAUCUAUAGCAACUGCGAUGCAUAAUUACCAUGCCGUCGCCACUCCCGUUAAACUGCAGGGAAGAAAAAUGAAGUCUCUCGUUCUCUUUCUCUAAUCUGUAUCUCAAGCGUUGCAGUGCCAUGGGUUGCAACCUGCCACAAAUGUAGGAUUGAAAAUACAUCUGGAUUAAACACCGAGUGAGGUUUUGAAUGACCCAGCCUCCAGACCGAUGGUCUCUUGGAAUUCGGGAGGCAAAAUAAUCACUUCUUGCUUUCUGUCUUUCCAUCAUCUGCAUAUGCCGUAUACAUUGAGUAUAUUGUAGACUGUGAGGCAGGCGGAAAAAGAAAGGAGUUAAUGACACCCAGGUUUUUAUACAAAGGGCUUCUGUUUCUGAGUCCUGGGUGGGGAAAGUGAAAUAGUUUGGUUUCAGGGAUUGAGCUUCUGACCAUGGAAUCCGUAUUGUCUUGAAUCUGGCUGGGUCACCAUGUUACUGGUGCAGAUACAUGCAGACAAGAGAAUAAGGCAGAAAGAUGUCAUAAAACCCCCUUGCCCCACUCUACACACCUGCCACUUGGGUACUACUUUCUUGAUUAUUUUAUGUCUAUGCAUCACUUUACUAUCAUUUAUCAGUAUCUUUAUUGAAAUAAAUUCAUUGUUUAAAUAUUAGUCUCACACUAAACAACAAUAUCCACAUAUCACAGUUUUAAUGCACUUCUUGUGUUUCUAAUACGUUUGCAAGGGGCACAUAGCUGACUAUUCUGUCUGGGGUAGUCACUGCCACUCAACUAGCCUUCAUUUCUGAUGUCUUUACUCUGAUUUUCCUUCAUCAAGCCUAUCAGUACCCACCCUUAUGCUAGGUCUUUAUUUAUGUCUUUAGUCUUUACUGCUCAUCAGAAGGAAGGUAGAAGCUUUGUCUUGUCCUGGUGGCUUUUCUCUCUGUGUCUACUCCAGUGACUGGUGCACAGUAGGCACUUAGCUAAUGUGAAAGUAAAAUAUGCUUCUCUGUAUAUCGUGUUUAGUCCCGGCAGAUUUACAACACUUAAAAGUCUUAGCUUAGAUAUUGAGUAGCCAACUACCCUGGCCACAUUGAGCCUACAAGGCUGUCUGGAUGGGAAAUGUGGGGGUCAUGGUGGACGGUGCUGGCCAACUUUCUAGCAUCUCCCCUCACCCGUGGCCUCAGGGGCUGGGGGGAGGCCUGACUGGUCCCAGGUGGCUCUUCCUCCUUGCUGAGAACAAGUUCAGAAGUGCCAGCCUAAGCCACGCACUCCCUGGUCACAGUUUUCCUUUCAGAAGCCGAUACAUGACUCAGAUCCAUGAAUGAAAUGCAAGGAGAGGUUCCUGGGAAAUGGUUCUUAUUCUUUAGAGCCUCCCGCAAAUCAUGCACUAUCCCUCUGAAAUGGUGUAACAGGUAGGACACGAGAAAGGGGUCAGGAGACCUGUCUUCAUACCGCAGACCUACUGUGUGAGCCUCUCUGAACCCACAUUUUUGAAGCGUAAAAUAAUAUAAUUAUCUGCACGUUCAAAUUUACAAUUAUUUUGGAAACGGAGUGAUUGCAAAAUGUUUUACAAACUAUAAAAUGCAAACGACAUCCUUUGUUUUUAAAAAAAAAAUGGUUGGAAACAGAUAGCUUGGGGUCAGCACGUCUGCACUCGUGAUCUGUAUGUACUCGUCCGCCCGACUUUACCGUGCCUUUGGCUCACCAUGGGCAUUGAGAACAGACUAGAGUGAAUGUAUACAAAACCGUGUCUAGAAAUGGUGAAGGACAGUUGGACGGGUUCAUUCUUUUUAUCCGGGCCUUCCUGGCAGAGUCCGUAUGACCUUCAACGCUUCAAGGUGUGUCACUGGCAGCAAUCUGGGACAAAACAGAAGGCCCGUAAAGUCACUUUGAAAACAUUUUAUGGUCCCGCUUCAGCAAAGAAACGCCUGCCACUCGAGUCCCUGUUUCCUUCUCCUUUCACUUUUGUUUACACGUGGAAAAUGAGUUUACCCUUGAGGUGGAAAACAGCAAAAUAUCCAACAUCAGAGAACGGUCAAUUAAGUUAUACAUGCAAAAGGUAUUAUGCAACCGUUACAUGAUUCUCAAAAACAGUUUUGUCAACAGGAAAUUGCUUAUACCAUUGCGGUGAGUGAAACAAUACCCAAGCACAUACACAUGUAUGUGCGCAUUCGCACAUAGAAAAUGAAAUGGAAGGGCUGUGUCAGGAUCUUAACAGUGAUUACCUUGGUUGACAAGAUCAGAGGUGAUGUUUCUUACUCUUUCGAAAAUUCCGCAAAUGUCCGUUUAUUGCUUUUACAUCCAGAAAAAAUCGAGUUAUGGAAUGUAAACUUACGCAGUGAGUGAAGGAGAUGUCAUUCUAUUAUGGUAUCUUUUUUUAAAGUAGUCUCGACACCUAACGUGGGGCUCAAACUCGUCACCCAAGACAGAGAGUUGCGUGCUCUUCCGACUGAACCAGCCAGGCACCCCAGUGCUAUUAUGAUAUCGAAUCUGCAUGUGAUUCACUGGCCUCCCUAGUUACUCAGGAUUACCUUUUGAAAAAAAAAAAAGAUUGUUGUAUUUUAUUUUAAUUUUGUUGAGAUAUAAUUGACAUGUAAUCGCAAUAUUUUAGUUUAAGGUGUGCAAUCACCAUUUGAUGUUUGUAUACAUUGAGAAGUGAUCACCAAAAUAACUUUAGUUGACAUCUAUCACCUUCCAUAGUUAUAAGAACAAUUUUUUUCUUGUGAUGAGAACUUUUAAGGCAUACUCUCUUAGCAACUCUCAAAUAUACAAUACAGUAUUAUUUUUUUAAUAUUUAUUUAUUUUUGAUAGAGAGAGAGAGAGAGAAUGAGCUGGGAGGAGCAGAGAGAAAGGGAGAGAAAAUCCCAAGCAGGCUCCACACUGUCAGUGCAGAGCUUGAUGAGGGGCUCGUACUCACAAACUGUGAGAUCAUGACCUAAGCUGAAAUCAAGAGUCAGACUCUUAUCCAACUGAGCCACCCAGGUACCCCUACAAUACAGUAUUAUUAACUUAAGUCACCAGGCUAUACAUUACAUCCCCCAGGCUUACUUUUUUUACAACCAGUAUCUUUGGACCCCUUUCACCCAUUUUACCCCACCCCCCACCCCACCCACUGCCUGUGGCAACCACCAAUCUGUUCUCUGUAUCUAUGAGUUUUGUUUUUUGUUUGUUUGUUUGUUUAAGUUUCUGUAUAUAAGUAAGAUCAUACUGUAUUUUUUUGAGUUUGCUUAUUUCACUUAGCAUUCUGCCCUCAAGAUCCACCCAUGUUGUUGCAAAUGGCAAGAUUUCUAAAGAUUUACUUUUUGAUGUAGAACUUGACAGAAUACCCCAAAGUAUGACUGACAUGACAGAAGAAUUUUUCAAGCCCUUAAGAAGACCAACUAGUGUUCAUUGUUUGCCUUCCCCUCGGGAUUUCAUUCGGAUCACGAUAUCAUGGACCUUGGAAUUUGAGCAAAUUCAGAGAACUUUACUUAGGGACUCACUUUAUGGGCACUGCCAACUUCAUGUAAUUUAUGACCUAGAAUCACCCCAGUAUAUUUUCUUGAGUCAGAACUCUAGCAACCCACAACCUGGAUUUUUCUGUUGUACAGCCCAAACCUCCAGUUUGAAAGCUGGGCCUGGGAAGCACACCGGCCCCAGUUUAUAUUUCAAAUAAACGUUGGACUUCUAGUUUACCAAAUCUAAUACCUAAAUAUACCUAACCAUAUUAUAAAUUUAUGUAUGUAAAAUAAACAUAUCUAAUGUAGUAUAUUUAAAUCAACUCAAUAUAGUGUCUAAAAAAGAGUACAUCAUUGGUCGUUCUAGUACUUAAAACUCUCACAUGUUUAGCAAGUAGCAGAAAAUGCACAAACUCGGCUCUAAUCAUUUCCUAACGAUUGUGUUUGUCUGUUUUGUGUUUUACUUGUUAAUUCCGGGCUCGAGAGCCUCUACUUGAUAUACAUUUAUCUCCCAUAAAAGUCCUGUUGCUUCUAAAGCUUCAUUCUCUCUCUCUGACUCCUCUGUUCAUUGCUCCACUGUACCCCCUUGUUGAGCUCCAGAGCCACUUGGUCACCCUCCUUCUCCAGAUCUCAAUUUGGAUUUCCCACCCGCACCUUUGUGCUUUUAAUCCAGAAUAGUGCUUUGACUCUCUGUCCUAUGAGAAUUCUCACUGAAUCCUAUGCGUUUUUGUCAUCAUCAUCCAGGCCACUCACCACAGUGUGGGAUAUAGAUUUGAUUUGUACCUAUUUCUUGUCACUUGUAUUAUAAUCAAUAAUUAAAUCAGGUAAAUCUGAAGUUGUCGGGCCUCUGAUUUCUGCUGCCACUAUCUCUGUCCUGUUUCAGGCCUUCAUGCCUUCUUUCCUGGGCUAUAGGGAUCCUGCUAGGAGACAAUUGCAAUAACUCAGACCAGAGAUUGUGGUUCGUGCACCAAACUGGUGGAUAGGUUUCAUGGAAAUAGUGGGAAAUGAUCUCAUCUGGAUAAUGGGUUUUGGAGAAAGAGCAUAAAGAUUUCCUGACAGAUUGGACAUGGGGAGUGAGAGAAAGAGAGAGGUCAAGGUUAGCUUCUAGCUCAGUUUGUGCACUGAGCAGCUGAAAGGAGGGGCUGUCAUUAAUUGAGAUGGGGAAGACCGCGGACAGAGUGCAUAUGGGGAAAGGAAGAGGAGGAUUUCACAUAUGGAUGUGUUACAUUUGAGAUGUCUGUUUCACAUCCAGAAGGAAAUGCAAGUAGGCCACUUACUGUACAAGACUGGCAUUGAGAGGAGAGAUUCAAGCGAGAGCCACAACUGUGAAAGUCAUUAGCAGAGACAUCAUGCUUAAAACCUUGAGACUCGAUGACAUCAAUAUAGAAAGGAGCAUCAAGGGGCGCCUGGGUGGCUCAGUCGGUUGAGCGUCUGACUUCGGUUCAGGUCAUGAUCUCGCGGUCCGUGAGUUCGAGCCCCACGUCGGGUUCUGUGUUGACAGCUCAGAGCCUGGAGCCUGUUUCAGAUUCUGUGUCUCCCUCUCUCUCUGACCCUCCACCGUUCAUGCUCUGUCUCUCUCUGUCUCAAAAAUAAAUAAAUGUUAAAAAAAAAAUUAAAAAAAAAAAAGAAAGGAGCAUCAAUAAAGACAUGAGGGGUCCGAGGACUGAGCUCGCAUGAACUCCCACAGACACAAGUGAGAUUGACGGGGAGAAACCAGCAAAGGAGGAGAGGUUAUAGUGCCCACUGAGUGAGGAGGGAAACCAGGGGGGUUUUCAGAGAACUGAAGUGAGAAAAACUAUUCCCAGAGCUAAUGCAUCAGUUUACUUUAGGGUAAAGCAUUUUCUAGCCAUAUCACGUGGAUGUCACCUAAGACGCAUUUUAUUCUUGAACUAGAUGGGACCAGCAACUAUUGAUGAACCACGUUCGAAAAUUUCUAACCUGUGUUCAAGCUUUAUCUAUAAAAAGACAUGCUGUCUCAACAUUUCAGUACAUGAAGCACUUCUUAAACUUUCAAUGACACAUAUUACCUAAAUAUGAUAUAGCAUGGAAGAAAAAAGAGUAAAUGCAAAUAAAGCAUGCUACAGACUGAAUGUUUGUGUCCCCCGCCCCCCACCCCAAGUCAUAUGUUAAAAUCUUAAACUCUGGAUGUGAGGGUAUUCAGAGGUGGGGGCCUUUGAGCAGUGAUUAUUAGGUGAUGAGGGUGGAGCUCUUACGAAUGGGAUUCGUACUCUUAUAAAAGAGACUCCAGAGAGUUCCCUUGCCCCUUCUAUCACGUGGGGGGUGAUAUGAGAAGUUGGCUGUCUAUGAACGAGGAAGUGAGGCCUCACCAGACACUGGAUCUGAUGGUACUUUGGGUUUGGACUUCCCAGUCUCUGAAAUUGUGAGAAAUAAAUUUCUGUUGUUACACCACCCAGUCUGUGGCAUUUUGUUAUAGCAAAAUGUCUCUCUCUUUGUCUCUAAGACAAAGCAUAAAAAAAAAUUAUCCUGAAUCCAAUAAUAUGAAUAUAACCAUUUAUUUAACUUGUUUAUACAUUUUGAGGUAAUGAACAUCAUUUUGAUGAGCUUUUAAUAUACAUAUGUAUAUCUUUAAAAAAAUUUUUUUCAAUGUUUAUUCAUUUUUAAGAGAGAGACAGAGCAUGAGUGGGAGGGGCGGAGAAAGAGGGAGACAGAAUCCAAAGCAGGCUCCAGGCUCUGAGCUGUCAGCACAGAGCCUGACAUGGGGCUUGAGCCCAUGAACUGUGAGGUCAUGACCUGAGCCAAAGUCAGACACUUAAUGGACUGAGCCACUGAGGCACCCCUGUAUAUCUUUUUGGAUAAUAUAAAAUAAUUUCCUUCAGGUGAAUUUCUAGAAUUAAUAUUUCUGGAUCCAAAGAUUUUGAAGAAUUCCAUUUAACUGUUUAAGUUGAUAGAAUCUGUGAUGUAUUUUAAUUCUUGGAUGCUAAGUUUCUUCUAUUGUUUUUCACUUCAUAAGUAUAGAUGUGUGCAUGUGAGUAUAUAUGUACUUGCACACUGAUUUUUUUCAGAUUUACUUGAUAUGUAAAAAUCUUGCUGGCAUUUUAAUUGGAAUUGCUUUAAACUUGUAUGAAAAUUUAAUUUUAAAUACAUAGAUUUUUUCAGCUAGGAACAUAGCAUGCUUCUUUUUUAAAGUUUAUUUAUUUUCAGAGAGAGAGAGAGAGGCAGGGAGGAGAGAGAGAAUCCCAAAAAGACUCCCAUUGUCAGCGCAGAGCCUGACAUGGGGCUUGAUCUCAUGAACCGUGAGAUCGUGACCUGAGCCGAAAUCAAGAGUUGGAUGGUUAACUGCCUGAACCACCCAGGCACGCCCCCCCGCCCCCCAUAGCAUGUGUCUUUAUUUAAUUAAACUUACUGAACAUCCCUUAGUUAUUUUUUAUCCCUUUCUUUUAUAUGCCAAAGUAAAGAUUACAUGAAUAAUACAGAGGACAUUUUUUCCAAAUUGUUGUAGAGUAAAUUAUCUAGAUGAUGUCCUAUCACCUCAAAUACUUUAGUAAUUCUUACAAGUAAGGGCAUAAUCACAACAUAGUAAAUUACCAUCCAAAUCAGGAAUUUAACUUGUUAGAUUUCUACCAUGCAUUCCAUAGACUCCAUUCAGAUACUUCCAGUUGUCCCAAUAAUGUCUUUUAUAGGAAAAUAAUCAAAUCUGGGAUGAAGUGUUGCAUUUAGUGGUAUGUCUUUUUAGACCCAUUCCAUCUGGUAUAGUUUCUAAGUCUUUCCUUAACUUCCAUGACUUUGGCACCUGAAUAUUAUAGACGUUUUUAUACACCCUCUGUCAACUUGAAUUUGUUUCUUCAUAUGGACCUUUGGCAGGAACAUCACAGAAGUGUUGCUACAUCCUUCUCAUUGCAUCCUAUCAGGCGGUGAAUGAUUCUGUUUGUCUCAUUACUGAUGUCCACUUAGAUCUCUUAAUUAAGAUGUCUUGUGGGUUGGAUUAUAUUUCCCAAGAAGAUAGGUUGAAGUCUUAAGUACCUGGCACCUAUGAGUGUCACCUUAUUUGGAAGUAAGGUCUUUGUGGAUGUAAUCAAGCUAAGAUGAGGUCAUGCUAGACUAUUAUGGGCCCUGAAUCUAAUGACUGAUUAAUACAAGGUAGUAUCUGCCAGAUUUCUCUACAACAAAAUUACUUUUUAAAUAGUAAAUAUGCUUUUUCUCACCUGAGGACUGUCUCUGAGAUUAGGUAGGAAAGUCCCUUGUAAAACUUCUACUCACCAGUUUUUAGCAUCUAAUGGUGCUUCUUCCUUUGUUAUUUAUCUUCAUUAUGGUUGUCAAAUGGUGACUUUUCUAAUGGCAUCAUUCCUUCUAUGUGUAUUUGUUGGCAUUCUACUCUAAGGAAGAGAUUGUGCCCUCCAUUUAUUUCUUUGUAUUUUUUUACCUGUGUAGAUUCACCAGUCAAGGGGUUAUAAGUUGCUAUUAUUACAGUGAUGCUCAGAUUGUCCCAGCAAGAAAACUCCUUCCAAUGGGUUCCUAUGCCCUUUUGACAUAUUCCAUUAUUCUUUGACACAACAAAACGGUUCACGUCCACUCUGUACUUUUCUGCCCCUGCCCUGGCCUUGUAGUCAGCCUCUUCUACAAGGAGCCACGGUUCUUUUUAGUGGAGGAUAUUUAAGAACCAGGUCUAGGUGCCACGUGUACCCAUUGCUGUGGAGGUGUUGCUGCACGCAGGCUCUCUCAGGGAACAGUGUUAAGAGGAUACAUGCAUCAGGGAUGCCCGGGUGUCUCGGUCAGUUAAGUGACCGACUCUUGAUCUCAGCUCAGGUCGUGAUCUCACAGUUUGUGAGAUUGAGCCCAGAGUCCAGCUCUGCACUGACAGCGUGGAGCCUGCUUGAGAUUCUCUCUCUCCCUGUCUCUCUCUAUGCUCCUCUCCCACUUACUCUCUCUCUCUCUCUCAAAAUAGAUAAACUUUAAAAAGAAAGAAACAUACAUCGAUACAGGCACACACAUACCACCGACAUCUGUAUGUGUUUCUCCAUCUAUUUAUAUACAUGCUGAAGACCAUGCUUCACACUCAGUACCUCCAAUUUGAGUCCUGCAACAUAGGGUUUAUUUUAUUUUCUCCUUUUUCAUACUUAUAACCCUUUCUCUGACAGUAAGAUGUAUGGCUUCCAGUAUUUUGUUAUUCGUUUAACAUCCUUGUAUUUAACCAAUCUCUUUCACUGCUUCCACCUCCAAAGCUUUCCCACACCCUGUGUGGAAUGCUUUUGUCAAAAAUCAAAACAAGCUGCUUCUGCUUCUCUGUGUAGAUACACCCCAAAGGUUUGGAGACCCCGAUGGACCAUAGAUGCACUGCAGUGGGAACCUCUUUUCACAGGAGGCAGCCAGGCCUCCAUGAUCCAUGCACUGUGUGGAUACCACCUUCACCUUGACUCCAAUAGCCUUGUCAUGUUGUGAGGAAGGAAGGAAGGAAGGAAGGAAGGAAGGAAGNNNNNNNNNNNNNNNNNNNNNNNNNNNNNNNNNNNNNNNNNNNNNNNNNNNNNNNNNNNNNNNNNNNNNNNNNNNNNNNNNNNNNNNNNNNNNNNNNNNNNNNNNNNNNNNNNNNNNNNNNNNNNNNNNNNNNNNNNNNNNNNNNNNNNNNNNNNNNNNNNNNNNNNNNNNNNNNNNNNNNNNNNNNNNNNNNNNNNNNNNNNNNNNNNNNNNNNNNNNNNNNNNNNNNNNNNNNNNNNNNNNNNNNNNNNNNNNNNNNNNNNNNNNNNNNNNNNNNNNNNNNNNNNNNNNNNNNNNNNNNNNNNNNNNNNNNNNNNNNNNNNNNNNNNNNNNNNNNNNNNNNNNNNNNNNNNNNNNNNNNNNNNNNNNNNNNNNNNNNNNNNNNNNNNNNNNNNNNNNNNNNNNNNNNNNNNNNNNNNNNNNNNNNNNNNNNNNNNNNNNNNNNNNNNNNNNNNNNNNNNNNNNNNNNNNNNNNNNNNNNNNNNNNNNNNNNNNNNNNNNNNNNNNNNNNNNNNNNNNNNNNNNNNNNNNNNNNNNNNAAGAAAGGAAGGAAGGAAGGAAGGAAGGAAGGAAAGAAGGAAGGAAGGAAAGAAGGAGGGAGGGAAGGAAGGAAGGGAGGGAGGGAGGAAGGGAGGAAGGGAGGGAGGGAGGAAGGAAGGAAGGAAGGGAGGGAGGAAGGAAGGGAGGAAAGAAGGAAGGAAAGAAAGAAGGAAGGAAAGAAGGAAGGAAGGAGGGAAGGAAGGAAGAAAGGGAGGGAGGGAGGAAGGGAGGAAGGAAGGAAGGAAGGAAGGAAGGAAGGAAAGAAGGAAGGGAGGAAGGAAGGAAGGAAAGAAAGAGGGAGGGAAGGAAGGAAGUAAGGGAGGGAGGGAGGGAGGAAGGAAGAAGUGAAGGCAGGCAUACUAUGUCUCAUCAUUUUUCAGUUGAUUCUCUUAGAUUUUCUAAAUCGCUCAUAAUAACAUCUGCAAAUAAUGAUAGAUCUCUCCUGACUUUCUGAUAUUUUAUCAAAUUGCACCUCUGGGAAAAUGUUGACUAAUAUGAAGCUAAUCUAUUUUGUCUUACUUAAAUGGAAAUGUUUCUAGUGUUUCAACUUUGUGCAAAUAUUGGCAGUUUGCUUGAGAUCGACUUUCUUAUAUUAGAACUAAAUACUAAUUCUUGUUUUACUUAGCUUUUGUUAAGAAUAAAUGUUGAGUUGUAGCAAAUGUAUUAUUGGCAUCUAUUGAGAUACUAGUUUGACUUUUUCCCUAUCAUAUAGUGAUAUACUCAAACACAUGAAUAAAUAUCUUACUAUUAACACAUCCUCACAUUUUUAGAAAAGAGACUAAUUGUUUAAGGCGCAUCGUUCUUUAACUUUAUGACUAUUUUAAAUGUGACUAUUUUUCAGGAAUUUUAUAUCAUUUAUCGUGCUGUCUUCUUCAUAUGUUGGUGUCGGGGUUAUACUAAUUCUGGAAAAUACAUCUAAAAGUUUUCCUCUCUAAUUUAUGCUUCAAAACACUUAAGUAAAAUAGAAGUGACUUGAAUUGUGGGCAACUUGUUUGUAAGGCAUUAGCUCACACGGCCAUUUUGAAAGGAAGAAGGUGUACCUCUAGGACAACUUUAAGUAUUUCUUCCAUUGUUGGCAAGCUAUUCAGAUAUUCUGCUUCUUCCUGAUAACAUUUUAGUCAUGUGUAUUUUCCUGAAGAAGAAUUUGUUUAAUCGAUACUUUUAACUUUACUUUCAAAGAGAGCUGUAACGUUUACCGUCUGUUCAUUCAUGUGCAUGUUCUUUUUAAAAUUUUCUUUCAAUGUUUAUUUAUUUUUGAGAGAGAGACACACACACAGUGUGAGUGGGGGAGGGGCAGAGAGAGAGAGGGAGACACAGAAUCCAAAGCAGACUCCAGGCUCUGAGCCGUCAGCACAGAGCCCGACGUGGGGCUCAAACUCAUGAACCGCGAGAUCAUGACCUGAGCCGAAGUCGGACGCCCCACCGACUGAGCCACCCAGGCGCCCCUCAUGUGCAUGUUCUUCUGUAAUACAUGUUGUGCAUCUUACUUCUCUCUCUUUUGCUCACAUCUCUCAGGCAGUUCUACCAGAGGUUUGUUUUUUCAGGGCUCAGCACAUUGCUCUGUAAAGGGCCAGGGAGGAAAAUAUAGUCUUUGUGGGCCAUACGGCCCCUGUCACAACUGUUGGCCUCUGCUCUUAUAGCAUGAAAGUAGCCAGAGACAGGACAUAAGUGAAUGAGGGGGGCCGGGUUCCCACACAACUUUAUUAUGGACACUGAAAUUAGAAUUUUGUAUAAUUUUCAUGUGUCAUGAAAUAUUAUUCCUCAUCUCACCCCCUGCCCCAAAUAUUUCAAAAUCUAAAAACCAUUUGAACUCCAGUAUAAUACAAAAACAGGUGGCAGGCAGGAUUUGGCCUGGAGGCCACAGUUUUCCAGCUCCUAAGCUAUUUCACAGAUUUGGGCAAAAAACAAACAAACCAAAACCCACUUACAUUCCUUUAUCACACCGAUAUCUAAUUCUUUGUUCUCUAAGUUACUUGACAUUGAAUAAUUUAGUCAUCCCUUCCAUCUACUUCUAUUAAUGUUGAUUUUUCUCUGUCUUCUUGAGUUAAAUGUUUAGUUUUUCUCUCUUAUUUUUCAUGAGUGUUCAAGUCUACAAAAAUCUGUAUAAUAAUAUAACAAACAACCGUAUCCUUAUUGCCCUGCUUAAUAAGUAAGAGAUUGCAAACAGAGAAAAGCACUUCCAUGGUUGGCUGCCUGGUGGACAAACUAACUUUCAUACCCUCCCAAUGGAAACCAUUUUAAAAAUAAAAAAAAUGCUGGAUUAAUUGUGUUUUGAAAUCUAUCACUGAGCGACAUAAACAGAAGGAGCCAACAGAAGGUUGAAAACAAUUUAAAAUCAGGGACCUCAAAGGGUUGAUCAAAAAGUGUCAAAGCAACAUUGGCCCUGGGAGGGUUAUUGCCAACUCUUUGUGAUCCAGAGCCUCUGUUGUGAUUCCUAAGGGAACACAGAGGGAAAGAAUUUCUCCUGGGCUCUCCCGAGCAAAGAGCUAGGGCCUGAGGGCUGCCCCUUAGGAGAGGAUGAAUACACGUUAAAAUAGCACGACUUGAACUGGCUCUGUGGGUGAAAAAAAUCACCUCCUGUGAGUACUUGUAACCCAGAGCGGCUUUCACACCCCCUUGGAGCCUGAAUUCAUCCCACCUAUGUGGCUGAAAAGCUGGAAUUGAGAGUUUAGUAUAAAGUGGAGAGUUUAAUAUGUAGAGUUUAAUAUCAGAUAAUGCUUUCAGGUGAUUGGCAGAAAAGCAAAUAAAAACCUUCUCGGAGCAAUGCUAUUUUCAGGUUGGUUUGAAAAAAUUUCUGCCAGGCACAUGGACAUACAUUUUAAAGUCUCCAAAGGAAAUUACAGAAAUAACUAAGCAUAACUCAGUCUGAACAUGGUUAAGAUAGUGGAACUAUCAGAUUUAGAAUAUAAAAUAAGUAGGUUUGGGGCGCCUGGUUGGCUCAGUCAGUUGGGCAUCCAACUUCGGCUCAGGUCAUGAGCUCGUGGUUCACGAGUUCAAGCCCUGCGUUGGGCUCAGUGCCGACAGCUCGGAGUUUGGAGCCUGCUUCGGAUUCUGUGUCUUCUUCUCUCUCUGCCCCUCCCCCAGUCAUACUCUGUCACUUUCUCUCUCUCAGAAAUAAAUGAAACAUUAAAAAAAUUUAAAUAAAAUAAGUAGGUUUUAAUGUAGAAAAGAGUGGCUUGAAAAUGAGAGAAUGUUGUGUGAUAUUAUAAAAUGACUUUGAAUAUUUGAAAAAGAAGAGGAUGAAGCAACUAGAAAUGAAAGAUAUGAUUUUUUUCAAGGUUAUAAACAGCGAAUUAGACCACACUAAAGAGAGAUUUGAAUUCAUGAAUAGAAGUUAGACUAAAAAUAUUGCCCAAAAUGUAACCCAGAGAAAAACAAAGAAAUGGAAGGAUGAAGAGCUGGCUAGAGAGAAAAUGACCAAUGUGUUAUAUACAUGUAAUAUAUAUUUCACAUAAAGGUAUUUGUAUUGAUAUGUGUGUAUGUGUAUAUGUAUAUAUGUGUAUAUAAUAAACAUACAUGUAUAUAUCAGAGUUCCAGGGGGAAAAAUAGUGUGAGGAUGAGGCAAAUAUAUUUUUGUGAAGAUUACAAAUAUAUUUUAUAUUUGUAAAAUAUAAUGGCUAGUAAUUUAUUUUUUAUUUUUUUUAUUUUUUUUUUCAAUGUUUAUUUAUUUUUUGGGGGACAGAGAGAGACAGAGCAUGAACGGGGGUGGGGCAGAGAGAGAGGGAGACACAGAAUCUGAAACAGGCUCCAGGCUCCGAGCCAUCAGCCCAGAGCCCGACGCGGGGCUCGAACUCACGGACCGCGAGAUCGUGACCUGGCCGAAGUCGGACGCUUAACCGACUGCGCCACCCAGGCGCCCCUAAUGGCUAGUAAUUUUACAGAAUUGUUGAGUGAUACCAAAUUCCAAAUCCAAGAAACCCCAAAAUUUCAAAGCCAAUUGCAAAGAAAUGUACACACAAUUAAAACUUCACAACACCAAAGGGAAUGACCAGUUAGAAAAGGGAGAUCACUGGGACGCCUGGGUGGCUCAGUCAGUGAGGCAGCUCAGGUCUUGAUCUCGCAGAUCGUGAGUUCGAGCCCCAUGUGGGACUCUGGUGCUGACAGCUCACAGCCUGGAGCCUGCUUCAGAUUCUGUCUCCCUCUCUCUCUGUCCCUCCCUUGCUCGUGCUCUGUCUCUCUCUCGCUCUCAAAAAUAAACAUUAAAAGAAAAAGGAAAAGGAAAAGGGAGAUCACUUAUAAGGAAAUAGAAAUUAUACUGACAGCUGAAUUUCUAGCAGUAACAGUGGAAGCCGGAAGAAAGGAAAAUAAUGCUUUAGUGUGCUGGGAGGGGCCAAAAAAGCAAAACGAUAUUUCAAGGAAAUAAGACCAUUGUUAAUUAUAUAGAAACAAUAUCUCUGGCGGGAAGGAUGAGAUUCCAAAAGGAGUGUGUGUAAAGGCAAUGGUAAACACGUAGACACAAUUUCAUAUUGUGAAUUUUUCUGCAUCUCGUGUUGUUUAGUGGCUCCAUGCAUCUCUGUUUUCCAGAAUUCAAUUAGAGGAGUUGAGUGCUAGACUCAAGUCUCCACCUUGAAAGAAAAAUUUGCUAGUUGAAAAAAAGUUCUAAAUAAAUGUAAUGCAUGGAUGUGGCACACAAGUAAAGAAAAAGCAGAAAAAUGAAUGUAAGGUAUCGGGGCGCCUGGUGGCUCAGUAGGUUAAGCGUCCCACUUCAGCUCAGGUCAUGAUCUCACCAUUCUCCAGUUCGAGCCCCCCGUCNNNNNNNNNNNNNNNNNNNNNNNNNNNNNNNNNNNNNNNNNNNNNNNNNNNNNNNNNNNNNNNNNNNNNNNNNNNNNNNNUCUCUCUCUCUCUCCCUCUCUCUCAAAAAUAAACAAAAAAAUAAAUGUAAGGCCUCAUAAUUUAUCAAUUAUUAAUAUUUCAUUAUAUUACUUUUAGUCUUACGUAUCGAGACUUUUCGCGUCGUUAGAUUCAUGUUAUAAUAAAAUGAGGCUUUUUCCAUAAUGUUGAAUAUUCUUCAGAAAUACCCCCUCUCUACCGCUACUUACUGUAUCCUUUGAGUGUGCAGUAAAGUAUCUGAGGGUAGCUACAUGCUCACCAAUCCCAUUUCUUCUUCUUGGGCACACAGGUUAUUUUUCCUAGCCUUCUGGCAUUAAUUUUGGGCCAGUGAUUAUGUUCUGGCCAGUGACAUAACAUGUAGAACUAAAGUAUAUCACACCCAGGGAAGGCCCUAAAAUACCUCGCGGGAUCCUCCUGUAGCUGAAGGCAGGGCCAGCGGAGGGCUCUGAUGAUGCCCUCAUGGUUGGCCAGGAGUCAGGAUCUAAAUGUUCUCAUAUUGGUGCUGAUCUAGAAGUAGACAGCUGGGGCCAGAGGACAUAAGAAUCAGGUUAUAGAGGGACACCUCGGGGGCUCAGUCGGUUGGGUGUGCCAUAUGGGAAUUAUAAUUGCCUAGUGCAAAAUUUCACUGUGCUAUUUAAAGGCAAUACUACAGGGGCGCCUGGGUGGCUCAGUCGGUUGAGCGUCCGACUACGGCUCAGGUCACGAUCUCACGGUUCUUGAGUUCGAGCCCCGCAUUGGGCUCUGUGCUGACAGCUCAGAGCCUGGAGCCUGCUUCCGAUUCUCUGUCUCCCUUUCUCUGUGUCCCUCCAUUGCUCACACUCUGUCUCUCUCUCUCAAAAGUAAAUAAACAUUAAAAAAAAUUUUUUUUUAAAGAAUGAGGUUAUAGAAUAUAACACAAUCAUCAUUUGGGGAAAAUAGCUAAAAAAAAAAAAGCUUCUAUACUGCUGUCAACUAAUUUCAGAAGAAAAACCCCAAUCUUAGGUAACCUCUAGUUACAGCUCUCAUUAGCUCAGGUGAAACCAUUUAUUUAUUGUUUGUAGUGACCACACCCUUUCCUGGGCAUCCAGAGCAGAUGUUUUAGAAAAAGUGCCCUAACGGCACUUUCUUUUUUUUUUNNNNNNNNNNNNNNNNNNNNNNNNNNNNNNNNNNNNNNNNNNNNNNNNNNNNNNNNNNNNNNNNNNNNNNNNNNNNNNNNNNNNNNNNNNNNNNNNNNNNNNNNNNNNNNNNNNNNNNNNNNNNNNNNNNNNNNNNNNNNNNNNNNNNNNNNNNNNNNNNNNNNNNNNNNNNNNNNNNNNNNNNNNNNNNNNNNNNNNNNNNNNNNNNNNNNNNNNNNNNNNNNNNNNNNNNNNNNNNNNNNNNNNNNNNNNNNNNNNNNNNNNNNNNNNNNNNNNNNNNNNNNNNNNNNNNNNNNNNNNNNNNNNNNNNNNNNNNNNNNNNNNNNNNNNNNNNNNNNNNNNNNNNNNNNNNNNNNNNNNNNNNNNNNNNNNNNNNNNNNNNNNNNNNNNNNNNNNNNNNNNNNNNNNNNNNNNNNNNNNNNNNNNNNNNNNNNNNNNNNNNNNNNNNNNNNNNNNNNNNNNNNNNNNNNNNNNNNNNNNNNNNNNNNNNNNNNNNNNNNNNNNNNNNNNNNNNNNNNNNNNNNNNNNNNNNNNNNNNNNNNNNNNNNNNNNNNNNNNNNNNNNNNNNNNNNNNNNNUCUCUACCCUUUGUCAUUUUACUGUUGGGUUUAGAAUAUAUUUUUUCAAAUCCAUGAACUUUUCAUAUAUUACUAGCAUGUUUCCCACUUUAUUGGUAGCUUUUACAGUUUAUGGUGUUUUUGAUGCAAAACUUUUAACUUUUUAAAUCAUAGGAAGUCAGACUUCUAAUUUUUUUGGUGUUUAUGANNNNNNNNNNNNNNNNNNNNNNNNNNNNNNNNNNNNNNNNNNNNNNNNNNNNNNNNNNNNNNNNNNNNNNNNNNNNNNNNNNNNNNNNNNNNNNNNNNNNNNNNNNNNNNNNNNNNNNNNNNNNNNNNUGCAGGUGGGAGUUCAUAUUUAACAUUAACAUUAAAAAUAAUUUUAGAAAACAAAAAUAUAAUUCUGCUCGUUGAUGGUACGCUUAUUGAGCAAGUGCUAACCGCUUUACGGGAGCCGCUUAAUUUAUCCUUGCAACAGUCCCACUUGAGAGAUGAGGACAAGGACCUACAGCACUUUCAGUGACCAGUCUAUGGUGACGGGGCUGGGGGGGGGGGGGGGGGGGGGGGGGGGGGGGGCNNNCGGGGGGAGGCGUGGGGGGCAGCUUACUCCACACCCCCGCGCUCCCACUCUUGGCUUCUGGGCUGCCUGGCAUCUUUUUCACGGAGGCGUGAGGGUGAUAUCUGUAGAGUCAAGCCGGUACUUUAUUGUACAUAAAUUCUUACCCAAACUCAGUGCAUUUCAUGAAGUAUCAUUUCUGUUCCGUUUCUCUCUCUGACUCCUGCAUUACCUCAUUAUUAAAAUAUGGGUGAUUCUCAAGGAAAUUAUAUGAAAUGUCACUCUACGUUAAGCUUUUAGCAUUUCCUCAACCUAAUUGCAACUUCAUCUUUUUUUUUUUUUUUUUUAAUUUCAGUGAUACCUUACUGACAUUUUCUUUGCUAAUUGACUCUUGGGAAAUUUUGAAUGUCCAUCCUUUUUAAUUGAGUAGUUAUUUGCACACUUGUCUUAGAUCCUAUGGUGGGUUACAACCUUUUUUUAAGACAUAGGCUUUAUCUGUAGCACCUACACUGUUUUCUCGUGCUUAUUCAGUAGAUCAUUGUCUGAUUUGAUUCUUUUAAAUUGGAGCAUGUGGAUUGAAUUUAGUUUAUUUAAAAAAUACUAUUGUAGUGCCUACGAUACUACCUGCCGGAUUUUGUUUUGAUGCGCACAGCCACUUAGUAACGCAGGAACUAUUACUGCCCCUUUCUCGAGGUGGGGAAAUAGAGGCACAGGUGAAUCGGAAUUUAAGCCCAGACGGCUGACUCUGGCCUGUGUGUUCUGUAUUCAGUGCGCUAUUCAGUGCUACCCAAUCUGAUGAUUGGAGCGUUAGGUGGUUGGAGAUGGCUGGUAUUUGAUGUUACCGUAGAGGCCGUAAGACUUCACUUAGACAGAUGGUAAAACACAGGUAGGCUGAGAGAGGGAGUAAGAGCUUUCCCAGCAGAAGAAACAGCUUACAUAACACGGCCAAAGCAGGAGCAUGUCGUUUGUGGAAAUCAAGCAGACUUCGAUGGCGGCUAUCUGUUGAGAGAUCACAUAACUUUGGGGGGGAAACAUGUUACCGACAAGUCCUUGUUAUUUUAAAAAAUAAUUUCUGAUCCCUACUUUUUUCUUUUUUUAAUCGGGUCUCAGCAAUUUUACAAUUCCACUCUCCCCUCGUAUUCCACUAUUUUUUUUUCCCGCUGUGUGCACAAUGCUAAAAAGAAAAACGAUGCCAAGCGGCAGGAGAAUUUGCAUGUUAAGUUUGGCUUGCAUUUUCCAGGCUGGGGUUGUGGCAAGUUGAGGGAAUUAUGUGGUCCCCAAUUUUUUCCAACAAGACAUCAUCGUCGAUUAUCUGGCUGCCAUCGCUCAUCACGGUGCAGCUGCUCCCCUGUUCUGUUUGUCCUAAGCUCUCUCGGACUCUGUGGAAGUCAGAUGGAGGCAGGGCAUCCCGGGGGGCAGGCUGGCUUAACAUAGGAGACAGGUUGGGCGUCAGUGAGGAGGCAGGCAGGACUGGCGGCACUGGUCUGCCUUCUGCAAACUAUUUUCUAUUUGAUAUGCUAACACAUUGCUGGGGCUGGUCUUCCUUAAUGCAAAAGGAAAAAAAAAAUAAAGCUUUUUUGUGGGAGACUCGAAAUGGUCCCCCGAAAUCUCUUUCCUUGUCGGUGUUUGACCUUCCUGCAGACGUCCCGUGACCGUUCCAUUUAGAAAAGGGGGAAGUUGGGGAGAUGUCAGAGAGCGAGAGAAUGAAAUUUUGCAUCAGGUAAAAUUUCUGCACAGAUAUUUCAGAAGGAUUCAUAAUUCUGUGGCUGUAUACAAAUGAUCCAUUUUGUUAAUCUGAAUUUCUAGGGUCAUUAAAAUUUUUUUCCUCUGCUCUGGCGUAGUUUAUUACUUAGAGAGAGAGGGGGGGAAAAGGCCAGUUUAAAACCAGGUAAGGCAAGAAAGCUGACAAAAACAUAAAUUAGAGGAAGAACUUAAUUUAAAAAGUGUCAAAAAGGAUAGAUAGUCUUAGUUCAAUAAUAAAGCUUGGUUCAAGAGCCUUCUAUCUUUAAAUAAAGCGUUCAAGCACUCUAUUACCUGUAUACAACCAAUCUUUGAUUUCCAAUCUAAGUCUAUUUUUGCUUCUCGUGAUUAGCAUACAAAUGUGAAAAAAAGAAAAAAGUGGCUACAUGCGUGACGAUUAGGACAUGCCUUUGACUUUAAUGUCACUGGUUUGUCAGGUUAGAGGUAAGGAAAUGAAUUGCUGCUUGACGGGCUCCUUAGAGGUAAAUCUCGUCCGAAAAUGACUCCUAUCCGUCUCCUUUUAUUCGCAUUGUAAGUUCAUCACGCGAACCGCAAGCACAUAAGCUUAUAUUUGUUUUAAAAGAAAUAAAGCGCGAUAGCAUACGGCAACUUGCGAACGCGGGCAGGCUGUGAGCUGUGGGCAGUGCUGUCUCCCUGCUCGGUAGCUGUGGGUGCAGACACGGCCUAAACGUGGGGCCGUGGGUCAAGAAUCGUGCGCUCCAGACACAGGAAAUGAGAGGGUGAAGCGUUGAGACAAGGCUCACGUUGGCUGCUGGCUCAAAGACAGGAGUGCCUGAGGCUGAAGGAAUCUUCCCUGGGCUUUAUCUCUGGGCCUGGUGUUGAAAGGCACCACCUGUCUGCAGGCUUUCUGAAAAUGGCACCGCAUUUACUCCUGUCUGUGUGGCGGGCAAGCCCGCACACCGGCUAAAAGGGGAAGCUCCCUGAUAAAGUUGCUCCCAAGGGACACGUGUCACCUCCCUGCCUACCAGUUUCCCCUGAAUCUUCCGGGGAACCUUCUCCAAAGAGAGGGUCCUCGACCGCGAGAGGCUCUGGCUGGCUUCCGGUGCCUGGGGUGUGCUGAAACAGCAAGCUUCCUGGCGGGGUGGUCCCGGGACGGGGGGCCUUGCGGAAACAGAGUUUCGCCUACAGCAUCGGUGGCUGCUGACGGAUGGCCCCAUUUACAUCAAAGGCAGUUAUUAUGCAUGAAACCGCUCAAGCAUCAUUUGUUUCAGGGAGUUCAACCAGUCCAUUUUUCAGUUCCCUUCUGGUUCAGGGUCAGAAGCAAAUGAAGGAUCUCAGGCUGGCUUCACUGAGGGCCAAUGAUACGUCCCCUGUAUUUACAGCAAAAUUGUUUAAAGAGUAUCAGACUUAGAGUAUGGGACAAUGUCCUUUCUGUCGGAAACUGUAAUAGGGCUCGAGCCCCUAUUCACGCUGCACACAGAUAAACUAUGCCUGGGACUCACUCGGACACUCACGGUUGUACACGUGUGAACAGUGUGCGGUAAGGAUGCCCACCGUGUGCAAAUACGUGUGGAAAACCAGGCCACGGGCCACUGUUGGAAAUGCCAAGUCAGUGAAUUUGAACUUAAAGGAAACCAUCUUAUUUCACUUUUUCAAAAAGUUGUUUAGAGAGAGAGGGAGAGUGUGUGUUUGUGCACGGGGGUGCUGCCAGGGGAGGGGCAGACAGAGGGAGAGGGAGAGAGAAUCUUAAGCAGGCUCUACGCCCAGCACAGAGCCCGACAAGGAUCGUGACCUGAGCAGAAAUCAGGAGUCAGGUGCUUAACUGACUGAGCCACCCAGGUGCCCCGUAUUUCGCUUUUAGAUAAGGCUUCAGGUUUCAUUCCAGGACAAGAAAUGACUGAUGUGGGUUUGGAGCUCCACUCAAAAGAUCACUAACAUUUGUACAGUGCGUUGUACUUUUAAAACAAUAUAUUAUGUGUAAGAGUGAGUAAGGCAUUAUCCGCACUUAUCAUCGAGGGAACCAAGUCUCCAAGAUGUGUUAGCACUAAGCAGGUAUGAAAGGACAUACUGAGCACUAUACAUGUUGUGUAAGUUACUCGCCACGGCAGCGUAAGUUGUGUGUAUGAAAUGUUCUUGCUUUUUUCCUUUUCCUUAAAUGGUCAGCACAGCCAGCUCUGUCCACACAGCAGGUGAGGGAGCUCCUCGGUGCUGAUGGCCGGGACCUCCAGGACAGGGUUGAACUGUGCAUCUGCCUACAUUUUAUCUCUCCUGCUAUCCCAUAUUACCUUUUUAGUAACUCUCUAAGGGAUCAUGAAAGUUAAUGGAGAAAUACAACACUUCCUAUAUAAUUUUGCAGAAGUGAGGCUUCUGUGACUUUGCACAUGUACCAAAAUCACAUUUGGGGGAGGGGAUCUGUAUGGAUGUAUAAAUGUCUACCCAUAUGGAGUUCAAAGUCCAGAGGGAACAGGCAUAAUUCUUAUGAUCUUCCCACCUUCUGCAGAUAUUGUUGAGGCCAUGACAGAACGAUGUAUUUUAAAAAAAAUUGUUCAAUGUUUAUUUUUGAGAAAGACACACAGAGUGUGAGUGGGGGAGAGGCAGAGAGAGCGGGAGACACAGAAUCCAAAGCAGGCUCCAGGUUCUGAGCUGUCAGCACGGAGCCUGACGUGGGGCUCGAACUCACGAAACUCACGUGAGAUCAUGACCUGAGCUGCAGUCAGACAUUUAACCCACUGAGCCACCCAGGUGCCCCGAUAGAACGAUAUUUAAUUUGAUGGGUUCCGUGUGCCUAUUUGUUCAUAGGAAAGAGGCCAAGAUAACUUCAUUAUACACAGAUCCCAUAUCUGAGAUUUGCUUCCUUUAUUUGAAGGGAGGAGGCAGAGUUGAUUGACAACCUAAUUUCUAAGCAUUAGUGUCUCAGUAUUACAAAACCAAGGCUCUGUGUUUAUUUGCUUGUGUAAGGUUUUGUAGAUGAGCCCCAUCAUUUAAAAACACUCAAUUGUAAAUCUGAAUAAAAGUAAAAACAAUUAAACUCAAUAGACACGCACUGGCAUUAAAUGCCUCCCUCAGUAUUCCCGGUGAUCGCUGAAGGGAAUGUCGAGCCAAGACUGUUCCCUAUAGGACGGCGUGCCGUAGCCUUAUUCAUUUUAUGUUAAUAACGCGGUAGAGUCCAGAGUGAGAAGAUCCUGCCCAAUGGAUACACACCUGAGGCUGCUUAAGGCAGUAGGUGAAUAUACUCGUAAGAAAUCAUACCUUCCAGUGUCACAUCACAUCUGCUAGCAGAUAUUUGGUGCCCACAGAAUAUAUUUAAUGAAACAUUUCUUCUGUUGGUCCACACACGUGCACAAAAUGUAGCCAGUCCUGUUUGUCUUGGUGCUGUUGUAUGAUGUGGUCCCAUCUGGCUUCCAAAUCCAGCACCUCUUACAUCAGGGCAUUUCUGUGUGUAAGUGAAGCGAUGCUGCUUUAUUAAUGCACACGAACAGGUGCUUCUUAAGCGCUGUGCCAGAAUGAAUGUGGGUUUUUUUUUUUUUCAGCAUUAUUGCACGGACCACUAGAAAUGGUACCAGUGAACAUAUUUCUAAAUUUUGAAGUUAAAUAUUUUUCAUGAGAAGAGAGUUAGUAGUAUCUGUUUUGGUGAUUUUCAGUAAAUACCAGAGAAGUUUAUGUACAUUUCCAGUCAUUGUAUGAAUACUAUGCAAAAGAAUGGCGAACGGGGGCGUCGGGGUGGCUCAGUUGGCUGAGCAUCUGACUCUAGAUUUCACCUCAGGUCAUGGUCUCACAGUUUGUGGGAUCGAGCCUCACGUUGGGCUCCAAGCUGAGAGCGCAAAGCCUGCUUUAGAUUCUCACUCUCUGCCCCUCCCAACGUGCUCUCUCUCUCUCUCUUUCAAAAUAAAUAAUAAAUAAACAUUAAAGAAAGAGGAUGGAGAACAUACUUAUUCAUGAAACUGGAAAGUUGAGAAAUAGAAAGGAAACACACUAUCAUAAGAGUUAUUGUAAACCAAAAGAUGAAAACAUACGAAAGUAUUUUGAGCAAAAAUCAGCAGUUACAGAUCUUUAAAGUGGAUGAAUUCUUCUGGAGUAUAAUUAAUGUAAAGUGUUUAUCAGUGGCAUUAUUACAGUGAUACCACAAGAGAGAAAUAGUCAAGUUUGCUUUAAUAUUUUACUUAGUUUCUAACAGUCUGAAACUUUUUUUGAUAAAUAGUAGGUUAAUUUUGUUUUUCCAAAGCAAACCACAGCAAGCCUCACAAGCACUCAGGACCUCAACAAACUAAUUGAGCUUCCGUGACGCGCCGGGUCUGGCCAGCCACUGUGGGCAAUUUAACAGAGCAGUGAGACAGCUCAGAGAUAGAGCACGUGUGACCUGUACACCGAAGGGAAGGGCAUCUGCCAAAAUACUGCAGUUCUUUUAGCAAAUAUUUGAUAACACCUACUUUGUGCUCAGCACUGGGGGUGAGACAGCGCACGAGGCUGAUGGGGUCUUCUGCCUGGGACCUCAUAUUGUGGUGGGGAGGAGACUCUGAGGUGAUGGUAAGUAUCAGGCAGUGAUUGGCACUGAGAUGGAACUGGCAGGGUGUUCUGACGGAGAGAGAUGAGGGCAGGGACUGAGGUGGUACUCUGGAGGCUUCACUGAGGAGAUGCCGUCCAAGCUGGUGAUGGGCAGACAAUAGCAUCCAGACACGGUAAAACGUGCCCUCGAGGGAACGAUCACGCACAGCCCUAGCAUGGGGCCAAGGUCAUAGGGAGCAUUACUCAGCCUUAAACGUAAGGUGUUUUUUUGUUUUUUGUUUUUUUUGAGAUUAAACCCCGUUUUUAUCAUCUGUAGCGAGGUAGCUUCUAAGUUGUUUUCUGGCCAGCAAGAGUUGGAAUCCUUUGAUUUUGCGGGCAGGUUGCUUGCUACAGUUCUGUUAUGUCUCACUGUAGUAUAGAUGCCAACAGAAGGUUCCCUAACGGCCACUCUGAGGAUCAUCUAGGAAAAUAGGAAACGAUUUCAGGACUUCCACCCAAGGACGCGGCACCCAGAGCCCGAGGCUGUAUCUUGAAGAUGAUGCUUCCCGCCUGUCCUUACCACCCACCAAAUCUGAUCCCUCGUUCGAAGCCCAGAGAGCCUGAGUUGACUCCUGUAAACUCUGUGUGAAUUAAGUUGUAAUAUUGAGGAGUCCCUGCCCACUCGUUCCAAUAAUGCAGCUUCUUCACUGCUCUUCUCCCCCUUUGACCUGUUCUGUCCAAAUUUCGUCUUGUACUGCUGAGUCUGCUCUGGACAAUAUAUUUUUUUAAAGUUUAUUUAUGUGUUUUGAGAGAGAGACAGAUGGAGCACAAGCAGGGCAGGAGCAGAGAGAGCAUGUCUGUUAGCGUGGAGCCCGAUGCAGGGCUCAAACUCAUGAACUGUGACAUUAGGACCUGAGCUGAAAUCAAGAGUCGGACGCUUUACUGACUGACCCACCCAGAUGCCCCUACUCUGGACAGUAUUUUUGAUGGCCUUUUUGCUGUUUUGAGAGUUAAUUACCACAGUCUUUAUCUUUCAAAACUUUCUGGUGAUAUUAGCACUACUUUUCAGGCAAUGCGGAGUGACAAUCUGUAUUUCUUUGAGACGCUUUUCUCAUCAUACUUUCUCAUUCUGGCCUCAUCUUGUGCUCUAACGCCCUCCUCUCUUUCUUCAGUCUUAUUUACAGAUUCUCUAAAGCUAUAUGAGGAUUCGGUGUUCCUACCUGAUGCGUCAAAGUCAGUGGCUUCUGCUGCUGAUGGAAUGGUUGUCCCCUGAGAGGGAGUUUUUGAUCUAGUCACAAGAGAACGCCAUUAGGUUCAGGUCUGAAUGGCCAAGUGGCCAUUUAACAUCUACUUUUUUCAUAAUGUUUGCUGUGGCUUUUUCUCAGAAAGGUUAGCUGGGGGAAGAAAGUUUUUCAAAGUGCUUAUAUAACAUGCUUUAUUUAGUGACAGACAUGUCAUGGCCCUUUCCUGCCCUCCCUCCCACCAUGGUAGUUGCCCAUAGCUCCUUUUACAGCCACAACCCGCUAUGUCGCUCUGUUUCUGGCUGACCAUGAGACAGCUGCUUGAAGCUGUGGGGUGGGUCCCGGAGCCUUCAAGUUGGUCUCUAAUCCUUCUUUGGAAGCCCAGAAAGACUGAAUUGACUUCUGUAAAAUUUGUGUGUUUUAAGUUGUAAUCGUGGGGGAGAGGGGAAAAUGGGUGAUGGGCAUUGAGGAGGGCACUUGUUGGGAUGAGCACUGGGUGUUAUAUGGAAGCCAAUUUGACAAUAAAUUAUAUUAAAAAUAAAUUAAUUAAAAAAUAAAAUAAAAUGGAGGUUAUUGCUCUGAAGAAAGAAGUUGUAAUAUGUAGGAGUCUCUGCCCACUAGUUCAGAUAAUGUAACUUUAUUUUAUAAAAUGCCUUGUAGUUUCUAGUUCAGAGCAUCUGUUGUGCUGGAUAGGCAGAAAAACCUAACUUCAAUCCUACCCGGUCUUCCCGACCCCACAGGCUGAUACAGUGCCCACGCUUGGGGUAGGAGUGACCUACUUUUCGGUCCACACAGUUUACUUGAUAUGUAGCCCCUGAGACCUGACCACUCCCUUUUCCAUUUUUGCUAUGCUGUCUCCCUUUCUCUCUACCUCUUCGGGGGGAAAUUCUAUGAAGAGUUAGUUUGAGAUAUUUAUUUGUGUCUAAAAGAUCCCUGACGGGACUAUGCUUUUAAAUUGCAUCUUUGUGGGGCGCCUGGGUGGCGCAGUCGGUUAAGCGUCCGACUUCAGCCAGGUCACGAUCUCGUGGUCCGUGAGUUCGAGCCCCGCGUCGGGCUCUGGGCUGAUGGCUCAGAGCCUGGAGCCUGUUUCCGAUUCUGUGUCUCCCUCUCUCUCUGCCCCUCCCCCAUUCAUGCUCUGUCUCUCGCUGUCCCAAAAAUAAAUAAACGUUGAAAAAAAAAAAAAAAUUAAAUUGCAUCUUUGUUUGUUUGUGUAAAAUAAAGUUAGAAAAGUUUUCCAGCCCUCCCCUACCUUGUCUCUAAGACAAGGAGCACAGAGACAUCACCUUCUUUCAUACAAUUUAAUACAAGGACAAAAAAGAAACUCAUUUAGAGAGCAAAACGUUAUCCAGACAAUCUUACUAUGUGCUGUUAGCAUGUAAUGUAAUUAUUUAGGACAUAUUCAGCAAUCCUUGCAAAAUUUUUGGUAUCUUGGAUAGAUUGAAUGUACAUUAAAAUUGGGGGAUGACUAUCAUUUUAAUAUCUUCUAUUUUAUCUGGACCUUUAUGUAUUUUGAUGUUAAUCUUUUAAAAGGCCUCCUAGAGGGGUGCCUGGGUGGCUCAGUUGGUUGAACGUCUCACUCUCAGUUUUGGCUCCGGUCAUGAUCCUGGGGUCGUGGGAUCAAGCCCCGAAUUGUGCUCUAUGCUGAGCGCGAAGCCAGUUUGGAAUAUUCGGUCUUUCUCUCUCCCCCCACCCCCCCCCACCAUUUGCUCGCUCUCUCUCAAAUAAUAAAUAAAUAAAUAAAUAAAUAAAUAAAUAAAUAAAUAAAGGCCUUCUAGAGUAGGUUUUUAUUUUUGAACAGUUUUCUUAUAAAAUUCAGUAAUAUGUUUCUGCCAUAGAUAUUGUGGAUAAAGUGUUUGCCCAGUCUUUCCUUUAGACCAGUGGUUCUCAAACUUGAGAGUGCGUCACGCUUAACCAAAAUCACCUCAAGGGCUUGUUAAACCACAGAGACUUGCAAGUCUCACUCUCAGAGUUUCUGAUUCAUAGGUUUGGAAGAGAGGGUAAGAAUUUGCAUUUCCGAGUUCUAAGUGAUGCUGGUUCAGAGCCCAAACCUUGAGAACCACGGAGUUGGUGAUUAUCUAGAGGCAGUGUGGUUUAGUGAAAUGAGCAUGCGUUUUGGAGUCAGACAUGUCUGGGUUCAAAUGUGAGGAAAAUCCCGAUUGCCUGGCCAUGCAUAAUUAGUGCAGAAUGAAGGCAACCGCUCUUCCUGUGCUCAUUAGCAUAUCCCAGCUAGUGGCCAGCUAGUGCAAUGUUUAUAAUCCUCAUAGCCUGUUAAAUUAAAAGAAUUUGCAACAAGGAACAAAUGAUAACAAUGAUGAUACAAAUGCUUUAUAUUUAUGUGGAAUUUACAGCUUAAAAAUUAUCACGCAUAUAAGGAAGCAGCAUGGCACAGAAAAACUAUGGAACUUGGGUCCAACACCUGGAUUUGAUAUCUGCUGUUUUAUGCACAAUGAUAUGACUUUAGGCAAGGCAUUUCAUCUCUUGAAUGCUAUUAUUUCUUACAUGUAAAAUGGAAAAAAAAAUCAUGCCAGCUUCAUACAGUACCCAAUACCAGAUGCAAUGUUUUUUUUUUCCUUUUAAAGUUCACCUUUUUCUGUGUCUAAAUGUGGACAGUUGGAAAUUGACUAAAAGCCAACUUCCUAUGAAGGGAUUUUCAGUUGUAUAUGAUUUCUUACAUUGUUGUGGAGUAACAGAAAGAGAAUCAACCUCACAAGUGGCACUUAGACUUGUCAAUGACCAUUUCAUAGGAAAGACUUGCUUCUUGAGGGAAAGAGCUAAUGAACAUCAAUAGAAAAUUGUGGUAGAAAUUGGAUAUUUUCCACAGACCCUGAAGGACUAGAUAGUAUUCUCUGGGAUCAGUGGGGGGAUGAUCAUUUCAGGUUAUGCUCUAGAUCAUUCAGGGGGCUCUGUGUCUCCCCCCCCCCCAAACAUAUGUCUUCAGAGUUAUGAUCUCUCCCUCUCUCCCAGAACAAAAGCUGUGUUUAUUUCUUGCCACCAACAGCUACAUGUAUGAAAAGUUUGGAAACGCAAGGUUUGUUUUUGUUUUUGUUUGUUUGUUUUCUUGCCAUGCAACCCCACUUCCUCCCAGUCUAGGUCAGAGCCUGGCAAUCUGACCUCUCACUUUUAAGAGAGGUUGGACACGAGGGAGAAAGAGAAGGAAAAUACCAGGUAAUUCUGUUGUUGAGGUAGACACAUCUCUCUCUGCAACAGAAAGUUAAACGAAAGAAAUGUGCUGGAUAUGUGGGAUAACAAUUUCUAUGUUCAUUACGUAUUUCUAGACUUUAUUUCUAAGAGUAGAAGACUGGAAAGGGAGAAACGACCAAAAUCAUAGCCUUCAACUUGGACCAGAAUCAAGCCUGGUGGUAAACAUGAAUAUAAGGAUAAAUAAUCAGUUUUCUUGUGUAAUAGAAACCAAGUCCUGAGACGCUUGGAAUUGAAAGAGAUCUUAGAAGCACCACCCCGCCCCCUGCCAUCCACCUUUACUCUUGUAGAAAAUCUUCUCUGAAACAUCUCUAUAGACAACCAUACAAACUUUCCCCACACGUUUCCAACAAUAAGUUAGCAUGUUCCAUUUUCAAAUAUCUCUCAUUGUUCAAAAUGUCCUUCUUGAGGGUUGGCCAAUAUUCUUUUUCUUAUUACCUGAAAUUAUUGUCUUUUUAAAUGUUUAUGUAUUUAUUUUGAGAGAGAGAGAGAGCACACAAGCAGGGGAGGGGGCAGGGAGAGAGAGAGAGAGAGAGAGAGAGAGAGAGAGAGAAUCUUAGGCAGGCUCUGCUCUGUGAGUUCAGAGGCUAGCGCAAGGCUCAGUCCCAUAAAUCAUGAGAUCAUGACCUGAGCCAAACUCAAGAGUUGGAUGCUUAACCCACUGAGCCACCCAUGCAGCCCAUAUUGUCUUAAUUGUGCCUUCUGAUGGGAUACAAAAUGUAGGAGAAAAAAUGCCUUCCAGAUAUGAUAAGCAAGUUUCCUAAAGAUAUUUCCAAACAAGAAUGGGCAACUCAUAAGUAAAGCUACCUUUGAUUUUUUGGGGGAAGAGGGAAGUGUAUUUUCUCCUUUACUCUAAUCCCUAUUAGGGUUUGCAGAUUCUCUAUUCUAAUCCCAUCCUUCCUUUUUUCUCAGUGCUUGAAACCCUGAUGCCCUGCCCUUUGGGACUCAUAGUCUGUCAUCAGUAAUAUUCUUUAUAACCUCAUCUUCUUUAACCUUCUGUUCUAACCCAAACCUUGCUUUCCUCUCAGGACAGUGCAUCCCCUGCAACUCUUGAGAAGUGGUGGCUGUUUUCUCUCUGAUAUCCAUCAAGAUAAUGGGCAUAGAGGGAGACGGGUGUCCUUCUUAACCCUCAGGUCCCUUCCCACCGUCCCUGCCAUUGUUGCUUCCAGAAGCAUUCUCCUUGUCCCUCCCUAAACAGCUACAGCCCUGCAUCCUCACCCAGGGACAGCCAUCUGGACGUCCCUCCAUCACUUCCUCUGAUUCCUUGAAGAUUUUAGCUCCAGGCUCAGAGUCACGCUCUUAGACAACUGGGUGAUUUUUUUCAGGGUGAUUUCAACAUCCACAUAGAAUGUAUGUCAUAGAUGAUUCCUUUCAAAACCCUAGCACUUCAAUUCUUGGAUUCAUUCCAGCCACUCCCUCUCAUGGGUGUGCCCCUGGCCAGGAACCAUGGUGCUUCGUUGUCUCACUUACAAGAAUCUCUUCUGAGCACCCCGCCUUCUCUCUCCCAAGCAAGGCCAUUCCAGCUCCCACAUCCUCGGACUGCCGUGGGGACCCAAAUCUUUUACCACCGGUCACCUAACUGUCUGUGGUCAAACUCUCAGAUCAUGUCCGUGCAUAGCACCCCGGCUCCGUGCCCUCUCUUGCUUCCUCUUACUCUCUUGAAAACAAACAAACAAAAAAUCUUUGGUUAAAAACUUGAUAAAAAAUCUUGGUUAAAUAUUUCUGCCUUUUUGCAUCUGCACCAGUGUGGCUGAAUGGGCCUGGAUUGCCUUCCAGCCAGGCUGACUGAUCUGAUAUUAUUUUAUUGUAUUUUAAGUUUAUUUAUUUAUGUUGAGGGAGAGAGCAAGCAAGAGAGGAGCGGAGAGGGAGGGAGAGAAAGUGUCCCAAGCAGGCUCCACAGUGUCAAGGCAGAGCCCCAUGUGGGGCUGGAACCCACAAACCGUGAGAUCAUGACCUGAGCGGAAACCAAGAAUCGGACGCUUAACUGACUGAGCCACCCAGGUUCCCCUGACUGAUGUCAUUUUGAACGAGACCGCAAAUCUCAGCCCCGACUCCACAUGCCCCUAGUUUGUUCAUGACUCUCCUUGUAGAUCUGUGUCUCCAAACCUCCAACACCUCUUCCUUCGUCCUCACUCUUAGUCGAUGAACUUUUACCAAGAAACUGCCGCCAUCAGAAGAGAACUUCUGCAGGGGCGCCCCGCUGGUUCAGUCGGUUAAGCGUCCGACUCCUGAUUUGGGCCCAGGUCACGAUCCCAGGGUCAUGGGAUCAAGCCCCGCAUCUGGCUCUGUGCUGAGCGUGGAGCCUGCUUGGGAUUCUUUCUCCCCCUCCCUCUGCCCCUCUCCCCUGCUCUCAAUCUGUCUCUCUGACAGAGAGAGAGAGAGAGAGGGAGAGAGAACUUCUGCAAGCUACCAUCUACCAACCUGACUAGCAAACACUCAGCUUUCCUGUGUCAACUGUCAGUGCUCUGAUCCAAGGCCAGCCCGCACUUUCCCACUACAUCCUGUCCCAUCUCACCGGCGCAAGGGCAUCUCAGCACACCAGCCCUCCUCCUACGCUUCCUCUUAGGUCCCUCCCCCACACCUUCCUCUUGGAUCAUCACCAGCAGCAUAGAAACCCUCUAUCAUUUCUCCCUUUUUUAUGAGACUUUCGGAAGCUGCCUGGACUACCCUUCUUUAACCUUCCUUCACCUUGUGCCACACUCCUCUGCUUUCCUUGCCAGCAGACCUCCUCAAAAGACUUGUAGGUACCCCCUGAACCCGAUUCCCCAUCCCUUCUCUCAGACUUGGCUUCCACUCAGGCGUUUGCCCAUCAUGCUACGUAAACUGCUCUUAGAGUCAACGGUGACGUUAACAUUGUCACACCUCAGUCUUGUCUUUGCCUGAAUAAUCAGCAUAUAAUUGUGUAUGGUUAAUCCUUCCUCAAAGCAUUAUGUUCAUUAUCUCUGACUCCUGGAAAUUCUUUUCUUUUUUUCUUUCUCUUUGCUUUUCUUUCUUUUCUCCCUCCUUCCUUCUUACCUCCUUGCUUCCUCCUUCUUUCAUUCCUUUCUUUCUUCCUGCCUCUUUCCUUCCUACCUCUUUUUCUCUUUCUUUCUUCCUUUCUUUCUUCCUUCCUUCCUUUCUUUCUUUCUCUUCCUUUCUUUUGAUCUCUUUCUUUCUUUCUUUCUUUCUUUCAUUUUUCUCUUUCUUUCUUUCUUUCUUUCUGUCUUUCUUCCUUUCUUUUUUCCUAUCUUUCUCUUUCUUUCUUUCUAUCUUUCUCUUCCUUUCUUUCUCUUUCUUUCUUUCUUUCUUUCAUUUUUCUCUUUCUAUCUUUCUUUCUUCCUAUCUUUCUUUCACCUUUCUAUCUCUUUCUUUCUUUCUUUCUUUCUUUCUUUCUUUCUCUCUUUCUGUUUUCUCUUCCUUUCUUUUUCUCUUUCUUUUCUUUCUUUCUUUCUUUCUUUCUUUCUUUCUUUCUUUCUUUCCUCUCUAUCUCUGUCUCUCUCUCUCUAAAUUAGACUUUCAGGUCACUGCCAUCUCUUACUUAUUUCCCUGUCUUGCUGGCUUCUCCUUUUCAACUUCCUUUGCUCCUGCUUUAUCACUCCUUUGACCUGUGAACUGUUGAGGGUGUAGGCUACCUGGAGCCAUCUCACUGUCUUGUGGCUUUGAACCCCAUUGUUGUAUUGACAAUCCUCACAUCUCCAGUUUUCCCUGAUCCCUAAACUCCUGUACCAAACUUUCUUCUCAGCAUCUCCAUCUCAGUGUUUAACAGACACUUCAGUCAUGCCAUGCCACACAUGCUCCUUACCUUCCCCUCAACAUGGGGCUCUGCCUUCCCUUUCUCAGCUGAUGGCAGGUCUAUCUAUCUGUUGUCAACUCAAAGGCUUUGGAGCCCGAGCACCUGGGUGGGCUCAGUUGGUUAAGCGUCUGACUGUUGAUUUCCUCCCAGGUCACGAUCUCACAGUUUGUGAGAUUGAGCCCCAUAUCAGGCUCUGUGCUAACAGGGCAGAGCCUGCUUGGGAUUCUCUCUUUCCCUCUCUCUCUCUCUCUCUCUCUGCCCCUCCCCCACACACACUUGCCCUGACACUCUCUCACUCUCUCUCAAAAUAAAUAAAUAUUUUUAAAAAAGGACUUUGGAGACCUCCUUGACUUCUCUCUUUUCUUCUGUUUUAUAUCUAAUUCAUCAACCAAUCAUCAAUUCUGACUUCAAAAUACAUCCAGAAGGUGACCACUUCUCAUCACCUCUCUCACGAGUGCCCUGGUCCAAUCUUACCCGGAUGAUGGCUCCUUAACUGGUCUUUUUGCUUCUACCCUUAUUAUCUUAUACACACUCUCUUUUUUAAUACACUCUUCAUAGUACAGUAGCUAGAGAACUUAUUUUAAAACUCAAACAUGUAACUCUUUUACUCAAACCCCUCUAUUUUUUUAGGAGUGAAGGCCAGUUCCUUAAAAUCCAAGGUCUUAGAUAAUCCACCUGGAUAUAGUAGAUAUGCUGCUUUCUCAGAGCCCCUGCUGUUUCCCGACUCAAGCAGGUACUUUAGGAACUCUAGCUUUAACCCACGACCCGCUCGAGGGCACCUGUGGCUUUGGAGGAUAGUUCUGGUGCUAACCAAGGGAUCUGUAUCUCAGGCACUUCCCUUUCUCUGCCCGGGGACUACUCUCUGACCACUGGAUUGUGGCUCAGCCUACACAGGGCAGGCCGGGAGUACCAGGGAGGGAGGGGAGUACUCCAGCUCGCUCAUGCCCUGAUGGGGCUGUUCUGAGGUGUGUUUUUUCCAGCCUCUCACAGGUUCCCAGUGGGGCUCAGCCCCAGUGGCCCACAGUGAUAAGCCAGCCAACAGAACACUAUUUUUCUCUUUUAAGCUGGUAUAUAAUUAGAAUUUUUAAACACUAUUUUUUUUUUUAAUCUUUUUUUUUUUUUUCAACGUUUAUUCAUUUUUGGGACAGAGAGAGACAGAGCAUGAACGGGGGAGGGGCAGAGAGAGAGGGAGACACAGAACCGGAAACAGGCUCCAGGCUCCGAGCCAUCAGCCCAGAGCCCUACGCGGGGCUCGAAAUCACGGACCGCGAGAUCGUGACCUGGCUGAAGUCGGACGCUUAACCGACUGCGCCACCCAGGCGCCCCUAAACACUAUUUUUUUUAAUGUUUUAUUUAUUUUUGAGAGAGAGACAGUGCUUGAGCAAGGGAGAGGAAGAGAGAGAGGGAGACACAGAAUCCGAAGCGGGCUCCAGGCUCCGAGCCGUCAGCACAGAGCCCGACACGGGACUCAGACGCACGAACAGUGAGAUCAUGACCUGACCUAAAGUUGGACACUUAACCGACUGAGCCACCCAGGUACCCCAGAAUUUUUUAAAUGUUGACUCAUCAUUACUGAAUGAAUUAUUGAAAUUAAUUAGCCCAACUUUGUCAUGAUAGAUUAUCUUUUUGAUAUAUUAUUAGAUGAGUUUACUAAUAUUUUGUUUAGAAUUUUGUGUCAAAGUUCACUAGUAAGAUUAUCCUGGAAUUUUCUUUUUCCUACUAUUUUUUUCUCUUUCUUCCUGAUUUUGGUAUUAUUAUCCUACUUCAUUUCAUAAAAUGAGUUGAAGAGUAUCCCCUCUUUUUCUAUUCUCUGCAUGAAUUUGCAUAUGCUGGAAUUACCUAUUUGUGAAUGCUCUGGUAAAAUUCAUUUACUAAACCUUCUGGAACCAUGUUUUUUCUUUUUCAAGGUACAAUUUUAUGUACCAUUUGAAUUUAAUUAAUGCUAUGAGAUCAUUGGAAAUCUAGAUGAUUAUGAGUCAGGCUAAUCAUUUAUGAUUUUAGGGGUAUCUGUUUGCUUAAGCAGUCUUCAAAUGUAUUGGCAUAAAGUUGAUAAUAUUAUUCACAUUCCUAAUGCAUCUCCAAGUACUUCCCCUCUGCAGUUCUAAUAUUGUUUCUUUGUACUGUUCUUUUCUUAAUCACUAUUACCCGAGCUUUCCCUUUGUAAAUGUCUUUUCUUUUUUAAUUUUUUUUAACGUUUUAUUUAUUCUGAGAAACAGAGACCCAGAGUGCGAGCUAGGGAGGGGCACAGAGAGGGGGACAGAAUCUGAAGCAGGCUCCAGGCUCUGAGCUGUCUGUCAGCACAGAGCCUGGUGCGGGGCUCGAACCCACAAGCUGUGAGAUCAUGACCUGAGCUGAAGUCGGAUGCUUAACCGACUGAGCCAGAUGCCCCUGUAAAUGUCUUUUAAAACAACUUUUGACUCUGGUGAGCCCCUCGAUUUGAUCUUUAUUUUCAUUUACAUUAAUACCUGCUAUUUAUUACUUCCUUUCUUAUCUUUCCUUUAUAAUUAUUCACUUGUUUAUUUUUUUAACUUCGUAAACUGGCUGUUUAACUCAUUUCUUUUCAGAUUAUCUUCUUUUUUAUGGAAAGUAUUUAAGGCUAAGUAGUACAUGCAUUUCUAUUUCAGGUAUACAUACAUUUAAAGGCCUAAGUCGACACUAGUUUUUAUACUCCACCGUUUAUAAUACCUCGUACUUUUGUUAUCUUCUUGUGUUUUCUAAUAGCCUUGUUGUGUCAGUGAGUUAGUUAAAAGUAUUUCAAAUUUUGAUUUCUUAAUGUGUUUUUCUUUUAAGUUGCUCUUUGUUAUUGAUUUUUAACUUAAUUGCCUUAUGCUUAAAGAACAUGAUCUUAUGAUAUUAAUUCUUUGAAAUUUAUAUUCUAGUGUAUCGUCAUUUUCAUAAUAUUCAAUGUAUUUUUUUAUAGUUUUUACUUAAAUUCCAGUUAGUUAACAUACAGUGUUAUAUUAGUUUCAGGUGUACAAUAUAGUGAUUCAACACUUCCCUAAGACACCCGGAGCUCAUCACAAGUGCCCUCCUUAAUCCCCAUCACCUGUUUCACCCAGCCCCACCCCCACCUAUCGUCCAAUUAUCUAUCUAUAAUUUGUUCUCUAUAAUUAAGAGUCUGUUUCCUGAUUUGCAUGUCUCUCUCUUUUUUCCCUAUGCCCGUUUGUUUCUUAAAUUCCACACAUGAGUGAAAUUGUAUGGUAUUUGUCUUUCUCUGAUUUAUUUUGCUUAGCAUAAUACACUCUAUAGCUCCAUCCAUGCCAUUGCAAAUGGCAAAAUUUCAUUCUUCUUUAUGGCUAAUAUUCCAUUGUCUAUAUAUGCAUCUUCUUUAUUCAUUCAUUAGUCAAUAAACAUUUGGGCUCUUUCCAUAAUUUGGCUAUUGUAGAUAAUGCUGCUAUAAACAUAGGUGUUCAUGUAUCCCUAUGAAUUAGUAUUUUUGUAUUCUUUGGGUAAAUACCAGCAGCAUUUUUCACAGAGCUAGAACAAACAAUCUUAAAAUUUGUAUGGAACCAUGAAAGAUCCCGAAGAGCCAAAGCAACCUUGACAGAAAAAAGCAAACUGGGAAUCACCACAGUUUCAGACUUCAAGGUAUAUUCAAAGCUGUAGUCAUCAAAACAGUAUGGUACUGGCAUAAAAAUAGACACAUAGAUUGGGGCACCUGGGGGGCUCAGCUGAGCUUCCGACUUCAGCUCAGGUCAUGAUCUCACAGUUCGUGGGUUCGAGCCCCACGUCGGGCUCUGUGCUGACAGCUCGGAGCCUGGAGCCUGCUUCGGAUUCUGUGUCUCCCUCUCUCUCUGCCUCUCCCUUGCUCAAGCACUGUCUCUCUCUCAAAAAUAAAUAAAACAUUAAAAAAAAUAGACACGUAGAUCAAUAGAACACAAUAGAAAAUGAACCCAUAACUACAUGGUCAGUUAAUCUUUGACAAAGCAGGAAAGAAUAUCCAAUGGGAAAAAGAAUUUCUCUUCAACAAAUGGUGCUGGGAAAACUGGACAACAUCAUGCAAAAGAAUGAAACUGGACCACUUUCUUACACCAGACACAAAAAUACAUUCAAAAUUGAUUAAAGACCUAAAUGUGAGACAUGAAAUCAUGAAAAUCCUAGAGGAGAACACAGGCAGUGACCUCUUUUUUUUUUUUUAAUUAAUAUUUACUUAUUUGUUUAUUUAUUUUUUUAAUGUGAAAUUUAUUGUCAAAUUGGUUUCCAUACAACACCCAAUGCUCAUCCCAACAGGUGCCCUUGACGUCGGUCACAGUAACUUCGUACUGGAUAUGUCCCCUGAGGCAAGGGAAACAAAGCAAAAAUAAACUAUUGGGACUAUAUCAGAAAAAAAAAAAAAAAAGCUUCUGCUCAGCAAAGGAAACAGUCAGCAAAACUGAAACACAAUUUACAAAAUGGGAGAAGAAAUUUGCAAAUGACAUUAUCUGAUAAAGGGUUAGUAUCCAAAAUAUAUAAAGAACUUUUGUAUGUUUUUAAAGAAUUCUGGGUUCUACAGAAGUCUGUUAGUUCAAGUUUGUAUAUUGUCUUAAUUACCUAUAGCCUUACUGAUCUUGAUCUGCUUUAUCAGUUACUGAGGGAAUUAAGUUCCACAUAAUAAUAGCAAUUUGUCAGUUUUUAUUAGAGUUCUCAAUUUCCGCUUUAUAUAUUUUGAGGCUACAUUAUUAGAUGCUUAUAAAUCUAGAAUUGUUACAUGUUCCUGAAAAACAGUUAUCUUGAUAAAUUGUUAUGUCAUGACAAACCAUAAAGAGAAAUCUUGUGGUUUCUCUUAGCUUUUUCUUUGUUUUUCUUCUUUCUUCCCUAUUUUGAACGGAUACAAUUUUUUUCUUCAAUUGAUAGUUCAUUUUUACUGGUUUCCGUAGGAACCAUCACAUGUGUUUUACUUAAUAAGAUUAUAAUUAAUAUCUUCACCAUCGUCUCACACAAUACAACCAUAGCCUUCUUUAAAUAAAUUCCAAUCCCCCUGACUCCUAUCCUAUUUUCAAAUUACGUUAAAUAAUUCUUCCCCAAUUUUGAUAUUAUUAUUAUUGAUCUAUGAGUCAGGGUUUGUUUAGUUUGCUCACAUGUUAACCUUCUUCAUUUAUUAAUGUUUUUGCAUGUCAGACUUGCAUUUUGGAUGUUCUGAUUCUUCCUACAGCACAUUGUUUAGAAGACCCCUCAUGGGUGGGUCUAUUUGUAUAAAGUCUUUAUUUGUUGUAUUGUCUGCAAAUGGUUUGCUUUUCCUUCUGUUUUUGAAGAUAGAAUUGCUCACUUUACAGGGCUAUGUUGGCAGUUAUUUUCUUAUGGAUUCUCCUAGCCUUUGGAGAUGAUCUCCAGAGUCCCAGCUUCCUUUCUGGUUGCAGAGAAGUCCCCUAGCAGUUUACUACAUUUUCUUUCAGAUAAUAUCGUACUGUUUUCUAACUUUCCUUAGUGAUUUACUAAGUAGUGGAUCUUCACUAUCAUGUGGGCAGGUAUGGAUUUUCUUUUAUCUAUUUUGACUGGAAUUCAUUGUGGUGCAGAAAUGUGAGGAAAUUUUCAACCACUUUCUCUUUGAGUUCCUUGAUUCUUCCUAAUAUUUCUUUUUGAGAUUCCUAUUAGACAUAUGUUAGCCCUUCUCAUUCUAUCUUCCAUAUUUUUGAGUCAUUUUAAUAUUUUAAUUUAUCUUUUUGUGCUACAGUCCGAGUAAAUUCUGCAGAUCUCCCAGUUUUUCAAAUGUGUCAGUUUUGUUGUUUGGCCCAUCUGCCAAAAUUCUUAUUUUAUUUGUUACAUUCUUCAUUGCUAGGUGCAAUAAUUAGUUCUUUAUCAAAUCUGCCUGGUUGUUUUUGAUACGUUCUUGUUGGUUAAUCAUAGAUUAGAUACAUUCAUUUAUUUCUUCAAUGAUGCUGAAUUUAUUUUAUAUUUUAUAGACAUUAUUUCCACAAUUUGCAAUUUGAUGAGUCUGCUGUGGCUGUCCUUUUCUUUUGUCUAUUGUCUUUCAUUUGUUUCAUUCUUUUUAUAAUUAGUUCUUCACACGUUUUCUUAUUGCCUUUUGGAAGAAUGUGCAUUCAUAUGCAUUGGAGCCUUAUCUGUAGGCAUUCUUUGAUGAUGGAGUAAAGAUCUGUUCCUUCAGGAAAAUUGGUGUUUGCUUCCACCAGGAGGCAACCCAGACCACUUUAAAUUCUUAACCUGGUUUUGGGGGGACUAUAGCAGUAGGUGGAUUCAGGUGCCAAACCCACCCAAGGGACUAAUUGUUAUUACAACUUACUAUUCUUGUUAUUUGAAGGUGGAAUUGUUCACCAUGCGUAUCUAGGUUAAUGGCUAUUUUCCACCUUCAUCAAGAGCCAAGUCCAAGGAAGGCAACUUUACUUUUAGUUACCCUAGAUGAGGCAUUUUUUUCUCAUUAAUCUUCUCACUUGGGGCAUUUCUUUCUGUGGGCCCAGGCUUCUCAAGUAGUGGGGGAUGAUAUUUCCAAAUGUCUUUCUCACAUUGCGUGACCAUACGCUUCGUCACCAUUUUCUGCAUAGCCAACUGAAACCAAAGCUCCAGAGAACCAGGGAUUGGCAGACGUUCCCAGAAUAUCUGUUAGCAUCCGCUCGUGCUCACCUAUACAUAUAUUAUUUAUUUAUUUAAUCAUCUUGCCUGUGUUCAAAAUUAUUUUGUGUUUUUAUUUAUCUUUCACGGGAAGGUGUUUUUUUAAUUUAAUUAAUCUAAAUAUUGCAAGCAAAUGGAAACUACAUAAUGUCUUCUCAUCUUCUGUGCAAAAACAAAACAAAACAAAAAGCCCUCUUUCCCCAAACUUCUGAUGCCUAGGGUAAUCAUUAUGCUCAUUCUUGGCCAAGACUCAUUUAGUAGGAUAAUGUCGGCAUUUAGAUCAAAAUCCGUAGCAUCCAGUUACAGAUAAAUAAUCCAAAAUUCGUGGCUAUCACAAACAUUAGUAGAUAUGGUUUUGUUAUUGUCAGCUAGAAAGUUCUGCCUACAUAGUGUAUCUUCACAAGAUAAUUGAUUUUAUAAUAUUUUGUGCAUUUGUAUAAUGUGCAAAACCUGAUAAUGUAUCACACUCACUUCGAUAGUGGAAUUGCUAUCAGUUCUAUGUGGUUGUCCUGGAAACAGAAAAUUAAGGGUUAUAAGAUAAAAACGGUCCUUUUCUUCAUGUGAAAUGUAUUUAUCUUAACAACAAACCCUAAAAAUCUUCAUAAGAACUUUAAAAGUAAUCCUGGAGUUUAAGGAUGAGCUAAAAUGCUCUGGUUAUUUAAUAUUUUCUAAUUAUUGCUGAUGAUACUAGUUUUGUUUCUGCUCUUAAAGUUCCAGUUUUUUUAGUAUUAACCUUGAUGAAUACAGUAGCAUGCUUCGAAUUCUCUUUGGGACGAGUCAUGGCCUAUAUAAUCCGAUCACAAACACAGAGACCAAAUGGUAUUAAUACAUUUCUUCUGAAAUCUAAGAACAUUGUGAGAAGGGAAAUCCUUUUUUUUCCGUUUGAAAUUUCAACAUGGCAGUGUAGGAAAGAGGAGGAAUGUGCUGUCUUCUGCUGUUCUGUUAUUUUAUUUUAGGAUAAACAAAAGAGCUAUAACUUCCAGGAUUUCAGGUACCUGAAACAAGAGAGAACUUGGACUGGUUUGUGAUGUUGCCAAGAAUAGGGCUCAGGGUGAGUGGGAACAAAUGUAAUGGUGUCUUCUGCUGGUCUGUGUCAUGCGAGGACAUCAUAAGCCACUCUUUGAGGCAUUGUUCAGCACCAAACGACCCCUACUGUCGUCUGUCUGCAGGCGAUCUCUAAUCUAGAAGGUGUCAAAUACAGCUAGACAAAAGAGAGUUUAUGGCUUUGGCCAUAAUUUGGAGAAAGAGUUGUUUUCCACUCUCAAAACAGAUUAUUUAGUUCCCUGGAGAAUUAAAAGGUGUGGAAUUGGUUUUGCGAACAGUGACUGAACUGGUUAGUUACGGUAAGGCUGUGCGUGCAGAUUCUGAGAGGGGCCAAGGGACGGGGUCAAUUCCUCUCCUGGGACAAGGUGUCUGCUGAGAAAUACAGGAUCCUGGAAUGUCAAACAUAACUUAUCUAAAAGAACGGGGGAGAUAACUUUCAUUUUGGGUUUCGUGGAGGACCGUCAGAUGGGAGAGAGAGAGUGUGUGUGUGUGUGUGUGUGUGUGCGCGCGUGCGCGCGCAUGUAUGUGUUUAUUUUUUCCCGAAAACACGGAUCCCUAGAGAAGUGUUUCUCACCUUUGUGUCUUGCUACACUGGUGGGCUCUGACCUUCUAAAUUUCAGAGGCCGCCAGCGUUUUUCUUUCAUCUUGCUUAUGUGAUCUGGGGAUGAGAAACACUGUGCUGCGGGGCUGUGAAAAAUCUCAUAUUUACCACUAUAUGCGAUUUGCUCAGGAAUGGGGUCCACAGCUUUUAUCAGCUUCACAAAAUGGCUUGUGAUACCCUCCCCUUAAAAAAUAUUAAGUGAUUUAUUAUAACAGCCUAUCUUACAGAUAAGUCUCUUUAGUUUCCAGAAAUCAUGGCAUAUUUUCUAUAAUUCCUCCAACUUUUUAGUUAGGAGGAUAAUAAUUUACCACAGAUAAACAUCUACUUGCACUGUACUUGCAUUUCAGUAAUGAAGAAAUUAUUAUUGUUUGGACCUUCAGCAAUGAUGGAUUGGAUUUGGCAAAGCUUGAUGAUAUGACACACUAAACGCACUGAGACGAAAUUGCUUCAAAGUUGAUAAAGUGAAACAAAUGAAUUUAAACUUGAAAUGAACUUUAACAAAAGUCAUCCAUCUGAUUUUAGUUAUAAUUUACUUUGUAAAAGGACAUAAUAGACACCAUUGUAAUCUAGAUAGUAGAAGACAGUGUGCAUUUCUAUUCACAAGGUCAAAAAGCUUUUAUUUACUUAUACUUUCCCUACUUUAGUUUCAGAGUCAAGGCUUAUUUUAAGUUUUGGCUUGCAGUUGAAAAAAAGGACCAGACGUGUCCCUCAUUAAAUUAUUUCUUAAGUAUUUGCAUUUAAAACCUACAUCAGUUGAAAGCUGGGGUUUUGACUAUACGUCACGCAGAAACCAAGCCUGCCAACAGUGGAAGGCUUCAGUCUGCAGGAAUAAAUAACAUUUUUAGUAAAAGAACAUCAGAAUGAAAAUGUUAUAAAGCCCUGUAUAUGGUUUGGCUUAAGAUAAAAAAAUUUUUUUUUCUGUGUAUUUCACAUACUUAGACUAGUAAACAUGUACGAUUUAUACAAAGUUGUAUUCUUUCAUUAACUAAGUAAUAGGGAUUUAAAAUCUUGAGGAAAGAGAAAAUAACACACCAAUUAUUAUACUAUGAAAGUAACUGGACUGUUUUUUGCAGACUUCAAGGCUGGAUGGUACAUCUGAACAAUUUUUUCUUUUUUUUUAAUGUUUCUUUAUUUUUGAGAGAGACAGAGUGAGAGCAGGGGAGGGGCAGAGAGAGAGGGAGACACAGAAUCUGAAGCAGGCUCCAGGCUGCUCACCACACAGCCCGACGCGGGGCCUGAACCCACGAAUCGCGAGAUCGUGACCUGAGCCAACGUCAGACGCUUAACCGACUGAGCCACCCAGGCGCCCUAGAUCUGGACAAAUUUUUAAAAGUAGGUUGUUAUUUGUUAUAAUUGGAUGGGUUUUUUUUUUUACAAAAAAAUUGAUUUAUUCCAUAUCAAAACUAGAUGCAACUACAAUGUGGAAUACACUUGCUGUGAGAACAGGGGUGACUGGUUUGGGGUUUUGUAUUUUGGGGUAAGGUGUUCAACAAGACGGAGAAAGCAGGACCGACCCCUCACCUCCUUCCCCUUAUUAUAUAUGAUUGAAAAUGAUCUAGUUUUUUACAGAACAAGAAGCAUUGUGUCAUUGACAUACCGUAUAACUCUUCUUUCCUUUAUGUUACACUCUAAUGAAAUUUUGCUUGAGAGAUGUUGAUUUCUGAAAACUAAGUUUUCAGGUAAAGGACAUAUAUAUUUGAUAUAUAUACUUAUGUAUUUAUGCAUUUGAUACAUUUAACAUGUAUACGUAUGUCUUGCUUUUAUAUAUGUAUGGUUUACCUAUGUGUAUAUAUUUUACGUUAACCGUUUGGAUGUAUUUUCUUCUAAAGGAAAUCUGGACAGCAUAUAAAUAUCAAUGACCACAUUUCAAGAAUGAAUGUGGAAAAGUGGGAAACUGCUUAGUGCUUAUUGCAUUUGAUACAUUUUUCUCUUUUAAUUGAAAUUAUUUUCAACAUUUCUACUAGCGGUUGAUGUAUUCUUCUUCAGCUACUCCAAGAGAAGAUGUCAAGUUAUCUGGCGUAAGGUGAGAAGUAUUUUAUGUCUGUAAAGGCUGCCAGUGCAGAGAGGAUACACAGAUGUGUCAUGAUUUAAAAGAAACUCACUUAAGCGAGUAGUGUCAAUGGGUUAUAGAACUGCUGAACUCAUCUAAAGCAUUGUGGAAUAAAAUGUAUGAGAAAUAUAGUAUCCGUAAUUAAGAUCUUUAAUGAAUUGCCUUGUUAAUCCAUACAGUGUAUGCAUGUUGCAACAUUUUCUAGGCUUAAUUAGUGUACUUGAUGAUUAUGUUUAUUUUCGGAUGUACACACUGAUUAAGCAUUGUCCAUACACUGGAGCUUGAAACAAGAUCAGUCUGUAAAGUAGUACCUAGUCGCCUAACUGGGGACUCAAAAUGCAAAUAGAUCAACUUAUGUAAAAUUAAAUUAGUUCUAAUAGAACCCAUUUUGCCUGAGCAGCUGGUGUCACAUUAUAAACAGCGUUCUCUUGUUGUAAGAAAUAAAGGGCUUCUGUUGACAGAUCCUUAUAUCCUUUUAAGCUUAAAAAACUGAAUGCGUACAAUGCGAGGGUUGAACUGCAACUCUUAAACACAAGGAACCGUGGAGUAUGUUCGGUUAACUCACUCUAUUGUGCUCUAGAAAUGCAACUCGUUAUGCCAUUAUGGCAUUCGGAGGAGUGAGUGCCAGGUUUCCAAAUGCUUUUCAUCAAAACUCCUGUUUUUAGUCACUUCCAACUUUUGUGAAUUAUCUGUGAUGUUAAAGUUCUCCAGAUAGUCUUAGCUCAGAAAUUCAAAAUAAUCAUAUAUUCCAAAGUUUAUUGACUGCUUCUCUGCCUUAACUUGCAAAUGCUUUUCUGCCUUCUGUUUAAUGGUUACAUUCAAAAAGUCAAAUUUAGGAUUUGGGAAGAUAAUAGACCAAAAAUUUAUUUUAAAGUUACUCGCAACACUAUUGGGAAAGUGUGUGUUCAUUCAUUUGCAUAUUCCACAAACAUUUAUUGAACAGUUCCUGAUCCAUAGCAUACUCUGGACUUGUGUAAAAGACAGCUCCUGUACUCAGGGAGAUGGCGACUUCAUGAGGAAUAGAUUCGGAAGGUAGAUAAAUGACAAAUGUCAUUCUGGAUGCCAUUUGGAGGUAUUCAUAGUGCACUGGUGGAGAACAGAGAUCCUAAAAGGAAAAUUAUUGCUAUAGACUACAUGGACAGUCAUUCACACAACUUCUGUAAGAUCUAUUUCCUGGAAAACCGUAGAGGUCAUGAAUCCAUGAGUUUGGGGGGAGAGAGAGUUGGGAAAAAGAUAUUACGUGGUGAUAUUGUGUAUCCAUUGAUAAGCUACCAGAUGGUAAGCGUCAUAGAGAACAGCGCCUUCAGGAGACUUAAGAAAUAUUCAAUAGCCCUAUGCUUCAACAUUCAAAGGAUAAAAUGACAAAAGACUCUUGCAUUAAUGGUGGCAGUAUACAUUGGUGUUACCGUAGUAUAGAGCCGCCUGGAAGAAGGUAUCAAAUACUUUAAAUACAUUUGGACACUUUGGUGAAGUAUUUUUAUUUUUGAGAACCUUUUCUAAGUAAAAACCCUAAAAGGGAAAAAACAUUUCCAACCAAGGAUUGUUGUUGUCCAACCAGCGUUGUUUAUAAUGGAGAAACACUGAAAAAACUUUGUCAUGCGACCGGGGAAGACUGAGCAUCCCAUGAGAUAAACAUUUGAUAAAAUGAAGUUGGUUGACCCCGUCCACUAAAAUGACUUUUACAAAGACUUGAAAAGAUUUGGAAAAUGCUAAUUCUAUGAUGUUAUGUGAAAUUAGCAGGACACAAAUUGUGUAUGCAAUGCAUUACGAAAAUGUAAAACAGGAAAUAACCAUUUUUUUUCCCAUGGGAGAAAUUCUGGAGGGAAAUAAAACAGAUUAUUAUUGUUCUUUUACAUUUUUAUUUUCCAAAUUUUCUCGAAUUCCAUUUGUUGAGGAGGGAAAAAAACCUAUUAAAAAUAUAGACCAGCUAUAAGAAGUAAAAAUAUGGUUUUGCCAUGAUUAUUGAAUUUAAGUUUUUAAGGGCUUUCAUGUACUCACUUGGCAGUCUUCAUCCCUGAACUUUGAGAGAAUGUUCCAGAAGAAAGGGCCAGUAAUGAAAGGACAUUAAAUUCUGGGUAAGAGAUUCGGUAAAUAACCUGGAAAACUUGGCCCAGAGCAACUUCUGUCAAUUUCUUCAUGUAAAAUGAAGAGCUUGUGCUAAGUGACUUCUAAAGACCCUUGAACAUCUCCCAUUUGGAUUUCAUGAUCCCACCAUGAAAUUGGCAGUGCAGAGAAGAGUGUCACUCCCUUCUGAUGCAGAAGAUACGAAUACUCAGACUCCAGAUGGACAGUCACUCAGAGGAGAAUCCAAGCAAUUCCACAGUGCACUGUAGUCUGCCCAAAGACCACUCCAAAGCGUGAUUUCCAAUCACAUUGAACCACACCUAUUGGCACUGAACUCAUACCAGCCCAGCUGCUCAUUGGCCCAAAGGGCAGUAAUAAAAUCAUGCCUUCAUGUAGUGCUAACAUACUAUUAUGUGACUUGCUAUUAGUUCUUUAAGAAGCCUGGUAUCCCAGGAUAUGCUAAUUUUGUACCUUAGAAUUGAGCAUUAGGGUAUGUACCUGCCUUCACCAUCUUUGUGGAGAAAAUCAGCAGUCAUGCUGUGUGAGAAUGCAUUCACCCAUUUAUCCAUGCAUUAUGGUUCAUUUUGUAUACUUUUUUAAAUGUUUAUUUAUUUUUGAGAGACAGAGUGUGAGCAGGGGAGGGGUAAAGAGAGGGGGAUACACAGAAUCAUAAAGAGGCUCCAGUCUCUGAGCUGUCAGCACAGAGCCCAACGUGAGGCUCGACCCCACGAACUGUGAGAUUGUGACCUGAGCCGAAGUUGGACACUUAGCAAACUGAGCCACUCAGGCGCCCCAAUUUAUGGUUCAUUUUAAAGGUUUCCUAGGAAUAAACCCCCAGUUUACAUCCAAAUGGAGGAUGAUGGGUCAUCUUUCAAGGUAUACAGUCCUGGUUAGGGUCUUGGAUCUUCUCCAGAGUGUGGGUGUGUAUUUAACUGACAGCAUUAGAGAGUUUCACUCAUGAGGAAGUAUCAUUGAGGCCAUCACCACCUGGCACUGGUCUAAAUCUUCUCCCACAGAAAUGACAUUUAGUGAUGAGUACUUGACGGGCAUUCUAGAAAUGCUAAAAUUUAUUCGUAGAUUGAGUCACAACAGCAAAACUCUAUCCGGUUUGGACUCCGUGUGCUAUAGCUUGAUGUGAUCAGCCUAUACGGAGAGGCAGUGUGAAAAGUCCUGUGUCCUGUGAGGGUAUGGCUGAGUACACUGCCCGUCGUGUUAUGUGGGGUCUUCUUAUGACUCAAAAGUCCAGCCAACUUCAGCUCCAGGAGCAGCUGCACUUCUCCCGAGCAAUGGGCCUGUUGUAAUGUCACAGGUACUAUGAGCUGUGUGACUGCUGUCCCUGCACACUGCUGUGAAGAAGCUCAUAGCAAUGUUGCUGGAAUACCCACAGCAAGGGAACAGGGCUUUCUGUCUGCAUUCUUCAGCCAUAUCCCUGCGUAAUUUUAUAUCCCCCAGCUAGAUUUUUCUUUCCUUUACUCCUUCUUUAGAUUUACUGUACAUUCUUGCAUUUUAUGAAUUCUUAUUAAUAUUUAUUAUGAUUAUGAUUACUUUGAGAGUGAGAGUGAGAGUGUGCAUACGUGAGGGAGAGAAAGGCAGAGAGAGAGAAUCUAAAGCAGGCUCCACACUCAGCGCAGAGCCCGAGGCGGGGCUCAGUCUCACAACUCUGAGAUGAUGCAUGACCUGAGUCAAAAUCCAGAGUCUGAUGCUCAACUGACUGAGCCACCCAGGCACCCUGCAUUUUAUGAAUUCUUAUAAGUUGCUUUAAGUUCUUUCUGGAAUGAACAAUACAUUCGUAAAUAAGUAAAUAAAUGAAUAAAUGGUCUUCUGUGCUGCAGCAUCAUCACUCAGUGACCUGGAGGCCAGGCCGGCUGAAUGUUGGGCAAGGUCUUCCCCCUCAGGCGUGUCCUUAGUCAGCUCCAGAUUUUGAGACCUGUCGAGGAAGGACGUAGCUUAUAACUUAGUCAACAGUUACUACCAUAGGUGAAACACGGUAGCAAGUUGGAUAUGAGGAGACUUGGGAAGGCCGCUUGUGGCUGCUGUCUGCAUUAACACUCAGUUUUUUGAAAAUGAAGAAGGAGAGGGAUUUGUUUUUAUGCGUACAGACACAUUCACACUGGACCAAAAUGCUCUCUGAAAUUUCUCAAUAUUUGAAUGUUGUCAUCAUCAGCAGGUAGGUAGUGAGGGAUCCUUCGUGCACUCUUCUGUGCCCAAAAGGAGCUUGCUGGUGAACAGGAAGAAAUGACAAUAAAUUAGCACAUUUACAUUUCGGGGUGAGCUAUGAUCAUUACACUUAUUUUCAUGGGCUGUUUCCUUUUAAUCUCACUCUGAUCUCAGAUGUCUAUGCCCAGAUGAAUUAGGCACCGAGAUGAAAGGCCGGAAUGAAACAGCAGUUGAGGGAAGCCCAGAGAGGAUGCAUCCAAGAUAAGCUUAGGGCCCGGGAGCCAGAGAAUGUUCCUGCUCUUUGCCACUGAGCCUGACAGCCGUGCAUUACCUCUGGACUCCCAGGUGAAGCGUGUUCACGUGAAUACCCUGCUUAAAAUUUAUAUGCGGCCAAGAGAAUGCAUAACGCUCGUCUUAAAUACAGGCUGCAUAGUGAUGAUUCUGCCGUGUGUUUUGAUUAUUUAAGAAUAGAGAUAGAUUUUCCCAUUAGGUGGUUUCAUGUUCUCUUAACCACUCUUACUGCUCCUUGUUAUUGUCCCCGCAUAAUCACUGAAGAUUGCAGCCCCAGAUCACUGUCUUCCCCUCCAGCCUCCUAAUACUACUGUUGGCAAUAUGGCAGCCCAUCUCACACACUGGUCUCUCAUUCCUUGGCCUCCCCACCCCACUGAUCUUUUCUUCUAUCCCCCUCAUGGUUCAUGCUCACAUUAUGCCCAUGACCGUGUCAUCACCAGUAGCUGCAGUGUCUCAGAAGUCUACAUUUUAGGCAUCCAUUCCUGCCUGAUUACUUUUCCUUCUUUCAUGAGCAUGGAUGCCAUGAUGCAUCAUUACACGCCACUGAGACCACCCCAGCCCUCACCCCCACCUUCACCCUAUCGUACUCACCUGUUUAAAACUCAGUCCUUCUUAUAACCAGCCCCACCUCAACUCCGCAGCUGCACCAAAGCAGAAACACAGAAAUGGGACUGGUCUAUGUCCUGGCUGUUCUCAAGCCACGGCACCCCCUUACUUUUCUAAAUAACAGUGGAAAGUGGAAGCUUCCUUUGCUGUUCUGAAUAUGUACAUUUCCUUCACUGUGCAAUGGAUUUCACAUCUUCCACUUCCUUAAGGGGUUCGUUCUAGUUACAGUGCCCUUUUCCAUUUCAUCAUCAGCUUGUCCUCUCUUCUGUGUCAUUCCGUAAGAACAAAAUGAUACAUCGUUUUUAAACAAAUUUUCCUUGACCUCAUCUCCAACUACACUUAUAUUCCCAUCACUCGGCUCCUGUACAUGGUCACAGUAACACAUCUUGAUAGAACCAUCUAUUGUCCUGUCACCACUUCUGUGCAUCUCAUUUCUCCUCAGUUCACUCCAUGUUAUUCAUGUUCCUAAAACUGCUCUUGCAUGGUCUCUAUUGACCUCAAAUUGCCAAUUCAGUGGUUACUCUCGUCUUCAACUCAUCUGACCACUUGCCAGUAUUUGAUGUAUUUGAGGCAUCCUUCUUAAGCAACUCUUUUCUCUUGAUAUCUGUGAUAUCACCUGCUCAGUCUCUCCUACUGGCUUCUCCUUGUGCUCUUCCCUAAGUAUUAUUUUGUCUCAUAGUGUGGUUGUUGGGUCUCUACCUUUCCCUACAGUGACACUUUCCCUGGGGAAUCUUAGCUAGUCCUUUUGGCUCUAAACACGAUCUUCAUGGCUAUGAUAUCCAAGUUUAUAUCUUCUAAAUUGGAAUUUCUGCUGAAAUCCAAAGUAGUAUCAAUAGGUAUCUUAAGUUUGGGAGAGUAUCUUAAUUUUAAUAAUUAAUUUUAAAGACAACCUUUAUUUUCCCGUACCUAUCAAAACUUAUUCCUUCCAGUUUCCCUGUCAUAAAUGAACUCCCUUCUAUGCAGUUGCCUGGGUCCAAAAUAGGAAGUAAUUCUUAUCUCAUUUCAACAAAUUAUCCUUGGAUUCUAUCUCUAAAAUAUUUCCUGAAUCUGACCAUAUUUCUCUAUCUCUGCUCCCGUUCUAGAACAUAAACUACCUUAUAGCUUCCUGGAUUAUUUUAACAGCAUUUAAUUGGUCGUUUGCUUGUCCUCUGUCUUCCCUCAGUUUGUUCCCAUGUAGUGUCUAGAGUGAUCUUCUAGACGUGUAUGUAAGUCAGUCUGUGUGUCUCCUCUAGCUGGAGCCUUCUAGUAACUUCCCCUUGCACUUAAAGUAAGUCUAAGCACCUUGCCACAGCUUAAGCCCCAAAUCAUCUGACCUUACUUCCUAUUCUGCCCUUCGACCCCAUUCCUUCUGCUCCAUGGUAAGACUUUCCUGUUUUUCUGCUUAUUCUGGAAUUCAGGCUCUUUGUGACAGGAACUUUGUCCCAUUCUUUGUAGCAUCUCCGGAACAUAGAGUGGUGCCAGGAACAGAGCAAAUACUGUCAAUACUGAUACUGACACAAAUACUGAUAAAUACUUGUCAAACAUAUGCACCUGUAGAGCUUAAAACCUAUAUCUUAAUAUAACCUUAAGAAACCGGAUACUUACAGAAUUGACUUUUACAGUCAAUUUAAUUAUUUGGUGACUAAGUAUAGACAGUUUAUAUUCUAUGACACUUGAUGAAAAUAUUUGUAAGAUGUAUAAGCAAUCUUUCUUUUCUUAGUGAAUACCUAUUUGUAGACAUUUUCUUCUUCUCAAGACAAAACACUGAAUUAUUUUUACUCUCUUGACUGUUUUAUUUUUAUUUUUGGUUGUUUAAAAAAUGAGCUCUUUUGAGUUUAACACCAAGUAUUCUUUUCUUAUUUACACAUUACAAUGUCAUAUAUUUAUAAUGAGAUAAGUCAUUUAGAUGAUAUUUAGAUGAUGUACAUACUCAAAUUUUGACCCUAAAGGUUUUUUUUUUAAAUUCAGUGUGUGUUCCCUGCUAGAACAAUAAGUAAUAUAAAGUGAAAUUGUCUAUGUGCAGUUAAAAUGAGUUGGGUAGAGAGCUCGUGCGGAAAAGUUUGCUCUUUAUUUCACAAUAACUGCUCCUUGUCUGGACAAUUUAAAAAAUUAUUAAGAUUUUCAUUAUGUUAACAUUUAUUUCUUUUUCUGCGUUCUCUUUAGCAAACUCUGUGCCUUUGCGAUGCUGCGACUAAUCCCAGGAGAUUAGAGAGGCAUAUUCAGGACAGGGUGGAGGAAGCAUUUUCUGGAAAACAGAUGAUGGCAGGAGAGAAUUCGCACACAUUGCUGGUGUUCAAAAGCCAGCUUCUCACAUUUCCCUUGAGUCAGUAUGUCUCCUCCAAUCUGUGUCUUAACUCUUUGAGCAUCUUUAGAUUCAGGUGCCCUCGGUGGUCUGGGUUUUGCUUUAAUAAACUUCCACUUAGUUUUUUUCUCUUUUUUUCUUUUAUUUAGAACUUUUUUUAAAUAUAUAACUUAUUGUCAAAUUGGUUUCCACCCAACACCCAGUGCUCAUCCCAACAGGUGCUCAUUUUCAAACCCAUACCACUUUGGAGACAGUUAGUUUUUUACAAAUCUAAACAUACUUUUACCAUACGCUCUACAGUUGUCUUCCUCGGUACCUACCCAGAGGGGCUAAAAACAAUUACGUCUCACAAAAAUCUGCACAUGGGUGUUUGUGGCAGUUCAUUGCCAAAAACUUGAAAGCAACCAAGAGGUCUUUUGGAAGGUGAAUGAUAUAUCUCGACAAUGGAAUAUUAGUCAGUGAUUAAAAAAAAUUAGCUAUCAAAUCAUGAAAUGAUGUGGAAAAAACCUACAUGCGUAUUAUUAAGUGAAAGAAGCCAAUCUGAAAAAGUCUAUAUACUGUAUGAUUCCAACUAUGUAACAUUCAGGAAAAGGUAAAACUGUGGAGAUAGUGAAAAGAUUAGUGGUUGUCAGGGGUUGGUGGGGAGGGAGGGAUGAACAGGCAGAGCACAGAGGAUUUUUAGGGCAGUGAAACUACUCUAUAUAUUAUGAUGGUGGAUACAUUUGCCCAAACCCAUAGACUAUAUACCACCAAGAAGGAACCCUAAUGUAAACUGUGGACUUUGUGUGAUAAUGAUGUGUUAGCAUCAGCUUGUCUGUUGCCACAAAUAUACCACUCUGGUUGGGGGGUGUUGAUAAUGAAGGAGGCUCUAUGUCUCUGGGGGCUGGGGAGAUAUGGGAAAUCUUUGUACCUUCUUUUCAAGUUUUCUGUGAACUUAAAACCUCUCUAAAAAAGAAAGUCUUAUAAAAAAAACCUUUUUAAUUAAAAAAUGAUUUUCCAUUGGAAGUCCAACAAGUAUCAUUUCAUUUGUUCAUUUUGGAUCAGUGGUUUUGAAAUUUUGAACUUUUAACAUUAUUGACCUGUUUGGAACAAUUACCUUAAUGAAUAUUUCUUUCUUAAUUUGUAAGGCCUUUUGGAGACUUAUUAUUUAUAAAUUCCAUUUGGCUAUCACUUUUCUUAACAUCUUAUUUCUUAAUGUUUAAGAAAUAGGAUAUCCCUACCCCCAGCAUACUGGGGCAUAAAUUCAGCUGGAAAAUGUCACUAUUUAGAGAGUGUAAAAUAGUCUUCACUUUAAAAAUCUGUAUGGUAUUAUAAGAAAUUAGAAGGGUUGGGGCGCCUGGGUGGCUCAGUCGGUUGGGCGUCCGACUUCGGCUCAAGUCAUGAUCUCGCGGUCCGUGAGUUCGAACCCCACGUCGGGCUCUGUGCUGACAGCUCGGAGCCUGGGGCCUGCUUCGGAUUCUGUGUCUCCCUCUCUCUCUGCCCCUCCCCCGUUCAUGCUCUGUCUCUCUCUGUCUCAAAACUAAAUAAACGUUAAAAAAAAAAUUAGAAGGAUUAAAUACACACAGCAAUGUAGUAACGACAAAUUUCUUCACAGUAAUAAUUAAAUGCGAGGAACAACAUUUUGCAUACAGAGCUCUGCAAAGAUAGAAUGGAUUCCCUCAACCCUGUCACCUGAGUGCAUUCUCUUCAAGGGUGUUAGCUGGCACAACUCUAAGUACUAGCCUUAGAAGACUACAAAAUCUUCUUCCAAAGGCAAUGGUCUGUGAACCUAUCUUAACUUUUGGGGAUUAUGUAGCUUUUUUUUUCUCUGAAAAUUUCAAAGUACUUUUGAGCUAUCCGUGUAUCUAUCCGGGAGAUAUUUCAGUGGAGAAGAGGAGCAAACCACACUUUCUGUCCGUGUGUGGCAGAAUAAUCCGAUGUACUCACACCGCAGUAUGCGAAUUGCCUAUCAGUUCCUCAGUCUGGAUGUGGGUGGGAAACGGACACCAGCAUUUGCAUCAUUGUACCAGAAAUUUACACCGUUCGUUGUGAUGCUCCAAAGAGGCAGAAGAAGCCUUUCACAGAAGCACUGAGGCCUCAACAGCUUAGCUCUCUAUAUUCGGGUUUCUGGAGAAAAACCACAACCAGUAUAAUAGCCUGAGUACAGGAGUAAGACAAGUUUUAGCAUCUUUGGAGAAAAGUAUUCUGGGAGACAGAGUAACAUUUAAUGCCUCUCCUGUUUCAUUAUGAAAGUAUCUUUGAUAUAUAACAUUAUAUAACUUGAAGGUGUACAUCCAACAUGUCAAUUGGAUAUAUAUUUAUGUAUUGUAAUAUGAAAGCCAUGGUCUCUUCUAAAUGAAGUCUAGAGGUUAAAUCAAUGUGCUCCCAGGCAGGAAUGAGCAGGACCCCUUCCAUAAAUGGCGAGAAGCUAACCACACAGUCUGUGCGUAAAGAGUGAAGGUAAGGUAGCUGAUGAGGCCCACUGAGGUAAAAUUAAGAAGGUCCGAGUGGUACUAAGAAAUUUGGACUUAAUUCUACAGAUACAAGAAACUUGUAAGCAGGGGAUGCAUUUAUUAGACUAACAGUAGCUGUAUAAGGAAUCCACUCAAAAAUGUACAUUGACACAAACAUAAAAAAGUUUGAUUUUUUAAAAUCAUAACAAUAGUCUUCACAGUUCUUGCUUCAUAAGGGAAGUUGGGGUUUGGUCUGUGCAGUCAGUCAAGACUCUGAGUGACUGGGGCCCCACCAUCUUCAUCACAUGGCUUUUGAGGUCAUCUCUGUGCACUUGGUGUAAGAAGAGCUUGGGGACGCAGUGUUGGGGCAGUUUAUAGGCUGGACUGGAAGUGACAAACGCAUCUGCCUUGGUACGCAGCCAUACUCAACCUCAAAGUUGGGACACACAGCCUGGUUGUCCCCGGAAGAAAAGGGAAGCCAUAAGGAGGGCCAUAACUGGAUACGCUUUGUAGAAAAAAGUGCUGGAGGCAAAGAAAGAAUGUCCUGGAAGGAGGCUGUCAGAGAGAUUGGGUAUGAAGACAUGUUAGGGCUCUGAUAGUGGAUGAUGAGAGCUUGAAACAAGGCAUUGGAAAGUACAGUGAAAGGAGUUUGUGAAGGACUGUGACAGUUGGGAGAACGCUAGAAGCCUUGUCGGAGCCCAGGGUUCCGGUUUUGGGGGGGGGGGCUGUCGUAUACAGCCAGUUGGAAGCAAGGUGACUAGUUGGUGACUCAGCAAGAUGAGGACUUUAAAAUCUGCAUUUCCUGAUAAGAUUGAGAAGGUUUAUGUUUGGGACUUAACCCGAAAUGGAACGAACAAUGAGAAUGAAAAGCGCCUUGGACCUUAUGCCAGUGCAGUGGCUAAGGAGGCUCAUCAAACAAACUUGGCAUUUUCGCGCUGUUCAGAGCCCUCCCCUGUGCUGUCAAACAGAGAUGAAAACUGAAUGAGACAGCCCUGAGUUCACACCACAUUUACCAUCCGUACCUCAUUUCCUGGGUGUGUGUCCAGAAUAGUCUCUGGUCAUGACAUCGGUUCAGCAGAGUCUAAGAAAAAUGUUGUGUGAUCUCUGGAAACACAUUCACCCUUUUAAAGGGCUUUGCAAAUGAUUUAGAUGUGUUUUCUCUUUUUCUCGCCCCUUUAAAAGUCAGUGGCAGCAGCUGGGCAUUCAGAGUGCCAUGUCGGUCUCACCUCCCAUCCGGGGGGAUAUUCCGAGCGUUAGCCAACAGCCUUGUUUGUUUUGCUUGGGCCAUUCUGAAACCAGCCUUUCGCUCUUGCUAUGUCUUUUCUUUUUGUUGUUUUAAAUGCUAACUGUUCAGUCAUGAAGACACUUACUUCAAACACAUUUACAGAACUAAUUGUGGAAGCCACAGAGAAUCCUUUGUUUGAGACAUUGUGGUCUACUCUGUCAAAUCACAGUAAGAAGGAAACCGGGAAGUCAAAUGAUCCGUCUGCAAAAUGUGGGUUUUUUUCCUAAGUGGAAUUUAAUAGGCUUGUCUUGCCCUUCUGUGAAGAGGGAAAUAAACUGAUUAUUAUGGUCUGAAUGUUUGUGUCCCUCCCCCAAAUCCAUAUGUUGAAGCCCUAACCCCCAAUGUCAUGGUAUUUGGAGGUGGGGCCCUUGGGAGGUAAUUAGAUUUGGGUGGCGUCAUGAAGGUGGGGCCACCAGUUGGGAUUAGUGCCCUUAAAAGAAGAGAAAGUGACUAUGCAUCUCUUUCUGCAUCAUGUGAAGACAGUGAGAAAACAGCCAUGUGCAAGCCAGGAGGAGAGUUCUUACCAGGAACUAAGUCACCUUGAUCUUGGAUUUCUCGGCCUCUAGAACUGAGAGAAAUAAAUGUCUGCUACUUAAGCCACCCAGUCUGUGAUAUUCUGUAAUAACAGCAUGAGUUAAGACACUAGUUUAAGGACAAAUUUAUCUAACUAGAAGAAUUGCUGUGUGUGUGUGUGUGUGUGUGUGUGUGUGUGUGUGUGUGUAGAAGGAGGGAGUAUGCAGAGAAAUGAGAAAUCAAGGACGCACACACCUGGAAUGACUUUAUAAAUGCCCCGUGUACUUAUACUGCUGGUCUUUCCAUGGGAACAUGACCCAGGACAAGCAAGCGUGCUGAGGAGGAAGUGGAUGAGCACAUCACCAUGACGACUCUUUUCAGAGCACCGAAGUCCAUGACCCAAAGCCGCCAUUUUGCCACAUGUAUAAAGUAUAUAAAGAGAACUUACCAAAGACUUUAUGCAGCUGAGUGAUGGUCCACGUCACUUGGUGAACGAAAACAAGGCCGACUGAAAGUGAGCUGGCCACCAAGUGCAUAGACAAUAUGAAAUUCAGCUGCUUGGUGACAAAAUAAAAUGUUAUCUAUCUGACAUUAAGUCUAUGUUGCAAAUACAUCCAUAUACAUGUAAGAGAUACAGAGGCAAGUGUAAACACAGGUGUAGGUAUUGGCAUAGGUAUAGUCAGAGAUAUACACAUAAGUAGAGAAGUAUAUAAGUGUAUAUAUACUUGUGUAUAUAUAUGUGUGUGUGUGUAUAUAUAUAUAUGUAUAUAUAUAUACACCAUGAUUCUCAGCAAAUAUUUUAUGCUUCACUAUAUUUUAAACUAUAUUUAGUGUUCAUGUGGUUCCUCAUAAACAUAAACACUUGACAAAGGAAGAUCUUUAAAAUUUCUUAUUGAUUCCAUCCAUUUUACAUGAAAGAUCUUCACUUCCUGAAGGUAACAGCUUUGUAAAGGUGUAGGAGACACAGAAUAAGAUGCAAAGGUUAGAGGCAAACCUCUUUCUCUGGCGUCAGUUUCUUGCAAAAGCGCCAAACGGUAAAAGGUAAAAGGGAAAGAAAGAUCCUUAGUGGUUGCCCCUGGUCUGAUAUGAUGUGCAGAUAGGAGUGACAUUGGCAGUUCUAGUGGUGAAGAGUGUGAACCUAGGGGCAGAGCACCUGAGGUCGAGUCCUACUUCAGUAACUCUACUACAGUAGGUACCUGGGAAAUUUGGUGAGAGUUUAGUGCCUCGGCUUCCAGAUUAAUCCAUGAAAAGCACCUCCCAUAAGAUAAGCACGAAGACAAGUGUUAGCUGCCAUUGCUGUUGAUAAUGGUAUCACCGUUACAGGAAUCAUUUGAGCUAAUAUGUAGCUGCAUUGGGGAUAUCUCAUCAUCCAUUUAUUAUCAAAAUACCAUUUGAUUCUGUAAUUUUCCUUAUAUCUGAUUCCAUUUUGCUACAUUUUAUUGGCUAUAAGUACAUCUACUUUUGCAAACAAUUAUAGCAGAUACCCAGAGUCCAUAUGUCGAGAUUAAAAAUGGGAAAUGUGAACCAGAUGGGCAAUAUUCUUAUGGCUGAGCUUGCUUCGUUUGACCUCAGGCAGGGGGUGGAAUUUAGGUGUUCCGUCUACACCUGACCCUCACAGAGCAUGCCCACAAAUGUUAGUGUGAAAAGCGGAAGACCUAGAAGUCGAACCUGUAGACCUUGCAGCAUCACUGAACUCUGGUCAACCUGACCUUUACUACCAGAACCUGAGGCACAUCAAAGAAAACCUAGCCACUUAUCCCCGGGGAGCCACUGCUGACUUCCUUGGGAGAGAGUCUGAACCACCAAGGCAGCCUCGAUCAGGGAGGAUGAACUCCCUGUGUCAGACCGCUCUAGUCAUUCCUAAGUCGCUUUCAGUGGGGGAGCCGGGGAGCAAGUAUGACCAGCACCUUGAGAAAUCCCAUGCCAAGUACUUGUAAAAUUUUAGAGCUAGAGGAUUUCUUUUUGGUCUCUCUAGGGAUUACGCCAAUGCUGGACAGUUUACUGUGCCAGGCAGCAAUUAGCUUUUGAGUUUAAAAUGCAUUUAAAUGGAACUUUCAGAAUUCCAAAAUUAGCUUGACAUCAUGCUUAGUGGUGAAAGACUGAAUUCUUUCCUUCUAAGAUCGGGAAGCAAAAAAUGAUGUCUGCUUGUGUCACUUCUAUACUAUACUGGAUGCUCUAGUCAAGGCAAUUAGGCAAGAAAAUGAAAUAAAAGUCAUCUGGAUUGAAAGGAAAUAGGAAAACAAUAUCCAUUUGCAAGUGACAUGCUGUUGUAUAUAGACUUGUAUACAGAAAAUGCUGGGCGCCUGGGGGGGCUCAGUCUGUGAAGUGCCCAACUUCGGUGUAGGUCAUGAUCUAAUGGCUUGUGAGUUGGGGCCUCGCGUCGGGCUCUGUGCUGACAGCUCAGAGCCUGGAGUCUGUUUUGGAUUCUGUGUCUCCCUCUCUCUCUGCCCUCCCCACUUGCUCUCUGUCUGUCUGUCUGUCUCUCAAAAAUGAAUAAAUAUUAAAAAAAAGUAUGAAAAGAAAAUGCUAAGGAAUCCACUGGAAAAAUAAUUAGAACUAAAAAAGUUAAGUAAGGUUUGAAGUUACAAAAUAAAGUUAAAAAUUAAAUAUAUCUCUAUACAGUAGCCAUAAACAAAACAUGAAAGAAAACAAGUUUACAUAUAGUAACAUCAAAGAGAAUAAAAUACUUAAGAGAUUUAACAAGAGAAAUGUAAAACUUUGAAUACUCCAACACAUUGUUGAAAGAAAUUAAAGAAGGCCUAAAUAAAUAGAAAGAUAUAUUCUUGGAUUGGAAGUUUCAAUAUUGUUUAGAUGGCAAUAGUAAGCAAAGUGAGCUACAAAUUCAACACAUUCCCUUUCAAAAUCACAGCCGGCUUCUUUGCAGAAAGUGACAAGUUGAUCUUAAAUUUCAUAUGGAAAUUCAAGGGACUCAUAAUAGUCCAACCUUGAAAAAGAACAAAGCCGGAGGAGUCACACUUCCCAAUUUCAAAAGUUACUGUAUUCAAAGUAGUGUGGCACUGGAAUAAAGAUAGAUGUGUAGAACAUCAGAAUAAGAUAUAGAAUCUAGAAAUAAAUUCCCACGUAUGGUAAAUUGAUUUUCAACAAGGGUUUCAAGACGACUCAAAGGAGAAAGAGUAAGAAUCACACAGAGAAAUUGGAUUUCAUCAAAAUUAAAAACCUUUGUGUUUUAAGAGACAAAAUCAAGAAACUGAAAAGACAACCCAUACAAUGGGAGAAAGUUUUGCAAAUUAUAUAUCCAAUAAGGGACUUGAAUCCACAAUACAUAUAUAGAGAAUUCCUACAACUCAAUUACAAAAAAGACAAAUAACACAAUUUAAAAAUGGACAAAAGAUCUGAAUAAACAGUUCUCCAAAAAAGAUAUACAAAUAACCGAGAAGCACCUGAAUAGAUGCUCAGUGUCAUUAGUCAAUAGGGAAAUGCAAAUCAAAUCCAAGAGAUACCAAUCUACAUGCCUUAGGAGGGCCAUAAUAAAAAAAAAAAAAAGACAAUAACAAGUGUUGGUGAAGAUGUGGAGAAAUUAGAACCCUAUACACUGCCUAUAGGAAUGUAAAAUGGUGCAGCUGUUUUGGAAAACAACCUGGAAGGUCCAGUUAAACAUAGGGUUACCAAAUGACCCGGCAAUUCCACUUCCAGAUGUAUACCCAAGAGAAAGAAAAACAUAUCUUCUCACAAAAACAGGUAAGUAUGUGUUAGCAGCAUUAUUCGUAUAUGUCCCUCAGCUGGCAAAUGGAUAAAUCAAAUGUUGUAUGUCCAAACAAUGCACCAUCAUUCAGUAAUAAAGAGAAAUGUAUGGAUACAUGCUACUACAGGGAUGAAACUUAAUGGUAUCAUUCUAAGUGAAAGAAGCCAGUUACAAAGGGAAAGAUACCGGAUAAUAUUGUGAAAUGCCCCAAAACGCAGAUUCGUAGAGACCGAAGGUAGAUUAGUGGUUGCCUGGAUUUGAAGGAGGGAAUUGGCCAGUAUUGAAUGGAGAGUAAGUGACUGCCAACAGUUAUGGCAUUUCUUUUUGGGGUGACAAAUGGUCGCAUAACUAUAAAUAUAUUAAAAAUCCUUAAACUGAAUGCUUUAAAUUGGUAAAUAAUUUGGGGUACCGUUUAUAUUUCAAUAAAGCCGCAAUUUAAAAAUUUUCCAAUAUUAGAUGAUACGUAUCUUUCAGUGUUAAUAGUAUCCAUCAAAAUUCUGAAACUGAUCAGGUGGCUCAUGUCUCAGCUAGAAAUACAUGUUGUCAUCAGAUGUACCUGGGGCAACAUCGUUUCCAUCUUGUAAGGGUUCACUAAUGGUAUAACUGAUACCACAGUAAAGGGAUUCGUUUGAAAGAGUGGCAUGUAAGGGACUGUAUACUCCCUGUAUGGGGAUUUUCAUAUUGGACAUCGGCUGUUCCUAAUUUGUCCUUGCACUGUAGUAUUGCCUUUAUUUUAAAAAAAAAUUUUUUUUUAUUAGUUUUCUUUAUUUUUGAGAGGCAGAGAGAGACAGAGCACGCAUGGGGGAGGGGCAGAGACGGAGGGGGAGACACAGAAUCCGAAGCAGGCUCCAGGCUCCGAGCUGUCAGCACAGAGCCCGACGUGGGGCCCGAACUCACAAACCGUGGGAUCAUGACCUGAGCCGAAGUCGGACACUCAACCGACUGAGCCACCCAGGCGCCCCUGUAGUAUUGCCUUUAAAUAGCACAGUGAAAUUUUGCACUAGGCAGUUAUACUAUUUACAAUGCCAAAUGUAUUGCAAAAACCUUGAUGGAUUGAUAGCCCUCAUGUUAGGAAGGAAAGUGAGCCUAACUGCACCCACCCCCUCACAUGGCCCAUAGAUCUACUUUUUUUAUAUUUCUAAUGUAAUUUAUUUAUUUUGUGAGGGAGAGCAGUGAGCAGAGGAGGGGCAGAGAGGGAAGGCGAGAGAGAGAAUCCCAAGCAGGCUCUGCACUGUCAGUGCAGAGCCCCAUGUGAGGCUUGAACUCACAAACCGUGAGAUCGUGACCUGAGCCAAAACCAAGGGUCGGGCGCUUAACCGACUGGAGCCACCCAGGUGCCCCCAAAUGGAACUGUUUUUAAGGUCAGGUUGUAAAGUAUUUAAUGUUGUACCCAAUUUAAGGAAGGAGUCGACUGCUCUAUUUUAAUUAAUACAGACUUGGAGGACAUUAGCAUAAGAGGCUGAAGGAAUUCUGUCCCUGGGCAUGUGCUUCCGAUUCCUUGGAGGGCAUGUGCUCAGAAGGCAGGCCAGGGCCAGCCAGAACAGGUGGGAGGUGGGGAGGGCAUGCCUUUCAUAAAACCAAAACCGGGUAAGGGAACGAUGGGGGGCAAGGGUCUCAAACUAUGUAUUUAGGUCCUAUUGGAAGAGAAGACUAUCUUUUACCUCCCUUUUCCCUCUUCUGUACAGAGAGCCUAGCACAGUGUCUCUGAGGUUUCUUACAUGUUGAACGGAUGUGAGAAGGUUUAAAUUCUUUCUAAAGACUUUUCAUAGCUCUCCUCUAGUAGGGCAGUCAGUUCUUACUCAUGUGUUUUCUUUUCCUUUUCUAUUAUAGACAGAGUCUGGUGAGCUCUUAGGAGACAGCCAUGGUGGUUUUUCUUAAAAACUGCUUUUAAGAAAAGUGAGUGGACUCAAACUUUAAAAAUGUGGCUGUGUGGUUCAACUCUACAAACAAACAAAAGUGAAAUCUUCAUUUUUUUUUUUUUAUUGGUUCGGAGGAAAAUAUUGCCAAGGGUGUUUUAAAAAUAGUUCUGGGGAAAUAUUUGGAGACAAGACUCUUCACUCAGUGUUUCAGCCUGACACGUUUCGUGAGAGCCCCACCUGUUUUUGUGAGUUUGGUAGUCAUUCCUUAAAAUGUAGAAGGGCUCGUUGGAAAUUCUGAAGGAUCGGUUGUUUUUCCACUAUUUAAUUUAUUUAAUACUAUUGGGGGCGGGAGAAACCCAUCAAAUAGCCACUCGGAGUCAAGGCUUAAAGCAGCAGCGUGAAAAACCUCCCCGGUAAGGACGGAGGACGGCGCACCCCGCAGAGGGAAGGACAGCAGCGUCCAGUCCUGAAGCCAGUCCUGGAGACCCGGCUGUGGGACUCUGAACUAAGAGACCAUUCUGUGUGCGACGCACACGGAGUCUGGUGCAGAAUAAAGCUUUGCUAAGCUCCGCCCAGAAGUGUGGUUGCCUUUGUCAUUUUAAUUGGUCUGUGUUUGUGAAGCGGGGCCUCUAUUUACUUGUAGCUUGGGGCUUGUGUUUACCAAGCCUGGUGGAGGCCAAGUGACGGGGCUCCUGCGAGCUCUCCCGCUGUAUCUUGAGGCACUUUUCUUUUCAGUAUCUGUGCCUGUCUAAUUCGUGAGCUUCUGUGAAGCAAGCACAGGAGGGUACAAGGCCUACAGGGAGGAAUUAUACCUAAUUACUCAAAUAAUUGCUAGGCUGUUGCCUUCUUAGUCACUGAAAAUAAUUUCCAGGUCCCUGGCUUUUAUAGAUAGUCUUCUAGAGGCAGGAGGACACAGCCCCCUUUUUAACGCAGCCCAUUCACUCACAAAAUCAGAACACUCGAGCCUGCAAAAUUAAUAAGCACCACUUCCAUUACAUAUAUUUUAGGUUGUUGUUGCCGUGGCGAUAAAGUCAGGGACAUUGAAUCUCCUCUGUUGAGCCAUUGUUAUCAUCCCUGGCCAUCUGCUGCAGAGGAGUGAUAUUCGGUCUCAUUUGCAUGAUGACUGAUAUAUGGGAGGUUUGGAAGGACAUAUGCCACAGCAAUCAUGUGAUGGAAAUUAAAGUGAAAGUUUUGGGCCCAGAGCCGAAAAAAAAUCUGUGUAUGCGCAUGAGGCUGUUGAUGUGCAAAUGUGAAUCAUAUUGAGAAGGUCUGAAUAGGGAGGUGUGACGUAAAGAGGGGACACAAACGGAGGUGCUUAUCUCUAAGCAGUCAAAGGCACUGGAUGUCAUAUCAUGGGAACUACCUUUCAAAGACACAGCUUUAGUGUUUCCGUUCAGCACACAAGGGAGGCGAGAAAUAUAAGUUUUGGAAACAAACAAAAAAGUAAGUUUAAAACUUUGGAGCCGCGUACUGUUUACGCUGACGUUUAAGGCACUCGGAAUUUUAGUAAGUUUUCAUGUCUUAAGUUGUAACGUUUAGUUUUGUUUCUGGGGGAAGAAAAGACACUACUAAAGGCUGAAGUUUAGGAGUGGUUGAUGGUUUUUCUGAUGUUUGUUUUUGAACUUCUCUGGUUUCUGCUGUGAUGUAUAUAUACUUGGUCAUUAUUUUAAAUGCUGUUUCUCUCUCUCUCCUUUUCUUUCUUUCCUUUUUUUUUUUUUUUUUUUUGGUAAAAAACGUUAUUGUAUCUGCUUUGAGAAGGAUUUCAGAAUAAAAUGCCAUGGUGCAAUUGCAUUUAUACUGCAUCAGUAACACUUUUGUUCAUAUACAUUUUUGAAAUGUGCAAAUUUGCAACAGAGAAUAUUUGAUAUGAAGUCAUACUUGCUACACUUUUUUCUUUGCGACAGAAAAAUUACCAGCAAGAUCCCACAUCUGACAUCUCACUAGAAUAGAGGAGAUCUUUGGCGGGGGGGAGGGGGGCUGUCAACACAAUAAUAUCAGUUAUUUCUAUAAAUGAAUAACCAACAUCAAAAGGAUGGUUUUGUUGUGAAAAGUCAAAAUUCUGGUAGUGGCUGCACAUAGGCAAAGAGUUUAUGGGAAGUCCCGAAGAAAUUUGAAUUGAUAAGUAUUGUAUUUAUAAUCUUGUCUUUAAAUGUUUCGAGAAAUGAAUAAGAACAGCCUCCUUAAAAAAUGAUACGGUUCAUUUUUUGAUAAAUGCAGAUGUCAGAAGACUCUUUAGAAAGUUAAAAAGUAAUAUUAGAAAAGGCUGAAAAAUGAGAAAGACUUAAUACUAGCCUUGAACAAAAUUUUACAGAAGGAUGAGUUCAGUGAAGUAAAAGGAGAGAGAAAAUAUACCCUGAUAAACAGGACUUUGCCUCAUAUUCCUUUCGUCCUAACAAGGCAUUUAUUAAUCGUGCUUGCUUUGAUACACGUGAAAAUAAUAGAAGUCUCGUAAAAGGGUGUAGUGAGCUUUUUUUUCAGUUUCAAGGAACAAAGCAGCUAAUAGCAAAGUAUGUAAAAUAACUUCUCCAGUAUUGAUUUUUGAAAAGAUAGAGGCUUCUCGUCAGGAAAAGUUAUAUCAAAUCUCAUCUUAGGCCAUAACUAGCACUACAACAUCCAGGAAACAAAAAAGAAAAACCAAUGGUGAACAAAUCUUGAAUACAGUUGUGUAUGCUAUUUUUAUGUUAGAAGAAAAGUAAAUGAGUUCCAGGGAAUAAUCAGGUUCAUAGUCUACAAUAAAACUGAAACUAGACUUUGUCUUCUUUUUUUUUUUCCUUUCAGCUAUCAUCUGCAUAUGAUCUUACUUUUAUGUAUGUAACCUAAGAUUACCAGUGAUCUUUUUUCUCCUUCUUCUAAAUAUUCAAUUAGUCAGUGGUGAUUAUGAUGUGGCCUUCUUGGCUUACUCCAAUAUUAGAUUAAUAUAGAUUUCUUGCCAAAUUAGCGGAAAUCACUGUUGCACAUAAGAGUGACUCACUCUUUUUUAGUUGUAUUCAUGUUAUAGAAGCAGCAUCGUUUUAAGCUUAAAAGCUUUUUUAUAUUUUAAAUCUGGAUAUACUGUACCUUGGAGAGCAUAAGGUGGUUGUAUUUAAAACGUUUCCACAGAACACAUUGGAACUUUUAUGAGAUUCUAAUUUAGUUAUGUUUAAAGGAAUCCUCUUUUUUUUUUUUUUUUUUUUUGAAAAGUGGUCGUUACUAUUCUGCUCUAACAUCCAUCAGUAAGAUUUAAAGUUUCCUGGUUCUUUUUGAAUUAGACAUUUGUAAGUGUAAAGAACUUGAAAAGGAAGAGAAAUGUUUGGAGCUGUCCAUGGUAGCAUGUCUUUAAAAAGUAAACAGUUCUAUAAAUUGCAUAUCUACAUACUCUGUGGAAUUGGCUUGAUUACCCUUUUUAAAGGUUGGAAUUAAAUUCUUAUUAGAUAAAUUAACCUGGUACACACAGUAGUUAGUUGCAGAAAAUGUAACUAUGGUACUCAUCACUAAAUUGCAAAACUUUAAACUUCCAUAAUGUUAAUCAGUGUUCCUGUCUACAGCUUUAGAGUGCUUAUGAGUAAACAAACAAAAAUCACAAUCUAUUAAAUAUAUAAUUCUUUAGGUUGACAUUAAUAUGAGAGCUCAGUGCAAAUAGUUUCCAUGGUAGUAGGGCAAUGUGAGCAAACAUCAAAAAAUGUAACUUGCAUGACUUUAUUGCUCUUGAAAUUAAUUCUUGUCCUUAUGUGACCUGCCAUGUCUGCUAUAGAAAUCUAAAAGAUCAUAAUUGUUUGAUAUGAAAUGCAAAAAGAAUAGUUAAAUUGAAAGUUUAACAUCAUGAAAUUCAAAAUCCCAAGCGGUAUAUAAACAUUAAAAGAAACUUUGGACUGCUAAUCCUAGGAAAUGAGUUUUAUGGAUUGAAUUCAACAAGGCUUCAGAAAUGGUUCCAUCUGCUGCCUAGCAGCUGGCGAAAGGAUAAAUUUAAUUCAUUAAUUCAUUUGGAAAAAAGGAUCCAAGUAGUAAAGACUUCAUUGCUCAUAAUGCAUAUAGGUGAAAACACAAACUGAAAGCUGGUCCAAUUGAUCAUCCUAGAUAAUGAGCUACAUUUUGUCUUCCCUUUUUUGGUAAAGGUCUUAGUGAUUGAGUCAAUACGGUGUUGAUUUUAUGACAAUAACCAAUCAUUUCCAAUCAUUUCAGUGAUAGAAAAAAACUCAGGGAAAUUUAAAGUCAGUCACAGUUUUUAAUGUAGGGGGUUGUAGGCAAUAGAAAUUAUGCAUUUCUGAUUUUGUGCACUGUAUACAUGGGUAGCAGUAUGUGUAUCUCUGUUUAAAAUAUAUGCACAUAUAUACCCUUAGUCAUAUACAUUCUGAAUCACUUCGAUGAACUACUUAUGUUAGGUGGCAUUCUCCCAUUUGUUGAAAUAAUCACAAUUCUUGGGUACUCAAGAUCAAUAUAAGUAAAGCAUAUUUUAGCUUCAAAAUUCAUAGUUACUCAAAAGUUGCAAGGUUCAAAAUAACAUUUGUUUUGUUUUCUUAUCCUUCUACACUUCAAAUUAUUUGCCUCGGUCUCUGUUUUCACUCACAUCCUGCAGAGGACUUCAAAAGAUACCAAGUUGUACAUGAAGUAGGCUUUUCUCAACUCCUCUGCUGUUAGGCACUUUGACAUGGAAAAAAGAUCUCGUUGGCUACAUUGCCCAGGACUUUUUAGUAUCUUUAUGUAAAAGUAAUGGAGGUUUAAUGCCCAGUUUCUUGAAUCAUUUCAAAGAAGUCAAUGUGAUGAGGCGUGGGAAAAGUUAAUGUUGAAUCCUCUUUAACUUAUGAUUGUAUUGGUGGAUUUUUUUUUUUUUUCCGUCUGCCAGCAUUUUAAUGAGAGUGAGGUUUCCCUUAGAAAUGUAUAGCUUGCCUCUCAGGCAAGGUAAAUGUUUCCUGGUUGCCAGUUAAUUGAUCCAUGAUAGAGAUAAGAACAUCCCUGGAAGGUAGGCGGCUGCAGCGGCCUGCAUACAUUUUAGCACUUCUUUUUGGAUGGUGAUUUCAUGAAUGGUUUUUGACUUUUCUUUCUCUGUGGCCCAUAGCUCACUGUGGUGGGUUUGUUGGAUUUACUAUAAAGAUUCUGUCUGCACCCUGUGGGUUGGGUUAAGAAUCAGGGUUUAUACAUUUACUUGUACUGUUGCAUUGUUUAUACAGCUUUGGUUUAGUUUUGAUCUUUUUUUUUUUUUUUUUUUGCCUUUGAGGCUCUUCCACAGUGUCAGCUGCUGACUGAUAGUAGGAAAACGGCCUCGUGGUGUGAAUGAAAGGGACCUAGCGGUUGGUAAACAGAGAUAAGGAAUAAAUAGAGCACAGGCAAAAGGAGAUAGUUCUGUGGGGGCCCAGAUUGCUGCCAGUCUGUUCAAGGGAGAUGCAGAGGCUGUCCUUUUCCCAGAUUAAAUUAGUGUGCGAAAUCUCCAGUGACCUCCUCCCCUUCUCCCCAUACUCUUUAGCCAAGCUGAACAGCCUCUGCUGUAAAGUAUUCAUUUUAUCCAGGGACAAGCUGGACAAUAGAACUCUCCCUGAUACUUAUGGACAGCUGUCCUCAUUCAUAGUGCUCUCAGUAUUUCAUUUUUCAUAGGAGUUAAAAGGGUUUUUACCUUGUAACUGAAAGAGGGCAUAAAUGCAACUUUGCCAGUUCUGAGGCUGCUGGGGCAGGGGGUGGGACGGAGGUGGGGGUGACUUUGGAGUGAGGAGAAGCUGCUAAGGAGAGCAAUUCUUUUUUGUUUUGCUAAUAUGAUUAUCCCAAGGCAGAAAUUACAUUCUAAAUCGGGGUUCCUCGCAAACAGAAAAUAUCUUUGAUUCUGAAAGUUUCCUAAAAUUAAGGUCACCAGUGCAAGCUAGAUAAUUCAUCUUCGCCUGCUCUACCCUUGUUUUGGCUAAAUAUGCAUGCGUUUUAUUACCUGCAAAUAACCACCCGUAAAUAGUAAGCCUGUAAGAUACCUCGGUAGUCCCAUAUAUUUUUUUCUUUUUUUUUUUAGUGAUUUACUGCAAAUAUAUUCAGCAUUUGACUGAUUAAAUAGACCUUCGGCAACCUUGAGGGUCACUGUGUAGAGUAUGUACAUAGAAAAUGCAUCAGCCCAUUGUACCCUGGCAGCUAAUGAGAUUGGUCGUUAAGUAAAUGACACAAAGCCUACAAAAAAAGCUUAGCAGCUCACUAGAGUAUCACAGAGUGUCCCUGCACACCACACAACGACACAAACACUGGACUAACCUAGCCCACCCCUGCUUUAUUCUACAUCACUGCUUCCCUGAUGUCAGCGUGAGAGGCAGAACAAAGGCUAGGAGGCACGGGUAAGUCAGUCUGGCAAUUAAGCCCUAGGGAGAAAGUAGAACAAAUCUGAGCCUAACCGUGGGGCUGAAAGUCCGGUUCUCGACAAGUAGGUCAGAAUGAAGGGAUUUUGCUAUCACUUCUGGAAAUGUUGCUUCAGUGAUCAAUGCUCUUGCGUUGUUGUUAUUGUUGUUUUGUUUUGCCGUUUCAUAAAAGUUUUUGAAUUUCAGAAGUAAAGUGUACCCCAGAAUGCAAGUGAACUUGAAUUUGGGAAGGUAGGCUGUUUGUGGGAGAGACGGUGCUUUCACAAAUGAUGACCAUUCAGGUGUGUGUGCAGGUUUGAAAAACUUUCAGAGGCAUCAGGCAACUUUGAUUUUAGUUAGUCCUACUGCUUUUAAAAGAUGAUGGAAACCUUGAGCAGGAAUGCGUGCAGUGAGGUUCAUUCUUGUCAACGUAAAAUCGUCCCAUCUGCUAAGGUAUAUUUAAUUUCAUUUGUGGGAUAACCAUUUCCUUGAUCAGUAUCUUAAAAAUCAAUCCAUCAAACGCAACAAAACAAGAAAAUAAAGGCGUCUCUGUUCUUCCUGUUUCCAUUCCUCUUGGAUCUGCAAAUAAAAUCAUUGCUGCGAAUCUGUAAUAUUGAAUAGGAUUAGUGGUUAUUUGCUUGCUGUACUUGGGAAAAAAAUCAGAGCUCUCUGACACUGAGCAGCAUUGACUUACUGUGUCCCUUGGAAAAAUGCAUUUGCAGUGUUGAAGUAUAACAUUGCAGGAUCCUUUGGAGAAAUAUGGCAACAGGAAGUUGCCAGAAAGUCUUAUUUGCCUUGCUGAAAUGUCUGUCUGCCUUAGACUUGUGUACUCAGAGGACGUUUAGUUCAAGAGAGGAUGAUAUUGUUACAAGACAUUCAGGUAAAUGAAAUAUUUUAUUCUGAGAACUGCCAGCUUAGCGGAUUGUCAGUGGCUUAAUAAACUCUGACAAUCUCACAGAAAACAUUUUAACAAGUAUUGUUAACAUAAGGGUGGUGUUUUUAAAAUGGAUGGAUUCAUAGUAUCAGUGUCAGGAUUGAAUUUUUAAAACCACUGUCAUUUAAUAUUAGAAUGGCAUGUCCUAAUCAUUUGUUCAUAAAUUAAAACUCUCCAUAUUAUGCAGAAAUCAGUUUGCUAACUGGCAUGACUUGCCCUGAAACAUUUUUAUUUACAUAAGAAUAUAGAGAUUUUAGGAUACAGAAUAAAUCACUUAUUAUUAAUAUUCACGAGAGAUUCAUGAUAGAGGUUUAUAAUAUGGUCUGGGUGACCAGAGGUCACAUACUUCUUCCUUUUUUUUUUUUGGUCUCAAAGUACUUUUCUUCUUCUAAAUGUGUUCCCAACAUUCACUCUAUUUAUAUAAUUCAUUUAAGACUGUGUAUAUAGUAUAUAGCCUAUAUUAUGUAUUACAAACUCUAUUAUUUUUCUAGUAACCAGAAUUGGGAAGGAAAUAAAUUUUGUGAACAGGUAUGACAGUGUCUUAGUAAUGCCAAGUAAAAUAUAUGUGGGGAAGACACACUACAAUUUUACUAAAUUAAGAUCUUUCUCACAAGUGAUCUCAUCAAUGUGGGAGAAAUCAUGGGAAAAGCAAGCUAUCUGACAAUGGCUACAAUUGCAACCUACCAAUUUUAGUUUCAAGUAGAGUUAUGCAGCUAAUUUCCUCUUCCAGGCAUUCUAGAUAUACCGGGGAUUUUUUUUCUGUUGUGAAGAUUUUGGAUUUGGGUCUCAGGUAUUACAAGAUAUUUUUCUGUACUUGCUAAUGUUCAUCAUAUUAAUACAGGAGUGAAUUGUUCCGAAAACACACAGUCCUUCUGGUUGGCUAUAAAUAUUUUUCCCCUGUCCUCACCAGUACAACAAAGGGUGGGAAAACUUGACUGAAGUCCGUGCAGUUGCCUCAGUGUGGACAGAACCGAGUGGAACUUUCACAGAAAGGUAGUUGCUAUCCCUCAACACAAAAUAGGGCUGUGUUGUAAUUAAGAUGAGAGGGCACAGAUCAUUACUUUGGCUGAUUUGAACUUGUUUCUCUAAGUAUUAUUCUUGAAUUUGAGAGAGUUUAAAAAAUUUCAACUAUGGAAAUACACCAAGAAAGUGGAUUUAUCUGCUUUAUAACUUUUUUCUUUAAAGAAAUUUAAGGAACUUAAUUUCUGUUGACAGAAGGAACUUUUAUUUAGAUCCACUUAUUUGACAAAUAAGUAUUACUAAAACUACGUGGUUCAAAGGAUUGUACUGGGUGCUGUGGGUGAUAUCGGAACCUCAUUCUCACACCUAAGGGUCUACGAUCUAGGAAGAACUAUAAAGCGUUUCCUAGAGAAGAAGCCACCAUAGGUGCCACAUGAGCGACACAAGCAACAAGAGAAUCUACGACAUCCCCUUCUCAAGUUCAUGUGUUUGAGACCUGGUUCCACAAUUUACUAAGUCUGUGGCUGUGAAUAAGUUAUUUAACUUUUCUGGGCCUUGGUUUCCUGGUCUGUUAGAUGGGGGGGCCAGGGUAGAUAAAUCUUGCCUUAUAACUCAUGUGAAAAUUAAAUAAGAUAAUGUAUCUAAAGUCCUUGGUAUAUGGUAGGUGUUCAAAAAGUGUUUGUUUUUUAACUUUCACUUGGAGUUUGAGACAAUAAUUGGGCAUCCCAGUAUCAUGUUAUAUACUCGCUAUACGUCCGCUUCCAUCAGUACAGAACUCUCUCAUGUUUUCCCUUCCAGAGCCUUAAAUGUUGUGAGAUUCCUUGAAGGAUUGUGAAAAUUCCAUUUUACAUGGCUGAGUGCCCAUAUCCAGUCUAAGGUAACAAGUUAAACAUACUAAGUGUAACAUUAAGUAUAUAUGAUUAAAUUGGCUUAUUGUGCAUACUUUUAUUAAUGGCAAUCAAAAGUAUACAUUAGAAUUUCAUGACAUUUCAACUUUAACUUUCUGUAAGCGGAAAUACUUAAUUUUAUCUAAUUUCAAAUGGCAUAUCUAUAAUUUAAGUAGUUAAUUAUAGCAAAGGUCUUCAGGUAAUAAGAUUAUUAGGUUUACCCCUCAUUUCUUUUUUUUUUUUUUUAAUUAGUAUCUUUAUUAUUUGCCCCUUUAGGAUUUAUUUCAUAAGGUUUUGGCUUAGGUGGUUUCUUUUAGUUGAUACUUUGGAUUUGGUUGAAAAAAAUUCCCUUUCCAAAGACAUUAUGAUUGAAAAAUAUUUUAGCACCUGCAUAAAGAAACUUGAAGAUAGUUUAUUGUCGAAUGUCUUAAAAUUCCAUUUCAAUGAACUCUUUUUUUUAAAUUUCUUUGUAAGUAUUUGAAUGUUGUGCUCUCAGGUUUUGCGUCAAACAUAUAAGCUUCUGGGCAAGAAUUACUACUUUUUCGGUUUAAUUCUCCAGACUGUGAUUGUAGGAAUAUCUGUUCUCAUAGGAUUCGACCUGCAACAUAUAAGGUGCAACUUUGAGAGAAUUUUGGAGCUAAGAGCUCAUAAAUCCUGUAUAUCCACAAGUAAAUUGGGUUGACCCACAAAACUGUCAAUGCCUUCAAAGUCUUAUUAGUAACUUAUUUAUACUAUUGAAUAGGGUUAUCUACAACAUAUAAUAGCUUUGUAGAUCAGAACAUUUUAAUUUAUUUGAUUUAUGUAGUGUAAAUACGAAGGGGCCAGAGCUAACUGCACAGAAUACACGUUCUCCAAAAACUCCCACAUAUUAUAUUUGUUGGUCUGUCAUAGUGAACUGCAUGUUAAUUGAUACACUAUUGAAGAGAUACACUUGGUAAUUCCAUGAAAAACAUUUACAGUAUAAUUUCAUUAAAAAAUGAGUAUACAGAUUUCUGUGAUACAUUUUUCCACUUUUUCCAAAAUUUAAAACUUUAAUUUCAUUUCCUAAAUUUUGGGUUUUUUCCCCAUGAAGGAGAAACAUGGCUAAAAGCCAGUAAACCUUGCCUUAUCUUUUUUUUCAAAGGUAUCACGUAUGUAUCCAGUUUCUGUAUGAGUGAAUUCAUGCUUGGCAUGAGACAAAACUUAGUUAUCGAUACUUAUAAUGUUAUGCAGAAAUGAAAUAGUUAAUUAUUUAGAUAGAAUAAGCAGUGUUUUCUUUCGUGGAAUGUAGAUUAAAGAGAACCAGAAAACAAAAAAUGAAAAAUUGUGUUAUUGAAAACCUAAUUUGUAAAGAAUGCCAUCAGCUAGAAAGAUGCAUCUACUGUUUGCUGUUUUGUUUCUAUGGUCUAUUUGGUAUGAAUUUGAAUGAAGGCAUUUACCUCUUUUAAAUUUUCUUCUUUCAAAUAUCAGACAAUGGUAGGAAUUAGUCGAAACAUUUCUAUUCUGGAGGGUGGAAAGGGGGUGAGAAGGAAAUGUGUUCAUGAAGAACAUGAAAUCAAGGAAAGAUUGAGGCUGACAAUAUGACUACUUUAGAAAGGGGGCAAAAAUUAGAGGAUGCAACCUAUUUUGUGCACAGCCCUUGAUCUUUUUGUGUGUGUGAAAGAUACCAGUGUCUACCAAAAGGGUUAAAGAAAAUGCAUUCUGUUGCAUCUGCUUACUAAAUCCCUUACUUUAGUAGAAAUUCAAAUUUUGUAAAGAUUAUUCGUUUUAUUGAUGCAUAUAAUUAUAAUCACAAGCCAUCUGCUGAUUUGGCAGGCAUGGUUAAAAUUCUCUAACUCUCAUAACCUUUCAAGUACAGUGCCCUUGGGACUCUAUUUCACUUUUAUAUUUUGGAAAACAUGUAGGGACAAAUAAGGGCGGUCAUCUGCAGAAUGUCAGACGUGAGGAAAUGAAAGGAUGGAGAUCGGGGUUGCUGUUGUGGUUAUUUUUAAUGGUAGAGGAAGUUAUUUUUCUCUUUUUUUCUUUUUUUGCUUCUGACUUCAUGAAGGAUUAUCCUAGAUUCUAUGAUGUAUUUGGGAAUUUUUUUUUUCCUAGGGAUUAAAGCUCUCUCAUUUUACUCCUGAAAGGCAGGUUCCAAGUCUAAACAAAACAAACAAAUAAAAAAAAAUCUUCCCAAAUGCUGCCUACAUUGGUUUUCACAGGUAAAUUAAGUAUAUUUCCCUUAGACUUUUUGAACUAAUGGAAUAUUCCAGCGGCUUUAUUUUUCUGAAAUACUCACAUUCAAUCGAAUAACCUUCCAGGCAUAGAUUUCAGAUUGUAAAACAGUGUGUGCGUGUUGAUGCCAACCUUUUAGCUUAAAGGUCAGAUUUUCAAAUAUUUUUUUUCUUUUUCUGCAUGAAAUUAUGUACUGACCGGAUUUCCCCUGGCAGGUAUCUUCGUGGGGCCCUUCCUUGCCACCAUAAACCUCUGAAGUUUGGUGAUGUUCCAUAGCUGAUUCGCUUACUUCCUUGGGAAUGUUUCUUCUGUAAUCAAACCAGGGGAUUCCAAGGGCCAGGAUUUGCAGAUUAGAGUUGAUAUAUAGGCCAUAUCACAGCAGACUACAAGUGAGCUGAGGGCAAUCUGAAAAAGCCAUAGGAUCCCAGGACUUGGCUUUGUCAAAUAACGGAAACGUGCGCAUAUACAUCCCCUGUUUCCCUCUCUCUCUCUCUCUCUCUCUCUCCCUCACUCACACACACACACACACACACACACACACACACACACGCACACGUGAAAUCAUUGACCCAAGAACUAUUCUUAGGGUUUGGCAAAUUAGAAAAAGAACUUUCGGUACAAACAUUAUGCAUAUGAAUUUUUUUUGUAACAAUGAUGAUACGUAUGACAAUAUGAACAAUAAUAUUUACCAGGUGCGUACACUGUGCCACCCAGUGUGUUAAGUUCCUUGUAGGUAUUAUAUAAAUCAAUACCCAUGGUAUUUCCACUCGUAUUCCCUUUUUGCUGGUGAGGCAACUGAAACCGAGAGACAUUUUAGACAUUUUUCCUUCGGUUACCAGUCUCCAAAUCUAUGCUCUUAAUCUGUUCCUAUGCUACAUGGUGUCUGGGCACAGAGUGGGGUGGAGGGGGGUGGAAGGGGCAGAAACAGUGUCAGCAACGUCGUAUCAAAUGACAGUGGGUCUCAAGUGUGCCUGGGUUGCACUCAUAGUUAAAUAUCAUUAAGUAGUCAAAUGAUUCUGACUUGACAAGUUGCUUCAUUUUCCUUAUUGAUAGCAUCUGUCAUAUUAAGAGUUAAUGCUGGGUAAACCCUAUGCUCCUUGUCAUUCCCCAAAUUCUAUAACUCUCUGAACUUUUUAUAAUGCAAACAUCCCAGCAGUUUGAAAGAUAAUUCAGAGACAGCCUAAGCCUUUAUUAUACCUCUCUAAGACAUCCAUAUUUAGCAUGCCAAUUAACCUUGGUUUCAGAAGUAGCCUGUGCUAAGAACCAUAUGAGCUGUAGCUCUGAUGCUAAACAUCAGAUCAAAAGUUAAACAUUUGGCCAAACAGCCAGAAAUCUUGCUCGCAGAAUCUGUGAGCAUCAACACAGAUACUUAGAAGCAUCUGAUAAUUGAAUUCUGCCUCUGAGUACUUUGGUGUCAAGCAGAAGACAUGUUUUGUUUUGUGUUGUUUUUUCUAUUUUAUAAUGAUAACAAUGACACGGUGCUAACCACCCUCUUGAGUACUUUCCAUCUAUGAAUUGUUUUAAUUCACACAACAACCACGAGCAGAGCAACAACCUAUAGGGUAGAGUGAAGGUCUGUCAACGGCCCCUUUUUACGGAUGAGAAGACUGUGCCACGAGGAGGCGGGGCAACCAGCCAGGGAAUCCGGGGCUAUAGGGUCAGGGCUCCCACUGACCCGAACAUACGUGGCCUCGGGUGUGACGUACCAACCUCUGUACAUUUGACCUCUGAGCCUUCUCUCUGUGGGUUGGUUAAGAUUUCUCUUUGCUUAAAAACUAUUUCAAAACAUAGAUUGCAGUUUGCAGAUAUGUUUAGACACCGUAAUAUUUAUUUUUGUAUUUUAGAUCUCGAGCAGUUACUGUCACAACACUCAAAUAGUUUCCUUCUAUUACUAUGGAAGAUUAUCGUCAAAGCAUUUUUACAUCCUUUGCAAAUACCAUGUUGAAAAUAUAAUACUAACUGAAAAGAGCCAACUUAAUAAGAUUUGACAAAAAUCCUUUAGAAGAGAAACUAUAUUUAAAAUCAUUUUAUUCUUGGGCGCCUGAGUGGCUCAGUCAGUUAAGCGUCCUACUCUUGAUGUUGGCACAGGUCAUGAUCUCACGGUUCUUGACAUCAAAUCCCAAGUAAGGCUCUACGAUAACAGUGCAGAGCCUGCUUGGGAUUCUGUGUCUCCCUCUCUUCCUCUCACCCUCUCUCCCUCUCUCCCUCUCUCCCUCUCUCCCUCUGCCCCUCUCCCGCUUGUGCUGUCUCUCUGUCUCAAAAUAAAUACACUUAAAAAAAUAAAAUAAAGUCAUUUUAUUCUUCUCAGAAUCUGGCAGAGAAGCUUUGAACAUGGUGAUAAUUGCACAAGUAAUUGUUGUAAGAAAGAAAGAAUGUAAGAAUAAAGACUUUUAGUCACAGCGGAACUCUUCCUAGGUAGAUAGCGUAUUAAGUUCACAAGAGAUUAAAAUAGUUUAUUCAUCUGGGUAUGAUUUUCAGAUAUUGUUUGCAUUUUACACGUACUAAAUUUUCCAAGAAAGCCAAGCACCAAGAAAUUGUGAACAGGUUACCUAGGCUUGUGUACCACUGUGGCCUGUGCAAAGGUAAAACAGGAUGUGGUCACAGGCAGUUCCACUCUGCCACUCAACCUUGAUGUAGGUGGGGCCAGGGCAUCUCAUCAGGUUUUGUCAAUUCUGUUUCUCCUCUGAAAGGUAACGUUAUGGCCUGAAGAACAGAAUGACCACCUUUGCUUCGCGGUAGCAUUAUUUCAAAGAGGCAUUUACAGAGCCUUGAAUUCAUCCAUUCAAAAUAUUUACUAAGAACCCACUAUGUUCCAGAAGCUGUGGAAAGCAGUGUAGACAGACAUAAACACUGUAAGAUCUCACACCAUAGUAGGUGACACAGCACAUUGCUAUUCAGAAUACAGUGGGACCUAUGCCAUGCAAGAGGCAAGCCCAGGACAUGAAUUUGAAAACUGGUCAAGAGUCAUAAAUGACAACCAUCUGGCUUGGAUUACAUAACCAAGAUAAGAGAUUCAGAAGGAAGAGGUUAUUUACAGGAAAAGAUGAUGUACACAUUGAGUACAGACAAACAGGCAUGAUGUUGAGUAUACAUUUGAUCAGUGGAUCAGAAAUUCAAGAGUGAGACAUGGGGUGGAGAGAUGGGCAUUUGGAUGUGGCUUCCAAGGAUAAUAUAGGGAGAAAAGGACCCAAAUUAGAAACCCCAGGGAAUAUCAGUAGAUAAUGGGAAAACAGGAGGAGAAUCCAUGAAGAAGGAACUUAGAGAAAGCUGAAGAAAUCCAGGAGUGACAAAACAAAGACGUGAACAGUUUCUUAAGGAAAGCAAUGACUUAAGACCACAGACUGAAAAUGCACGACAGGCUACUCCAAGUAGGAAGCCACUGGUGAUCUUAGAGAAGCUUCAGUGGAAUGAAGGGUUUGAAGCCAGAUGGCCAUGAAUUGCAUAGGGAAGGGAAGGUGACAACAAAAAGUCUCGAGGGAUUUGAAGAAGUUUGACUCUGAAGCACAGAGACAGCAAUAUAGAGAGGAGAAAUAUGUUUAUAUACUGAUGGAAAGGAACCAGAGGAGAGAAGAACACUCAAAAGUUUGAAGGUCUGGAAGGAAAACCAACUAGAUGAAGUAGGAAGCAAAUGUAACGGGGCUCCAUGGAGAACCUACCCUUAGAAGGAAGGAGAAAGCCUCUUCCUCUACAACUAGAGCAAAGUUAGGAGUGGAGACAGAAAUAUACUUGUAAGUGUAGAGGUAAGAGGCUAAGACCAUUCAGAGUUGAUAGCCUCAACAUUCCCUGUGAAAUCAGGCAACAAAUUCUAAAUCAUCUCUAUGUGAAAUGGUUUUGUAUGGCAAGUGCCUUGAACAUGGUACUUUGUAUUAUUACACUCACAUCCUAUUGUUAAAAACAAAAGGUUUUACCUGUUAUGUGUAAUUGAUACUGACACAGUAACACAGAAGACUAAUGGGAACCAGAAGAGCUGGGGACUUUCCUCUCGGAUUUGAACUGUUUUAACUUAGGAAGGGUGAAGGGGAAGUGGGGAGUGUCCUCUCCUCCUCCGUGAGGAGCAAGGAGUGAAAAGCAGGAGGAAGAGAUUGGCUUUUCUCCAGGCAGGACAGUGUCCAGCACGUUAGGGGCAAUGAAUUUGGAUCAUAGCAGGCAGCGGACCCAUUUCUGUGCUUAAUGUCUCUUCUUUUGGUACUUUUUUCCUUAUUUUAUCUGGGAGAUAGAACUUCCAACUGUUAGCUUUCUUACUUUUACCACCUCUGUCCCAGACAAGGUCCCGCUUUUCAUACCCGGAUGACGCUGUGGCCUAGAAACGGGUUUCCUUCCUUUCGCUUCUCUGCUCAAAGCCAUUCAAGGACAUCCUAUCACACUUAAAAUAAGGUGCAGAUUCCUCAUUCUAGUCUGCAUGGCUCCACCUGUUUUUAUAAAACAGCUUUAUUGAGAUACAAUCCACAUACCGUACAAUUUGCCCAUUUAAAGUGUAUGGUUCAACAGUCUUUAGUAUAUUCAGGGCUAUAUAUCCAUUGCCACGUUUUUCUUCCCCCAAAGAAACUCUACACCCUUUAGCCAUCACCUCCACCCCAGGGUCUAGGCGACUACUAAUCUACUUUAUGUAUCUGUAGCUAUGCCUAUUCUGAACAUUUCCCAUAAAUGGAAUCAUGCAGUAUGUGGUCUUUUUUUGUGACUGGCUCCUUUCUCUUAGCAUAAUGUUUUUCAAAGCCUCAUCUGUGUUUUAGCACAUAUGAGUACAUGAUUCCUUAUUACUGAUGAGUAAUACUCCCUUGACUGGAUAUACUUAGUUUUAUCCAUUCAGUAGUUUGUGGACAUUUGGGUUGUUUCUGCCUUUCCACGAUUAAGAAUAAUGUUGUUAUGAACAUUCCAGUACAGUUUUCUGUGGACAUAUGUUUUCAUUUCUCUUGGGUAUGUACCUAGGAGUUGAAUGGCUGGAUUGUAUAGUAACUCUAUGUUUAACCAUUUGAAGAACUGCCUGAUUGUUUUCCAAGGCGGCUGCAUUGGAAAACACCAUGCAGUAAAAUUACGUUUCCACCAACAGUUCUAUGGAGGUCUGAUUCCUGUACAUCCUCACCAACACUUGUUAUUGUCUGUCUUUUUCAUUAUAGUUAUCCUAGUGGGUAUAAUGUGGUAUCUCAUUGUGAUUUUGAUUUGCAUUUCCUUAGUGACUAAUAAUGUUGAACAUCUUUUCAUGUGCUUAUUUCCAUUUGUAUGUCUUUUUUGAAGACAUGUCUAUUCAAGUCCUUUGCCCAUUUCUUUUUUUUUUUAUUUUUAUUUUUUACCGUUUAUUUAUUAUUGAGAGACAGAGAGACACAGAGCGUGAGCAGGGGAGGGGUAGAGAGAGGGGGAGACACAGAAUCCUAAACAGGCUCCAGGCUCUGAGCUGUCAGCACAGAGCCCGACGCGGGGCCCAAACCCACAGACUAUGAGAUUAUGACCCGAACUGAAGUCAGAUGCCCAACCAACUGAGCCACCGAGGCGCCCUUUUUUAUUUUUAAUGUUUAUUUAUUUUUGAGAGACAGAGAGAGACAGAGUGUGAGCAGGGGAAGGGCAGAGAGAGAGGGAGACACAGAAUCCAAAGCAGGCUCCAGGCUCUGAGCUCUGAGCCAUCAGCACAGAGCCCGAUGCAGGGCUCGAACUCAUGAGCCAUGAGAUCGUGACCUGAGCUGAAGUCAGAUGCUCAGCUGACUGAGCCACCCAGGUGCCUCAUCCUUUGCACAUUUCUAACUGGGAACUUUGUCUUUCUAUUAUUUUUUUUACCCCCCCCAUCUUUCUAUUAUUGAAUUGCAAUUGUUCUUUAUAUAUUCUCAAUAAGAGGGCUCUGUUUUCACAGAGCACAUGGUUUUUCUGCUCUUUCUCAAAUGAAUAAAGAUUAUUCCUUCUUCAAUCUGAAAUACCCCCAACUUCCAGCUUGCAUUGUUUCCCAGUAGUGCAUAUCACUGCUUAGAUUGCUCUGUAUAUUUAUUGUUUCCUUGGCUUUUGGUUUGGCCUCCACACUGGAAUACAAUUUCUGCUGUCUAUCCCUGCUUCUCUGUCACCGACCUUGUGAUGAUGAGAGACUGUUGUGAUAAAAUACUUGCACCUUGGAGGUAGAAUUCAGUUCCCUGCACUGCUCCUCACUAGCUGUGCAACUCUGGGCAAGUACUUAACUUCUCUGUUUUAAUCAACUCAUUUGAAGUAUGAGAAUAAUAAGUAAUCCCUCAUCCAUAUCAUUGUUGUACAAAUUGAGUUAACAUCUAAUAUACAUAAAACAUUUAUAGCAGUAUCUAUCACAAAGAAAUAAUAGAAUUUAAAAAGUUGACAAGUAUUUUUGACUGAUACUUAAAAGAAUUUUCCUACUGUUUAAUAUCCAAAGAUUUAAUCAAUCUUAUCAACACAUGGCCUCACCAUGACCACACAGGGUUAUGAAUUGGGUACUACCUACCUGUGGGCUUUGCCUAAGGAGUGAGUUUGGGAUCAUGGAAUUUUGUAGAAUUUCUACGGUGUGCCUUGCCUUUUAUGUAUGAUUUAUCAUGGUAAUCCUCACAGCUCUAGAGGGAGGUUCUGUUAUCACAGCUUUUUAGAAGAUGAAGAACCUGAUGAUUAGGGAGGUUACAAAGUUCUGAGAUCUAGAACUAGCAGAUGUCAGAGUUAGGAUCCCAGCUCGUAUUGGUGUUAGUUCUGUGACAAAGCAUGGAACCUUCUAAAUCUGCCUUGGGCCAGGGCUCAGGAUCUCCUGUCAUUAACAAAUCAUUUCCAGGUCAUUUAUCACUGUCUUCCCUAUAUACUGGCUUUAUGAUUUUUUUUAAUGUUUAUUUAUUUUUGAGAGAGAGAGAGAGAGAGAGAGAGAGAGAGAACUAGCAGGGGAGGGGCAGAGAGAGAGAGAGGAAGCCACAGAAUCUGAAGCAGGCUCCAGGCUCUGAGCUGUCAGCACAGAGCCCAAUGUGGGGCUCAAGCUCAUGAACCUCAAGAUCACAACUGAGCCACCUGGGCACCCCAUGGCUUCGUGAUUUUUUAAGCCAUAUUUCAGUGUCUUUAUUAUUUUAACACUUAUUACUGAUUUUCUGAACAUUCUGUGGAGCCUAUAUCUAGUCUAAAUGUGGCACAAAACAUUCCUUGACUUCAUUCUAUCCUUGUAGGUCUUUCUACGCUUUGCUCAGAGAAACACAUAGUUGUCCAGCAUCAUGCUGCCUUCUUAGCCAGUGCUACAUAGCAGGAAUAAACACUGGCAUCAGACAUGCUUUUGAGUACUAGCUCUUACUGACAGUGUGACCUAGGUUUGCGCAGCUUCCGGGACUAACAAUGAUGUCAACCUCCCUAGGUUGUUGUGAGGUUUAGAUAAGAUAACAGAAACAGAAACUGCCUAGUCUGGUGCCUGAAUCAGUGCCGACGCACAAAUUAAUGGCAGCGAUAGCUGAAAGCCUCAUCUGGGUUUUGUUUUUACCUUUUCCCUCCUAAAUGUAUUUCACUCAAAGCAUCAUCUACUUCUUUCUGUCCUCACCACCUCCAGUAUUGUAAUUCGAGAUCAGUCUGCCUCAUAGAACAUUCAUUUAUAUUUUCAUGGUCAAUAUUAUGUUUCUUUCAUUAUCUUUUUAUUUUAUGGUUUUUAAGAACUGCUCUGUGUACUCUUUUUAGGCAUUUCUAAUGUGCUACUCUUGUAAUUUUGACAUGUGGUUCAACUGGCAGUGGCGUUUCUUAAAUUUCAAUACCCCCUUCCCUUUGUGUCGAAUCUCUAGUUUUGUGUGUUAAAGAUAUAGUAGUAUUACAUGUGCUUUUUGCCCAUUUUUUAAUUUGUCAGAUUAAUCUCAAUUUGGAAGCAAACUGUUUGUAAGAUUAUUGUUUUCUUCUUUUGAUGUUUAUUUAUUUUGAGAGGGGGUGUGUGCAUGAGCAGGGAGGCCAGAGAGAAGGACAAAGAGAAUCCCAAGCAAGGUGCAUGUCCAAUGCAGAGUCCAACGUGGGGCUUGAUCCUGUGACCAUGAGAUCAGGACCAGAGUUGGAUGCUUAACUGACUGAGCCACCCAGGUGCCCCUAAGAUCAUUAUUUUCUACUUCACUAGUCAUCAGAUACACCGUCAAUAAUUCAAUAAUCUACUUUAGAGCAUUGCAUCUAUUACUCUUAGCUAAUCUAAACGUGUGUUUUCACCAGCACAGCUUUUUGCUACACUGUAUGGCUAUUUUCGUGGCUCAUCUCUAAAUACUACAUUCAUUGUUUUACUAAAAUCCCUAUCACAGAGGCAGUGACUUAGUAUAGUUCCUGUUUUCUUAAUUAGUCCCCUGGUACUCAGUCAGCAUUCUUGUUGAGUAUCUUUUCUAUGAAGGGAAGCCAAAGGGAGGUUGUCCUUGCCCUGCAGGAGCGUCUUGUCUAGAGCAGAUGACGUACAUGUCAACAGUGACUCGUCCUGGUGGGCCAGGUGCUGUGAUAGGUGUAGGCGAAGCUUCCUAUGGGAACGCAGAGCCAGACCUGAAGCAGGAGGUCUUAACAAGAUGGAAGGAAACCCAUACAGGUUCCUCUGACAUAGAGCCUACGUUUCACGAGCACUCUUAUCAUUCGCGAUGACAACACAUUGUGUCUGUGAGGUCUCUAAAAGCAGGGAUCCCAUAGUUCUUCCAAGACACUUUCUUCCCGCACACGCUUUUUUGGGAAAAACGUAAGGCGGCCCGAAAAUAUGUAACCUGUUACCUCUGACAGCAAACUAAGGUCAGAUUCCCUCACUAGUCUGCCACAGCUAAUGAAACACUGUAAUAGGGAGAAACCGAUUGGCCAAUGAAAACCAACAAAAAUAACAGACUGGAAUUGGAUAAGCAUAGGACAAAAUGCCUGCUGUGAACUGUACUAACCUCUGAUUAAUCACAGGAGGCAACUAUAAAACCAGAUGUUCAAAUGACCAAAGGCACGUAUUUAGUCGGAUUCAUUGUAACCCUUAAAAACCAUCCAAGGAGAAAGACCCGUUAGGAGCUUGAUAGUCACAUGCAGGUUCAGCCCAUGACAACAGUGUGUAUUUUCAUUCUAAAUGGGUAUGAUUGUGAGUGCUUUACUCCAACUAUACAUGCUGCUGUUUGUGCUUUUGGAGGAGAGUUCUCAUCAGAGCCAUCAGGUGAUUCCCCCAUGUUACCAAGAAAUAAAUUCAACACCCACAUCUCCUCAAAGAUUUUCAUUUUAUUGCCUCUCUGAUUUGUACAAUGGUUAUAUCUGUUCUAUUAGUGUGGCACACACCAUAUAUCCCUCUCUACUCACCUGUUGAUGUAAAGCUCUACCUGUUGAUGUAAAUGUUUUCCCUCUCAUCUCCAGGAAGGUUUGAGUAAAUAAGUUAAUGAACUUAUUAAAUAAUACCGUUCUAUAUCAAGAGGGUUGGUUACACUGAUAUUAAUCCAAUUCCUUAUUUGUGACAUUAUCAUUUUCUUGCAUUUAGAUGAGAUUGAUACUUUUAUUUAUUUAUUUAUUUAUUUAUUUAUUUAUUUAUUUAUUUAUGUUUAUUUACUUUUGAGAGACAGAGACAGAGACAGAGACAGAGACAGAGACAGAGAUAGAGCACGAGCACGAGAGGGGCAGAGAGAAAAGGAGACACAAAAUCCAAAGCAGGCUCCAGGCUCUGAGCUGUCAGCACAGAGCCCCAUGAGGGGCUCGGACCGUGAUAACAUGACCUGAGCCAAAGUCAGAUGGUCAACUGACUGAGCCACCCAGGAGCUCCGAGAUUGAUACUUUUAAAGUAGCUUCGUUAAAAAAAAAACACAAACAUCAGUGAGAUAGCAAACCCCAAUGAGUGAUGGCAAGGAUUCAGAAGGGGCAUUGAUUCUUUUUAAAAUCUUUCUCCUGUGCUUACUGAUAUUUCUUACAUUGUGCCAUUGUCUCCCAGCUUUACCGGAGUAUAAUUUAAUAAGUUCAUGUUUCAGGAUACUGAGUAGUUUUUCCUGGCCUGAAUAAAUCAAUGCGGAAGCAUCUAACUUCUGCUCAGUGAGAAACUUGGGGUUUGGGCGACUCACCCUUCUCUCUUUACUAAAUCACAUUCAGCAAUGUUUCGUUCCAUAAUUUACCUUAUUAUCAACUGGUUGUAUUCUCCUCUUCCUGAAACACGUAUUUUUAUGAAUGAUGUUGCAAAAUGCCCUUUUAAGAGCUUUAUCACUGAGAUAUUUACAUGAACAGAAAUGCAAAUGUAUUUUUAGUAUUAGACUAAAAGGUUUUUUUUUAUCUUUCAAGAUUUCAGGAUAGUGUGUUCCUCAAAAUAGCAAUGAUCGAAAAAGAACACUUCACAUGGUGUAUAUAAGAAACUUGUUGUACCCGUUAGAAAUUGCCAGAAUUUACUAAGGCUGGUAAAACGUUGAAGUCUCAAAGAAAUUUGCAUCAUUGCUUGACAUUAAAAUUUGUUUUUACGAUAUAAUUUUUGAUUAAUUCAUUCUCAUAUUUUAUUUGCUUUUGGCAAGUUUAAAUAUUGUGCAGUCUUAGACUCAUAAUCUGUGAGCUUACAUUUGAUAAUGGCACCUGUAAUGAAGAAGUACUUAAUUGCUGUUUCUUUCUUGACAUGAAUGGCUUCCUCUGAAGGGAAGAUCACGUUCAAUAAGCUAUAAAGUGGUUCUCAGAACGUGUUUCAGAACAUUCACGUUUUCUCUGUUUCUUCCUAUCAUAAACUAUUAAGAACAGAGCAAGUAAACAUCUCUAGAAUAGAGUGGAAGUGCUUCUGUUCCGUGUAGAGUAUUUUGCCUUUGGGGAUUACGAUUCUUCAGUGCAUUUAAUAGUGACUGUCUAAGGCAGUGCUUCUCAACAUGUGAUUGACAAACCAUCAACACCUGCAUCAUCUGGGAACUUGUUAGAAACGUAUAUUCUCAGGCCCCGCUCGAGUACUGAAUCGGUAGCCUGUGCUUUAACAAGCCCUCCAGGUGAUUCUGACACCGGCUGAAGUUUAAGAACCGCUGCUGUGACACUCCACUAUUCAAAGUGCAGUCCUGGAAGCACCUGGACCCUCAUUAGAAAUGCAGGACAUCAGGGUGUCAGAAUCAGGACCCGCAUUUUAACAAGGUGUCCAGGUGAUCCUUAUGCAUAUUAAAAUCUGACAGCCACUGAUCUAAGGGUUAAAGCAGGAAACUUACCAGUGGGAGCGUGUCCUCUAUUCUGAGGCAUUUUGGAGGCUGUCAAAAUGGACCUCAAUAGAUACUUUACGUUUUGUGUUGCCUCUCAGUUCCCUCUGGAAUUAAAAAGGGGGAAGAGAUGUGUGAGCCGCUUGGCUACGAUGUUCAAAAAUACAUAAAGGCACACUGUGUCUACAUUAUGAGAUGGAGGACAGAACCAUUAUCUGGGUAGCAGAGCUAUUAUCUGUGUGAUAAAUCAUAUGUGUGUAUAAAUGUAUGUACAUGCACACAUGCCUGUAUACAUAUCACGCGAUGACCUAGAAAUAUUAGGUGAAGGCCUAGUUUUCAGGUCUAAAGUUCUCUGAAAAUUCAAUUUUCUCAUUCACUUUUGAUGUGCAGAUAAAUCUGUGUUUUCUGUCCUUUUGUUUUUGUUUCACGUCUUUUUAUCUUAGAUUACCUUCGACCUUCUAGGAAUCUUUUUAGAAAGUCUUUUUACCAGUCAAGGAAGUUGCGAACUUUCAAGGCUCCGUCUCAUCCCCAUAGGGUCAUUGUCACGAUGCUAGGGAAUAUCCGUGAGACAAAACUACGCGUGGGGGUGACGAAGUUUGCCUCUUUCCAAGGAUCUGGCCUUUUACACAGACCGCUGGUGAAUCCAGUGGCCUGGGAGGACAAGAAUAGUGGACCCAGAAAAAUCUUACUUGUAAAACAAUGUCUUUAGCGUGGAAAACGCAUGAAAAUUAAAGGAGUAAAAAAAAAAAAUCCUUUGAAGUCUUUGCACAACAAACACCCCCAUAUGUAAAUAGGACUGUCACUCGGUGUUUGUCCACAACUAGAGCUCCAGAUGAACCAGUGUAGUGCGCGGUGACAGGAACAGCUGACUCAUUAGCAGAGAGCAGUGAAAGGUAAUUAACCCUGGGAAAAGUACAGCUGCCGUGCGGGCUGUUCCUUUCUGUAGGAUCUGAUUAGAAAUUAGUGUUAAACCACUGAUUCUUUUUUUUUUAAAGACUUUCACUCUCAGGUGUGUCCCUAGAAAAGGUUCUCAAAUGUAUUUAUAUACAAAAGAGCUCAAACCUAAAAAGCAUUUUCUGAAAACAGCAGACACCUGUUUUUCUUGUCGAGAGGGAGUUCUUUUGAAUGAAUACUAUGUUUGAUGAUUCAAGAUUGGUAGUAUCCCCACCCAUACUCUAAUAGUCAGUAUGUAAAUCACUCAAAAGGAUUGUUUUAUAUAGUUAAUAAGCUGUAGAUAAUUGCCAUUUAAUUAAGUUUUCUCUCUCUUUUUUUCUCUUUCCAUUUUUCCUCCGUCGACGCUUCUCAUCACUAGCAAUGGAAACUCUCCAGUUCAAAUCCAAUGAAUAUUAGGGAAGGUAAGUGAAGACUAUUUAAAAAUAAACUUUGCCCUCAAAGAGAAGAGAUUCCCAACUUUUCACCAGCCUUCAAAAACUUGAGAAAUUCAGGAACUUCAUUUUAGCGGACAACCAAAGAUACUCCGUUUUGCUAAUGUUGGUAUCAUCAUGGUAAUUUGUGUUAUAUUCAUUUUUUUUUUUUUGAGGGUGCAUACACUUACUCAUCCUGAUUGUGACUUCGCAUGGCUCAUAUGAAGAGCAUUAAAUCUUUAACACAGUCAGAAUUCACGUAUGUAGCUAAAAAACGUGGUAGACAGAAUAAUGCCCCCCCCUCCCCCCGCCCACAAAAGAUGUCUGUGUCCCGGUUCCUGAACCCUGUGGAUACGUUACGUUAUGUGGUAGGAGGAGGGUGACGAAAUGAAGAAUUUAACGAUGGCGGGAUUAUGCUGAAUUAUCCAGGUAGGCCCAAUUAAUCAUAUGUUCCAUAAGAGAAGGGUAGGGGAAUGAGUCAGGGAGAUGCCACAUAAGAAAAACUCAACUCAACCCACCAAUGCUGGCUUUGGAGACAGAGGAACACAGCCAUGAGCCAAGGAAUUCAGCCACCUCUAGAAGCUGAAAACGGAACGGCUCUCAGUUUACAGCCAGCAAGGAAACAGGGACCUCAGUCCUGUAACAGCAAGGAACUGGAGUCUGCCAACCGCCCAAAUGAGCAAGGAAAUGAAUUUUUUCCUGCAGCCUCCAGAAAGGAGUGCAGCCUGAUUUGAUUUGAGCCUAGUGAGACUGUACCAGACGGUGGGCCUGCAGAGCUGUAAGAGGACAUACCUGCAUUGUUUUAGGUCCAUAGGGUUUUAGAAAUUUGUUACAGCAGCAAUAGAAAACUAAUACAGAAGAGAAGCCAACCGAGAGAUGGGAUGUAUUUUACAGCCGGCAAUAUAAAUCCCGUGAAGAAUUUGCUGUGUGUGAAUGGAGAGGAGAAAGAUCCCUCAAGAGGCUAAGACAGGUGGUCUUUAGGAACUGGAAUAUUCAUUUCGUAGAUCCUAAUGACGGUUGCCAUCAACUCUAAGAUUUCUGUCUUCUGCUUUGCAACCCUCCUCCCCGCCAUAGACACACACAAAAAGUCUUCACAUGAUACUUUUGUAAAACACGGUGCCUGUAUCAUUCAAAGUGCCAAUGAGUGCCUAGCUUCGUUGGAAUGGUCAGUGAGUCUGUGUUUAACUGAACAAAGGCAAAAGGAGUGGAAAGUCGGGGGACGGAAGGCCAGGUCCCUGCUGCAGAAGGAAAGCUGACUUGACAGUCCCUAAGUAGGCUGAGCCUAGUGCUUAGCAGGAGAUGGUGAUCAUGGGGAGCCUGGUUCUACCCCCGGCUACCUGUGUGAGCACCGCUGGGUAGGGCAGCGCGUUCACCUGGUUUCCUUACGUCACGUGUAAAAUGGACAACACCGCCUCAGAGGCGCAUGGUGCCGACUAAGGAAGAGGGCGAGUGAGUACUUACCCUAGUGCCUGUCACGUGAUAAGAGUUCAGGGAGGGUGAGCUAAAUUUAUUUAGAAACACCGUGUCACUUUACUAUUUUGAUUAAAAAAAAAAAAGUAGAUGGGGCGCCUGGGUGGCUCAGUCGGUUGAGCGUCCCACUUCUGCUCAGGUCAUGAUCUCGCAAUUUGUGUGUUCGAGCCCCGCGUCGGACUCUGUGCUGACAGCUCAGAGCCUGGAGCCUGCUUUGGAUUCUGUCUCUCCCUCUCUCUCUCUGCCCCUCCCCUGCUCAUGCUCUGCCUGUCUCUGUCUCUCAACAAUAAACAUUAAAAAAAUUUUUUUUUUUUUAAAGUAGAUUACUUUUGUCUUUCCUCAUGGCUAAUGCCAUUUUCUCUCCAACACACAAGUGAUCAGGUUGGAGUGUAUGGGGAGACGUUGCUUCAAAUAAAAUGUUUGAGCGCUUAAUAGUCAGGUUUUUCUGUCACAUGGUGAAUAAGAAAAGUGAGGAAUAAAAAACGGAAACUGGAAAUAGUUUACAAAAAUUAGAGAUCUUCCUACAUUGUUUUCUUGACAAAUUUGGAAAAAUAAGACUAUCUUCUAAUUUUACCUUUGCUUUUAUUCCCAUAAGAGGGUCAAUUUAAAUCACAAACUAUCGGGGCGCCUGGGUGGCGCAGUCGGUUAAGCGUCCGACUUCAGCCAGGUCACGAUCUCGCGGUCCGUGAGUUCGAGCCCCGCGUCGGGCUCUGGGCUGAUGGCUCAGAGCCUGGAGCCUGUUUCCGAUUCUGUGUUUCCCUCUCUCUCUGCCCCUCCCCCGUUUAUGCUCUGUCUCUCUCUGUCCCAAAAAUAAAUAAACGUUGAAAAAAAAAAUUUUAAAUCACAAACUAUAACUUUUCAUAUAAAUCAGAUAAAAGUAGACAUUGGGGAAACCUGACCAUAAAUUCUGUUACAUUUCGUGCCUGCUCUUGUUUGAAUUUUUCGGGAGCUGACAUUUUCAACAUGAGGGAAGACAAAAUUAUAAAAUCUCCUUAGCUGGGAGAGCAAUCAGAAAAAAUCUAGAGAGUUCCGGAUGCUUUGUGUCUGGGAUGUUUUGUAUUCAAAUACAAUUAAUGAAGUAUUAUCUCAAGCAUCUGAAGAAUAUUCUUUUUGAUUUAACUCAGUAAUCGUCUACUGAGUACCUACACCGGCCGCAGCAUUAUGUCGCAAUGAAAGGUCAACAGGACACAGCCUCUCGCUUCCAUGAGCUUAUACUGACGCAGAGAAGGUCAAAGGGACAUGAGUGAGAUAAUAUUAGACCCAACGGACAAAUCGAGAUGAAGGUGCCAUCAAAACACUGUUGGGAUGCAGAAUUCUGUGAGAUGCUGUCACUCGAUCCACUACACGAGCGACAAAUCCCUUUUUUGCAGACAGAUUUUAUAGUUCUGACACUAAAGGGGACAGUUCCUUUGAAAGUUACAGGUGAAAUGAACAGAUUCUAAACAUUUAAUUGUAGCUAUUUGAUUUUGACCGUUUAGUCUUCUUUGACCCUUGUGUAACUAUAUAAAGUUAUGGCUGUAAUACAUUGUUUAGCCAGGCCAAGUACAAUGUCAACUAUUUGUAUCUUUUCAAUUGGCCUUUGGGGACAUUUAUUUAUUUUAGUCAAAGUUCUCUGAAUCUCUCUAGGGAUGAAUUCUUCAGGAAACAUCAUUUUCGAGAAGCUUAUCCAGUUUGGUCCCAUUGUGCCCUCUGCCUCCCUCCAUAAUCAUGCUUGCCACAUCUCACUGGAAUCCUCAAUUUGCUUGUUUGUACUCGUGAGGACAAGAGUUGUGCUUUAUCUGUCUCUUCAUGCUGACUGUUGCGUAUGGGGCAAUCCAUCGGUUGGUGCUCAAGAAUUGUGUAUUCAGCCAAUAAUAAGUAAAUUUUUCCAGGAGAAAUAUACUUAUAUUAAAAGAAUCUGUAUUAAAUUAAACACUGCACUGAGAAUAAGAUCCAAGGAUCAUUCUUCAAAAAUCCAGUGCCCCACAGGCCUCAACAAUUGAGGGUCAUGUCACUUGCUCUGUAGAUUUCAGUAGAUUUUCCCAUUCCAUAUUUCAUAGUCAGAUAAUAAAGAUAAAUGACUCUAUCCUUUUCAUUUAAAUGUACAGAAUGUGGUGAAGAUAUUAGUGAUAGUUACUGUUGGGAAAAACAGCAGACUUGUGGGGAAAAAUUCUUUAAAGGUCUCUUAAAAAAUGGAUCAGGAAAAUGGAACAUGUCUAAGCAUUAUUCUAGAGCAUAGUGUAUAGCAAUCUAUGUAAUCAAAUAGAUUAAGUAGAGAAAAUUCCCUUUCCAUAACAUAAAGGGAAUUUUUGAAUCAACAAGUGCCCUUUGAACUUUAUUAAAAAUGUUUUGACCUUGUAAGGUUGUUUAGUGUGGACUCACCCAAAAUAGCACCUUUAGUUGCAACACAAGCCUUGAAGUUAAGUGGUUAGUUUAAUAAAACAGAGUUUCCGUAGUUACCACAGGAGAACAGAGGAUAACUUUUAUUUCUUUGGCAGUCAGGAAGGAGCUUUAGAAAAAAGAUUAAGCAAACAGAUCCAAGCAGGUUCAUUAUGUGGGGUUCACACCUGAUUGGCUUUUUGAAAGAGGAAACUCUUGAUGUAACAGGAAAUUAAAGUUUUUGCCACUAAAAUUAAGAAAUGUGAACACCCCCUUUGGGCAUUUGCAACUUGAUUUUGAGUCAGAAGGAAAGCUAGUUUAAGAAGAUAUCUCCAAAAGGUAGUUUAAGAAGAUAUCUCCAUAUCAUCAUCCAGAUAAGAGAUGCAGUUUUGCUCACAGCAUUACAUUAAUAAACCAUGCCGCAAACAAGUGGUUAAAAAAGCCCCUCUAGAAGACAGCGAUGCCUUGUUCUACAUGACAGAUCAGACAACCGUGGGGCGAACAUUUUGUUGAAAGGCCCGAUGGAGGGCAGGUGGACGUCCAUGCUGGCGAAGAUGCCUCCCUUGCCAGCUUCAUUGUUUUCUCAGCUUCGCCUUGAGAUGCGCUGUCUCCUAGAGCUAACGGAGGUCGCUUUCCGUGUUGUCCUCUGCUGUGUCUCAGCCGAGGAGUUCUUCCCGGUUGACUGUUGAGAAACAAAAUGAUGUGGUUCCACGGAUCUCACCUUCAGCUCCUGAGCCUUUAAAGCAGCAGUGAUUAACAGGACUUUUACAAAGUUUCUGUGUAGUUACAAGGACAGUUUCAAUCUUCUGUCAUUUUUUUGCAUUAGCUAUGAUUAUGCUUUUACCACAAAAAUGCAUUUGUUUUAAAGGUAACAAUACAGACUAGGAGAAUAGCUUAUGUUUCAUCUAUAUUUAUCAGCACUCACUGUACAUUUGUGUCUUCAUUACCAGGAAAUAUUAAGGGACAUUGUGCCAUCUAUUCCUGUUUACAGUUUAUUAUGCAGAGAUAGGAAACACUUAGCAUGUAAAAUGAAUGUAGAAAUUAUUCCUGGAUAGAAACACGGACAUUUCCCACUCGUUGGCUCUUUCUCCUCCAUCACCGGAUCAGAGUGUAAUUGUCAGUAAUCAGGCCUGCUUGCUGCUGAUAAAACCACUCUGAAUGCUAGCAGCCUUCUUUGUGUGAUGACUCAAUUAUUCCAGAAGUGCCUCAUCAAAUCUGCCCCAUCAGCUGGGCUAAUAAAUAAGGAGAAGAAACUGGCCCCCCAAAGCAAAUUAUAAAUCCAUUUGCAUUAACCAUUUCGCUGGUCCAUGAUCUAGGCAGAAAUAAGCAUGGCACAUUGUGUUAAGCUUAUUUGAAUAUGUUUAUAAUGUUUACAGCAUGCAACUUUUUUUUUCCCACAAGGUGUUGGAAUUAUCAGUCAUGAAUGGCAUCUGAAUGCAGUUAUGUUAAUUGCAGCAAGGCUUUAAGUAUCUUCGAGGGCUAUUUUGUUACUUAAAUCAGGUGAAAGUGAAAUCUUCCUGCAGGGAGAAAUAUGGGUGUUGCACAAGUUAUUGGCAUUGCUUUCCAGUUUAAGGAGAAAAGGCUUGUGUUUAAUUUUUGCAGGUACUGGAAGGACAAAUACAAAUACUGUAAUGACUGCUGGUACAAGUACAAUUACUUUAUAUCUAUCACAGUGGAAACCAGAAGUGAUUUUGAUGCUCUGUAUGACUUCAGCAAUUUGCAAAGCAAAAAUUGCAUUUUCUGGGAGGAGAUCAGAGUUGCCAUAGCACUCCUUGGACUUAAAAUUCCUUGAAAGAUUCUAGAGGGCGGAGAUAUCAAAAAGCCAGGCAAACCAGUAAAAAUCAGUUAAAUCCACGCAUGGAAAUGUUGUACAUUGACAGAUCUUAUUUUUAUUCUUUUAAAAUGACAAACUACGCUGAGUGACGGGAAGGCUUUUUUAUAGUUGAACUUCAGUAAUCCGUCAGGGAAGGAAAAAAUGUUCAAAAUGGAUCACGAAAGGCAAUUUGGUUGCUAAUAUCAAAGAAUUAGUCUUGCUGAAGACGUAAGGAUUUAAAAUCCAGACGUUCUCCCUAAAAGUGAGUGAUACCGUUGACCCACUUUGGAGUAGGGGCUGGUCCCUCUGCAGAGUAGCUCCCCCUUUGCUGAAGCUCUUUCCACCACCCCCACUAUCAUCAGGAGCUGAAUAGGGGUUGAUGGUAAAAGGAAAGCUGGUGGCCAGUGAACAGUGUUUAUCUUUGCCUAAAACAACUUAGACGAAACUCACUGCCCCUCUUCAUUUGCUCCAGCCAGCGAAGCAUAUCCUCUAAUCUCAACCUAGAGAGCUAAACAGAAAGAAGUCGCCUUUGAUGGCGUGAAUAUACGGUGGCGAUAGGCUGACAUAGUUUUUGGGUAUUGAUUUGGAAAUAUAUAAUCUGUGACUAUGAUGGAAAAGCCAGUUGUAUAGCUCAUUGGUUAGACAUUCCAAAAUAAGGGCUUUGGAGUUUCAUUAGAUAUUUAAUGAAGCUACACGGCGAAUGGGAAAACAAGGAAUUUGUCUAGGGAACUAUAUCAUUCAGAUUUCUACAGAAUUUGACGCUAAGUUAAAUUAUCAUGCUGAUUCAUAUAAACAUACACCUGGAAACUUAGGACUGUGAAAAGUAUUUGCCUUAGGGUUCAAAAAAAAUGAACUGAGCCAGGAUACCCUCCCUCCCCGCCCCCCCCCCCCCCCCCCCCCCCCACUUUCUUCUCAUCAUUCCCCCUAAUGAACAAUCGGUAAAGACUUGAUCUUUGAAAAGCGAUUUAGGAGAUUAAAGCUAUUAGAAGUUGUGCAGACACGGCCUCAAAUAAUGGCCGUGCUGAGGUGAAUAUGCUGGCAUCCUUCUGGUUUUAUUUUACUCCUGGAGAGACUUAAGAGUGGUCUGUCUCUGCAGCUUAUAUUAACAUUCCAAACUUCCGAGAGGACCCGGCCGUGCGUUUCCAUCCCGAGUGAAAUACAGCGGUCUGGUUCCAUCAGGCAGCAAAUUCCAAACAGAAAUGGGCGGAGGUGGUGAGCUCCUAUUAUAUUAGUUAGUACUUGUAGGGCUACAAGUGUAAUAGGCCUUUCAUAUUAAAUCUAUUGGCCCUGCCAUCAGAUUUUUCACUUUAGUUGGGAGUUUUUGUGGGUGUGUGUCUUUUGUUGUUGUUGUUGUUUUUAACCAUAAGCCAACGUGUGGUUCUCUGCUUAAGGAUACAGUGGGCAUAUACAUCGUAUUACUUUAGGUCAUUCACUCCCUCACUCCCCCCACCCCGACCACCUUUAAAAUAUAAUCUGAUAUACCCUUUGAAAAAAACCACAGAGCAGAUCCAUUCUAUCGUAUCGUUGGUUGAAGGGACUGUCUUUUUCAGAAGCAAGUAUUCACCCAUGAAGCAGCUGUAAAGAACUAAGAGGCCCUAAUUAUUGGCAUAUAGUAAAGCAGACAAAUGAAAUACUUUGUGAUGACUCCAUUUAACAAGUAAAGCCACGUCUUAAUUAGAGAGCACAUUUAAGGACUCUGUAGCCCAUUAGGCUACGAACCCUUUGGUGCUCGGCAUGUAGUUUCACCUUUUAAGAUUGGGUUUCAUAAACAUCUGAGCUUUAAUGGAAAAGUGUUCAUCCUGGUAGGGGGAUAGAAUUAACUGUGUUGCGAGUCGUGGGAAGUUGGUCAAGAUGCCAGGCCUUAAGUUCACUGUUCCAGAAUGUCUAUUUCCUAUGCGUAUAUGAGUUAGUCCUCAAGUUUUACAAAAUGGUUUAAGAGCAGUGAAAGAGAUUGAAGUAUGGCAAUUGAUAAAAAUGUUUAUGGUUUUUGAAUAAGGUAUCUCCCUGAUGUAACAAUAGGACACUCUUAAGGAACAGAAGGAACCGAUUUCAGUGGAAGAUUCCUUUUAGCAUCAGCCACCAGUGUGUUUCUAUGAGCGGGUGGGUGGAGUUAUGAAUGAUAGGCACGUGCACUGGGGAGCCUCUGAAAGGCUCGAAUUUCCCGUUUGUAUUUGGGCGUACCUGGACUUCUCCAGCCCUUUUGUGUCAAAUCAUAUUCCUAAACUUAUAUUUUGUUGGUGCCCUCCGUGCACUUCUCCAAGUCGAUCUCAGCUGUGCUGCCUUAACUCUCCUCCCCAGGGAGGGGAGAGACAGCAGAUGGGGUUAGGGCAGAGGGCUGAUGCAUCUGACAGCAAACGGCCGGGUUGUUGAGUGGAAGCUGCGAGCGUCAGGAAGCUACUUUUCCCCUGAGAACCAACUAACCACUGAAGAAAGUUGAAAAUGAGCCCUUUGAGAAACGCUAUUAAAAGUAGUAAAAAAUUGCAAUUGUGCAGAUGAUGUGCUGCUGUGUGCUUAUUCGGAUGCUAAUGAGUUUGACAUUAGGGAACUCACAGGGUUUACAGCUACUCCCUUAUGUGAUUCAGUUCUUUAUUGGCAAUCUUUGAGAAAAUAAAUGGAAAAUGUAUUGCUAAUAAAUACAUAACACGAUAGGGUAUUAGACAAAAAGCCAUUACUUUCAGGAUUUAGAAAGAGCUUUGCUCACCAGUGUGACUGUUUUCCAGGAUCUUUUGUUUUAGGUUAGAGUAUGGCAAACAAAAGGGAAUAGGCAGGUGGAAAGCUUCGGGACUCUUUCUGAAGUGAGAGUGAGGUAGAGGAAGCCAAACGCAUUUCCAGAGAAAGCCCCCCUCCCUUUUAUCCCCCUCGGUGGCAAUCGAAAACAAACUAAGAAUUCCCAAGCCCCUGUGCCACUUUUCAAUUCUUACAUCAUGUGCAGUAAUCUGCUCUAUCACUUGAGAGAGUUUUAUACCUAUUUUUCCCCAGGAACUACGGUUGCUGACUUGCGUUGAAGAAGCAUCUGCUUAAUGUCUGGUCAAAGCUUACAAGUGAUCCAGAAAUCUAUGGUUAAAAAGCCAAGUACUUCACAAUCUACUGCAAAGGGGGAAAUACAGGAAGAUAGAAAUCUUCUGCAAGGAAGGUUGGUGGCUUGUGUUUGACACAAUAGCAGAACUGCCGGAUGUAAACUCUUUAGAUGCGCAUUGAUAUAUGUGCUAUUUGUAUAAAUAGCCCCUCUCUAGGAGGCUGAGUGCGCUAUGCUGAACUUCAGAGUUUCCUCUCAAGGGCCAAGUGGCCUAAAGACAGAUUCUGUUUCCCAGCCCUGAGACCAAAUAGAGGAGAAGCAGCUCUGCGUUCUAUGGGUGCAAAGUAAACCAACGGCAAAUUGUUUCUAUGGAAAGCGGGUUGGAAUAUUGGCAAAUAGCAUGAUUACGACAGCCUCAUUAAAGAGAGCUCUAAACAGCAAAAGGAUGAAUUUUGAAUCUGUCUUUUGUGACUUCUUGAGUAUAGUACUUUCCAAAUCUUGCCUGAACUUUUUUUUUGGUGGUUAAAAGUAAAAAUACCAGUAAUAAUAGAGAGUCCCUUUUACCCAAUUUGUCUAUAAAUUGAAGACGAUAUAUAUAUAUGUGUGUGUGUGUAUGUAUAUAUAUAUAUGUCAGUAAUAGAAACAAAAAUGAAUUUGGCUACCUUUAAAACCGUAAGAAUCUUUUUCUGAUUGAUAUUGUAGCAUAAAAUUUUUCUUUCUGUUUAGAGUUAGAGCCCAAGCAAAUUACAGGUAAAAGUGUCAGUGUGUUGCCCAUUGUCCACUUCAGGGUUUACAGCUGGUCUUCUGUUUCAUUUGUCCUCUCUGCUGUGCCUCCUUUCUUUUCUUUUUUUUUUUUCCUCAAUAGAAUGAAUUUAAGGACUUCUCACUAAAGUGGACAAACA